This 195939-nucleotide long non-coding RNA is filed under the name Triticum aestivum (bread wheat). RNAcentral's name for it is "long non-coding RNA (TAES_LNC026816)". The stretch from base 92559 to 92693 matches the Rfam family "MIR1120/MIR1122 microRNA precursor family". The record is from RNAcentral. Lineage: Eukaryota; Viridiplantae; Streptophyta; Magnoliopsida; Poales; Poaceae.
AGGGAGGUGCUUCCUGGCCACCUCAUCGCUACCGCGCCGAUGUGCACAGCCACUCGGUAAUCUUCAAGCCAAGUGUCGGGCUUUGACUCUCCUGUGAACUUGCUGACACCAGCUGCCAGUCUGAAGUUAUGGGGGAUCUCCGCGGCACUGAUGGCCCUUCCGAAGCACUCGGGCCUAGAUACAUGGACCCUACUGUUGUUGGGUCUGUCUCUGUUCAGCCCCUCUCCGUACGCUCUGUCUCGGUCGACCAAGCCUUGAACGAGGACUGACCUUGCAUCGAACCCAGGCUCUCUUGGGUCGGCUGGAACCCUGCGGUCAUUACCGACUGGGUGCCUGUCGUCAUACCAACGGGGCGCGUACGACCCGCCCCUCGGGAGGGGAGAAGGCACUCGACGAUAAUUGUCAUGGGCGAACUCAUGGUCAACAUUUCCGUGAGCUCUUCCUAAAUGCCGAUCCUGAUGAUGCUCACGAUCUCUUUGCCUUAGCGGUGAUCUAGGACUGUGGCCGACUGAACGGUUUCUGUCCUUAUCGACCUGCUGUGAAUUCUGUUCCAUGAUUGGGACACCGCGGAGUUCUGAUCUCCCGCUGCUCGGAGGAGUGCUCUGAUCUGUUCCAGACCUCUCCCAGCCUCCAAACGGGACGGCUGGAUGGACUCCGCAAUACGCGUAGCUACCGCGAGAUGUUGGAUCGGUGUGCGGAAUACGUAAGUUUCUGGUGGAAAUAGCUGUCGUGUGUGCCGACUGGAUCCGGGGAUUAGUCGACGGGCGCGUUCGUCGAGAGAAUGUUGGAAGUUGUCCAAACGGGCGUGUUCGGCCAGCGUGGCCAGGCGCACGUCCUCCAAGGCCCGGGCCUCAGCGGUUUCCCCUAUGACGGGGGUAUGGAGAGCCUCCUCGUUACGGCGGCGCAGCUCCUCCCUCUGCUGCGAACUGAGAGGCUGAGGCUGGUACUCCUCAUGGCCAAGUGACUCGUUGUCGGCCCGGUUCUCGCCUCCACGGCGGAAACCAGGCGGGGUGCGAUGGGAGUCGACCAUGAGAACCUCCGCCAUGGGGUCACAACUCCUGUUCUCGGAAAGUGUGUCUGCGAAGUCAGUCAACGGGUCGACCGGACCGCAGGGAUAUAUGUCGGGCUCAAUCGCCAUGACCUUAGGGGCGAACGCCUGUCGAGCCAGCGCGUGUGCCACCCACCGCUGCCGACUGGUACGGAGUCCAGCGGAGUGAGAAGUUGACAUGGGCGCCGACUGGUACGGAGUCGACGGCUGCCGGAGGAGAACACCUCGGGCACUCGCGCGGAAGUGUGACGAUCCUCGGAUCGGCAGCACGUCGAUGUUGAGGGGGACAUCUUGGAGCCAGGCCGAAUCGUCGGCGACGAACGUGAGCGCUCCGAGCCGGAGCUCGCGGCCCAUGAUCAAACCACCGCCGGAAACCAUGUUGAUGAAGACUGAAGGAAACGCAACCUCGCCGGAAGUCGCUAAGAUGCUUUGCCCCAUGGUGGGCGCCAACUGUCGUGGUACUAAGACUGAUAGUAAGAAUAGGGGGUAUGUAGGAGGAGGCAAGGUCCUAGCUACGGUGAGGUUGUACACAAGUGUUUACGAGUUCAGGCCCCUCUCGGAGGAGGUAAAAGCCCUACGUGUCAGUGCCCGGAGGCGGCCGACUGGAUUUCAGUAUAUGCGUGUGUGUUACAGGGGGUGCGAACCCUUGUCCCAGAGGAGGGGGGUGACUUAUGUAGAGUGCGCCAGGACCCCAGCUCCCCUGCGUUACAGAGGGUUCAAUGUUCAUAAAGGAGGGACGUUACUGAUAACGCCAGCUUUAAGUACCAUUAAUGCCUAUAAAGACUACAGAGUGAAUGUCCAACCUUUGUAGUUCCUCUGGCUCUUGGUCUUCAUAGGUCGAUUGAUCUUCGUAAAAUUGGGGUACCCAAGUGAUAUGGUUGGUCGAGUGGAAUAACACUCGACAUCUUCCUUGGGUACUUCCUUUUAUCUCUUGAGCUUCUUUGCUUCUAGGGUAGUGACCUUGGGUGGGGCUCCUAGGUCAGGCCUGUGACCCUACCCUAGGUAUAUAUCCUCAUCAGCUGCUGCAUGCCAUGAAGGCAUAUUGUGCUACCACUUUUAUUGUACUGUAGGGUUUGUAUUCAGACUUAUUGUUUGUAUCAGACUUAUGUGUGUACGAAAAUUAUUACUAUAACUCUUAAACUGGUAUUGAUAUAGUUUACCUUCUUUAUGAUGUGAAUGGAUGUGGAUGUAUAGUUAUUGUGAUCCUAGGAAAGUAUGUUGAACAUACCCACGGUAGGGAUUCUCCUUUUAAAUCUUCUUCUGUCAUCAGGUUAAUUGCCUUAAGUGGUGGUUCGCACCACAUGAUUAAGGUAGAUUAUUUUUUUUGACAUGGAACACUCGUAUUCCAUUUAAGAACGACAAAAAUGCCAGUUACAAGACGGGUUACAUCAGCAGGGAAAUCAUCCAGCCAUACUUGCGUUUCUCCACUUGCUAACCCUGCACCCAUUGCCGCCAACACGUGUGCUGGCUUGUUUGUCACAUAGGACAUGAACUACAUCUGCUCGGAUAAACUGAGUGUUUAACUUGGUCUUGAUUUCUCUAAACACUUGUCCCAGGGAGGCAAAAUCAUAUAAGUUGGUGGCCACUACUUGCUGCACUAUGAGGCUAUCCAUUUCAAAAAUCACACGCCCCACCUGUAGAUGAUCAGCCAGCUGAACGGCAUUAGAGAGUGCAAUGGUUUCAGCAUGAAGUGCAUCCGCUAGAUUACUAGCAGCAACAGCCGCCAAAAACUUUAUAUCCGAUGCUGAAUCUCCGCAGAUGACGCCCCAACCACCCUGUCCAGUUGUUGCUUCGAAUGCAGCAUCCACGUUAGUUUUAACAAAUUCUUCUAGUGGUGGCUUCCAUCUCGCUUGCACCGCUUUUGGAACUACGGUUCUUGGGGUCGAAAAUUCAAGCCAUUCCCCAACGUGUCGCCUGACCGUGAAUUGGAAUGCAUCAACAUCAAGACGUUUCUCUCCGUGAUUCUCCCGAUUCCAUUCAGUCCACCAUUGCCACAGGCAGGCAACAGUCAGAAGUUGUUUUUCCUCAGGUAAUUGCAAGAUCGCCUGAAUUACUUCUUUUGGAUUAUGACUAGAGUAAUAUGCUACAUUAUAGUAACCCUCUAACUCAGUAUUGCCAUUCUUAUGGCUAUAGUGUGUCUUGCUAACUAGGUCCUUAUUUGUGCAGUUCACAACGGAUUCAAAUAACCCUACACAUCACCCAAGCGAUGGACCGCAGAGGAGCCCUGCAAGCAAUGUUCGUGGUACUUCACCAUCAAGAAACAAUUCGUUCUUUAGCCUUUAUCAUACUAGAUGACCCGGUUGCGCCAAUGGCGCAAAAAGGCAGUUUGAAGCAAUGUUAGUAGUGAGUACGUAUGAGAUGUAGAUGGAAAGAUAAUGCAAUGUUGAUUGUAUUACAAAUAGUAGGAUGACUUAAAUUGAUUUUCAGAUAAAAACAUAGAAUGUUUAGAAGAGGAAGUAAGCAAUUGUGGAUAUGAUGGCAGAUACAAUAAUACUGUUAAGCUUGGAUUUCAUAAAGUAUUAAUUCCCCUUUUAGGUCUUCUGGGAUAUUCAUUGAUGAUCAUAUAUAGAGCAAUGUAAAUGAAUUUCUUAUCUAUAUUGGUCACAGAAGUAGGAAGCUUGUCACCAAAAUAUAAGAAAAUAUUUGCAUUAGACAACAAGGAUUAGUCAUAGUUGGAAUAGAUAUAUUACACAGAUCUAACAUAGCAUAAUGGAUUUCAAAAUUAUACAUGAGCCGAGAGUAGUGCCAAAAGCAAACAAGUUCUUAGGGUGAAGCUAUAGACAGAUAGCUUCAUAGGCUAUUUAGGUAGAUUAGUAGACUGAACAUGAUGACCAGAGAGUCGAGUGCCAAAAGCAAACAGGUUCUUAGGGUGAGGCUAUACACACAGAAUUUUGUAGGCUAAUUAUGUAGUUUAGUAGACUGAACACGAUGCUGAAAUUUGUAAGCUGGUUAAGACACCUCAAAUUUGUAAGCUGCUUCCUGUAUAGCCUCACUUUGUUUCCCAAUCUGCAAUGACCAUCAAAGCUUAGAAAGUAGAUAGUGCCUGGUGCCCCUAUGCAAUGGUAUAUAAAAUGGUUGGUGUAAGCAUAUGCAUAUACUGGUAUUAGUAGAGCAAAUGAAAACAUUGUUUGAUCGUAAGAGUUAUGUAGGCCUUGUGUUCAGCCUUUUUGGGUUUUAUGGAUUUAGUUGUAGUAUGUACAGGAAGGCUAAAAUUAGGUAUAAUGGCAUGACAAUGGUAAUGAUAAGACAGUUUUGUACCAUGCGAUGCGUGCUCCUUUUUCUUGUUUUUCUUGGCUUUCAUGCGACGGUAUGAAGGGCCUAUAGAGUUAUAAAUAGUAAGAGGUUUAAAAGGUGAGUAUAAGCAAGAGGUUUUAAAAGUAAAUUUGGCAUGGUGUGCUUACCAGUAUCAUUACUGAUGUUGAUAACAGCUGGUUUGUAGGCUACGUUGUUAGGCUAAGGAAGCGAUUCGGAAGACUCGCUAUCAUCACCGCUGCAAAUAACAUUAUAGAUUUUCUGCAAGGAAAUGCCCCAGUUGUUAUUAUUGUUAACUAUGGCCUUUCUUAAUGCUAUGUAGCGGCUAGAAAAGUACGUACAGUGAGAAAAUCCCUUAGUAAAUUUAUCAAUCAGGAGAUUGCAUAUUAUUUAUCAAUCACUGAUGCAAAUAACAUUAUAAAUUUUCUGCAAGGAAAUUCCUCAGUUGUUAUUCUGGUUACCUAUGGCUUUUCUUAAUGCUAUGUAGCAGAUAGAAAAGUAGGAUGGGAGGACAGGAAGCAACCUGCGCUAGACAGAAUAAAUGGCUGAGGAGGCAAAAAAUAUAUUAAAAAGAGUGUGUAUAACAACCACACUACACAGACGAUAUGUCAACUAUGCUUGUAAUCACUAUGAAUAGGACCAGCAACUACUAUUAGUUUGAUACUUGAAAGGAAUAAGCAGCCAGUUUCAUGCAUCUACGGCUGGCCCUCUCUGCUCUCUGCCUCAUCUCAUAACUACUUCAACUAAUUGUUGACUGAGCUUGGUUGCUGUCUAAAUCAAGACAAUUGCAUUCAUGCACAGGGCCAGUAUCUUGUAAGGAUCUUUAAUUAAUAGAAGCAAGCAUCUGUCAAUUUAUUCAAGAAAAAAUAACACGCCUUAAAUAUAGUAGGCGUAUCAACUAAAUCCAAGAAUAUAUUAUAAAUACGAUGUUCUAACUUUAAACUAUCACAAAAGAGACAAAAAAACAAAGCUGCUAAUAUAAAUGUCGAGAAAACACCUCUCUAAACUUCUUGCAUGAUGUGCCGAGGAAAAAGAAGAAAAGAAAGAAUAAAGGUACUCCCUUCGUAAACUAAUAUAAGAGCGUUUAGAAUACUAAAGUAGUGAUCCAAACACUCUUAUAUUAAUUUACAGAGGGAGUACAAAUUUUGAACUAUUGUCAUGCUUGAAGAUGUUAGCUAGACCAGUCGAAGAAAAUUAUCAUUCAAGUUUCCUUCUCAACUAAACUAGAAAUGCAAAAUUGUAAACUGAAUUCAAGCAAGAAGCGGCAUAGAAAAUAAUGCUUUGAGCAUGGAUGAGUAAAGUCGAGGCGUCAUAGUAGGUCCCCAACAUAUACCAGCUAUGUACUGAAAGUCUAUACAGUACUACAUCACAAGAAUGUAAAAUGUUGAAAGGAGAUAGUGUGAACUUCUGUGAGCUGUAAACACCCGUACCUUGCAUGAUGAUUUACAAACUAAAAUUCAAAAUAAUAUAGUAGACAUGAUAUGUAAUAUACUGACUGAGAUGCACCAGAACUACUUCCUCCUCUCGCCACCGGUUCCUGAGCACUAUGCUGCUACUACGAUCUUCCCCAUCCUGGCUUGCGGCGCGCACCGCAGGUCAGGAUAGUAGGCCUCCGAAAUCGCACCUUUUGAUUCCUAUAUGGGAGAAGGGUGAUAAGGUUUUUGGGGAGCGCUCUGCGCGACUACUGACUCCACUCCUUCGUCACGGACUCCGACGACUACUUCCCCGACGACGACUUCUUCCCCGACAUCGACAACCUCCUCGACGACAUGGCUCACAAGGACACCGACCCCAAGUCUAGUGCUACCUCUACUGCUGUUGUCCUGUAUGUGUUCUUACUCUUUCUGUUAGAGGUCUUGUCACAGUUCCUUGUUCUACUGUUUGCCCUACAUAUGUUAGGCUCUACUUCAUAUAUGCUGCUUGCCCUAGAUAUGUUUGCCUACAGUUCGUAUGUGAAGGUGAUAUUUACCUUCUCUCCGUCAGAUCGCAUGACUUGCUUUAUCUCUGCUAUUUUAGUCAUGCUUUAUUCAGUAUUUACGCUAAUAAAAUCAUAUGGUAAAUUGCUCAUAUUUCCAACAAUCCAAAAACUUUAUGAUAGGCAAUUUACCCCAAGUGGUUUUGCUGCUUCCAUGAGACCUUCUAUGUUUGAGGGUAUCCACUAUAAGAGCUGGCGCGUGAGAGCAGUCUUAUGGUUUUAAACCAUGAGUUGCUAUGAUGCCACUCUUGGCAAACCUGAAGGAGAGCAAGAUGCACAACAGGCACAAGCUUUUCAGAAAAUGGAUACCUUGUUUAAGGCUGCUCUCUUGAGUGUUCUUGGUGAGAACAUAGUUGAUGAUAUGCGUUAAUUGAUAAUGGAAAAGAUAUGUGGGACGCACUCGAGGCCAAGUUUGGGGUCUCGGAUGCUGGCACUGAGUUGUACAUCAUGGAGCAAUUCUAUGAUUACAGGAUGACUGAAUAGCGCUCCGUGGUUGAGCAAGCUCAUGAGAUACGAUCAUUUUCUAGAGAACUUGAGCACUUAAAUUGUAUACUACCGGACAAGUUUAUUGCCGAAGGCAUCAUCACUAAGCGUCCUCCCACGUGGAGGAACUUUGCUACCUUACUGAAGCAUAAGAGGCAGGAGUUUUCCGUUCCGGAUCCCAUUGGUACUCUUGAUGUGGAAGAAAAGGCUAGAGCAAAGGACAACCGUGUUCAAGGUAUUGAGGGAGGUUCUAGUGCCAAUCUGGUACAGAAGAAGAAUUUCCAGCCCCACAAGUUCAAGAACAAGGGCAAGUUUGAUGGUAAAGAAAUGUUUGAUGGGAAGAACAAGGCUGUGCAACACAUGAACUUCAAGAAGAAGAAUGACAAGAAGAAAGGUGUUUGUCAUGUGUGUGGGGAUCCUGAUCAUUGGGCUCCUAGUUGCCCUAAUCGCUAUGACAAGCGUCAUCCUGGGAAAGGCGGCAAGACCGCUAAUGUUGUCAUUGGAGACACUGACAUGAAGGAUGUUGGGUAUGGUAUAUUUCCCGCUGUUCUUUCAGUAUGUCAUUCUCCUGAUUAGUUGAUUGACACGGGUGCUAAUGUGCAUGUAUGCGGUGAUAUUUCCAUGUUUUUGUCUUAUCAGACCGCAGGGACUUCCACCGUGCUGAUGGGCAACGGUUCAAGUGCUUCUCUUCGUUGUGUUGGCAUGGUCGAUCUGAAGUUUACUUCGGGGAAGAUCGUGCGGCUGAAGAACGUGCAUUAUGUCCCCUCCGUCAAUAAAAAUCUUAUCUCUUCUAUGUAGAGAUGGAUACAAGCUUGUCUUUGAGUCAAAUAAAUUUGUAAUAUCCAAGUAUGGAACCUUUGUUGGUAAAGGCUACGAGUCAGGAGGCCUGUUUCGUUUAUCCUUAUCAGACGUUUGCAAUAAAGUUGUUAAUCAUGUUUGCAACAAUAGUGAAUCAAAUAUGUGGCAUUCACGUCUUUGUCAUGUUAACUUUGGUUGCAUGUCGCACUAGCGAAGUUGAACUUAAUCCCUGGUUUCACCACUGUCAAGGGAUCUAAGUGUCAAGUGUGUGUGCAAGCUAAGGAACCUUUUAAGUCUCAUGUGACUGCGGAAACGAGAAAUCUUGCACCAUUAGAGCUCAUACAUUCAGAUCUAUGUGAAAUGAAUGGUGUUUUGACAAAAGGUGGAAAGAAGUAUUUUAUGACAUUAAUUGAUGACUCCAAUAGAUACUGUCAUGUGUAUCUUCUGAAAUCUAAGGAUGAGGCUUUGAACUAUUUCAAGAUCUAUAAAGCUGAAGCAGAAAACCAACUUGAUCGAAAGAUCAAGAGGCUUAGGUCCGAUCUGUUGGGGAACGUAGUAUUUUCAAAAAAAAGCACACGCAAGAUCAUGUUGAUGGCAUAGCAACGAGAGGGGAGAGUAAUGUCCACGUACCCUUGUAGACCGUAAGCGGAAGCGUUAUGACAACGCGGUUGAUGUAGUCGUACGUCUUCACGAUCCGACCGAUCCAAGCACCGAGCGUACGGCACCUCCGAGUUCAUCACACGUUCAGCUCGAUGACGAUCCCCGGACUCCGAUCCAGCAAAGUGUCGGGGAUGAGUUCCGUCAGCACGACGGCGUGGCGACGAUGAUGAUGUUCUACCGGCGCAGGGCUUCGCCUAAACUCCGCGACGAUAUGACCGAGGUGGAAUAUGGUGGAGGGGGGCACCGCACACGGCUAAGGAACGAUCCGUAGAUCAACUUGUGUGUCUAUGGGGUGCCCCCCGCCCCCGUAUAUAAAGGAGCAAGGGGGAGGGGGAGGCCGGCCAAGGGAGGGCGCGCCAGGGAGGAGUCCUACUCCCACCGGGAGUAGGACUCCCUCCUUUCCUAGUCCAACUAGGAGACCUUCCAUGUAGUAGGAGUAGGAGAGAAGGAAAGGGAAGAGAGAAGGGAAGGAAGGAGGGGGUGCGGCCCCUCCCCCUAGUCCAAUUCGGACUAGGCCUUGGGGGGGCGCGCGGCCUGCCCUAGGCAGCCCCUCUCUCUUUCCCGUAUGGCCCAAUAAGUCCCAAUACUUCUCCCGGCGAAUUCCCGUAACUCUCCGGUACUCCAAAAAAUACCCGAAUCACUCGGAACCUUUCCGAAGUCCGAAUAUAGUCGUCUAAUAUAUCAAUCUUUACGUCUCGACCAUUUCGAGACUCCUCGUCAUGUCCCCGAUCUCAUCCGGGACUCCGAACUCCUUCGGUACAUCAAAACUCAUAAACUCAUAAUAUAACUGUCAUCGUAACGUUAAGCGUGCGGACCCUACGGGUUCGAGAACUAUGUAGACAUGACCUAGAACUAUUCUCGGUCAAUAACCAAUAGCGGAACCUGGAUGCCCAUAUUGGCUCCUACAUAUUCUACGAAGAUCUUUAUCGGUCAAACCGCAUAACAACAUACGUUGUUCCCUUUGUCAUCGGUAUGUUACUUGCCCGAGUUUCGAUCGUCGGUAUCCAAUACCUAGUUCAAUCUCGUUACCGGCAAGUCUCUUUACUCGUUCCGUAAUGCAUCACUUCGUAACCAACUCAUUGGUCACAUUGCUUGCAAGGCUUAUAGUGAUGUGCAUUACCGAGAGGGCCCAGAGAUACCUCUCCGACAAUUGGAGUGACAAAACCUAAUCUCGAAAUACGCCAACCCAACAUGUACCUUUGGAGACACCUGUAGUACUCCUUUAUAAUCACCCAGUUACGUUUUGACGUUUGGUAGCACCCAAAGUGUUCCUCCGGUAAACGGGAGUUGCAUAAUCUCAUAGUUACAGGAACAUGUAUAAGUCAUGAAGAAAGCAAUAGCAACAUACUAAACGAUCAAGUGCUAAGCUAACGGAAUGGGUCAAGUCAAUCACAUCAUUCUCCUAAUGAUGUGAUCCCGUUAAUCAAAUGACAACUCUUUUGUCCAUGGCUAGGAAACAUAACCAUCUUUGAUAAACGAGCUAGUCAAGUAGAGGCAUACUAGUGACACUAUGUUUGUCUAUGUAUUCACACAUGUAUCAUGUUUCCGACUAAUACAAUUCUAGCAUGAAUAAUAAACAUUUAUCAUGAAAUAAGGAAAUAAAUAAUAACUUUAUUAUUGCCUCUAGGGCAUAUUUCCUUCAGUCUCCCACUUGCACUAGAGUCAAUAAUCUAGUUCACAUCGCUAUGUGAUUUAACACCAAUAUUCACAUCUGCAUGUGAUUAAUACCCAUAGUUCACAUCAUCAUGUGAUCAACACCCAAAGGGUUUACUAGAGUCAAUAAUCUAGUUCACAUCGCUAUGUGAUUAACACCCAAAAGAGUACUAAGGUAUGAUCAUGUUUUGCUCGUGAGAGAAGCUUAGUCAACGGGUCUGUCAUAUUCAGAGCCGUAUGUAUUUCGCAAAUAUUCUAUGUCCACAAUGCCUUGCACGGAGCUACUCUAGCUAAUUGCUCCCACUUUCAAUAUGUAUCCAGAUUGAGACUUAGAGUCAUCUGGAUUGGUGUAAAAACUUGCAUCAUUGUAACUUUUACGACGGGCUCUUUUAUCACCUCCAUAAUCGAGAAACAUCUCCUUAGUCCUCACUAAGGAUAUUCUUGACCCAUGUCCAGUGAUCUACUUAUUAGAUCAAAAUUGUAUUCCUUUGCCAAACACAGAGCAAGGUAUACAAUAGGUCUGGUUCACAGCAUAGCAUACUUUAUAGAACCUAUGACUGAGGCAUAGGGAAUGACUUUUCAUUCUCUUUCUAUUUUCUGCAAUGGUCGGGUCUUGAGUCUUACUCAACUUCACACCUUGUAACACAAGCAAGAACUCCUUCUUUGACUGUUCCAUUUUGAACUAUUUCAAAAAUUUAUCAAGGUAUGUACUCGUUGAAAAAAUUUAUCAAGCGUCUUGAUCUAUCUAUAUAGAUCUUGAUGCUCAAUGUGUAAGCAACUUCACCGAGGUCUUGCUUUGAAAAACUCUUAUUCAAGUAUCCUUUCAUGCUAUCCAGAAUUUCCAUAUCAUUUCCAAUUAACAAUAUGUCAUCCACAUAUAAUAUUAGAAAUGCUACAGAGCUCCCACUCACUUUCUUGUAAAUACAGGCUUCUUCAAAAGUCUGUAUAAAACCAUAUGCUUUGAUCAACUCAUCAAAGCGUAUAUUCCAACUCUGAGAUGCUUGCACCAGUCCAUAGAUGGAUCGCUGGAGCUUGCACAAUUUGUUAGCACCUUUAGGAUUGACAAAACCUUCUGGUUGCAUCAUAUACAACUCUUCUUUAAGAAAUCCAUUAAGGAAUGCAGUUUUGACAUCUAUUUGCCAAAUUUCAUAAAAUGUGGCAAUUGCUAACAUGAUUCGGACAUACUUUUAAGCAUCGAUACGAGUGAGAAAAUCUCAUUGUAUUCAACAUCUUGAACUUUGUCAAAAACCUUUUUCGACAAGUCUAGCUUUGUAGAUAGUAACACUACUAUCAACGUCUGUCUUCCUCUUGAAGAUCCAUUUAUUUUCUAUGGCUUGCCGAUCAUCGGGCAAGUCCACCAAAGUCCACACUUUGUUCUCAUACAUGGAUCCCAUCUCAGAUUUCAUGGUCUCUAGCCAUUUUGCGGAAUCUGGGCUCAUCAUCGCUUCCUCAUAGUUCGUAGGUUCGUCAUGGUCAAGUAACAUGACCUCCAGAAUAGGAUUACCAUACCACUCUGGUGCGGAUCUUACUCUGGAAGACCUACGAGGUUUGGUAGCAACUUGAUCAGAAGUUUCAUGAUCAUCAUCAUUAGUUUCCUCAUUAAUUGGUGUAGUAGUCACAGGAACAGAUUUUUGUGAUGAACUACUUUCAAAUAAGGGAGCAGGUACAGUUACCUCAUCAAGUUCUAAUUUCCUCCCACUCACUUCUUUCGAGAGAAACUCCUUCUCUAGAAAGGAUCCAUUCUUAGCAACGAAUGUUUUGCCUUUGGAUUUGUGAUAGAAGGAGUACCCAACAGUUUCCUUUGGGUAUUCUAUGAAGAUGCACUUCUCUGAUUUGGGUUCGAGCUUAUCAGGUUGAAAACCUUUUUCAUAUAAGCAUCGCAACUCCAAACUUUAAGAAAUGACAGCUUAGGUUUACUGUUAAACCGUAGUUCAUACGGUGUCGUUUCAACGGAUUUAGAUGUUGCCCUUUUAAACGUGAAUGCAGCUGUCUCUAAUGCAUAACCCCAAAACGAUAGUGGUAAAACCGAUAAGAGACAUCAUAGAUCGCACCAUAUCCAAUAAGGUGUGGUUAUGACGUUCGGACACACCAUAACGUUGUGGUGUUCCAGGUGGCGUGAGCUGUGAAACUAUUCCACGUUGCUUUAAUUGAAGACCAAGCUCAUAACUCAAAUAUUUAUCUCCAUGAUCAGAUCGUAGAAACUUUAUUUUUCUUGUUACGAUGAUUUUUCCACUUCACUCUGAAAUUCUUUGAACUUGUCAACUAUUUCAGACUUAUGUUUCAUUAAGUAGAUAUACCCAUAUCUGCUCAAAUCAUCUGUGAAGGUUAGAAAAUAACGAUACUUGCCACGAGCAUCAACACUCAUUGGAUCACAUACAUCAGUAUGUAUUAUUUCCAACAAAUAUGUUGCUCUCUCAUUGUUCCGGAGAACGGAGUCUUAGUCAUCUUGCCCAUGAGGCAUGGUUCGCAAGUAUCAAGUGAUUCAUAAUCAAGUGAUUCCGAAAAUCCAUCUUUAUGGAGUUUCUUCAUGCGCUUUACACCGAUAUGACCCAAACGGCAGUGCCACAAAUAAGUUGCACUAUCAUUAUUAACUUUGCAUAUUUUGGCAUCAAUAUUAUGAAUAUGUGUAUCACUACGAUCGAGAUCCAACAAACUAUUUUCAUUGGGUGUAUGACCAUUGAAGGUUUUAUUCAUGUAAACAGAACAACAAUUAUUCUCUGACUUUAAAUGAAUAACCGUAUCGCAAUAAACAUGAUCAAAUCAUAUUCAUGCUCAACGCAAACGCCAAAUAACAUUUAUUUAGGUUUAACACUAAUCCCGAAAGUAUAGGGAGUGUGCGAUGAUGAUCAUAUCAAUCUUGGAACCACUUCCAACACACAUCGUCACUUCACCCUCAACUAGUCUCUGUUUAUUCUGUAACUCCUGUUUCGAGUUUACUAAUCUUAGCAACCGAACAAGUAUCAAAUACUCAGGGGCUACUAUAAACACUAGUAAGGCACACAUCAAUAACCUGUAUAUCAAAUAUACCCUUGUUCACUUUGCCAUCCUUCUUAUCCACCAAAUAUUCAGGGCAUUUCCGCUUCCAGUGACCAUUUCCUUUGCAGUGUAAGCACAUAGUUUCAGGCUUUGGUUCAGCUUUGGGUUUCUUCGUGGGAGUGACAACUUGCUUGUCAUUCUAGUUGAAGUUCCCUUUCUUUCCCUUUGCCCUUUUCUUGAAACUAGUGAUCUUGUCAACCAUCAACACUUGAUGCUCUUUCUUGAUUUCUACCUUCGUCGAUUUCAACAUCACGAAGAGCUUGGGAAUUGUUUUCGUCAUCCCUUGCAUUAUAGUUCAUCACGAAGUUCCAGUAACUUGGUAAUGGUGACUAGAGAACUCUGUCAAUCACUAUCUUAUCUGGAAUAUUAACUCCCACUUGAUUCAAGCGAUUGUAGUACUCAGACAAUCUAAGCACUUGCUCACUAGUUGAGUGAUUCUCCUCCAUCUUUUAGCCAUAGAACUUGUUGGAGACUUCAUAUCUCUCAACUCGGGUAUUUGCUGGAAAUAUUAACUUCAACUCCUGGAACAUCUCAUAUGGUCCAUGAUGUUCAAAACGUCUUUGAAGUCCCGAUUCUAAACCGUUAAGCAUGGUGCACUAAACUAUCAAGUAGUCAUCAUAUUGAGCUAGCCAAACGUUCAUAACGUCUGCAUCUGCUCCUGCAAUAGGUUUGUCACCUAGCGGUGCAUCAAGGACAUAAUUCUUCUGUGCAGCAAUGAGGAUAAACCUCAGAUCACGGAUCCAAUCCGCAUCAUUGCUACUAACAUCUUUCAACACAAUUUUCUCUAGGAACAUAUCAAAAUAAACAUAUGAAAGCAACAACGCGAGCUAUUGAUUUACAACAUAAUUUGCAAAAUACUACCAGGACUAAGUUCAUGAUAAAUUUAAGUUCAAUUAAUCAUAUUACUUAAGAACUCCCACUUAGACAGACAUCUCUCUAGUCAUCUAAGUGAUCAUGUGAUCCAAAUCAACUAAACCAUAACCGAUCAUCACGUGAGAUGGAGUAGUUUUCAAUGGUGAACAUCAUUAUGUUGAUCAUAUCUACUAUAUGAUUCACGCUCGACCUUUCGGUCUCCGUGUUCCGAGGCCAUAUCUGCAUAUGCUAGGCUCAUCAAGUUUAACCUGAGUAUUCUGUGUGUGCAAAAACUGGCUUGCACCCGUUGUAGAUGGACGUAGAGCUUAUCACACCCGAUCAUCACGUGGUGUCUGGGCACGACGAACUUUGGCAACGGUGCAUACUCAGGGAGAACACUUCUUGAUAAUUUAAGUGAGAGAUCAUCUUAAAAUGCUACCGUCAAUCAAAGCAAGAUAAGAUGCAUAAAGGAUAAACAUCACAUGCAAUCAAUAUAAGUGAUAUGAUAAGGCCAUCAUCAUCUUGUGCUUGUGAUCUCCAUCUCCGAAGCACCGUCGUGAUCACCAUCGUCACCGGCGCGACACCUUGAUCUUCAUCGUAGCAUCAUUGUCGUUUACGCCAUCUAUUUCUUCUACGACUAUCGCUACCGCUUAGUGAUAAAGUAAAGCAAUUACAGGGCGUUUGCAUUUCAUACAAUAAAGCGACAACCAUAUGGCUCCUGCCAGUUGCCGAUAACUUCGGUUACAAAACAUGAUCAUCUCAUACAAUAAAAUAUAGCAUCACGUCUUGACCAUAUCACAUCACAACAUGCCCUGCAAAAACAAGUUAGACGUCCUCUACUUUGUUGUUGCAAAUUUUACGUGGCUGCUACGGGCUGAGCAAGAACCGUUCUUACCUACGCAUCAAAACCACAACGAUAGUUCGUCAAGUUAGUGCUGUUUUAACCUUCGCAAGGACCGGGCGUAGCCACACUCGGUUCAACUAAAGUGAGAGAGACAGACACCCACCAGCCACCUUUAAGCACGAGUGCUCGUAACGGUGAAACCAGUCUCGCGUAAGCGUACGCGUAAUGUCGGUCCGGGCCGCUUCAUCUCACAAUGCCGCUGAACCAAAGUAUGACAUGCUGGUAAGCAGUAUGACUUAUAUCGCCCACAACUCACUUGUGUUCUACUCGUGCAUAUGACAUCUACGCAUAAAACCUGGCUCUGAUACCACUGUUGGGGAACAUAGUAAUUUCAAAAAAAAAAUUCCUACGCACACGCAAGAUCAUGGUGAUGGCAUAGCAACGAGAGGGGAGAGUAAUGUCCACGUACCCUCGUAGACCAUAAGCUGAAGCGUUAUGACAACGUGGUUGAUGUAGUCGUACGUCUUCACGAUCCGACCGAUCCAAGCACCGAAAGUACGGCACCUUUGAGUUUAGCACACGUUCGGCUCGAUGACGAUCCCCGGACUUCGAUCCAGCAAAGUGUCGGGGAUGAGUUCCGUCAGCAUGACGGCGUGGCGACGAUGAUGAUGUUCUACCGGCGCAGGGCUUCGCCUAAACUCCACGACGAUAUGACCGAGGUGGAAUAUGGUGGAGGGGGGCACCGCACACGGCUAAGGAACGAUCCGUAGGUCAACUUGUGUGUCUAUGGGGUGCCCCCCGCCCCCGUAUAUAAAGGAGCAAGGGGGAGGGGGCGGCUGGCCAAGGGAGGGCGGGCCAGGGAGGAGUCCUACUCCGACCGGGAGUAGGACUCCCUCCUUUCCUAGUCCAACUAGGAGACCUUCCAUGUAGUAGGAGUAGGAGAGAAGGAAAGGGAAGAGAGAAGGGAAGGAAGGAGGGGGUGCAGCCCCUCCCCCUAGUCCAAUUCGGACUAGGCCUUGGGGGGGCGCGUGGCCUGCCCUAGGCAGCCCCUCUCUCUUUCCCGUAUGGCCCAAUAAGGCCCAAUACUUCUCCCGGCGAAUUCCUGUAACUCUCCGGUACUCCGAAAAAUACCCGAAUCACUCGGAACCUUUCCAAAGUCCGAAUAUAGUCGUCCAAUAUAUCGAUCUUUAUGUCUCGACCAUUUCGAGACUCCUCGUCAUGUCCCGAUCUCAUCCGGGACUCCGAACUCCUUCGGUACAUCAAAACUCAUAAACUCAUAAUAUAACUGUCAUCGUAACGUUAAGCGUGCGGACCCUACGGGUUCGAGAACUAUGUAGACAUGACCUAGAACUAUUCUCGGUCAAUAACCAAUAGCGGAACCUGGAUGCCCAUAUUGGCUCCUACAUAUUCUAUGAAGAUCUUUAUUGGUCAAACCGCAUAACAACAUACGUUGUUCCCUUUGUCAUCGGUAUGUUACUUGCCCAAGAUUCGAUCAUCGGUAUCCAAUACCUAGUUCAAUCUCGUUACCGGCAAGUCUCCUUACUCAUUCCGUAAUGCAUCAUUCCGUAACCAACUCAUUGGUCACAUUGCUUGCAAGGCUUAUAGUGAUUUGCAUUAUCGAGAGGGCCCAGAGAUACCUCUCCGACAAUCGGAGUGACAAAAACUAAUCUCGAAAUAUGCCAACCCAACAUGUACCUUUUGAGACACCUGUAGUACUCCUUUAUAAUCACCCAGUUACAUUGUGACGUUUGGUAGCACCCAAAGUGUUCCUCCGGUAAACGGGAGUUGCAUAAUCUCAUAGUUACAGGAACAUGUAUAAGUCAUUAAGAAAGCAAUAGCAACAUACUAAACGAUCAAGUGCUAAGCUAACAGAAUGGGUCAAGUCAAUCACAUCAUUCUCCUAAUGAUGUGAUCCCGUUAAUCAAAUGACAACUCUUUUGUCCAUGGCUAGGAAACAUAACCAUCUUUGAUAAACGAGCUAGUCAAGUAGAGGCAUACUAGUGACACUAUGUUUGUCUAUGUAUUCACACAUGUAUCAUGUUUCUGAUUAAUACAAUUCUAGCAUGAAUAAUAAACAUUUAUCAUGAAAUAAGGAAAUAAAUAAUAACUUUAUUAUUGCCUCUAGGGCAUAUUUCCUUCACGAUCGUGGUGGAGAGUAUUUCUCAAAUGAAUUUGAUUCCUUUUGUGCGGAACAUGGAAUAAUCCAUGAAAGGACGCCUCCCUAUUAACCUCAGUCAAAUGGGGUGGCCGAAAGAAAGAACCGUACUCUAACUGAUUUGGUUAAUGCCAUGUUAGACACAUCGGGUCUUUCCAAGGCAUGGUGGGGGGAGGCGAUAUUGACUGCAUGUCAUGUCCUAAAUCGAGUUUCCACAAAGAUCAAAGAGAUAACUCCAUUUGAGGAAUCGGAGAAGAAAAGGUUAAAGCUCUCUUAUCUACGAACAUGGGGUUGUUUGGCGAAAGUCAAUGUGCCAAUUCCAAAGAAGCGGAACCGUGGACCAAAGACUGUGGAUUGUGUUUUCUUGGGAUGUGAUUUUCAUAGCAUUGGUUAUAGAUUCUUGGUUGUAAAAUCUGAGGUACCUGACAUGCAUGUCGGUACGAUCAUGGAAUCGAAGAUGCGACUUUCUUUGAAGAUAUCUUUCCCAUGAAGGAUAUGGCUACCUCAUCUAAUCAGGAGAUGCCUAGUUCAUCGAAUCAGGAACCAGUUACAAUUACUGAACCUGCCAUCUUGAUGGAACGCCAUGAAAGUCCUGUGGAGGAGAACAAUGAAGUUCCUACUAGGAGCAAGAGACAGAGGACUACAAAGUCCUUUGGUGAUGAUUUUCUUGUGUAUCUCAUAGAUGACAAUCCCAGUUCUAUUUCAGAGGCCUAUACAUCUGAAGAUGCUGACUAUUGGAAGGAAGCAGUUCGUAGCGAGAUGGAUUCCAUCUUGGCGAAUGAAACUUGGGAGAUAACUGAUCGUCCUUAUGGGUGCAAACCUAUAGGAUGCAAAUGGGUAUUCAAGAAGAAGCUUAGGCCUGAUGGUACUAUUGAAAAGUACAAGGAUCGGCUCGUGGAUAAGGGUUAUACCCAAAAGGGAGGUGAAGACUUCUUUGAUACUUACUCACCUGUGGCUCGAUUGACCACUAUUCAAGUUCUACUUUCACUAGCUGCCUCAGGUGGUCUUCUCGUUCAUCAAAUGGAUGUUAAGACUGCUUUCCUAAAUGGAGAGUUGGACGAGGAAAUUUAUAUGGAACAACCAGAUGGGUUUGUAAUAGAUGGUCAGGAAGGGAAAGUGUGAAAGUUGCUGAAGUCUUUGUAUAGACUCAAGCAAGCACCCAAACAGUGGCAUCAGAAGUUUGAAAGAACUUUAACAGCUGCACGCCUUGUUGUGAACGAAGCUGACAAAUGUGUGUACUAUCUCCAUGGUGGGGGCGAGGGAGUUAUCCUUUGCUUGUAUGUUGAUGACAUACUGAUUUUCGGAACAAAUCUGAAUGUUAUUAAGGAGGUCAAGGAUUUCCUAGCUCGCUGUUUUGAGAUGAAGGAUUUAGGAGUGGCUGAUGUCAUUCUAAACAUCAAUUUGUUGAGGGACUAUGAUGGUGGGAUUACAUUGCUUCAAUGUCACUAUGUGGAAAAGAUCUUGAUUCGCUUUGGCUACAAUGACUGCAAGCCCUCUCCAACACCAUAUGAUGCUAGUGUGUUGCUUUGCAAGAAUCAAAGAAUUGCUAGAGACCAAUUGAAAUAUUCUCAGAUUAUUGGCUCGCUCAUGUACUUAGCCAGUGCUACAAGACCUGACAUCUCUUUUAUUGUUAGCAAACUGAGUCGGUUUGUCUCAAAACCAGGAGAUGUACAUUGGAAAGCUCUAGAGAGAGUUUUGCGUUAUUUGAAAGGCACAGCAAAUUAUGGAAUUCACUACACUGGGCACCCAAAGGUGCUUGAAGGGUAUAGUGACUCAAACUAGAUCUCCAAUGCUGAUGAGAUAAAGUCCACGAGCGGAUAUGUAUUCACUCAUGGAGGUGGCGCUGUUUCUUGGAAGUCUUGCAAGGAGACCAUCUUAACGAGGUCAACAAUGGAAGAAGAACUCACAGCAGUAGAUACAACUACGGUCGAAGCAGAUUGGCUUCGCCGGCUCUUGAAUGACUUGCCCGUUGUUGAGAAACCUGUACCGGGUAUCCUUAUGAACUACGACAAUCAAACUAUGAUCACGAAAGUGAAGAGCUCAAAGGAUAACUUGAAGUCAUCAAGACACGUUCAGAGAAGGUUAAAGUCUGUCAGAAAAAUGAGAAACUCUGGAGUUAUUGCAUUGGAUUAUAUCCAAACGUCUAAAAAUCUGGCAGAUCCUUUUACUAAGGGUCUAUCACGUAAUGUGAUAGAUAAUGCAUCGAGGGAGAUGGGUAUGAGACCCACAAUAUGAGUUGUUCAUAGUGGUAACCUAUUCUUUGUGAUCGGAUAUCCCGUGAAUUAGAUGUGGAAGACAAGUUGUUGGUCAACUGGGAGGAGAGUACCCUUACUGUUAAAAAAUACCACUCCAUGAAGAUGCAAUACUCUCCUAAUCUGCAUGCCAGGUUGAUGUAUAUCUUAAUGUGUUCUAAGUGGCUCUUUGAAGCAGAGAUGUUGUCCUGCAGAACAUCUUUUGAAGAACGCACCUAUAUGAGUUUGAUUGUUAAACGUUGCAAUCUAUGAGAGUAGGGUUCUCUCCAGUAAACUCAUGAAAGGUCUCGGAGUAUGACGCAUAAGCUCCACCCCCGGGGAAGACCCACGGUAGCCACGUAUUGGCCAAGGCUUUAUGUGAAGCUAGAUUCGCAGAAAACUUGCAGUUCAAGGCCCAGUCCAUUGUUCAAGUUGCUUACUAGUGUAGCAUAGAGUUCUAGGUGGAAGUUCAACUUAACAGUCUCCACUGCGGUACCGGUAUAUAAAAUAGUGUUUUGGAACCAAAGGCAAAUUUUAUGUGCCUCUGGGAUCUGUUGGGGGAUUGCCGAAUUUUUUUUCUAUUUGGGCCUAGCCCAAUAGCAGUUUUAGAAAUUCCUAAUAAAUCCUAGAGGCCCAUGCAACCCAUUUGUGCAAGGCAAGAGGUGGAACUAAAGUUUAGUCCCACAUUGCUAGUUUAGAGGGAGUUGGACCUCUUUGUUGGGGAACGUUGCAGAAAAUUAAAAAUUUUCCUACGGUUUCACCAAGAUCCAUCUAUGAGUUCAUCUAAGCAACGAGUCAAGGGAGAGAGUUUGCAUCUACAUACCACUUGUAGAUUGCGUGCGGAAGCUUGCAAGGUGAUGAUGUAGUCGUACUCAACGUGAUUCGAAUCACCGAUGACCAAGUGCUGAAUGGACAGCACCUCCGCGUUCAACACACGUACGGGACGGGAGACGUCUCCUCCUUCUUGAUCCAGCAAGGGGGAAGGAGAGGUUGAGGAAGACAGCUCCACCGGCAGCACGACGGCAUGGUGAUGGUGGAGAGGCAGUACUCCGACAGGGCUUCGCCAAGCACACAACGGAGGAGGAGAGGUGUUGGGGAGGGGAGGGCUGCGCCUUGGAGGGUGGUGCGGCUGCCCUCCCCUCACCCCUCUAUUUAUAGGGGGAAGGGAGAAGGGGGCCGGCCCCCUAGAACCCAUCUAGGGGGGGUGCGGCGGCCAAGGGGAGAGGGGGAGAGGGUGGCUUGCCCCCCAAGCCAAGGGGGCGCCCCCUCUAGGGUUCCCCCCUCAACCCUAGGCGCAAGGGCCCAAGGGAGGGGGUGCGGCCAGCCCACCAGGGGCUGGCUCCCUGCCCCACGCAGCCCAUGUGGCCCCCCGGGAGGGGUGGCCCCUCCUGGUGGACCCCCGGAACCCUUCCGGUGGCCCCGGUACAAUACUGGUAUGACCCCGAAACUUCUCGAUGUCCGUUUGACAACUUCCCAUAUAUAAAUCUUUACCUCCGGACCCUUCCGGAGAUCCUCGUGACGUCCGGGAUCCCAUCCGGGACUCCGAACAACAUUCGGUAGUCACAUACUAGUCUUCCUAAUAACCCUAGCGUCACCGAACCUUAAGUGUGUAGACCCUACGGGUUCGGGAGACAUGCAGACAUGACCUAGACGCUCUCAGGUCAAUAACCAACAGCGGGAUCUGGAUACCCAUGAUGGCUCCCACAUGCUCCUCGAUGUUGUCAUCGGAUGAACCACAAUGUCGAGGAUUCGAUCAAACCCUGUAUACAAUUCCCUUUGUCAAUCGGUACGUUACUUGCCCGAGACUUGAUCGUCGGUAUCCCAAUACCUUGUUCAGUCUCGUUACCGGCAAGUCACUUUACUCGUACCGUAAUGCAUGAUCCCGUGUCCAACACCUUGGUCACAUUGAGCUCAUUAUGAUGAUGCAUUACCGAGUGGGCCCAGAGAUACCUCUCCGUCAUACGGAGUGACAAAUCCCAAUCUCGAUCCGUGUCAACCCAACAGAUACUUUCGGAGAUACCUGUAAUGCACCUUUAUAGUCACCCAGUUACGUUGUGACAUUUGAUACACCCAAGGCACUCUUACGAUAUCCGGGAGUUACACGAUCUCAUGGUCGAACGAAGAGAUACUUGACAUUGGCAAAGCUCUAGCAAAACGAACUACACGAUCUUUUAUGCUAUGCUUAGGAUUGGGUCUUGUCCAUCACAUCAUUCUCCUAAUGAUGUGAUCCCGUUAUCAACGACAUCCAAUGUCCGUAGUCAGGAAACCAUGACUAUCUGUUGAUCACAACGAGCUAGUCAACUAGAGGCUCACUAGGGACAUAUUGUAGUCUAAGUAUUCACACGUGUAUUACGAUUUCCGGAUAAUACAGUUAUAGCAUGAAUAAAAGACAUUUAUCAUGAACAUUGAAAUAUAAUAAUACUUUUAUUAUUGCCUCUAGGGCAUAUUUCCAACAGUCUCCCACUUGCACUAGAGUCACUAAUCUAGUUACAUUGUGAUGAAUCGAACACCCAUAGAGUUCUGGUGUUGAUCAUGUUUUGCACGCGAGAGAGGUUUAGUCAGCGGAUCUGCGACAUUCAGAUCCGUGUGCACUUUGCAAAUCUCUAUGUCUCCAUCUUGAACAUUUUCACGGAUGGAGUUGAAACGACGCUUGAUGUGCCUGGUCUUCUUGUGAAACCUGGGCUCCUUGGCGAGGGCAAUAGCUCCAGUGUUGUCACAGAAGAGUUUGAUCGGCCCCGACGCAUUGGGUAUGACUCCUAGGUCGGUGAUGAACUCCUUCACCUAAAUCGCUUCAUGCGCUGCCUCCGAGGCUGCCAUGUACUCCGCUUCACAUGUAGAUCCCGCCACGACGCUCUGCUUGCAGCUGCACCAGCUUACUGCUCCACCAUUCAACAUAUACACGUAUCCGGUUUGUCACUUAGAGUCAUCCAGAUCUGAGUCGAAGCUAGCGUCGACGUAACCCUUUACGACGAGCUCUUCGUCUCCUCCAUAAACGAGAAACAUGUCCUUCGUCCUUUUUAGGUACUUCAGGAUAUUCUUGACCGCUGUCCAGUGUUCCUUGCCGGGAUUACUUUGGUAUCUUGCUACCAAACUUACGGCAAGGUUUACAUCGGGUCUGGUACACAGCAUGGCAUACAUAAUAGAUCCUAUGGCUGAAGCAUAGGGGAUGACACUCAUGUCUUCUUUAUCUUUUGCCGUGGUCGGUGACUGAGCCGAGCUCAGUCUCACACCUUGUAACAUAGGCAAGAACCCCUUCUUGGACUAAUCCAUUUUGAACCUCUUCAAAAUCUUAUCAAAGUAUGUGCUUUGUGAAAGACCUAUGAGGCGUCUCGAUCUAUCUCUAUAGAUCUUGAUGCCUAAUAUGUAAGCAGCUUCUCCAAGGUCCUUCAUUGAAAAACACUUAUUCAAGUAGGCCUUAAUGCUGUCCAGAAAUUCUAUAUUAUUUCCCAUCAAGAGUAUGUCAUCUACAUAUAAUAUGAGAAAUGCUACAGAGCUCCCACUCACUUUCUUGUAAACGCAGGCUUCUCCAUAAGUCUGCAUAAACCCAAACGCUUUGAUUAUCUCAUCAAAGCGAAUGUUCCAACUCCGAGAUGCUUGCACCAGUCCAUAAAUGGAUCGCUGGAGCUUGCAUACUUUGUUAGCGUUCCGAGGAUCGACAAAACCUUCCGGCUGCAUCAUAUACAGCUCUUCCUUAAGAUGUCCGUUAAGGAAUGCCGUUUUGACGUCCAUCUGCCAUAUCUCAUAAUCAUAGUAUGCGGCAAUUGCUAACAUGAUUCGGACGGACUUCAGCUUUGCUACGGGAGAGAAAGUCUCGUCGUAGUCAAUCCCUUGAACUUGUCGAUAACCCUUAGCGACAAGUCGAGCCUUAUAGAUGGUAACAUUGCCAUCCGCGUCCGUCUUCUUCUUAAAAAUCCAUUUGUUUUCUAUCGCUCGCCGAUCAUCGGGCAAGUCUGUCAAAGUCCAUACUUUGUUUUCAUACAUGGAUUCUAUCUCGGAUUUCAUGGCUUCAAGCCAUUUGUUGGAAUCCGGGCCCGCCAUCGCUUCUUCAUAGUUCGAAGGUUCAUUGUUGUCUAACAACAUGAUUUCCAGGACAGGGUUGCCGUACCACUCUGGUGCGGAACGUGUCCUUGUGGACCUACGAAGUUCAGCAGUAACUUGAUCCGAAGUACCUUGAUCAUCAUCAUUGUUUUCCUCUUCAGUUGGUGUGGGCAUCACAGGAACGGUUUCCUGCGCUGCGCCACUUUCCCGUUCAAGAGGUAGUACUUCAUCGAGUUCUACUUUCCUCCCACUUACUUCUUUCGAGAGAAACUCUUUUUCCAGAAAGCAUCCGUUCUUGGCAACAAAGAUCUUGCCUUCGGAUCUUAAGUAGAAGGUAUACCCGACAGUUUCCUUAGGGUAUCCUAUGAAUACGCAUUUUUCCGACUUGGGUUCGAGCUUUUCAGGUUGAAGUUUCUUGACAUAAGCAUCGCAUCCCCAAACUUUUAGAAAUGACAGCUUAGGUUUCUUUCCAAACCAUAAUUCAUACGGUGUCGUCUCAACAGAUUUAGACGGUGCCCUAUUUAAAGUGAAUGUAGAUGUCUCUAGAGCGUAUCCCCAAAAUGAUAGCGGUAAAUCAGUAAGAGACAUCAUAGACCGCACCAUAUCCAAUAGGGUGCGAUUACGACGUUCGGACACACCGUUUCGCUGAGGUGUUCCAGGCGGCGUGAGUUGUGAAACGAUUCCACAUUUCCUUAAGUGUGUACCAAAUUCGUGACUUAAGUAUUCUCCUCCACGAUCUGAUCGUAAGAAUUUUAUCUUUCGGUCACGUUGAUUCUCUACCUCAUUCUGAAAUUCCUUGAACUUUUCAAAGGUCUCAGACUUGUGUUUCAUUAAGUAGACAUACCCAUAUCUACUCAAGUCAUCAGUGAGAGUGAGAACAUAAUGAUAUCCUCCGCGAGCCUCAACGCUCAUUGGACCGCACACAUCGGUAUGUAUGAUUUCCAACAAGUUGGUUGCUCGCUCCAUUGUUCCGGAGAACGGAGUCUUGGUCAUUUUGCCCAUGAGGCAUGGUUCGCAUGUGUCAAACGAUUCAUAAUCAAGAGACUCUAAAAGUCCAUCAGCAUGGAGCUUCUUCAUGCGCUUGACACCAAUGUGACCAAGGCGGCAGUGCCACAAGUAUGUGGGACUAUCGUUAUCAACUUUACAUCUUUUGGCAUCCACACUAUGAACAUGUGUAACAUUACGCUCGAGAUUCAUUAAGAAUAAACCAUUGACCAUCGGAGCAUGACCAUAAAACAUAUCUCUCAUAUAAAUCGAACAACCAUUAUUCUCAGACUUAAAUGAGUAGCCAUCUCGUAUUAAACGAGAUCCAGAUACAAUGUUCAUGCUCAAACUUGGCACUAAAUAACAAUUAUUAAGGUUCAAAACUAAUCCCAUAGGUAAAUGUAGAGGCAGCGUGCCGACGGCGAUCACAUCGACUCUGGAACCAUUCCCGACGCGCAUCGUCACCUCGUCCUUCGCCAGUCUCCGUUUAUUCCGCAGCUCCUGCUGUGAGUUACAAAUAUGAGCAACGGCACCGGUAUCAAAUACCCAGGAGUUACUACGAGUACUGGUAAGGUACACAUCAAUCACAUGUAUAUCAAAUAUACCUUUGGUGUUGCCGGCCUUCUUAUCCGCUAAAUAUUUCAGGCAGUUCCGCUUCCAGUGACCCUUCCCCUUGCAAUAAAAGCACUCAGUCUCAGGCUUGGGUCCAUUCUUUGACUUCUUCCCGGUAACUGGCUUACCAGGCGCGGCAACAUCUUUGCCGUCCUUCUUGAAGUUCUUCUUACCCUUGCCCUUCUUGAACUUAGUGGUCUUAUUGACCAUCAACACUUGAUGUUCUUUCUUGAUUUCAGCCUCUGCUGACUUCAGCAUCGAGAACACUUCAGGAAUGGUCUUUUCCAUCCCCUGCAUGUUGUAGUUCAUCACAAAGCUCUUGUAGCUUGGUGGGAGCGACUGGAGGAUUCUGUCAAUGACUGCCUCAUCUGGGAGGUUAAUGUUCAGCUGGGUCAUACGGUUGUGCAACCCAGACAUCUUCAGGAUGUGCUCACUGACAGAACUGUUUUCCUCCAUCUUACAACUAUAGAACUUGUCGGAGACAUCAUAUCUCUCGACCCGGGCAUGAGCUUGAAAAACUAGUUUCAGCUCUUCGAACAUCUCAUAUGCUCCGUGGUGCUCAAAACGCUUUUGGAGCCCCGGUUCUAAGCUGUAAAGCAUGCCGCACUGAACGAGGGAGUAAUCAUCAGCACGAGACUGCCAAGCAUUCAUAAUGUCUUGGUUCUCUGGGACGGGAGCGUCACCUAGCGGUCCUUCUAGGACAUAUUGUUGCCUGGCAGCUAUGAGGAUGAUCCUCAGGUUCCGGACCCAGUCCGUAUAGUUGCUGCCAUCAUCUUUCAGCUUGGUUUUCUCUAGGAACGCGUUGAAGUUCAUGUUGACAUUAGCGUUGGCCAUUGAUCUACAAGACAUAUUUGCAAAGGUUUUAGACUAAGUUCAUGAUAAUAAAUUUCUAAUCAAAUUAUGAACUCCCACUUAGAUUAGACAUCCCUCUAGUCAUCUAAGUGUUACACGAUCCGAGUUGACUAGCCCGUGUCCGAUCAUCACGUGAGACGGACUAGUCAUCGUCGGUGAACAUUCUCAUGUUGAUCGUAUCUUCCAUACGAUUCGUGUUCGACCUUUCGGUCUCCGUGUUCCGAGGCCAUGUCUACACAUGCUAGGCUCGUCAAGUUAACCCUAAGUGUUUUCACUGUGUAAAACUAUCUUACACCCGUUGUAUGUGAACGUAAGAAUCCAUCACACCCGAUCAUCACGUGGUGCUUAGAAGCGACGAACUGUAGCAACGGUGCACAGUUAGGGGAGAACACUUCUUGAAAUUUUUGUAAGGGAUCAUCUUAUUUACUACCGUCGUCCUAAGUAAACAAGAUGCAUAAACAUAAUAAACAUCACAUGCAAUUAUAUAGUUGUGACAUGAUAUGGCCAAUAUCAUAUAGCUCCAUUGAUCUUCAUCUUCGGGGCUCCAUGAUCAUCUUGUCACCGGCUUGACACCAUGAUCUCCAUCAUCAUGAUCUCCAUCAUCGUGUCUUCAUGAAGUUGUCACGCCAACGACUACUUCUACUUCUAUGACUAACGUUUAGCAAUAAAGUAAAGUAGUUUACAUGACGUUAUUCAAUGACACGCAGGUCAUACAAAAAAUAAAGACAACUCCUAUGGCUCCUGCCGGUUGUCAUACUCAUCGACAUGCAAGUCGUGAAUCCUAUUACAAAGAACAUGAUCUCAUACAUCACAAUUCAUCAUUCAUCACAACUUCUGGCCAUAUCACAUCACAUGAUCAAUCGCUGCAAAAACAAGUUAGACGUCCUCUAAUUGUUGUUGCAUCUUUUACGUGGCUGCAAUUGGGUUCUAGAAAGAACGUUUUCUUACCUACGAGUCACCACAACGUGAUUUUGUCAACUUCUAUUUACCCUUCAUAAGGGCCCUGUUCAUCGAUUCCGCUCCAACUAAAGUGGGAGAGACAGACGCCCGCCAGCCACCUUAUGCAACUAGUGCAUGUCAGUCGGUGGAACCGGUCUCACGUAAGCGUACAUGUAAGGUUGGUCCGGGCCGCUUCAUCCCACAAUACCGUUGAGCAAGAAAAGACUAGUAGAGGCAAGUAAGAUGACAAAAUCCACGCCCACAACAAAAUUGUGUUCUACUCGUGCAAAGAGAACUACGCAUAGACCUAGCUCAUGAUGCCACUGUUGGGGAACGUUGCAGAAAAUUAAAAUUUUUCCUACGGUUUCACCAAGAUCCAUCUAUGAGUUCAUCUAAGCAACGAGUCAAGGGAGAGAGUUUGCAUCUACAUACCACUUGUAGAUUGCGUGCGGAAGCUUGCAAGGUGAUGAUGUAGUCGUACUCGACGUGAUUCGAAUCACCGAUGACCAAGUGCUGAACGGACAGCACCUCCGCGUUCAACACACGUACGGGACGGGAGACGUCUCCUCCUUCUUGAUCCAGCAAGGGGGAAGGAGAGGUUGAGGAAGACAUCUCCACCGGCAGCACGACGGCGUGGUGAUGGUGGAGAGGCAGUACUCCGACAGGGCUUCGCCAAGCACACAACGGAGGAGGAGAGGUGUUGGGGAGGGGAGGGCUGCGCCUUGGAGGGUGGUGCGGCUGCCCUCCCCUCACCCCUCUAUUUAUAGGGGGAAGGGAGAAGGGGGCCGCCCCCCUAGAACCCAUCUAGGGGGGGUGCGGCGGCCAAGGGGAGAGGGGGAGAGGGUGGCUUGCCCCCCAAGCCAAGGGGGCGCCCCCUCUAGGGUUCCCCCCUCAACCCUAGGCGCAAGGGCCCAAGGGAGGGGGUGUGGCCAGCCCACCAGGGGCUGGCUCCCUGCCCCACGCAGCCCAUGUGCCCCCCCGGGAGGGGUGGCCCCUCCCGGUGGACCCCCGGAACCCUUCCGGUGGCCCCGGUACAAUACCGGUAUGACCCCGAAACUUCUCGAUGUCCGUUUGACAACUUCCCAUAUAUAAAUCUUUACCUCCGGACCCUUCCGGAGCUCCUCGUGACGUCCAGGAUCCCAUCCGGGACUCUGAACAACAUUCGGUAGUCACAUACUAGUCUUCCUAAUAACCCUAGCGUCACCGAACCUUAAGUGUGUAGACCCUACGGGUUCGGGAGACAUGCAGACAUGACCUAGACGCUCUCAGGUCAAUAACCAACAGCGGGAUCUGGAUACCCAUGAUGGCUCCCACAUGCUCCUCGAUGUUGUCAUCGGAUGAACCACGAUGUCGAGGAUUCGAUCAAACCCUGUAUACAAUUCCCUUUGUCAAUCGGUACGUUACUUGCCCGAGACUCGAUCGUCGGUAUGCCAAUAUCUUGUUCAGUCUCGUUACCGGCAAGUCACUUUACUCGCACCAUAAUGCAUGAUCCCGUGUCCAACACCUUGGUCACAUUGAGCUCAUUAUGAUGAUGCAUUACCGAGUGGGCCCAGAGAUACCUCUCCGUCAUACGGAGUGACAAAUCCCAAUCUCGAUCCGUGUCAACCCAACAGAUACUUUCGGAGAUACCUGUAAUGCACCUUUAUAGUCACCCAGUUACGUUGUGACGUUUGAUACACCCAAGGCAUUCUUACGAUAUCCGGGAGUUACACGAUCUCAUGGUCGAAGGAAGAGAUACUUGACAUUGGCAAAGCUCUAGCAAAACGAACUACACGAUCUUUUAUGCUAUGCUUAGGAUUGGGUCUUGUCCAUCACAUCAUUCUCCUAAUGAUGCGAUCCCGUUAUCAACGACAUCCAAUGUCCAUAGUCAGGAAACCAUGACUAUCUGUUGAUCACAACGAGCUAGUCAACUAGAGGCUCACCAGGGACAUAUUGUAGUCUAAGUAUUCACACGUGUAUUACGAUUUCCGGAUAAUACAGUUAUAGCAUGAAUAAAAGACAUUUAUCAUGAACAUUGAAAUAUAAUAAUACUUUUAUUAUUGCCUCUAGGGCAUAUUUCCAACACUCUUUAUAAGGGAGGUUCUUUCCCCACUUGUAUAAGCAUGAGAACAAGAGGGACAUCCACGCGCCCUCCUCCUUCGCCGCCUGCCUCGCCAUGCCACGCCUCGUCAGGACGCGCCGCGCCACGGGUUGCGGGAAUGAGCCAAGCCGAUGUCUAAGUUUUUGCCACGCACUACGGGUAUAUGAAAGGUCACUAUGAAGCUGAAACAUUUUCUCUAGUGGACACUGAAUCCGAACGGCGCGCCUCUUCAGCUACUGCCUGUUCGUUCUGUCUCCCGCAUUCCCUUCAGCUCCUGGCGCAGCCUCUCGCCUCCUUCUCUUGUGCCUAUAAAAGGGAGGUCGCUCCUCUCAGAGAUAUGCACGAGAACUACUUCCUCCUCUCGCCACCGGUUCCUGAGCACUGUGCUGCUGCUACGAUCUUCCCCAUCCCGGCUUGCAGCGUGCAACGCAGGUCGGGACAGUAGGCCUCCGAAAUCGCACCUUUUGAGUCCUAUAUGGGAGAAGGGUGAUAACGUUUUUGGGGAGCGCUCUGUGCGACUACAGACUCCACUCCUUCGUCACGGACUCCGACGACUACUUCCCCGACGACGACUUCUUCCCCGACAUUGACAACCUCCUCGACGACAUGGCUGACAAGGACACCGACUCCAAGUCCAGUGCUACCUCUACUGUUGUUGUCCGAUAUGUGUUCUUACUCUUUCUGUUAGAGGUCUUAUCAUAGUUCCUUGUUCUACUGUUUGCCCUACAUAUGUUAGGCUCUACUUCAUAUAUGCUGCUUGCCCUAGAUAUGUUUUCCUACAGUUCGUAUGUGAAGGUGAUAUUUACCUUCUCUCUGUCAGAUCGCAUGACUUGCUUUAUCUCUGCUAUUUUAGUCAUGCUUUAUUCAGUAUUUCCGCUAAUAAAAUCAUAUGGUAAAUUUCUCAUAUUUCCAACAAUCCAAAAACCUUAUGAUAGGCAAUUUACCCCAAGUGGUUUUGCUUCUUCCAUGAGACCUUCUAUGUUUGAGGGUAUCCACUAUAAGAGGUGGCGCGUGAGAGCAGUCUUAUGGUUUUAAACCAUGAGUUGCUAUGACGCCACUCUUGGCAAACCUGAAGGAGAGCAAGAUGCACAACAGGCACAAGCUUUUCAGAAAAUGGAUACCUUGUUUAAGGCUGCUCUCUUGAGUGUUCUUGGUGAGAACAUAGUUGAUGCUUAUGCAUCAAUUGAUAAUGGAAAAGAUAUGUGGGAUGCACUCGAGGCCAAGUUUGGGGUCUCGGAUGCUGGCAUUGAGCUGUACAUCAUGGAGCAAUUCUAUGAUUACAAGAUGACGAAGAGCGCUCCGUGAUCGAGCAAGCUCAUGAGAUAUAGUCAUUUGCUAGGGAACUUGAGCACUUCAAUUGUAUCCUACCGGACAAGUUUAUUGCCGGAGGUAUCAUCUCUAAGAUUCCUUCCACAUGGAGGAACUUUGCUACCUUACUGAAGCAUAACAGGAAGGAGUUUUCCGUUCCGUAUCUCAUUGGUACUCUUGAUGUGGAAGAAAAGGCGAGAGCAAAGGACAACCGUGCUCGAGGUAUUAAGGGAGGUUCUAGUGCCAAUCUGGUAUAGAAAAAGAAUUUCCAGCCCCACAAGUUCAAGAACAAGGGCAAGUUUGAUGGUAAAGCAAAGUUUGAUGGGAAGAACAAGGAUGUGCAGCACACGAACUUCAAGAAGAAGAAUGACAAGAAGAAAGUUGUUUGUCAUGUGUGUGGAGAUCCUGAUCAUUGGGCUCCUAGUUGCCCUAAUCGCUAUGACAAGCGUCAUCCUGGGAAAGGCGGCAGGACCGCUAAUGUUGCCAUUGGAGACACUGACAUGAUUGGUUGAUUGACACGGGUGCUAAUGUGCAUGUAUGCGGUGAUAUUUCCAUGUUUUCGUCUUAUCAGACCACAGGGACUUCCAUCGUGCUGAUGGGCAACGGUUCAAGUGCUUCUGUUUGUGGUGUUGGCACGGUCGAUCUGAAGUUUACUUUGGGUAAGAUCGUGCGGCUGAAGAACGUGCAUUAUGUCCCCUCCGUCAAUAAAAAUCUUGUUAGCAGAUCUCUUCUGUGUAGAGAUGGCUACAAGCUUGUCUUUGAGUCAAAUAAAUUUGUCAUAUCCAAGUAUGGAACCUUUGUUGGUAAAGGCUAUGAGUUAGGUGGCAUGUUUCGUUUAUCCUUAUAAAACGUUUGCAAUAAAGUUGUUAAUCAUGUUUGCAACAAUAGUGAAUCAAAUGUGUGGUAUUCACGUCUUUGUCAUGUUGACUUUGGUUGCAUGUCUCGACUAGCAAAGUUGAACUUAAUCCCUAGUUUCACCACUGUCAAGGGAUCUAAGUGUCAAGCGUGUGUGCAAGCUAAGCAACAUCGUAAGUCUCAUGUGACUGCAGAAACGAGAAAUCUUGCGCCAUUAGAGCUCACACAUUCAGAUCUAUGUGAAAUGAAUGGUGUUUUGACAAAAGGUGGAAAGAAGUAUUUUAUGACGUUAAUUGAUGACUCCACUAGAUACUGUCAUGUGUAUCUUCUGAAAUCUAAGGAUGAGGCUUUGAACUAUUCCAAGAUAUAUAAAGAUGAAGCAGAAAACCAACUUGAUCAAAAGAUCAAGAGGCUUAGGUCCCUUCGUGGUGGAGAGUAUUUCUCAAAUGAAUUUGAUUCCUUUUGUGCGGAACAUGGUAUAAUCCAUGAAAGGACGCCUCCCUAUUCACCUCAGUCAAAUGGGGUGGCCGAAAGAAAGAACCAUACUCUAACUGAUUUGGUUAACGCCAAGUUAGACACAUCGGGUCUCUCCAAGGCAUGGUGAGGGGUGGCGAUAUUGACUGCAUGUCAUGCCUAAACCGAGUUCCCACAAAGAACAAAGAGAUAACUCCAUUCGAGGAAUGGGAGAAUAAAAGGUUAAAGCUCUCUUAUCUACGAACAUGGGGUUGUUUGGCAGAAGUCAAUGUGCCAAUUCCAAAGAAGCGGAAGCUUGGACCAAAGACUGUGGAUUGUGUUUUCUUGGGACAUGCUUUUCAUAGCAUUCGUUAUAGAUUCUUGGUUGUAAAAUCUGAGGUACCUGACAUGCAUGUCGGUACGAUCAUGGAAUCGAAUGAUGUGACUUUCUUUGAAGAUAUCUUUCCCAUGAAGGAUAUGGCUACCUCAUCUAAUAAGGAGAUGCCUAGUUCAUCGAAUCAGGAACAAAUUACAAUUACUGAACCUGCCAUCUCGAUGGAACACUUUGAAAGUCCUGUGGAGGAGAACAAUGAAGUUCCUACUAGGAGCAAGAGACAGAGGACUGCAAAGUCCUUUGGUGAUGAUUUUCUUGUGUAUCUCAUAGAUGACACUCCCAGUUCUAUUUCAGAGGCCUAUACAUCUAAAGAUGCUGACUACUGGAAGGAAGCAAUUCAUAGCAAGAUGGAUUCCAUCUUGUCGAAUGAAACUUGGGAGAUAACUGAUCGUCCUUAUGGGUGCAAACCUAUAGGAUGCAAAUGGGUAUUCAAGAAGAAGCUUAGGCCUGAUGGUACUAUUGAAAAGUACAAGGCUCGGCUCGUGGCUAAGGGUUAUACCCAACAGGAAAUUGAAGACUUCUUUGAUACUUACUCACAUGUGGCUUGAUUGACCACUAUUCGAGUUCUACUUUCACUAGCUGCCUCACAUGGUCUUCUCAUUCAUCAAAUAGAAGUUAAGACUGCUUUCCUAAAUGGAGAGUUGGACGAGGAAAUUUAUAUGGAACAACCAGAUGGGUUUGUAAUAGAUGGUCAGGAAGGGAAAGUGUGCAAGUUGCUGAAGUCUUUGUAUGGACUCAAGCAAGCACCCAAACAGUGGCAUGAGAAGUUUGAAAGAUCUUUAACAGCUACAGGCUUUGUUGUGAACGAAGCUGACAAAUGUGUGUACUAUCGCCAUGGUGGGGGCGAGGGAGUUAUCCUUUGCUUGUAUGUUGAUGACAUACUGAUUUUCGGAACAAAUCUGAAUGUUAUUAAGGAGGUCAAGGAUUUCCUAUCUCGCUGUUUUGAGAUGAAGGAUUUAGGAGUGGUUGAUGUCAUUCUGAACAUCAAGUUGUUGAGGGACGAUGAUGGUGGGAUUACAUUGCUUCAAUCUCACUAUGUGGAAAAGAUCUUGUGUCGCUUUGGCUACAAUGACUGCAAGCCCUCUCCAACACCAUAUGAUGCUAGUGUGUUGCUUCGAAAGAAUCGAAGAAUUGCUAGAGACCAAUUGAAAUAUUCUUAGAUUGUUGGCUCGCUCAUGUACUUAGACAGCUACAAGAACUGACAUCUCUUUUGCUGUUAGCAAACUGAGUCGGUUUGUCUCAAAACUAGGAGAUGUGCAUUGGAAAGCUCUAGAUAGAGUUUUGCGUUAUUUGAAAGGCACUACAAAUUAUGGAAUUCACUACACUGGGCACCCAAAGGUGCUUGAAGGGUAUAAUGACUCAAACUGGAUCUCAGAUGGUGAUGAGAUAAAGGCCACGAGCGGAUAUGUAUUCACUCAUGGAGGUGGCGCUAUUUCUUGGAAGUCUUGUAAGCAGACCAUCUUAACGAGGUCAACAAUGGAAGCAUAACUCACAACACUAGAUACAGCUACGGUCGAAGCGGAUUGACUUCGCCGGCUCUUGAAUGACUUGCACGUUGUUGAGAAACCUGUACCGGGUAUCCUUAUGAACUGCGACAAUCAAACUGUGAUCAUGAAAGUGAACAGUUGAAAGGAUAACAUGAAGUCAUCAAGACACGUUCAGAGAAGGUUAAAGUCUGUCAGAAAAAUGAGAAACUCCGGAGUUAUUGCAUUGGAUUAUAUCCAAACGUCUAAAAAUCUGGCAGAUCCUUUUACUAAGGGUCUAUCACGUAAUGUGAUAGAUAAUGCAUCGAGGGAGAUGGUUGUGAGAACCACAAUAUGAGUUGUUCACAGUGGUAACCUAUUCUUUGUGAUCAAAGAUCCCAUGAAUUAGAUGUGGAAGACAAGUUGUUGGUCAACUGGGAGGAGAGUACCCUUACUGUUAAAAAAUGCCACUCCAUGAAGAUGCAAUACUCUCCUAAUCUGCAUGGCAGGUUGAUGUAUAUCUUAAUGUGUUCUAAGUGGCUCUUUGAAGCAGAGAUGUUGUCCUGCAGAACAUCUUUUGAAGAACGCACCUAUAUGAGUCUGAUUGUUAAACGUCGCAAUCUAUGAGAGUAGGGUUCUCUCUAGUAAACUCAUGAAAUGUCUCGGAGGAUGACGCAUAAGCUCCACCCGCAGGAAAGACCCACGGUAGCAACGUAUCGGUCAAGGCUUUUAUGUGAAGCUAGAUUCGCAGAAAACUUGCAGUUCAAGGCCCAGUCCACUGUUCAAGUUGCUUACUAGUGUAGCAUAGAGUUCUAGGUGGAAGUUAAACUUAACAGUCUCCACUGCAGUACCGGUAUAUAAAACAGUGUUUUUGGAACCAAAGGCAAAUUUUGUGUGCCUCUGGGAUCUGGUGGGGGAUUGCUAGAAUUUUUGUCUAUUUGGUCCUAGACCAAUAGCAGUUUCAGAAAUUCCUAAUAAAUCCUAGAGGCCCAUGCAGCCCAUUCGUGCAAGGCAAGAGGUGGAACUAAAGUUUAGUCCCACAUUGCUAGUUUAGAGGGAGUUGGACCUCUUUAUAAGGGAGGUUCUUUCCCCACUUGUAUAAGCAUGAGAACAAGAGGGACAUCCACGCGCGCUCCUCCUCUGCCGCCCACCUCACCACGCCACGCCUCGUCAUGACGCGCCGCGGGUUGCCGGAAUGAGCCGAGCCGAUGUUUAAAUUUUUGCCACGCACUAUGGUAUACGAAAGGUCACUCGGCAGCUGAAACGUUUUUCUGUAGUGGACAUUGAAUCCGAAUGGUGCGCCUCUUCGGCUGAUGCCUGUUUGUUUCGUCUCCCGCAUUCCCUUCAGCUCCCGGCGCAGCCUCUCGCCUCCUUCUCUUGCGCCUAUAAAAGGUAGAGAGAUGCACCAGAACUACUUCCUACUCUCGCCACCAGUUCCUGAGCACUGUGUUGGUGCUAUGAUCUUCCCCAUCCCGGCUUGCGGCGUGCACCGCAGUUCGGGACAGUAGGCCUCCGAAACCGCACCUUUUGAGUCAUGUACGAGAGAAGGGUGAUAAGGUUUUUGGGGAGCAUGUGCGCGACAACAGACUCCACUCCUUCGUCAUGGACUCCGACGACUACUUCCCCAACUACGACUUCUUCCCCGACAUCGACAACCUCCUCGACGACAUGGCUGGCGAGGACACCGACCCCAAGUCCAGUGCUACCGCUACUGCUGCUGUCCCGUACGUGUUCUUACUCUUUCUGUUAGAGGUCUUGUCACAGUUCCUUGUUCUACUAUUUGCCCUGCAUAUGUUAGGCUCUUCUUCAUAUAUGCUGCUUGUGUAACACCCACGGUGCGGCUAUAUCUCCCACGUGUCAAAGCACGAGUUAGAGGCAUAACCGCAUUGUGGUUUUGUCGCAAGAAGGGUCAUCUUCACACAAUCCCAUGUAAUGAACAAGAAUGGCAUAAAGAGUUGGCUUAAAAUCGCAACUUCACACAAUAAACAUAUAAUUCAUACAUCAAUCAGAGUACACACACAUUCCGACUACGGACGAAGCCAAAAGAAAAGAAGAUAACCCAACUGCUAGAUCCCCGAUCGUCCCAACUGGGCUCCACUACUGAUCAACAUGAAACGAUACAUAGCAACGACCAAGGUCUUCGUUGAGCUCCCAUCUGAGCUCGGUUGCAUCACCUGCACUGGUAUCAUCGGCACCUGCAACUGUUGUGAUAGUAUCUGGUGAGUCACGAGGACUCAACAAUCUCAAAACCCGCAAGAUAAAAACUAUUUAAGCUUAUGGGUAGGAAAGGGGUAAUGUGGUGAGGUUGCAGCUACGACUAAGCAUAUAUGGUGGCUAACAUACGCAAAUAAGAGCGAGAAGAGAGCAAAGGAACGGUCAUAAACUAGCAACGAUCAAGAAGUGAUCCUGAACUCCUACUUACGUCAAACAUAACCCAAAAACCGUGUUCACUUCCCGGACUCUGCCGAAAAGAGACCAUCACGGCUACACACGCGGUUGAUGCGUUUUAAUUCGGAUCUGGUGUCAAGUUAUCUACAACCGGACAUUAACAAAUUCCCAUCUGCCUAUAACCGCAAGCACGGCUUUCGAAAGUUUAUACCCUGCAGGGGUGUCCCAACUUACCCCAUCACAAGCUCUCACGGUCAACGAAGGAUAUACCUUCUCCUGGGAAGACCCGAUCAACCUCGGAAUCUCGGUUCACAAGACAUUUCGACAACGGUAAAACAAGACCAGCAAGACCACCCGCUGUGCCGACAAAUCCCGAUAGGAGCUGCACAUAUCUCGUUCUCAGGGCACACCGGAUAAGCUAAGCGUAUAGGUACCGACGUAAUCCAAGUUGCCAAGGAAUGGUCCCGCACGGUGCUCUAGUUUGGAACAACACUCGGAGGAGCACUGGCCCGGGGGGGGGGGGUAAAAUAAAGAUGACCCUUGAGUCUGCAGAACCCAAAGGAAAAAGGCUUAGGUGGCAAAUGUUAAAACCAAUGUUGGGCCUUGCUGGAGGAGUUUUAUUCAAAGUGAACUAUCAAGGGGGUCCCAUAAAUCACCCAACCGCGUAAGGAACACAAAAUCCGGGAACAUAACACUGGUAUGACGGAAACUAGGGCGGCAAGAGUGGAACAAAACACCAGGCAUAAGGCCGAGUCUUCCACCCUUUACCAAGUAUAUAGAUGCAUUAAUUAAAUAAGAGAUAUUGUGAUAUCCCAACAUAAUCAUGUCCAUCAUGGAGCAAUCUUCAACUUCACCUGCAACUAACAACGCUAUAAGAUGGGCUGAGCAAAAGCGGUAACAUAGCCAAACAACGGUUUGCUAGGAAGGGUGAAAAGGUUAGAGGCUGACAUGGCAAUAUGGGAGGCAUGGUAAACAAGUGAUAGGUAGCACAGCAUAGCGAUAGAACGGAGCAACUGGCAAGCAAAGAUAGAAGUGAUAUCGAGGGUAAUGGUCAUCUUGCCUGAAAUCCCGCAAGGAAGAAGAACGAGUCCAUGAAGAAGACAAACGAACAUAGUCGACCAAAUCCUCACAACUCCGGAAUGAAACCGAAGCUAACGAGAGAAGCAAACUGGAAAGAAGCAAACAACAUGGUAAAACACACAAGCAUAAACAUGGCAUGAUGCACAAUCAAGUAUGAUGCAUGUCCAGUUUAAUGAGGCAUGGCAAAGUGCAACAAACAAUACUACAAGUUAAGUGGAGCUCAAUAUGCAACGAGUUGCAUAUUGACGGAAUACCGCCUCAAUUAUUUAGUUUCUCUCUUGGUUAGGCUAACCAACAAUAUUAAAUGUUGUCAAACAUGGCAAGAGGUGAAACAUAAUUGAACUAACUAUUUAGGCAAGUUUAAAUGAGGCCGGAACAAUAAACAACAAUUCCGGAAAGUCCCCAUGUCAUUUAGUAGUUUAAUGCAAACACAAUUUUAACCAUUUAAAUGUUGUUAACAUGAUGCGGAUGACAUAAUCAAGGUUUAUGCAAUUUUAUGAAAGCAUUAACAUGAGCAUGAUACGAGGCAUUCAUCACCGUGGCGGAACAAAACGGUUGCCACGGCAACGAAUCCGAAAAUGAUGCCACGGCAACAUAUCAGUUCCGAUAGCUCACGGAGAUACUGGUACAAAAGGUAGUGUGACGGGAGCGUGUCAUGCAAGGAUGGUGGGGUGCUCCCGGAUUCCGGGUUCCCACGGGAAGACGGCAUGGCAAACGAGGAACGUGCACGAAACAAACGGGCACGGUGCAAACAUAUCGUACAUCUCAUACAUGCAAGGGCAUCUCAUCGCGGUCCUCUCGGGUUAUACCUUUGAAGCGUGAGUUACGGGCGGAACGAGUUCGAUGCGGUGUAGGGGAAGUAGACGUUCUCGUAGCGGUCGUAGUGGAAGUAGGCGUUCGCGGGACAUCGUGGAAGUAGUCGUUCGCGGCGACGGUAGUGGUACACGCGAUCUUGGCGACGGUAGCAGCAAGGGCGGCGCGAGGUCGGCGCUGCGGCGCAGCUCGACGGCGACAAGACAGCAGAGGGAUGCGGGCAGGAGGUGAAGAAGGCGGCGCAGUAGCGGGGCGAUGGGGAUGGACGGAGGAGAUGGGCUCGCCGGCCAGAACGACGGCACGGCGGCAGAGGAAUGGGUGGCCGGAGGCGCGGCCGGUCGCCGGGCAGUGGCGCGCGGGAGGAAAAGAGAGGCCAUGGAUCGGGCGUGAGGAGCUCCUCUCCCUUGGCUUGAUGCGUGCGUAUGUGUGUGGCGGCGGGCAGAGGGAACGAGGGGAGAUCGAUGGAGAGGGGAUCGGGCUCUCUGGCGGCUAGGGUUAGGAGGGUUAGGUGGGCCUUGGGCCGGCUUAGAUGGUCGGGCCUAAGAGGCCUUGCUGGUCUCUCUCUCUCUCUCUCUCUCUCCCUCAAAAGAGAAAAAACAGAGAUAAGAAAUAAAAGAAAGAGAGGGUUAGGGAAAGAAUUUGCGCAAGGGAUUAAUUUUCCCGAACUCACAAAAAUGAGUUUGAUCCAAGAAAAAUAGAAGUGGGCAUGAUUGAAAGAUUUAAAUUCAAACUCAUUUGAAUUAAAAUCAAAUGGGUUUGAAUAAGAAGUGGCGUUUGAAAGGUCCAAAAAUGUUCGGAUUUUUGGUGGAGCUCCGAAAAAUGAUGAAAGAAAUAAUGGACAAGGUUGGAGACCAAGAAUUUAGAUAACAACGGCAUGGGAUAUUUUGCAAGUGGGUUAUGGUUAAUUACAAAUAAAUGGAAUAAUUUUAUUAUAGCUCCCUAAUAAUAGUAGGAGACUUUGAAUAUGUUUUAAAGAGAAAUCACCAUGUGAAUAUCCCUCGAUUUAAAUGGAUCUAAAAAUCCAUACCAUUUAUUUAAAAGAGUUAUAAAAUUAAUGAUAUGAUGGCAUGAUGACAUGAUGCAAUGCAAGAGAUCGCAUGAUGAAUGCACAAACAAAACAAAUCACACGACAAAACUCGGAAUAGCUGGAAGUCUUGUGGAGCGUCGGUCUCGGGGCGUCACAACACUCCACCACUACAAGAGGAUCUCGUCCCGAGAUCUAGGAUGGCACCAGAGAGAAACAGAAGAGGAAGAGAAGAGGUAAAACUAAGUUGCUUCUUCGACAAAUAAGUGAAACCAAAGAACCUUGAGAGGUUGAAAAGUUGAAAGAAAGAACACAAGGGAGAUGAACGAGAUUGAAAACACUCCGUUAGACAAGAGGAACAAGCAACAUUAGAACUUGAAGGUUGCAAAGACAUGAAUCAAGAGUUUAAUGGACAAGAUAGAAUUCGAAACCACUCCAGUUAAAACAAGAUGAGAGAGGAAGAAUUCGCGCAGCACUCCGGUUGAACAUGGAAGGAAUAGAACAUGAACUUGAGAAGAUGGGAUGAUACUUGAUGAAAUCAACAACACAUUGCCUCCGGAACUAUUGAAAGAAUGGCACAAUGUGUAAGAAAGAUUUCAGACAGCAAUCCGGUUGAAAAGAGAUGCAAAACUUGAUAAUAUGAAAAGAACUUGAAGAGAUGACACAACACUCCGGUUAAAUGGAUAAGCAAGAAAAUAACAUGAACUUGACAAAACGACAUGAUGGGUGAAGAGCACAACAUCACAAUGCCUCCGGAAGAAAUGAGAAAAAAUGGAACGGAAUGAACGGAGGAAAACUUGAUCUUGAAAGAGAACGCUUACAGGAAAUGCUAGAACGGAGUUGUUGGAUUAUCAACAAUGAAAGGAUAAGCUUGUUGUGGGCUUAUGGAAAACAUCUCAAAAUUAUGAGGUGACAACCGGCCACUAACAGAAACAAUUGAUUGCUUGAGAUCAACGAAGAGAUGAAAACUGCUUUCGCCGAGAGGAUAGGAGAAAACUUGGAUCAUUGAUAAGCACCACAAUACAACAUUCCUUAGGGAAGGCUUUAGGUGAAAUAUGACACAAGAUAACUCCAACAAAGAGAUUGAUGGAUUUAAAAUACCUCAUUCUUGACAACAUGUGAAUCGUGAAACAAGAAUGGAAAUUGUCAAGAAUGAUAUAACACCAUCUCAAAAGAUAAGGUAGGAGAAUUGCACUUUGGAAUGCAAGAUGAAGAAUACUUGAACGCCUCAAAACAAAACAUGUGUUGGGCACCAUGUUUAUUUUAGAGUAUAGCUUGGCGGAUCUUAACUUCGAGAGAAAUCUUGAAGAACAAUUGAAGAAUGAAAAGAAUCCUUGACGAACCACCAUGUAGAGCCUCCAUGGAGAACUCCGGUAAUAAAAGGAUGAUAAAACGAAAGGAAAGUUGAAAACACAAAGUGAAGCCUUGCGAUGAUUUAGAAGGAGCUUCACGAUGAUAUAACCGAGAAAACUUGCAACUCCGGAAAAAAAAAGAUGAAGCAUCUCGAACCGAGAAAAAUGACAUGAUGAACAACACUAGAAAGAAGAAACUAGAUCACUUGGGUGAAACAAUAAUAAGAAUUACGUUAUGCGUAUCCUUCACCAAUUUAAAUUGAUGACAAGCAACGGAUUUGGCAUACUACUUAUUCUCGUAGAAAGGAUUAAGAGAGAUAUAGCGUAAACUUGAGAAGGUCUUCAACGAACCACCGGUGGAAUUGGAAAGAACGAAUGAAUUGAUAUGGUAACAAGAGAAAAGGAAUCUUGAGCGAACCACCGUACGAAUUGAAAAUGAAACUAGCAAAGGCACAAUUCACCGAGAAGAAUUGGAAAAUGAAUGAAGAUACUUGAGGGGAUUUAGAUACAUGAGAACAAAGAGAUCGUGAACUAAUUAGAGGGUAUUUGAACAAUGCACCGGAAGAAUUCAAGAACGAGAGUUGAAAGCUGAGAAUGACUAAUUCUGAGAUGAUGGCCUUUGUAGGAAUAAAAUUGAAAGAACUCACGAAAUGCUCCGGGUGGUAAGAAAAGAAUUCUCACAAUCGAAAACAAUUAUGAGAGGAUGGCAUAAGGCUAGAACCAUGAAUCUCUGGAAGAACGGGUAAGGAUUUAGGAGGAACUCUUCUUCGGUCUUCAAAAUCCGAGAAUGACGACGAGAAACACCACCAUGAAUUGUUGAGAUGCUCCGGGAUGAAAAUUAGAAAGGUUAAACCAACUAUGAAAAGAAUUUGAAAGAUCUUGGAGAAGGAAUAUGACUGAUGAUAAUUCAUUCUUACGUCAAACUUGCAAAAGAAUUUGGGAAUAGCUCCGGGAAAAUUAGAAGAGUCAGGUAAGAUCCUGGGAAAAGACCUGUGGGUUAGGGCCCACUCAAAAGGACAACACCGUUGAACGAUUGAUUGAAAUAGAGAUUGCACCGGUAGAAUUAAAUUGCUUGAAUGAGGUAACAACCCCAAAAUAACUUGAAUGGAUUGAGAAUGGAAACACGAAUCUUCCGAGAUAUCUUGAGCACUCCGGAUAAGAAUAGAGAGAGGUGAACAAUUAUGAGAGGCGCCGGCAUGGGAUAGCAUUUGAAACAAGGAAAGGAUAUGAUCGACAAAGCUUGAAUUGAAUCCACCAAAGAAGGAAAGAGACGAAGAAUAAUAAACUUGAAGCUCCGUUAGUAUCUUCCUGAGAAUCACAGGAUAUGAACAUUGACGGAAAAGAACGGAGACACUUCCCAUCAAUAAAAGGAUACUUGAUUAAGAAAUCUGAGUCCUUGAAGAAAAAGGGUGGGAGGGCGGGAAAACAAAGACAACUUGGGACGGAUGAAACAAACACCAUUGAGAAAACUUAGAAUUGAUCUUGCGAAUGGGGAGAAUGAUGGGAUCAUCUCGAAGAGAAGCGCACCGGUUGGAAAUAGAAUUAACAUGAGGACCUCAAUGAUCGAGAAGGAUUAGUAUUCACAUAGCAAUAUUAGAACACCGUUUAGGAAAGGUAUGGAUUCAACAUUUGACUUCGAAGCAACUCAAAUACAUCAUAUAAAACAAAACAAAGGAUUUGGCUUGCAGAAUAAGCCGGAACAAACAUAUGAUAGAGAUUUCGUCCGAAGUUUUCAUGGUGGGGCCCACACGGACUCGAUCGUAUAGCACCAUCCUGUACAAGGCAGUGCACAUGACAUACGAAGCGUCCCCGAACCAGCAUAGCCAAGGGUUCUUUAAGACACAAUGAGACCACUGUAAAAACGACCGUGGAAAGGCGGACCACUAGACGUCGAACCCCAAUCUCAUAUCAUGCAUCUAUCGAAAAGAUAUUCUAGGAGCUACUUGAAUUCCCACCUAUAAAACUCCUGAAACUUUCUGGUUAUGCAAUCUGGUGUUGGGGAUACAGGGGAAGCAAUAUAUCUCACCCAAACUAACAAUACCUACAUCGAAGUUGUAUCCAUCCGUCAACACAUAACCAAGAAACCUUCAGAAAUCGUGUACCUCAACCUUCGAAAAGCAUCCGUUAUAUGAGUUAUGGCAAUACUCCCGAACUCCCGCCCCAGUACUGGGUGGCGUCGAGGUUAUCUCACCAACAAAUGCAUAAAAGAGAUUUUCGAUGUCGGCAAAAACUCAGGUAUUCCAGAACUGCAACGAUAAAAUUAUGACGACAACACCUCAAAGCUCAACUCCCCGGGUCAAAGCCACAUAAUAGACAGGAGGCACCAAGAACAAUGUUCUCGUCACAAAACCAUCGGAACGAUUCCAAGAUACCCGCGUGAUCCUAAAAUUUUUUUUAGUGAAAUUUGAGGAGAGGAAAGUCAAAACAUCUACGUCAGGAGACCUCACCAGAGCGACGAAGGGACUAAGGAGUAAAAAGAAUCCUACUCUCCGAUAUAUAUAAUCCUAAGACUCAAAUCAUUUUUUUCUAGACUCAACAACACCAGCAAUCAAUCAAGCAGGGGGCUCCUAAGUCGGGGAUGGCUCUGAUUACCAACUUGUAACACCCACGAUGCGGCUAUAUCUCCCACGUGUCGAAGCACGACUUAGAGGCAUAACCGCAUUGUGGUUUUGUCGCAAGAAGGGUCAUCUUCACACAAUCCCUUGUAAUGAACAAGAAUGGGAUAAAGAGUUGGCUUACAAUCGCCACUUCACACAAUAAACAUAUAAUUCAUACAUCAAUCAGACUACACACACAGUCCGACUAUGGACGAAGCCAAAAGAAAAGAAGAUAACCCAACUGCUAGAUCCCUGAUCGUCCCAACUAGGCUCCACUACUGAUCAACAUGAAACGAUACAUAGCAAUGACCAAGGUCUUCGUUGAGCUCCCAUCUGAGCUCGGUUGCAUCACCUGCACUGGUAUCAUCGGCACCUGCAACUGUUGUGAUAGUAUCUGGUGAGUCACGAGGACUCAGCAAUCUCAAAACCCGCGAGAUCAAGACUAUUUAAGCUUAUGGGUAGGAAAGGGGUAAUGUGGUGAGGUUGCAGCAGCGACUAAGCAUAUAUGGUGGCUAACAUAUGCAAAUAAGAGCGAGAAGAGAGCAAAGGAACGGUCGUGAACUAGCAACGAUCAAGAAGUGAUCCUGAACUCCUACUUACGUCAAACAUAACCCAAAAACCGUGUUCACUUCCCGGACUCCGCUUAAAAGAGACCAUCACGGCUACACACGCGGUUGAUGCGUUUUAAUUCGAAUCUGGUGUCAAGUUAUCUACAACCGGACAUUAACAAAUUCCCAUCUGCCUAUAACCGCAGGCACGACUUUCGAAAGUUUAUACCCUGCAGGGGUGUCCCAACUUAGCCCAUCACAAGCUCUCACAGUCAACGAAGGAUAUACCUUCUCCCGGGAAGACCCGAUCAACCUCGGAAUCCCGGUUCGCAAGACAUUUCGACAAUGGUAAAACAAGACCAGCAAGACCACCUGCUGUGCCGACAAAUCCCGAUAGGAGCUGCACAUAUCUCGUUCUCUGGGCACACCGGAUAAGCUAAGCGUACAGGUACCGACGUAAUCCAAGUUGCCAAGGAAUGGUCCCGCACGGUGCUCUAGUUUGGACCAACACUUGGAGGAGCACUAGCCCGGGGGGGGGGUAAAAUAAAGAUGACCCUUGAGUCUGCAGAACCCAAGGGAAAAAGGCUUAGGUGGCAAAUGUUAAAACCAUUGUUGGGCCUUGCUGGAGGAGUUUUAUUCAAAGCGAACUGUCAAGGGGGUCCCAUAAAUCACCCAACCGCGUAAGGAAUGCAAAAUCCGGGAACAUAACACCGGUAUGACGGAAACUAGGGCGGCAAGAGUGGAACAAAACACCAGGCAUAAGGCCGAGUCUUCCACCCUUUACCAAGUAUAUAGAUGCAUUAAUUAAAUAAGAGAUAUUGUGAUAUCCCAACAUAAUCAUGUCCAUCAUGGAGCAAUCUUCAACUUCACCUGCAACUAACAACGCUAUCAGAUGGGCUGAGCAAAAGCGGUAACAUAGCCAAACAACGGUUUGCUAGGAAGGGUGAAAAGGUUAGAGGCUGACAUGGCAAUAUGGGAGGCAUGGUAAACAAGUGAUAGGUAGCGCAGCAUAGCGAUAGAACGGAGCAACUAGCAAGCAAAGAUAGAAGUGAUAUCGAGGGUAAUGGUCAUCUUGCCUGAAAUCCCGCAAGGAAGAAGAACGAGUCCAUGAAGAAGACAAACGAACGUAGUCGAACGAAUCCUCACAACUCCGGAACGAAACCGAAGCUAACGAGAGAAGCAAACCGGAAAGAAGCAAACAACAUGGUAAAACACACAAGCAUAAACAUGGCAUGAUGCACAAUCAAGUAUGAUGCAUGUCCGGUUUAAUGAGGCAUGGCAAAGUGCAACAAACAAUACUACAAGUUAAGUGGAGCUCAAUAUGCAACGAGUUGCAUAUUGACGGAACACCACCUCGAUUAUUUAGUUUCUGUCUCGGUUAGGCUAACCAACAAUUAAAUGUUGUCAAACAUGGCAAGAGGUGAAACAUAAUUGAACUAACUAUUUAGGCAAGUUUAAAUGAGGCCGGAACAAGAAACAACAAUUCCGGAAAGUCCCCAUGUCAUUUAGUAGUUUAAUGCAAACACAGUUUUAACCAUUUAAAUGUUGUUGACAUGAUGCGGAUGACAUAAUCAAGGUUUAUGCAAUUUUAUGAAAACGUUAACAUGAGCAUGAUACGAGGCAUUUGUCACCAUGGCGGACCAAAACGGUUGCCACGGCAACGAAUCCGAAAAUGAUGCCACGGCAACAUAUCAGUUCCGAUAGCUCACGGAGAUACCGGUGCAAAAGGUAGUGUGAGGGGAGCGUGUCAUGCAAGGAUGGUGGGGUGCUCCCGGAUUCCGGGUUCCCACGGGACGGCGGCAUGGCAAACGAGGAACGUGCACGAAACAAACGGGCACGGUGCAAACAUAUCGUACAUCUCAUACAUGCAAGGGCAUGUCAUCACGGUCGUCUCGGGUUAUACCUUUGAAGCAUGCAUUACGGGCGGAACGAGUUUGAUGCGGUUUAAGGGAAGUAGACGUUCUCGUAGCGGUUGUAGUGGAAGUAGGUGUUCAUGGGACGUCGUGGAAGUAGUCAUUCGCGGCGACGGUAGUGGUACACGCGAUCUUGGCGACUGUAGCAGCAAGGGUGGGGCGAGGUCGGCGCUGCGGCGUAGCUCGACGGCGACAAGGCAGCAGAGGGACGCGGGCAGGAGGUGAAGAAGACGACGCGGUAGUGGGGCGAUGGGGAUGGACGGAGGAGAUGGGCUCGCUGGCCAGAACGACGGCACGGCGGCAGAGGAAUGGGUGGACGGAGGCGUGGCCGGUCGCCGGGCAGUGGCGCACGGGAGGAAAAGAGAGGCCAUGGAUCGGGCAUGAGGAGCUCCUCUCCCUUGGCUCGAUGCGUGCGUAUGUGUGUGGCGGCGGGCAGAGGGAACGAGGGAAGAUUGAUGGAGAGGGGAUCGGGCUCUCUGGCGGCUAGGGUUAGGAGGGUUAGGUGGGCCUUGGGCUGGCUUAGAUGGUCGGGCCUAAGAGGCCUGGCUGGGCUCUCUCUCUCUCUCCCUCAAAAGAAAGAAAACAGAGAUGAGAAAUAGAAGAAAGAGAGGGUUAGGGAAAGAAUUUGCACAAGGGGUUAAUUUUCCCGGACUCACAAAAAUGAGUUUGAUCCAAGAAAAAUAGAAGUGGGCAUGAUUGAAAGAUUUAAAUUCAAACUCAUUUGAAUUAAAAUAAAAUGGGUUUGAAUAAGAAGUGGCGUUUGAAAGGUCCAAAAAUGUUCGGAUUUUUGGUGGAGCUCCGGAAAAUGAUGAAAGAAAUAAUGGACAAGGUUGGAGACCAAGGAUUUAGAUAACAACGGCAUGGGAUAUUUUGCAAGUGGGUUAUGGUUAAUUCCAAAUAAAUGGAAUAAUUUUAUUAUAGCUCCCUAAUAAUAGUAGGAGACUUUGAAUAUGUUUUAAAGAGAAAUCACCAUGUGAAUAUCCCUCGAUUUAAAUGGAUCUAAAAAUCCAUACCAUUUAUUUAAAAGAGUUAUAAAAUUAAUGAUAUGAUGGCAUGAUGGCAUGAUGCAAUGCAAGAGAUCGCAUGAUGAAUGCACAAACAAAAAAAUCACAUGAAAAAACUCGGAAUAGCUGGAAGUCUUCUGGAGCGUCGGUCUCGGGGCGUCACAGCUUGCCCUAGAUAUGUUUGCCUACAGUUCAUAUGUGAAGGUGAUAUUUACCUUCUCUCUGUCAGAUCACAUGACUUGCUUUAUCUCUGCUAUUUUAGUCAUGCUUUAUUCAGUAUUUCUGUUAAUAAAAUCAUAUGGUAAAUUGCUCAUAUUUCCAACAAUCCAAAAACCUUAUGAUAGGAAAUUUACCCCAAGUGGUUUUGCUGCUUCCAUGAGACCUCCUAUGUUUGAGGGUAUCCACUAUAAGAGGUGGCGCGUGAGACAGUCUUAUGGUUUCAAACCAUGAGUUGCUAUGACGCCACUCUUGGCAAACCUGAAGGAGAGCAAGAUGCACAACAGGCACAUGCUUUUCAGAAAAUGGAUACCUUAUUUAAGGCUGCUCUCUUGAGUGUUCUUGGUGAGAACAUAGUUGAUUCUUAUGCGUCAAUUGAUAAUGGAAAAGAUAUGUGGGACGCACUCAAGGCCAAGUUUGGGGUCUCGGAUGCUGGCACUGAGCUGUACAUCAUGGAGCAAUUCUAUGAUUACAGGAUGAUUGAAGAGCGCUCCAUGGUUGAGCAAGAUCAUAAGAUACAAUCAUUUGCUAGAGAACUUGAGCACUUCAAUUGUAUCCUACCGGACAAGUUUAUUGCCGGAGGUAUCAUCACUAACCUUCCUCCCACGUGGAGGAACUUUGCUACCUUAUUGAAGCAUAAGAGGCAGGAGUUUUCCGUUCCGGAUCUCAUUGCUAUUGAUGUGGAAGAAAAGGCGAGAGCAAAGGACAACCGUGCUCGAGGUAUUGAGGGAGGUUCUAGUGACAAUCUGGUACAGAAGAAGAAUUUCCAGCCCCACAACUUCAAGAACAAGGGCAAGUUUGAUGGUAAAGCAAAGUUUGAUGGGAAGAACAAGGUUGUGCAGCACACAAACUUCAAGAAGAAGAAUGACAAGAAGAAAGGCGUUUGUCAUGUGUGUGGGGAUCCUGAUCAUUGGGGUCCUAGUUGCCCUAAUUGCUAUGACAAGCGUCAUCCUGGGAAAGGCGGCAAAACCGCUAAUGUUUUUAUUGGAGACACUGACAUGAAGGAUGUUGGGUAUGGUAUAUUUCCCACUAUUCUUUCAGUAUGUCAUUCUCCUGAUUGGUUGAUUGACAUGGGUGCUAAUGUGCAUGUAUGCAGUGAUAUUUCCAUGUUUUCGUCUUAUCAGACCGCAGUGACUUCCACCGUGCUGAUGGGCAACGGUUCAAGUGCUUCUGUUCGUGGUGUUGGCACGGUCGAUCUGAAGUUUACUUCGGGGAAGAUCGUGCCGCUGAAGAACAUGCAUUAUGUCCCCUCCGUCACUAAAAAUCUUGUUAGCGGAUCUCUUCUGUGUAGAGAUGGCUACAAGCUUGUCUUUGAGUCGAAUAAAUUUGUAAUAUCCAAGUAUGGACCCUUUGUUGGUAAAGGCUAUGAGUCAGGAGGCCUGCUUCAUUUAUCCUUAUCAGACGUUUGCAAUAAAGUUGUUAAUCAUGUUUGCAACAAUAGUGAAUCAAAUGUGUGGUAUUCACGUCUUUGUCAUGUUAAGUUUGGUUGCAUGUUGCGACUAGCAAAGUUGAACUUAAUCCCUAGUUUCACCACUGUCAAGGGAUCUAAGUGUCAAGUGUGUGUGCAAGCUAAGCAAUCUCAUAAGUCUCAUGUGACUGCGGAAACGAGAAAUCUUGAACCAUUAGAGCUCAUACAUUCAGAUCUAUGUGAAAUGAAUGGUGUUUUGACAAAAGGUGGAAAGAAGUAUUUUGUGACGUUAAUUGAUGACUCCACUAGAUACUGUCAUGUGUAUCUUCUGAAAUCUAAGGAUGAGGCUUUGAACUAUUUCAAGAUCUAUAAAGCUGAAGCAGAAAACCAACUUGAUCGAAAGAUCAAGAGGCUUAGGUCCUAUCAUGGUGGAGAGUAUUUCUCAAAUGAAUUUGAUUCCUUUUGUGCGAAACAUGGUAUAAUCCAUGAAAGGACGCCUCCCUAUUCACUUUAGUCAAAUGGGGUGGCCGAAAGAAAGAACCGUACUCUAACUGAUUUGGUUAACACCAUGUUAGACACAUCGGGUCUCUCCAAGGCAUGGUGGGGGGAGGCGAUAUUGACUGCAUAUCAUGUCCUAAACCGAGUUCCCACAAAGAACAAAGAGAUAACUCCAUUCGAGGAAUGGGAGAAGAAAAUGUUAAAGCUCUCUUAUCUACGAACAUGGGGUUGUUUGGCGAAAGUUAAUGUGCCAAUUCCAAAGAAGCGGAAGCUUGGACCAAAGAUUGUGGAUUGUGUUUUCUUGGGAUAUGCUUUUCAUAGCAUUGGUUAUAGAUUCUUGGUUGUAAAAUCUGAGGUACCUGACAUGCAUGUCGGUACGAUCAUGGAAUCGAAUGAUGCGACUUUCUUUGAAGAUAUCUUUCCCAUGAAGGAUAUGGCUACCUCAUCUAAUCAGGGGAUGCCUAGUUCAUCGAAUCAGGAACCAGUUACAAUUACUGAACCUGCCAUCUCGAUGGAACGCUUUGAAAGUCCUAUGGAAGAGAACAAUGAAGUUCCUACUAGGAGCAAGAGACAGAGGACUACAAGGUCCUUUGGUGAUGAUUUUCUUGUGUAUCUCAUAGAUGACACUCCCAGUUCAAUUUCAGAGGCCUAUACAUCUGAAGAUCACUACAAAAAAGACACAUCCGUGACAUUUUGGGCCGAACGAAAAAAAUUUCUGUCAUACUUAUGACACUUCUAUGACGAUAAUUGUGACAAAACCCGAUAUCAUCAUAGAUGUGGUGGGCUCCUACUUCUAUGACAAAAAAUCUUGACAGAAAAUGGGCUUUUCGUCCUGGGCGGGCCGCAAACGCAGUUGCAUGACAUUCUUUGGGCUGUCCAUGAUGCGAAAAACCAUGGUAGAAGCGAGGGCGAGGAAAAUUUCAGCGAGUGCCCAGUUACGGUGGGUGGUCAGGGGCCAAGCAAUGGACGUUUCUCUCAUACACGUACGCGUGUGUGUGUGAGGCGUUGGCUCUAACUGAACCCGAGCGAGGCGGUGGGCUCUAACUGAACCCGAGCGAUUGCACUGUAGGCUACGCAUUACUGAACCCGAGCGAUCGAGCGAUUCCUUCGCUACUGCUGCUAACUGAAGCCGAUCGAUGCUGCCUCUGGAUGAACAGUGAGCGUUGCAGGGGGGUUUGGAUGAAUAGUGAGCGGUGGGGGUGGAUGAACAGGACCAGUGGCGUUGCCUCUGGAUGAACAGGAGCCCGAUCGAUCGAGCCGGUUGGGGCUGGAUGAACAUGACCUCGUGGAGGGAUGGAUGAACAGGACGACCCCGUGGAGGGCUGGAUGAACAGUAGACGGUGGAGGGGUGGUUGAAUAGUAGCCCGUGGAGGGGUGGUUGAACAGGAGCCCGUGGAGGGGUGGUUGAACAGGAGCCCGUGGAGAGGGGUGGUUGAACAGUAGCCGGUGGAGUAGUGCACGGUGGAGGCUGGAUGAACAGGAGCUCGUGGAGGUUGGAGGAGGUCGACGGUAGCCCGUGGAGGCUGGAGGAGGUCGACAGUAGCCCGUGGAGGCUGGAGGAGGUCGAUGGUGGAGAUGAACAGUAUCCCGAGGAGUCCCGUUCUGCGGUACGCCACACCCCUCCUGAUGAACAGGACCCCCGUUUCGAUCGUAGCGCUCCAACACAAGUCUGUUUCGUCCGUUUUGUGGUACGCCACACCCCUCCCGAUCAACAGGACCCCUGUUUCGACCGUAGCUUUCCAACACAAGUCCAUUUCGUCCGUUUUGCGGUACGCCACACCCCUCCCAAUCAACAGGACCCCCGUUUCGACCGUAGGAGGUCCGUUUCCUCCAUUUUGCGGUACGCCAGACCCCUCCCGAUGAACAGGAUCCUGUUUUGAACGUGGCCGGUCGAACACAAGGCCUCGUUUCCAUCGCAUGUUCUGUCCAAGCAGGUUGGCUCCCACGUGUUCCGUUGCCUCCCGAUGAACACGACGCAUUCUGUUGCCUCCCCAUGAACACGACGACGAUGUUGUUUCUCCGUUCCAACCCAGCCAUGUACACGAGCCCUGGCCGUACGUAUAUAUGCGCGAGUAGGCGUUCGAGACGCCGCCCGUAUGUACGUACGUGGCCGUAUUUUCUUUCUUGCACGCUGGCCGCUGUAUGUACGUGUACAUGCUACGUGCGACCCUCUACUACGACACGUGCGCGCUUCUACAUCGACCAGUAUAUAUGUAUGUACACGUUCGUGACCAGAAUGACAACGCUACGUACGCUUCGACCAGGUGGGUCCCGACUGUCAGGCACUUCCUUGUGUGCAAAGAUGUAGCUGGUGGGUCCCAACAGUCAGGGGGCGAAUCAUUUUUUUUGCCCGGACACACUUCCUUGCGUAGUUGGUGGGUCCCAGCAGUUAGGGGGAAACGUUUUUUCAUGAAAUAUGGUGGCCCGUCCAGUGGGUCCCUGCUGUCAGGUGGAGGAAUAAUUAUUUUGCGUGUAAUAAGGAGGCACUUCCUUGCUGCGGCCGUGGACCCAACUGUCAGCCUCUCCACGUACAGUCCACUUCAGAUGCAUGUUGCUCGUUGACCACGUUGACCAGGCCGCGCCGAGAGCACCAGGGCGGUGGACGACGGUGAGGCCUAGGAAGGGAACGAGACGGAGGUAGGGAAGAAUCAACAGUUGUUUCCCACACGAAGGGGAGUACGACUGUACGAGGGUUUACUAGUUCGUCUGCCGUCGCCGGAGAAUAACAGCAGGUGUGGGUGAGUAGAGGGAUGGCUAGGCCAGCGAUGGGAGUACGAUGGGGCGGUGAGGCCUGCACGGCAGCACAGCCGGCCGUGGGGAGGAGGGAGCAAGCAGUCCCGCCGGCGCUUGUUUGAGAGGCUGGAGCAGGAAGAGCAGAGAUUGAAGAAGCACGACGGCCGUUGGAUGGAAAUCCAACAGUCACUUCUUGUGCGUCAACCUUUUUUUUAGGAAAGCCUCAAAUCUGUGAAAAACAGCAUACAACCCAUCUACCAUUAUUUCUAAUAAUUUACAGCCCAUUUGCUAAUUCUUAAGGUUUUUUUGGAUCUGAUAUUCUUUUUGUUAGCAUUACAGCCCAUAUUGUGGCCACGGUUAAAAAAUUAUACGAAAUUUUGCAUAUUUCGGUGCGGUCCGAACUGUUUUUAAUCCCGAAAUUUCGAGUCACAUUCAAACUGAUUUUUAAAAUAAAUGUAUAUCAAUAUAAAAUCCAACAAAUUGUCCACGCAUAAAAAUCAAUGCAAUUUAAAAUCUUGAAAUGAAAAAAAGAAAUUUGAAACUAAUUGCCGGUUUGAUGUGUUUUAAAAAUGUACAACCCAUUUCUCAUUCUGAUAGGCCAUUUUCUCGGCCAGCCGAAUGAAGCUCUCCUCUCUUGAAAGAUUUGCAGCCCAACAGGCCUGACAAAGCGACUUACUUGGCAAAUAACAAAAAAACUGGGCUGUGGCCGUGGACCCAGCUGCGGCCAUUGACCCAGCUGUCAGCCUCUCCAUGUACAGUACUCUUUUGAUGGAAGUCGGUCGUUGACCACAUUAACCACGCCGCGCCGAGAGCACCAAGGCGGUGGACGACGGCGAGGCCUAGGAAGGGGAAGACGCGGAGCCGCGGAAGACGUGGUAGUGGAUGCCCACGUGGAGAGGAGUACGAGGGUUCACUGGUUCGGCUGCGGCGUGAGGCUACCAUGGCCGCAGAAUAACGGGGGGUGUGGGUGAGUAGAGGGAUGCCCUGGGCCAGCGGUGGGAGUAGUAGGGGGCGGUGAGGCCUCCGCGGCAUCACAGCCGGCCACGAGAGGCAGGAGCACGCGGCACGACCAGCGCUGCUUUGGGCGGCUGGAGCAAGAAGACCAGAGGUUGAAGAAGCACUAUAGCCGUUGGAUGGACAUCGUACGGUCACUGGAGCUAGAAUAGUUCAUAUUGACUAAGUUGACAAAGCCCUCCGUCCCCGUCAACUUAGUAGGCCCACAAGUCAGCCACCCACUAUGGUGGGUCCCAUCUAGCGGGGGGUAUUCAUUUUUGUGCGUAAUAAGGAGGCACUUCCUUGCGUGCGAAGAUAUAGCUGGUGGGUCCGACCUGUCAGCGGGGGGAACAUUUUUUUCAUGAAAUAUAGAAGCCCUUCCCACAUAUAGUCCAUGUACAGUGCGUAAUAAGGAGGAAAUUUCCUUGCCUGCCACCAUGGACCUCGUGGGUCCCAGCCGUCAGGCUCUCAACAUACAGUCCUCUUCCGAUGACUCUCAGAUGUUGACCACGCCACGCCGAGCGCACCGAGGCGGUGGACGACGGCGAGGCCCCAGACUGGAAUGACCCAAAGACGGGGAAGACUCAGCAGUGGAGUCGCAGACAGAGAGGAGUGGGAAACUUGACUGGUUUGGGUGCGGGGUGGGCCUACACUCGGUAGAUAAUAAUAGAAGGUGCGGAGUGGAGUGAUGUCCUAGCCGUCGGCAGGGUAGCGUUUCGCUGAGGAGCGCAAAACAACGCCGCUGGACGCCGAAGGCUGGAGCAGGCGGUCCCGGCAGCGCUGGGGGAAGAAGACGAGAGAUUGAAGAAGAAUGUCAGCUGUUGGAUGUAAAUCCAACGCCUUCGUAGGCUACGACCUACUGGCGCACAUGUCAGCCAGUCCAUUUGUUUUUUAGUCCAUGUGGUGGGCUGGGUGAAACAAUGAUGUAGCAUCUAUGCAGCCCAUUUAUAUAUGGUAGAAUUUAAAUCCCAUUUGCAUUUUUCUCGAAAUCCACGGACUUGCUGAGCUGGGUGAAAAUAUCAUGUUGGGAUAGACGGAGAAAUGUUAUAAAAACAUAAACACAUGAUUGCACAUCUGUUACUGCAUUGGUCAGUAAAGUCUUUGCAAGCUUAUGUACGCAAUCACUAGGAGUUAACUUGCCAAGUUAUAUAUAAACAAUUAUUAUUAUUAUUUUGUAAGAACUUUCAACUUACAUAAUAAAAUAUUAUUUAAAUUUGAUGAGUUAAUAGUACGUGGGGUAUUAUUAUUUUUUAGGCUAGACGUGGGACAAUUGAGUUGGUUGUAGGGAAAAGUACCGGGGGAAAACUCAGUUUACAUCGAAAAAGAAAGUGGGAGAAAAUUCAGGGACCUGCUGGGUCCACCUGAGGAGGGGAAUUUGUUGGGAGGAAGGAGAUUCAAAGCACGGCAGCCGAGUGAACUAGUUUUUUUUAACGGACAAGUGAACUAGUUACAUACAUAAGCAAAUAGCCACUAAAAAAGCAGUUAGGUUAAUGGGUUCUUAAAGAAAUAUUUUGAACAAAACAGAUAAUUACGACACAUAGGCUAAUGCAUGAAACACUCAGAUGAUAAAGGUGCUUAUAAACAGAUAAAGUACAACAUCUAGACCUUCCUGGCAUGCUCGAUCAUGACGCUGCGGCUGUCCGUGUACUCGUCGGUUACGGGAAGCAGACACGCCCUCAUGUCCAAGAUCUGCCUGUACAUGUCGUAGCAUGCAUAUGCGUAGGUUAUGUAGGCUACAUUCAGAGGUACCUCCCACGUGUUCAGGUCCUUGGUAUUGUUGUCUUCUUUCAUGUUGGCGUAUCAGCGGUCGAUGAUGGUCUCGGCGAGGUCAACCACGGAGUCCUUCUCCUACCCGUUGCCGAUGAUCUAGUAUUGCUUCUGGAUGUCGACAAGCUUGUUUCACUAGAUGGCCGAAUCGUCGCGUUCUUCCUUCUCUCCACCGUAGCGAAGGUGCAGUCGGCGCUGCCGAUGAAACGGGUGAAUGCUCCAGAACCUCUAAUGGCCCUGCAGAAGUGGUAGAUGAGAACCCCGUCCCGCACACAUACCUGGGCGAUGGCGUUCCGCUGGUCCUUGUCAGGAGACGAAUGGAUGCGCACAAGGUCUAGUCCUGCAACCUUGUGUUUUCUCGUCCUGCAGGUACUGCUUGAACUCGGCGAGGCAGAGCUUCACCGAGUCUGGAUCGUUGGUGUACAUCACAUUCAACUUGGUGCAGCCAUAGGACUGAACGGCGAACCCAAAGGGGAACUCCUUGCUGAAGUUCAUAUCCAGCAGGCUCACCCCUCGGAUCUCCAUUGGAGUCUCUUCAAGUGAAUGAGUGUGUAGGCUGCGACAAUAGUUUGUUUUUCAGCUCUUGGGGAACUGGAUUCAACAGUAAACUGAGUGUGUACAAGCGACAACAGUUACUACCCCUCCCUCGUCCGCUGGACGCCCGGCAGAAGAUGCACCCUUGGCGCAUUCAAACGCCUCCAUUAAGAAACCUACUCCGGCCACACGUCGGUUCACGAGCGGGUCUGUGUUGGUACUGUAAUAAUAGAAGUUAGUGGUCACUUUACUUAAAUUUAAUUAGCUUUAAUAGAAAUUUAUACUUAAAACAACCAAUGCAUUGGCUCGUUCUAUCAGUGCCACAGGAUCAACAUGCACAACAAUUAGAAUUAUUAUUCUCAGGACGCAUACGAUCAGCAUAUUUGUUGCACUUUCACAAAGAUAAUACUACCAAGUUUGAACUGUUUGUUAUGAUUGUUGUCCUCUGCAUCAUCAUGUCAUGUUUCCCACCUUGCAAGAUUCAGAACCAACAAAUAAGAUCCAAAUAAUAAGUACAACAAAGAUGCCUACACAUCUCAUUGAUUCCCAGCUUGCAAGAUUCAGAACCAACAAAUAAGAUCCAAAUAAUAAGUACAACAAAGAUGCCUACACAUCUCAUUGAUCCCAGCUUGCAAGAUUCAGAACCAACAAAUAUGAUUCAAAUAAUAAGUACAACAAAGAUGCCUACACAUCUCAUUGAUUCCCAGCUCAAGAUUCAGAACCAACCCAUUAGAGCCUUUUGAUAAAGUGAAUAUUGGGAUUAAAUCCAUCUUGGCUAGCCAUGUCAUACAAUCGAAGAACUUGGCGAAUGCUCUUGACCGUCACAACAUCUGUAGUUGAGUAUUCCUCUUUGCACAGCACAAACAAGAAGAGCCUGAUUUCACUUUAAUAGUGGCCUCCUUGAACUCAACCUACAGCUCCACUUGGAUGAGGCCUCACUGGAGUUUCAUGAUUCAAUUCAUGCGCCUAUUUUCUGCAGUUCACCUAAAAUGAAGUAAAGAUUGCAUCAUUCAGCUAGCAAGAAGUACCUUCUCUCAUGAGCUGACAGGUUCUUCUUUAGUAGUUGCACUAAAAUUGAGGAACAUUAAGGUUGGCUGUCCGGCUCAUGUAGGGUGCAACUAUAAUUUUCUUAUCCUUUGGUGCAGUUCCACUAAAAUAAAGUGCCAUUGUGGUGACACUGAUGGCUCAUCUUGAAAAGGCUAAUAUAAUGUUGCAUGAGAUUACCAGCAGAACUUGACGGAGAUUUUGGAAACUCCAACCACCAUUUUGUGCAGUUCCACCAAAAUUGAGAGAUGUUACCCACGUGACAUUUUAGUUGAACUGCACAAGACACUCAUUCCAACAAAAAGUGUUUUGUGCAGUUCACCAAAAGGUCACAAUAGCAACAAGGUGAAAUGGAUAUCCCUAUCUGCACAAAAGGAUAGAAAGUAAACAGUUGCUGGUCAAUAAGAAUAUACGAAACAUAUACAAAAUGAAAAGAAACAUCUUAAUUAUGUUCAUGGAAAUCACGCAAGGACAGUAGAAAUUUUAAAACGUCAGCAAUGCUUCAUGUUACCAGAAGCAUUACGAUUAACAAUGAGAUUCCUCAAAUACGGGAUUACUUUAAUGGUGGCAUUGCUUUUUUACCAGACACAGUAAAUCAACAGUAGCUAAAGAGUUGGUUUAAGGGCAUGGGGCCGUGGGGACACUAGGACACUCAGCAGCGUAAAGGAGCAACUUACUUAUCAUAUUGGGGAAAACAGCAGGAGUGCCAUUUGUAACAUAGUUUAAUUGCAUCUUAUCACUGGAGGCAUUAGAUUAACAAUAACACUGGUUAGACAUGUCCCUAAGGUAACAGUGUGAUCGCUUCAUUUUACAUGUGCCCUUACAUUAACAACAUCAAAAGGUUGGUAUAAGGACAUGCGACAGUGGACGCAUCAGCACAAUGUACCUACAAGGAGGCAUAAAGUGGUGAUGCCGAGUUUGUUCAUGCUAUGUGAGGGCAGCAAACCUAAUCCUGGAGACCUUGUACUAUAUGAGGGCAGCAAAUCUAAUCCUGGAGACCUUUUACUAUGUGAGGGCAGCAAAUCUAAUCCUGGAGACCUUUUACUAUGUGAGGGCAGCAAAUCUAAUCCUGAGACCUUUUACUAUGUGAGGGCAGCAAUUCUAAUCCUGGAGACCUUUUACUAUGUGAGGGCAGCAAAUCUAAUCCUGUACAUACUAUGUUGACUUGUCCACCAGCCGCCACUUUCUAUCCUUUUUUCAACCAAUAAUAGAUUUGUUCCUUAUCCAGUUUGUACUGCGUUUUCCCAUUAUUUCCCUUUUUAGCAAAGAGACAGGUUGGGUAUCCGGUCUCUACUACUUUCACCAUAUUAUUUCCUCUUUGAAUCAAGUCCUAGAUUCAUGCUACAACUUUCCCCCCUUUCUUCAUUGUUUGAACAAAGCCCUAGAUUCGAAUGCAUGAAGUAGCUUUACCUCUAAUAAUACUAAAAAUUUAGGUGUCUUUGGAGGAGCUAAUGGGAGUAGAAAAAAAUUCACAUGCAGACACGUGGGGAGCUGGGGCAGUAGAGCAAGGCCGCUUUCGAAGAACUUAUACCUAAGGGUCGCCGGGAUGUCGGCAGCGGCAAGUCGGAUCUGCGGAUAAUACGGCAGGGAGGAAGAAGGGUCAGAGGACCUCCCGAGCCGACGCUGUGUCGGAGAGAACGGCACGGGCAGAGGAUCGGGCCCCUCCGGCAGCUGUGGGUUUCCUCCCUCGGCGGCGAUGACCGCGUGACCCUUAGGUAUAAGUUCUCUACUAUUUAAUUUGUCGAUGUGUGUAGAGGACUAAGGUGUGUGUAGAGGACUAAAAGCGUUUCAAUUUGUGUACGUGGCAUUAAAGAAAAGAAACUCUCUACUAUUUAAGGCGACUACUAUACGACUCUUACUUACUACUACUAGUAGUACUAGUAUUGUUCACUUGUGCUCCCCGCCCCUCCAUUCAUUGAACAACCCCACAGGUGAAUAAACAUACUAUAAGUAUUUAUAGAACAAACAAGCUUGAACUAUUUUCGCGUAGUUAAAAGUUGAGGGCGGGGCUUUUCCCGGGAAGUACACACGAUAGUUUUCGGGUAGGCGGUUUGACAGAGAGGCGAGGACGGUGAGCGAGUGGCGGAUUCUCAAUCACUAGCAAGAUUCCCAUGCGUUGCACGGAACAUCAAGAUGCAUUUGUAUGGGUAGUUUAUGUUGUGGGAGAAAAGGAUGAACGAGGGAAGGCCUUAUUUGAAAAUGUUGAGUGGGUGUGGGUAUCUUUUUGCAAAAUUUCCAUUUUUCCUUCCUAUCCGUCAGAUAUAAAUCAGACGACUUAUAUUGCAGGAUGGCAGGCACACCAUCAUCACCAACUCUGAUUUUUAUAAGAGUAGAGAUACUGCUGGAAAGGUCGGGCUGUGCGAUUUGACGGCGCGUUACUUCUGGAAAGAGUUGUGAUAUGACCACUCACUAUAGUCAUGAAUUACUGGCGCUCCGACCUGGGUGAUGCCCCCUUCCGUUCCACGCUCUAAUCUGGUGCAUGACAUGUCGACCCGGAUGCUGGCUCUCCCACAUGUCGGAGUAGUAAGAAGGAGCAAAGAAUGAUGCGGUAUAUACUAGUACUACUACUACUCAGGUCGGAGGAGUGCGAACCACGGCAGUCCAGUGAACCAGCAGUGCGAACCACGAUAGCCCAGUGAACCAGCAGUAGAAAACAAUGUGGUGAUAUGGCCAUAAAAACAAUGUGCUACGGUCCACACUGUAGCAUGUAUUGUAACACUCAUCUUUGUUUGGAUCCCUGAGUUAGAGCUAGUUUGGGUUGAAAUAGCCUCAAAUUAUCAAAACACGAGGGUUAGUUCGAGAUAGUUUGCUCUAACCCAGCUAAAAAAACUAGCCCGGUGGAGAGGUUCUAAUUGGGUUAGUUAUCCUCGGGCCCACUAAAAGAGAACUAAAAAAAUCUCCCAUGCCCACACCGGAUCGCUCCCCCCUCUCGCACGACUCCUCUCUGUUCCCCAUAGGGUCGCCCGCCCAAGCGCCGCUCGCCCUCUCUCUCCUCUGGCCGCCCUCGAUAUCCUUCCAGCCUCCGCCACCCUACUCCGGUCGCCCUCUCCCUCCGGCCUUCAAAGGUCGCCCCGCUCCCUCUUCACCGGUUGUUUUUCUCCCUCUGUCAUGCACGGCGGCGGCGCAUCUACCAGGGAGGUCGCGUGAGGGGUGAGUUUGUUCGUUCCUUCUCUGUCUCACAGUCAUAUCAUUGAUCUUGCUCGCUCUAGCGCUAAUUCUGAUUCAGAAAAGUAGAUCCUGAUCAAACUUGGUAUAGAUUUGUUGUGCACCCAUGGAAUUGUUUGAUGCUACUUGAGGAGUUAAUAAAUCUUUCUAGAGGCCCAAAGAUUCAGUUCACCUUCCUAGGUAUUUCAGCUUCAGGCUUGCAUUAUUUUAAGAGGCACAAAGAUUCAGUUCACCUUUCUAGGUAUUUCAGUUUCAGGCUUGCAUUAUUUCUAGAGGCCCAAAGAUUCAGUUCACCUUUCUAGGUAUUUUAGUUUCAGGCUUGCAUUAUUUCCAGAGGGCCAAAGAUUAAGUUCCCAGUCGGCGGCAAGCGGCCCUGCUACCCAUGCCGGUGUCGACCUCAACUCGCAAGGGCCGGCAUUGGAGGGAUUCCCGGGGCUUGGGCUCUACAGAGCCUUCCUCCAGAGCGAUGAUGGCAAGCUCCUCCCUCGGUGCGUGAGGGGCUCCGGUCUCCCUCCCUAUCAAGAAUGAAUUCCAUAAUGAGUUAGCUCAUGCUUUGUUUCAUGGAGUGUUUUUUUGUGAAGCUUGAUUGACGACUUGUAUGUUUAAGUGGGAUAUCUAAUUUGUAUGGACAAAGUAAAAACUAUCAUGUUUUGCAUGCUUGAUUUGUAAAGAUGGUUCGUUUAUGUCAAUUAUAAGUGGGAGGAGGCCAGAGAAGAGCCGGCCACACCAAAUACGGCAGGGAAUAGGGUCCAAAGUAGUCAAAUGAUUGAGGAAGAGCAUUUAUUGUCAAUCUAACCCUGCCAUCCAUACACCUCUUUGGUUUAGAGUUAGUUCAGGGUUAGAAUCUAACUCUAACCUCUAACUGAGUUAGAGUUCUCCUCGUCUCGGUUCAUCGCCAUCAUAUUUCCCCAUUCCUAUGUUUUCAGUAUCCUGCGAAUCAAAGAGGCCCUUUUUUUGCCAGAAAAAUCAAAGAGGCCUUAGACUGGUUUAGGUCCGGUCAUUUUUAUAAACGUGUUAUGUCCAAAAUUUAAUGAACCUGCUCUGGUUUCUACGAAAAUAAUCCAGUUUCAUGUAGUAAUUCAUUCAUUUAUUUAUUCUUCUGCAGGGGGUUUGCAUGUAAUACGUGAUGUCUGAAAUGUUAAGUACCCCGACAUAUGCUCCGAGUCGUGCAUGCACUACGACCCAGAUGCUCUAUGUCCCACAUGUCGGUGAAUGGGAGCAUGUGGAAAUAGCCUAGGAGUACAUAUAGGAGGAUAAGGCUGGUUGUAAUGGGUAGUAUCAUUUACUAGUAUCAUGCAUAUGUUACUAGUGUAUGAUAGUACUUCCGUAACAUAGUAUCAUAGGUUAGUACCUUAGGUUGCCUUCUUAAUUGUCAUGCAUGACACAAAGUAGUACAUCAUUUAAUAUGAUACGAUAUCAUAAUAUGAUACUACAUCCUCUCUUUCCUCAUUUAAUUAUGUGCCACAUCAUCUGAAAAAUCUAGUUGGCAUGCAUGAUACCGCUUAUGAUACUCCCAUUACAACUAGCCUAAAUGCGUGAAAAAAUAUGUACUGUGAAGCGUAGCUGCGGUUCGAAAAGGAGACCUAAAGUGAUGACAGUUAUAGGUCGCACGAACCCAACUAGUGGUACUACUAGACAUACGACUAUUUUUUCCCUCAAAAAAAGGAGGCACGAGUGCUCAGUACUCCUAUUCUAUCAACACGAGUCUCAUAUGACAAAAGCGUCCGUGCUAUAGCUAGAUCUCCUCCCUCGUUUCUCUCUUCUAAUUCUAAACUCGGCCGACGCCCGGUGGGCGGGGUGGGUUUGCUCAACUGCGGCCCCACCUCACAGUGAAAACGUUACGACUGGAAUAAAAAUGCCAUAUACUCUCUGCGUUCCUAAAUAUAAGCCUUUUUAGAUACUAUUUCAAAUGGAAUACAUCAUACAGAUGUAUGUAGACAAAGUUUAGAGUGUAGAUUCACUCAUUUUGCUACGUAUGUAGUAGUCACUUGCUGGAAUCUUUAGAAAGACUUAUAUUUGGGAACGGAGGGAGUACUAUACAAAUAAAACAUUAAGGCCACGAGGCGAUGCAGUGCUGGACUGCUGGUUAUAGGAGGCAAGAAGAAGAGAUACAUCCAUCAACGAAGUCCACCUCCUCGACUCAGGGCGUCGGCCCACCGAAUGGCGCCUAAGUAGCAGUGGCUUUCGUGGCCAGGUCGACGUGCUUCUGAACAAUGGUGUCCAAAGAUUCGAGCCGCUGGAAGAAGGCCAAUGUCUUUCUGUCCUCGCUCGCCUUGUAGUGGCCUAUGUAGACUAUUUCCUCGUAGACGUGGAUGUGCAGGUCGACGGUUUCUUGCAUGGCGAGGCGCUGCACGGCGAGCACGGCCUCGAGGUGCACAUUCUUCGUCGCGACCUCCAGCACCAUCAGGGCCACCAGGGCUUGAAAGAGUUCAUCACCAUGGAGGCCGAUGAGGGUGGCAGGCAAUGAGGAGCCUGGGCGCGUGGGCUGGAGCAGUAUGGCAAGGUCGUCCGCGCGCUUCUUGACGGCGGUGAACUUGCAGAUGGAGUUGACCAUCAUGUCGGCCAUGCGAGAGGCGAAGCCGGCGUCGGCAAGGGCUACGAUGCUGGCAGUCGCCAGCACCGUCUGGAAACGUUGUGCGGUGCGGGGCCGCAGGCGGGCGCCUUGGAUGAUUUGGCACAGCCCACUGCCGCUCGCGUCCAUUGCCUCCAUAGGUGCUUGUGACUUCUCGUCACUUGGUCUUGGAUUGGAGUGAGCAGUGUUGCGCAGAGACUUGGGAGUAGAUGGAUUGGAGUGGUGGGGCGCCUUUAUAUGAGAGUCCAAACUCUGUUGCAUUCACAUCGUGAUGGCUCUAUUCUGCUUCUCCAAUUAAUUCCCUCUGCAUGUAAUUGAGGAUGCAUCAUUGACCGCUCAACGUCUUGGGAACCACUAUGCUCUCCCUUCUUGGCAUUCAAGCACCUAUGGAGGCGACUGCCACUCGCGUCUAUUGAGUGUCAGGAGACUUUCCCAUCGACGACGAGGUGCCUAUGGUGACUUCUUAAAUUUCAAGAUGAUAGUGUCGUGCGUGUGUGCGUUCAUAGGGAUGAGUGUAUCCGCGUGUAUAUGAGCGUUUGCGUUUGUACUGUGUCAAAAAAAUGUAAAUGUGUGUGAAAAAGAGACUAGUCAGUAUACUCAAUAUUGUGCACCUCGGAGAGGAAAAUGAUAGAACUAUGUAUUUAUUUACGGUGCAGAUUCACUCAUUUUGCUCCAUAUGUACUCCGUCUCGUAGUCUAGUCACUUGUUGAAAUCUCUAGAAGGGCAAAUACUCCUUUCUGGUUUACAGGGCUAUACUAGCAAGUAGUUGUACGUACUAGUACAAUAGUGGGCUCACAUAGCAAUUUUGUCUCAUGCAAGAGCCUGGCUAUAUACGUGCUCCAAUGUUCGCAACUGCCACGUUUGGGUUGCGCUUGGCUUUUCGCCUCUUCGAGAAGACGAAAAAUGAUGUUACUACUACUGCUUCUACAGUGUCAAAUCCACUUCUUCAUGUCCGUUCACCUCGAGCGGGAGGGAUAGCUCGUUGUAGAAGUACUAUAAGCAAAAGCCUGUCCUCGUCUGCGAGCAACCACGCGCAUGGGCGAGGGAGAAGGCAUGUAGUAGUAAAAUCAAGCUUCUCCUCGUUGUACGAGUUGAUGCGACACAUCAUACCACUUGCCCCACAUGCUUGCCUCUAAACUUGGCUAAAAGACCCGUAGUGUACAAUAUAUUUGCUGCAACCUCUAACAUUUACCCACCUCAUAUUGAAAAUGUUAAGACUAGAAUAAAACUGCCAUAUACUCCCUGCGUUCCUAAAUAUAAGCCUUUUUAGAUACUAUUUCAAAUGGAAUACAACAUACAGAUGUAUGUAGACAUAGUUUAGAGUGUAGAUUCACUCAUUUUGCUCCGUAUGUAGUAGACACUUGCUGGAAUCUUUAGAAAGACUUAUAUUUGGGAACGGAGGGAGUACUAUACUAAUAAAAUAUUAAGGCCACGAGGCGAUGCAGUGCUGGUUACAGGAGGCAUGAAGAAGAGAUGCAUCUAUCGACGACGUCCACCUCCUCGACUCAGGGCGCAUGGGCGAGGGAGAAGGCGUGUAGUAGUAAAAUCAAGCUUCUCCUGGUUGUACGAGUUGACGCGACACAUCAUAGCACUGGCCCCACAUGCUUGCCUCUAAACUUUGCUGAAAGACCCGCAGUGUAUAAUAUAUUUGCUGCAACCUCUAACAUUUACCAACCACAAUCACCAAGGUGACAGGUAGGGCCAGAAUACUAUUUUAAUUUUUUUUAACUUCAAGACGGCCACAUAGCAUGGAGCCGGCCCCAAUGAUUUUAAGCUUACAGGCACGGUACACGCUAUCCUAGACUACUCUACACAUGAAACUGCCACACCAGCGUCCGGGCUACGCUUGGCUCUUCGCCUCUUCGGGAAGUCGAACAAUGAUGGAGUACUACUGCACUUGAGGUGUACUACAGUACACUUCUGUCCAUCUGACACCGAUUGAACUGCUGCAUGUCCAUCGCGUGCGGGAGGGAGAGCGUGUAGCGAAAGCUUCUCCUAGUGUCGGGGAUAUACCCCGCGAUAUGAGCCAGCCAAAAAUAUGACCCGGCCGGAUUUGGCGGUUUACUUGAGACGGUUUACACUUGGCGAUUCACUAGUGACCCGCCCUGACCAAACGGUUUACAAGCAACCUACCUGAACAUUAUGACUCACUGAUAACCCAGCGGGUAGGACAGACGGAUGAAAAGGCCCAAGGCCUAGAACGCCGGUUUAUGUUAAUGGCGGGCCAGUUUAUGAGGAAAGCACAAGGAAUAUUCUCCUACAAAGGAAGCAAGACUAGGACUCCACUUGUAAUAGAGUAAUCCUAAUCCAACUAGGACUAGUCAUGUAAACCGCCCCUUUAACAUAUAUAAAGAGGGGCAGGGCUCCCCAAAAGGGAGGAAGGAAGAGAAGCAAUCUCUAGGGCUAGACACAACUAAAGGGGAGCCGACUUAUGCAGCGUCUCCCUGAUGAGCAUAAUGAGAUCUAGCCACAAACAUCAUGUAGGGCUAUUACCGGAUGAUGUUUUCCGCGGCCUGAAGCUGUCUAAAUCCUUGUCUUGUGUGCUACGUCUCUCGUCUCGAUCAACCCCUCUCAAGCUACCUUAUAGAUGCGUUGGCCUCAUGACUAAGUCCUCACACUAGGACAUCUGCCAUGACAAUUCCACGACAGUUGGCGCCCACCAUGGGGCUUGCGCACGGUGGUGUUGAGUUCUUGGAGGGAUCUCUCCUAGGAAUGGAGGAGCUCACAAUUUUAAGAUGAAGACGAACCAGUUUGAAAGGAUUUACAUCCGUUGAGUUCAUUGGUCAAAUUGUUAGUCCGAGAUUUAGAAAUCAAGAGAAGUAAGGCUGCGACAUGAUCAUUUUCCGCAAGUUGCCGAGAUCGACAGGAGCGUUUCCGCCGCACACAAUAUACUACAGGAAUCCACCGCAGUCAUUGGUGAAUUUUUUUUACGGAUUCGACAGCAGGGUCCGAUUGUUAUUAGGCGGUUACCACAAAAAUCAGUCUGGUCAAUGGUCGACAAACCGAUUUCGUGCAGCUGUUGGAUGGGCCCGUGCCCCGCUGAUAUUUUCUAAUCAAGGUACUGGUUUAAAACGCCUUUGUUUAUUGGGAAACAGACUGACCCCAUAGCUGUAUCCAAUGCGCCCCUGAACUUGGUUUUUUGUGCGGAGCGGACACACCUGAGGAUAUUAACUGCUGUUGCUGCCACCUCCACAAGAAGAGCAAAAAAUCAAUUCGUCUACGGAGCACUAUUUUUGCACCUUGCAUGAUUGAAGGCAAAUAAAACAAGAAGACUGUGCUUGGAGGAAAUUCUUUGGAAAGUAUUAUAUGCACCGCCUGCCGGUUCGUCCCGAGGAAAACCUGCAGCUACAAGCCGUCAUUGCAUCCAGCUCUGAGUCACCUGCCUCGGUCGUCUUCUACUUUUUUCUCAAAGUCACCCAGCUCCAUCUCUGCUGGACUCUAAGUUACUCGCCGAUUCACAUCAACCACAGCGGGGCCAAGCCGCACGCUGCUGCUCCGUCCGGGUGCUCCACGGGAUUCGCGCUGCCCCGGAUCAGCUCGCUACCAACCCAUUCGUGCUGGCUGUGACCCGCGCCUGAGCUCUUCUCUCAGCAUCGCCGGACAGUGCUCGAGCUGUUGUCAUUUCGUUCCACCGUUGCUCUACUGCCACGAGCUGACAGCUGCUAACCCGUUGUUGCCCCAGUUUAUUUCCCAAGACGGCUUCCCCGGCUGUGCGUGGCCAUGGUCUUGGACCGCUGCGCCCUGAGCCACCUCUGCUGAAUUGUUGCACUAAGUAUGGAGCAGCAGAAUGAACGGAGUACUAUGUUGAGCAUGUCAGCGCGGACCAAUAUGAUUUUUCAUUAUGCCGCAGUCAGAUCGCGUGUCGUCGAUCACACAACAAUCAAAGUACUAGUUCAAACAGUAUUUCUCACGUGCUGCUAUCCCGCUUGAGUGUCCGCCACUUGUUUCCAGGAAGCAGAGCCGCCUUUGAGCUGCUGUUUUUAAGUCAUCGCGGCAAUCUUUUUCCACCGCUGAGGUACAUCUUCUAAAUCGCCAUGCUGUGACCCGCCUCGCCUGUUGUGAGCCGUCUCCGCCGCCUACCCCUGAUCGACCCACGUCGUUUCAAGCUAUUCAAAUCGCCGCCUCCGCCACCUCGAUCAUGCUGCUACUGCAGUUUUUGAGCCACCGCCAUGGUGAUGCUUCCGUUUCACUGCCGUGUUGAGCCGCCAGAGCCGCGUUGAGCCUCCUCUUCUAUGUUGAGCCACCCGGGUGAUAUCGAGUUGUCGGUUUGCCUGAACCGCCUUUGUUGUGUUAAACGGAUCAUCCGUCAUCCGAACAAUCAGGUGAUAUCUAUUCGUUUAAAUUUAUUAGCAUAUAUUGUUUUUUGAAAAAGAACAAUUAAUCUAGUUUGCUGCAGCUCCUGCAACUUGCAAGCCGAGGGCAAUCUGUAGUGAUGGAUCAAAAUAGUGCUAAGCACUCCUGAUUAUAUAAUGUCCCUUUGGUACAACAUCAGUUGAGGAACGAAGGCAAUCAGCCCAUAUUUCGAGUACAGAGCAAUAAAUCAUUAUGUCAGUCUACACGAACAUCUGUUAUUUGUCUGACUACAUCCAACAAUAUCUAGUGCCAGCAGUCAUGUUGAUCCGACAAAAAUACCAGGUGUUAUUUACUUUAUGUAUAUUUUUUGUAUACAUUAUUCGUCUGACAACAAUUACUCUGGCCUAUAUCUUUUUUAUACAGGACAAGUGCUCACUAUGGAAGUGAUGCCCUACCACGGACAGCGUGCGCUAGCUGUUCUACACCGGCAUCUGCGCAUGUCGCACUGAUGAACAGGAACACAAACCGCCGCCCCCGCAGUCCGGAUUACAUCAACAAUGUCGCGGCUGACUCUCUUGUCCGCUUUGGCUUAUAACACCGCGGCCGACUUAGCUAUCUGUGCUUCCUCUGAUGUUGUGGUCGUCUUUGUCGGUCGUCUCUUGCAGCGUGGUCUACAUCAACACAUCGGGCCGCACCUAUUUGCAUGAGCUGUUUAUUGAGUAUGAGCAAGUCACAGUUUAGGUAGCCCGGUUUUCUUUCAGCAAAAUGGAGGAAAAUUAUCAUAUACUAUCAACCACCAUCUGCACUAGGUGGCCCAAUGGGCAGGCGCACAAGUCGCCGCCACUACAGUUUGGUUAAAAAUAGCCAGUUGGAAGGAACCAUUGGCCGAGUUGAUGACAUGGCUCAUACGGGAUCAUUUAUAACCCGCCGCAGUCGCCUCAACCUUCUGUGGAUUCACAUCGUGCUAUCAACACCAAUGAUAUACAACUUAUGCUGGUUUAUAUCAUGGUCAAAUAUGGAGAAUCUCAAGCCAACUCCUUGAGUUUCCUUGAGACUCGGGGGCUACAAUGAUAUGACUCAGCAAGUGUUGCCGGUUUUCGAUGAAUUCAAGAAACCCAGGACAUUGGAGGGAAAGAUAACCCGGUCCCGGAGGCUACUACCAUAUUGAUGAAAGUAUAAAGGCCGUCAGAAAAUUUCCGGUUCAAAACAAAGAAUGCUGGUUUAAAAUCCGGUUCAAGGGAAAUCCGUUCUCCCACAAAGCUCUAAAGCUCUCAAAUCCGGUUUAAGAAUUUCCGGCUCAAAAAGAUUUAAUCUCUCGUAAGUUCGAGUUUUUAAAGGUCGCCAGAAAAUUUCCGGCUGAAAAUGAAGAUUCCGGUUUAAGAUCCGGUUCAAGGGAAAUAUGUCUUCCAUAAAGCUUGGAAGCCUUCAAUAUCUGGUUUAACAUCCGGUUCAAGAAGAAAUAUCUCUCGCAAAGUUUGAGUUCUCAGAAAAGUCAAAAGGGACCAAAGAGAGUUUGUUGCAUAGCACAACUCAAACAUAGGCACCCGUCGAGCACAGCUCAGAAAUAUAUCACACGGGGGCUUCUGUCUAUAAAGUAGAGCUCUGUUUACCCGUUGAUCCGGCUGGUCGAGCCAUAUAAAAAAAUCACUUGGGGGCUUGGUCAUAUUCGAAUCAUAGCUACACCUCUUGAUCGGCAUAAGGCCACCAGGGAAAUCAAUUAGGGGUCAAAGAGAGUGUUCCAAAAAGCACCAACUCAAACAUAAACACCCACUGAGCACAACUCAAAAUGUUACCUGGGGGCUCUUUCUGCACAGCAACAAAGAGUUUUAAAGGACCCUUGUAACAGGCUAUCAAGCCAGGCUUGGAAGCCAGGUGUAUUCACCUAAAACCCUGGGUUAACCUGCCUUCAUCAAGUAAGUCACUCCUCCCAGGUAAUCCUGGUAUGACCCGCCGAACGUUUGACAAAUCAAUCUUAUACAGACCCUGAACUUGUCAAAGUUAAAACGAUGAUUGGUUAAUGUGAGGUCCAUCUUAAAAGUGUUUUGUAAAAUGGUUUAACUCAGUGUCCUGGCAGCCCAUGAAAAUCCUCGAAUUUGGGCCUGGCAGCCCUUGAAAAGCCUAGACUACACAUUUUUAUUUGCUUUUAUUUGUCAAAGUCUUUUCUCCAUUGAUAAGGUUUUAUGAUAAACUGGCGUCUAUUGACCCGGCCUGACUAUAAGUCAUCAAUAUAACCCAGUGUUUGUUAACUCGUCCUGGCUUUGACUAUAAGUCGCCAGGAUGGUCAUCCGGUGCUUAUUAUAACCCGACAUGGCUUCAUUAUAAACCAGCAAGGCAUGGUGGGAAUUACCAGCAAAGCAUGGUGGGAGUUAUCCGCACUCCAGAUUUGGGUUAUCACCCUUACUACAAGAAAGUUGGUAAACCAACGACGUGAUUCAAUAUCACAAGUAUGAUAUAUUUCAUAUUUUAUUAUCCUUGCAGCCUUGGUUAUAAACCCGGGUUAUAUGUUGGGCAUUAUGACCCGUCCGGCGGUAAACCGCCAGGACGCUUUAAACUUGUUGUAUGCAGAAACAGGUUGAAUAAAGCAUAAUUAUAAAUCACCAGCGUUUAUUAACAUGGCCUGGCUUUAAGAUGAUAAGUCACUAGUAUAUGAUGAGAAAUUAUCCGGUGUUUAUUAACCCGGUCUGGCUUUGGACUAUAAGUCGCGAGUAUAUAUUUGGAUUGUGCCAUUGGAAUCAUGCGCUCAUAAAUCAUUGGAUUAUAUGAUUCAAAUCUUCAAAUAGCGAACAUGGCUGGAUUUUAUUAUGGUUAUCAAUAACCAGUAUUAUGAUUAAGGUUUUCAAAGUCACUUUAGCGCAAUGGCUAUCAUAUUAUCAAUGGAUAUGAUUUAUUCUAUAAUUGAAGGAAUAGUCCCGAGUUGCUACAGGCUUACGACCCGACACUUGGGGGCUAUAUUAUUCAAGUGGAGAUUACAUCAAAUAUGCAAGUCUCGUGUCGCUGCAAGCAUGCACCAUGGCACUUGGGGGCUAAUGCAAAGUCAUUUUUUGCUCAUCUUAUUGAAGACCCGACUCAUCACAUUAUAAUGAGCCAGCCCUUGGGGGCUACCAAUUGCUCUUGUCAACAAUUCAAGGUACACAAGUUUUAAUCCAUUAUAUUGAAAGGUUCACUGCUCAGUUGGUAGAGUAUAAAGCUCUUUAACCUCGUGGACGUGGGUUCAAGCCCCAUGGUGCAAAUUACAUCAUAUGAUGUUAUUAUCAAUGAAUUAUAUACAAAGUCCUAACUCAGUAUUAUCUUACUGAGCCGGCCCUUGGGGGCUACACAUUGCUGUUCAAAUUUACAUGAUCAUAUUUAUAAAGUCCCUGCUCAUUAUUUCAUAAUGACCUGGCCCUUGGGGGAUACACUAGUUGAAGUUUUUGAGCAUCAGGCAAUUACAAGUCCCAGGUUGCUGCAAGCAUGACAACCCGGCACUUGGGGGCUACAUAAUAUGGAGUAUUCAGUUUUUACUAGUGACUGGGAUGAACAACCUGGAUCUCUUCAAAAGUGGCAGUAUUUCUAUUGAAGCAAAUCUUAAGCCAUCACUUUGUUCUACUCAAGACUUGGGGGCUACAUGUAUUAUAUUAUUAUCGAAGAAAUAUUUUCAAAUUCUCCGUUUUGAGCAAACCAGAUUGACCCGGCGUCACCAAUCAUUAUGACCCUGUGUAUGCAACCCGGCGUCAUCAAUAAUCAUGAACCGGCGUUGGAAACAAUCGUGAAUCGACGUUGGCAACAAUCAUGAACCAGCGUUGGAAACAAUCAUGACCCGGAAUUAUCAGUUUUUAUAAACCCGACAAUGGUGGUAAUCAUAAACCGGCUAGUUCUACAUUUUCAAGCCGGCUGGAUAUCAGUUGAAUAUUUCAAGACCAAUAUUUUUGUCAAGUCAGAGCAUUGAAGGCCGACUCAAAUGGGUUCUUGAUUUACAAUAUUUCUUAUGUAAGCAAGUUGAUUAUGAAGCUGGUCUGUUGACCCGGAUUUUCUAGAAGAAGGAAAGGACAAGGACCUAAGGAUGUUCAGGUGCUGGUUUACAAGAAUUCUUAACCUGGAGCACAACCUGUCAAAUUUGUUCUUGUGUUUAUUUUGCAGCAUAAGUUUACCAUGGAUAAGUCCAAGCUAAACUGGGGGCUAAUGUCAGGGAUAUACCCCGCGAUAUGACCCGGCCGGAAUAUGACCCGGCCGGACUUGGCGGUUUACUUGAGACGGUUUACACUUGGCAAUUCAAUGGCGACCCGCCCUGACCAGGCGGUUUACAAGCAACCUACCUGAAUAUUAUGACUCACUGGUAACCCAGCGGGCAGGACAGACGGAUGACAAGGCCCAAGGCCCAGAAGGCCGGUUUAUAUUAAUGGCGGGCAGUUUAUGAGGAAAGCACAAGGAAUAUUCUCCUACAAAGGAAGCAAGACUAGGACUCCACUUGUAAUAGAGUAAUCCUAAUCCAACUAGGACUAGUCAUGUAAACUGCCCCUUCAACAUAUAUAAAGAGGGGCAGGGCUCCCCAAAAGGGAGGAAGGAAGAGAAGCAAUCUCUAGGGCUAGACACAACUAAAGGGGAGCCGGCUUAUGCGGCGUCUCCCUGAUGAGCAUAAUGAGAUCUAGCCACAAACAUCAUGUAGGGCUAUUACGUGAAGCUGUCUAAAUCCUUGUCUUGUGUGUUGCGUCUCUCGUCCCGAUCAACCCCUCUCAAGCUACCAUAUAGAUGCGUUGGCCUCACGACUAAGUCCUCACACUAGGACAUCUACCGUGACAAUUCCACGACACCUAGUCUUGCCAGCCACCACACUCAUGGGCGAGGGAGGGACGCUCCUGCCUUUGCGUGUAUGACAUGUGGGCCCGACAGGUGGGUGGCCAACUUGUCAUACGGCCAAAGGCAGGUGCAGUUAAGUCCGUAAGGGAGAGGAUAAUCAAACUUCUCGUUGAUGUACGAGUUGAUGUGACGCAUCAAAGCACUGCACUCGAUAUAUUUCAAUAAUUUGCGGUUACCAAUGCAUUAAUUACAACACAUGCAUGCAUGUCAUGACUCUCCUUUUGAUACUUGCAUGUGUUGAUUUAAUGCACCUUGAAAUAGUACUCUCUCUGAUUCCUUUUACUUUGUGUAUAACUUUCUCUUGUUUUUCUCAGAUUAGUCUACGCGUCCGCGUUGGUUUCCAUCUGUGCCCCCGCUCGAUUAGUUCUGCCCCCAUUAAUCGCGCCAGUUUCCAAAGCAGAAAAUGGCUACAGGCAAAUGCAUGCAGCACCGGAUGCGGCUUGAUCGCCUGGGAAGCCAACUCAAGCGAAAAGGAAGGAGGACCAGCCAACCAUUGCACGCGCAUUUACUGUCGAUAUUUAUACAGCUUACUCAUGCGCAGGGGCAAAUUUGUCCAGAAAACUCAAACUACUGCCUUCCUUGGUAUGCGGGAGGAGAGUUAUGCGCAAAGUAUAAAAUAUGUGACGGUAAAGCUUUGUAAUGCCCCGGCCCAAGCGAGAGAUGGUUGUGCACGAGGAGGGCGAGAUCAUGCAGAUGGAACAGGAACCGACGAUGGAGCUCACUAAGGUCUCGAUGCACCUCACCGUGCUCCACUGCCCCUUGUGCCUCCGCCCCUUGACGCCUCCAGUGUAUGAGGUUCGAAUACACCUCGUCCGUUUGGCUGAUUGAGCAAGGUGCAGGUUUCUUGAUUGAUGUGAUGUUCGAUUGAUUUAUGCAGUGCAAGGGAGGGCACCUGGCCUGCAAGAUUGCCGCAUCGAGCGCCCCGGGAACCAGCGGCAGUGCCAGAAGUGCGAGCGCGGCGGUGGCUUCAACGUGCGGAACACGACGGUGGAUGUCGUCAUUUCGUCGCUGAGGGUGGAGUGCCCGCACGAAGGAUGUGGGCUCUACGUCACUUACCACAAGCUCGCAGAUCACUAGAGCGUGUGUCCGCUCGCGCCCUGCAAAUGUCCCAUGCCCAUGUGCGGCUACGAAGGCCCGCCGCCGGCGCUCUACCACCACAUCAGCAACGCGCAUCCCAUGUCCGUGCACAGGAUCCAGUACGGCAAGGUGUUCCAGCUACAAGUGCCACUGUCGGAACCACGGCUCUUGCUGUUCGUGGAGGAGGACGGCCGCGCAUUUUACUUGGUGGGCGGCGUGCUCGACAUAUUGCCAUGUCGGUCGUCUGCAUCAGAGCAGGGGCAUCCCCACUGCCGCACUACAUGGCCAAGAUGUCGCCGGGGGAGCCCAAAGUCAUGACCGACGCCGUCAAGGUGGAAAUGGAGGUGACAAGCAGCAAGGAUCCCGGCGACGUCGACGUGCAGGAGCUGACCUUCUUCACAGUUCCGCCCAAGCUGCCGGCCGGGGCUAAGCUAGUGUCCCUCCACAUUCAGAUUGACAAGCUCACGUCCUAAAGGUUUCUACAGUGCCUUCUGUUUAUCUUAGUAAUAUGCUAAUAUAGGGAUUACCUCGGUCUACUUUAGCUUAAGAAAUGGUGGGUUUUGGUGGCGAUGCAGCAAUUACUUCGACAUCAGAUCAGUAAUUUCCAACAAUCGAACGGAUAUUUUGUGUCUGUUGGAUAUAAAGUUCCUUUGGGUAAGAAGUAUUAGAUAAAAGGAGAUGUAUGUAGACGUAUUUUAGUUCUAGAUACGUCCCUUUUUAUCCAUUUUGAUGACAAGCACUCCGUCCGUUCCACAAUACAUGCCUUCCAUUUGUCAAAAUAUAGAUAUAUCUAGACAUGUUUUAGUAUAUAGGUACAUCCAUGAUAGAGCCAGUCAGAUGGUUGAGAACACUACAAUUCGUAGCUACAGAUGCGUGUGUGACUCCCAGAUGCAGAGGCCGGGGGUCAUCAUCCUCCUUUUUGAGAAAAAAUAGACGCGUGUGUGAGAGGAAGAGUGCGUGCGUGCACCUCUUCUCUUCCUGUAUAACAUACUAAACUCAUAGUACAAGUUUUUGUGGGUGGCACGAUGGUGCGUGCGAGAAGUCCCGAGAGAUAGGUUUAAUGCGUCUAAAAAAAGACUAGCCUAUAGCUCGCCAGGCAGCUAUUCCUGUCGAACGCCCCAUUAACCGUAAGAUAUGUAUACAACAGUGCCAGUUAUUGCACGUACACAAUAGUAGAAAAAGAACUACUACACCACGGCCAAGAACACGUGCCCACAUAACGCCAUCCGGGAAUAGUGCCGCACUUCGAAACUAGAACCGUCAAUAAAUUUUGAGCUUGCGUCUCCUCACAUUCCAAAUUACUCCAAGCUAUAUGGAAUUGCAAACUUGUUCACAACGAUCACAACCUAAACGGUUUCCCACUUAGGAGCGUAUUAGUACUCGGUUAUAAAUACUAGUAUGCCAAGAUGACUGCAAUUCCUCCUCAACUCCUCAUCCACAAAAACAAACAAGUCAUUCAACAUCCUUCCCUUGCGUCUGCCAUGGCCAGCGUGAGUUCUGGGUCGAGAGAUUGCCCCCAGAGAGAGGCGAGUAUGGAUGCGUAAGCACGAGAGAUGUCCCGCCUCGCUGCAAAAGCAGCCGACAUGUCCCGCCGCAUGGAAGUAGCAGCACAGAGGUCCCGCCGCGCCAUCGAUGCAGCAAACCGGUCCGGCCGCGCCACGGAAGAAGCAGAGAUGUCUCGCCGCGCCGUGAAUGCAGCAGAGAUGUCCCGCCGCGCCGCGGCAGCCUGGGAAAAUUUCUCGCGGGCAGGCGACGACUGUUACAGGCGCAUGCAUGCGAUCGUCCAUAGCCAGAUGGAUCAGAUCUCCGGCUAGGCGAGGUUGCAGGACGACAUGAAAGCCUCAUUUGAACAGGCUACCGGCGUCAUUCGACAACUAAGGGAGGGCAAUGAGAGGCUCCGGGGCAAGCGCGACCUGCUGAGUGCGAAGAUCGUUCGAAGUGCAGACCAGCAGGAGGAGACCAGUGCCUUGUUGAAGAGGACCGGCAUCAUCGUCAAGAAACUUAUGGAUGAGAAUGACAUGCUCCGCAUCGAGCGCCAAAGGCUGGUGGAGGAAUCCGUGGAUGUUCUCAAGCAGCGUCUUGAGGACACGAAAGAGCUCAUCGCCGCUCGCCGCGGAGACUAGUUCUCGCGGCCUGCGGCAACGCAUCAAGAAAGUAGAUAUCAGCAAGCCAGAUCCUUGUCGUCCUUCUUCUUUUGCCCUCGUGUAUUUCAGGCAUAGCCACAUGUGGCUUUUUUAAUUAUCUUUCUAAUUAUGUAAGACAAUUAAUCGUCCUUAUAUAUUCUUCAGUAUUUCUAUAAGUCGCAGUAGAUGCUAUAUAGGUCCGUUGGAUCUUACAUCAAGAUCCGUGCUUUCUGAUUUUCUUUUUUCUCUCUUAAAUCUCAGUCGAGUGAGACAUAGCCACGCCAUUAAACAGAGGCUCGGGCGCCAAUAAUGGAGACCUUGGGAGAGAGGUAGACGGCAGAUGGAGGUCAAAGGGCUCUCCUCCCAAUAAGCACGCGCAGGGGUCUGAUCGACGCCUCUUGUACUCAAAUAGCUACCCUGCACGGCGCCUCCUAGCUAAUAAAAAAUGGGGACGCAUGGCGGCACGUAAAUGGUAGUAAAUAGAACGCCCACGGUUUCAAUAAUACUUGUGUUUCCGAUAGUAACAUGACAACACUUGUUCCAAAAUGACUUUGUUGAUUGUUAAUGUGUGCGCCUUCGCAAAUCGAACAUGGCAGCAAGCCAAGUUUCAUUAUUUUCAUGCGUGUUUUGGAAUUCAGGAAUUAAAAAACUAAGUUUCUCAAUGUUUCCAGCCCAGCCACGACGCCCAGAAUUUGAAUUUCAUUCCCAUUUCUUGCAUGGAACCUAGAAAUUUACCCGAGGACACACAUGUGAUUUUUCAACCAACUUUGGUGCACUGGAACAUGUGCUUGUAUUUCAAAUUUCAAUUAUGCACACAAAGGUGACACGUUCCCUCUCAGAACCACGAGCCUUCUUGAGAGAAGCUCUGAUUUGCAAGAAGAUUAUACCCAAAUUUGUUCCUAUUCGGCCAAAUGUUUUUACCACGGAAUGGUACUACCAUGACAUGACACCAUGCCAAGUAUCAUGAUUUUAAAACCAAGUUUCUUAAUGUUCUCGACCGAGCCAUGAUGCCCAGUUGUUUGAAUUUUAUUCUCAUUUUUUGCAUGGGACCUAGAAAUUCACCCGAGGACACAAAUGUGAUUUUUCAACCAACUUUGGUGCACGGGAGCAUGUGCUUGUAGUUCAAAUUUGAAUUAUGCACAUUAAAUGACCAAAAACUCAAGUAAUGUGUAAAAAGGCCAAACGAAGCCAGAAUGAUUCCAAAAUUUAAUAGGGCACUCAUGUAGUUCUAUGUUACCUUUGUAAUUAAACUCAAGGGGGACAGUGUAUAUCGUUUCACACUCAAAGGUGGCACGUUCCCUCUCAGAACCACGAGCCUUCUUGAGAGAAGCUUCAGUUUACAAGAAGCUUAUACCAAAAUCUGUUCCUAUUCGACCAAUUCUUUUACCACAGCAUGGUAGUACCAUGACAUGACACCCAUGCCAAGUUUCAUGAUUUUCAGACGUGUUUUGGAUUUACAAGAAUUUUAAAUCCAAGUUUCUCAAUGUUCUCGGCCGAGCCACGAUGCCCAGAUGUUUGAAUUUUAUUCUCAUUUCUUGCAUGGGACCUAGAAAUUCACCCGAGGACACAAAUGUGAGUUUUCAACCAACUUUGGUGCACGGGAGCAUGUGCUUGUAGUUCAAAUUUGACUUAUGCACAUUAAAUGACCAGAAACUCAAUUAAUGUAUAAAAAUGACAAAUGAACCCGGAAUAAUUCCAAAAUUUAACAGGGCACUCAUGUAGUUCUAUGUUGCCUUUGUUAAGAAACUCAAGGGUGGGGGCAGCGUAUAUUGUUUCACACUCAAAGGUGGCACGUUCCCUCUUAGAACCACAAGCUUCCAAAUCAGCACAAUUUUUUACCACAACAUGUUAGUGCCAUGACAUGACACCAUGCCAAGUUUCAUGAUUUCUAGACAAGUUUUGGAUUUACAUUAAUUUAAAAUCUAAGUUUCUCGAUGUUCUUGGCCGAGUCACGACGUGAUGUUUGAAUUUCAUUCUCAUUUCUUCCAUGGGACCUAGAAAUUCAACCAAGGACACACAUGUGAUUUUUCAACCAACUUUGGUGCACCAGAGCAUGUGCAUGCAGUUCAUAUUUAGAUUAUGCACUUUAAAAGUCCAGAAACUCAAUUAAUGUAUAAAAAGGCCAAACGAACCCAAAAUAAUUCCAAAAUUUAACAGGGCGCUCAUAUAGUUCUAUGUUGCCUCUGAAAAGAAAAUCACGGGGGAGGCAUCAUAUAUCAUUUCACACACAAAGGUGACACGUUCCAUCUCGGAACCACGAGGCUUGUUGAGAGAAUCUCUGGUUUUGCAAGAAGCUUAUACCAAAACUUGUCCCAAUUCAGCCAAAAAUUAUACAUAUGAAAACAGGGUUUAGAUUAUCCCGAACAUCUCGCUACCUAGACCAAUAAUGUACUAUGAUUUAAAUUCAACAUAAAAUGGAUACAAAUAUUUGAAUUGGAGAGCAUAUGGUACAUGUAGUUCAUAGUGAAAUAUGAUUACUACUAUAUGCAUGCUUUUUGUUAUCAAGAUAAUAUUUAAAUUAUUGUAUAACUUGACAACAAUCGUAUUCAAAUAAGGAAAAUUGAUUCAAAUUUAGUCCAUAUGGUAGACGACAAUAUAUAUGUUCACAUGGUGGAGUAAAAUGUUCAUAUAUGAUGGAAGAUCAAAAUGUACGACUACAUCAAUUAUAAACCGCGAGGUCACCUAACGAUAUAUUCGAAUUCAACAUAACGUGGAUUAAAAAAAUUGAAAUUCGAGAUCUUGGCAUUUGUAAUCAUAUAAAAAGGGACAUUACUCUUUCUUUUGGUGGGAAUUGAUUUGUUUUUUGUUGUUGUUGAGGGAAGUGCGAAUCGAUUUGGUACUGUGCAGGGUAACCUUGUUCUCCCGAAUUUUUUUACAUUUUUCUUGUAGUUUUUUCAAUGGCAUCUAUAGCAAUAUAGUAAAAGGCGACAUGACUCUCUUGUGUCUUGUAUGAAUUGUUUUUUUUUGCACGUUAAGUUUGUUCUGCUGAACAAGGAAUCCGCACCUGGUUAUCCCGAAAUUUUCAAGCUCAAGUAUCUUUUGUCUCACCUGCUUUGAAACUCCUGCCUCUUCAACCCACGCCGCGCCUUGUUAUCCCGAAAUUUUGACGCGCACGAAAACUCCCUCCUCAUCCGAAAUCGGUCCCGCAGCCCAGACAUGGGAAAUCCCCCUUCUACCCCUCAGCCGGAAAUGAAGCUCCAGGUCGCAGUGUCAAAACUGGUGGGGGUACACUGGUAACUUACCCUACAUUUCGGACAAGCGNNNNNNNNNNNNNNNNNNNNNNNNNNNNNNNNNNNNNNNNNNNNNNNNNNNNNNNNNNNNNNNNNNNNNNNNNNNNNNNNNNNNNNNNNNNNNNNNNNNNNNNNNNNNNNNNNNNNNNNNNNNNNNNNNNNNNNNNNNNNNNNNNNNNNNNNNNNNNNNNNNNNNNNNNNNNNNNNNNNNNNNNNNNNNNNNNNNNNNNNNNNNNNNNNNNNNNNNNNNNNNNNNNNNNNNNNNNNNNNNNNNNNNNNNNNNNNNNNNNNNNNNNNNNNNNNNNNNNNNNNNNNNNNNNNNNNNNNNNNNNNNNNNNNNNNNNNNNNNNNNNNNNNNNNNNNNNNNNNNNNNNNNNNNNNNNNNNNNNNNNNNNNNNNNNNNNNNNNNNNNNNNNNNNNNNNNNNNNNNCUCUUCCCCGACUACGUCGUCCACCGCAACAGCUCACCUUCCCUCAUCCACCGCACCGAAUGAGGAUCCAUCGUCGAUCUCGUCGUCCCGCCGGAUUAGCCGCCCCGUCCUCCACCUCCAAGGAGCUGCCCCGACGUUCGCCUCGUCUAUCGCGCCACCUCAAUCCCCAUAGUGCCGUCUUGACCUGCCCCACCGGAACCGCAGCACCCUCACCAAUUCCUUCGAUGAAGUCGAGGCCAACUCGGCGCCACCGAGGAGGUUCUGCACUCACCGCUGCAUUUUAUCUUUUAUUCGAUCUCACGGGGUUUCCGGUGCUCGAUACCAAGCAGACAUGGCGGGUCUCCAUCGAUGGCGCCGUCGCCGGCCACAUCAUCCACGGCGUCUCUCCCCCAUGUCGUUGCUUCCUCAGCAGCGACUUCCACAACGGCACUAUGGGGAGGCCAUUGCGGCUCUAUUCUUGCUGUCGGUCGUGCUGCUGCAGUGCUCUUGCUUUCGUUCAUGCUGCUGCUCUGCUCUUGCUCUCGCUUGCGCUGCUACUGCUACUACACGACCUCCGGUAGCUACAGGAGUUGCUGCUUUAGCACUCACUCGCGGUGCUACUGCACGACUUGCUCUCUACUAGUGUGUUCCCUGCUCGAGCGUCUGCUGAUUUAGAUUGCUGCUUCUCUGCUACUAGUGCUUGAACUCCCUAAACAUCUAUUGCAAUGCUCUGCUACUAGUUCAAUCAGUUUCGACAUUAAAAUAUAGUUUUGACUGUAAAGUUCAUUUUCUUCAGUUAAGUUCAGAGUGAACUGUCGCGACAGAUGCGUUCUACAUCUAGCACUUUUUGGUGAUGUAUUUUAGAUGAUCUAUCACAGAUGAUAUUAGGGUCCCACUUCAGAUUAACGUUGUCUGUCUUGUCCUGUUUCAGCCUCGUCGCCGUACACCUCACCGGGGCUGCUCCAACAACGGAACUGUCCAUCACAGCAGAGCAGUACCCUCGGCGCCGUUUCCAGAGGCCUCGGAUCUUCUUCCCCACCUCCGACAGUCACACCAGCAUCACCAUCCUCCACGUCCAACCCAAUGAUGGUGAGGUCCACAAGGCCAUGCCAAAGAAGUUGUACACUCGUCGCAUCACUUUGUUACUCUACAUUCAUGUCGAUCCCUCAGGGAUCCUUUGCUAUGGAACUACUAUUUGUGCAAAUCUGUUAGAAGGAGUGGAGCAAAGCAAAACUGGAGGAUUUUUUUUCCUUUGGUGUCUCUUUCGAAGAAAAAACGUUGGAAUUUUAUUCACUUGGAUGUCCUUUUCAAAUUAAUAUGCAUGAAGAACAGAACUAAUUGCAUUACUGGCAUAAUAAGAUGCUUAUUUUUUCAUUUUCACAUGGUUUGACUUUAAUUUGACCACGUUUCUCCAUUCCUGUCUUCUUCCAAUUCAUGUGAACCAAACACCUAGGUUGACUAAAAUCCUAUGUUUCCAAAUGCUCUGUUUUGCACGUGCAUUCCUAUCCUAUUCCUGUGUUUUUCCUGUCCCUGCGUUUACAGAAUCCUCCAAUUCUAAGGAGCCCUUACAGAUUUACUUCAUUCUCAGAUAGGCGUCAAAGAAAACUCUGUUUGUUAUGUCCUGCUCCUACCGUGCCGUCAUCCACCCCACCUGAGGUGCACCAUCGACAAAAGCGUUCACAACAGCAGAGAUCCCCCCUGCAGACUUUCUUUCGAUGCCUUAGAUCAUCUUACCCGUUGCCGGCAGCCACGCCAACUGCAUUACCAUCAUCGACUGAGCAGAUGAACCUGAGGACUACACAGUUCUGGAAGAGAGGUCGCAGUCUUUCGUGUUUGCUUACGUUAUACAUCGGUUAUUAUUACCUGCUACUUUAUCAUUCAAACUUGAGUUUUGAAAUGCCCAUGGGUCUCAUAUCGAGCCAGCAACAAAUAGUAUAUGUCUACUAUCUGGUUCAUCUGGGUCUUCUAUGUGGUUCAUGUUGGGUGGGCAACAAACAAUAGAUGAUCCACUGUCUAUCUUUUUAAACUGAAGCUAUAAUCUACCUGCUAUCAUUAGUUUUGAAUCCAUCCACUCAUUUGCUACCAUCAGUCUUGAUUUUUGCAUGCACCCCUUAGGUCUUACAAAGUCUAACUAUUUUCUUAUUAUGCAUGUCAGAUAUUGUACACAAUCAUACUGAACAUGUAGAGAAAAAGAGAGGACCAUUGCGUGGGUAUAUAAUGUCAUGCAGACGCCGCUCCAUGGUGGGCGAAGUGCCCCCCCCCCUCCCGCAUUUCCAGAUUGUAUUCCAGAGGAAGAUAACUAUUUAGAUGGGGAUUCAGAAGGAGGCGACCACGCCUGUUUACCACCUGAGGUGUUUGCUCUAACUUGGCAUGCUGAUGUUGGUCAUAUCAUGCAUAUGGCGCCUUGCAUUGCUUACAUUAUACAUCUUAUAUGUCAUCAGCUUAGUUUAUAUUUGCUUUGUGUGAAUGCCACCUGUUUGGUUUCUAUAUCAUACUCCCACCAUUUCUAAAUAUUUGUCUUUUUAGAGAUUUCAACAAGUGACUACAUACGGAACAAAAUGAGUGAAUCUACACUCUAAAAUAUGUCUAUAUACAUCCGUAUGUGCUAGUCCAUUUGAAAUCUCUAAAAAGACAAAUAUUUAGGAAUGGAGGGAAUUAUGCAAUGCAUCUUCUUUAGCCAGGCAUCAUAUACGUGAAUCAUGCAAUGCCAUCCUGUUUAGCCAGUCAUCGUAUAUGUGAAUUGUAUCGUGCCAUAUUUUUUCCAUAAUGUAUUCCAUUUGUCAACAAUGUUUAUAGAUUCAUCUACUCUUUCUGUGCAUCAGCCAUUUGAGUCGGUCAUGGGAACAUCUGGGGUGAAAACAAUGUCUUCUGAGCAGUCAGUGCUACCUGUCGAUGCAGAUUUGUUGCUGGUUACAGAUAGCUCCUCAGAGGAGGAUUCAGAGACAGAUGGCGAGUCGUAUCCCCCCCCCCCGAGGUGCAUGCUCUAACUUGGCUGGGUUAUAUUGCUCAUAUCAUGCAUAUGGUGUCUUGCAUUGCCAUGCCAUCUGCUUAGAUUAGACAUGCUUUGUGUGAAUGCCUCCUGUUUGCUUUCUAUAUCACAUAUGUGAAUUAUGCAGUUCCAUGUUUUUCAGCCAGUUAUCAUAUAUGCGAAUUAUGCACCGUCAUGUAGCCAGGCAUCAUAUAUGUGAAUUAUCUCAUGCCAUCUUUUUUUCAUUACAUAUUCCAUUGUCGACAAUCUGUGUAUAUUGAACUACUAUUCAUGUGUAUCAGCCAUUUGAGCCGGUUAUGGAAAAAUCUGGAGUGAAAACAAGGUCUUCAGAGCAGGCAAUGGUACCCGUUGAAGAAUAUAUCUCGAUGGUUACAGGGAGCUCCUCAGAGGAGGAUUCAAAGACAGAUGACCAGUCCUAUAUCCCGCCUGAGGUGUAUGCUCUAAGUUGCAAUGUUUUAUAUUUCUCAUAUGAUGCAUAUGGUGUCUUGCAUUGCUUAGUUUAGACAUCAUAUGCACAAUAUUGAAUUCCAUCUGCUUAAUUUAGAGAUCAUACAUGCGAGUGCCGGCUGCUUAGUAUAUGAAUCAAUUAUGUCAAUUAUAUCAUGCCAUCCUGUAUACUUAGACAACGUGUAUGUGCAUUAUUUCAUCCCAACCUAUUUUAGAAAGACACCAUAUAGUUUUGCCAUGUCAUCCUGUUUAGGUACUCAUCAUAUAUAUGUUGAAUUAUGCCAUUAUAUCCUGUUAAGUUAUCCAUCAUAUAUCUGAAACUGUGUCAUGCUAUCCUGUUUAGUUAGGCAUCAUAUCUGUGAAAUUGUGUCAUGCUGUCCUGUUUGGUUAGACACCAUAUAUGUUAAUUACCACAUCUGUCUAUCAUACAAUGUCUGUAUGUUCAGUUUGUUUUCUUGUUUAUCAGCCAUUUGAAUUGGAGGGGGUGAUGGCAGUAUCUAAGGGAGCAAAAACCCGUUCUUCACAAAAGACAGUGCUACCCGUCGAUGCAGAUAGAACCAUGGUUGUACUGGCCCACAAACUAGCCCCACCACACAUAAUCGAUACUCUUCCAGAUUGCACACUUACAUCGGUGGGCAGAGAACCAGCUACAACCCAUCUAACCGCAACCCCAGCGGAUAGUAACCCACUUAUAGUUGACAAAGCACCAUGUCCACCAUAGAGUACCCCCACAUGAGCAGUUUGUAAAGCUACUGCAGUGCCCAAAGCACGAAGACCACCACAGCUAACCCAAACUCCACGUUUAAAGCAGAAGAGGAACUGUUCUCAGGUCAGAUUCCGUAGCUAUGGUCCAUACUCCUUUGCUAUUGCAUCACUGUAUUUACUCAUACCAACUACUUUCGAAUUUGAAGGAUCCAAUUGAAACUCCAAUGGCGCAAUAGGUAUAUUUUAAACCUAUUUCUUUAACUGGAUUGCGGUUCUAACUUCUUGCUCUAUGUUGAUUUCAGUUUAAGUUGUAUAAACAGUUAUGUUCUCAUGUGAUGUACAUUACAAGUGCUGCCAAUGUUGUGUAGUUUCUCACACUUAUAUUCUACCUAUGAUGUUGUGUCUUAAAAAUAUAUGAGUUGAACUGUGUCUCUAUCUUGAUUAGGCAACAUAAACUAGAAUGAUAUGGACAAUAAAGUGACCAUAGUACAUAGAUAUAUGUUUGUUUCAUGCCGUUAUCCUGUCCACCUUACUACUGAACCAGUUUACCAAAAUGAGUUUCAUAUACUACAAGCUAAACCUGUGAUGUGUCUGUUUGUUUCUCUUGUAGUAUGCAAACAGAAUAUUCGAGAAGAGCACCCCACUAUGCAAUGGUAGAGAAAGUAAUGCGGAUAAGGUUCAAGAUAGUGAGACAACCCUGUUGAUCUCCAAGAAAGGUGAUAAAAGCGAUCUUGUAGACAGUGAGAAAACCCCACAGUCCUGCGUUGAUGUAGUGUUCGAGUUACUGGCCAGUACCGCUGGCAUGAGCUCUUCGAACUCGCUGCCUGAAUCACUUCGGCUUCUUCAGUCUCAACUACAAGCUGAAAGGCAUCAGUCAGCUGUGCUGCGGCAAGAAGCCGAAGGACUGAGGAAGUCCCUGCAGAAUUCAGAUGUGUACUUUCUUGUGCAAUAGCAAGCGCUGGAGGAUUUAAGCGCCAAACAAGAGAAAGUUAAUAAGCUUGCUAAGCAUCUUUCCAGCAUUAUGGGUACCCAGGAUAUUGUUUCUUGAGCUCUUCUGAAGUGGUUUCAGUUCUGGACUUGUUUUGCUACGGCGUUUAUAUGUUGCUUUGUUCCCUAUAUUUGCACUAGUGGCGAACUUUGAUGCCCAGUGGAUGUAAUAUGUGUAAUAGCCGUGAUAGCCUAGCAUAAGUUGCUUGCUUAUUUAUUUCCUUGUUGUCUUGUUUAUUUGUUUGCUUGUAGUUAGUGCAGUUCUUUUUCCGUGGUUUUCUAGUGGCCGCAAUAACCUAUUUUUUAAAACUAGGCCACAAUAACCAUGGGCUACAUAUUUACUGUAGUGGCACUGGGCCUCCUACCAGCCGUAGAAACAAUGGGCCUUCUAUGGGCCGUAGAAACAAUGGGCCUUCUAUGGGCUGUAGACACAAUGGGCUUUCUACGGGUCAUAUCAUCAAUGGGCCUUAUAUGGGCCGGACGAUCGAUCGGCCAAACAUGGGCCAAUAACAGACCGCAUUAUGGCCGUAAACGGGCUAGAGUUGGAAUCGUCUAUUCAUGGGCCGACCAUAAUGGGCCAUCGUUAAUAGGCCGUAUUUGAUGACGCUAUGAAAAUGGCCCAACGUAUUAACGGGCCACAAACGGGCCGACUGUAACAACGGGCUGAAUAUGGCCCACAAGUAGAAAAUGACAGUAACGGGCCAUAAGUAACUGAAUGCUGGAAAUGAGCCCAAGAAUAAAUGGGGCCUGAGAAGGCCGAAAGAUAACAUGGGUUGGAAACGGCCCAAUGGAAUAAUGGGUCGUUAAUGGGUAUAAAGUGAUACACUAUUCAUUACAGGCCAGUUUCACCACGGGCCAUUAAUGGGUAUAAAGUGAUACACUAUUCAUUGCGGGCCAGUUUCACCACGGGCCGUUAAUGGGCCAAGAAUUACAAAGUGCCUCAUAUGGGCUGAAAUACGUCAUGGGCCAUACAUGGGCCAGAAGUGAAAACAGGCUGGAAUCAUAUUGGAUGGCCCAGAUGACGCUACUGGGCCUAAUUCGGAUAGGGCGUAAUGGGCCUUGGGUUAGCAGACUGUAAAUGGGCUAUAUGCGAACAUGCUGUUAACAAGCUUUCCAUGGGCCGGCCCGCCACCUUUUGACCAAGUCAAACGGGCCGGCCAUUUAACAGGAAUGGGCCUCUGUUGGGCCGUGCACGUGUCGACGUAUUAUAAGCGCCUUCUGUCCAAUGAGUGGAUGACAUCUGUCCCAACGAUGAGCCGACAUGUCUUUCCUCCAGCCAAUGAUGAUUUUACACGUGGAAAAUCCCCAUUGGUCCGGGAUGUUAACGGGUUAUUGGAUCCAAAACCCGACCCGGUAGCUUAACCGCGUUCCGUUACGGUGGAUGCCACGUGUCAGUCACCCUUGACGAGAGCACUUCUGUGACGCGCGAUUUAUCAUCAUGGAAGUGGACACUUCCGUGAUGAUAAUUUUGGUAAUGUCAUGGAACACUUCUACGACAACACAUGUAUGACUAUCUUGAUUCUGUCAUAAAAUCGUCAUGGAUGUACAUGCAUGACAAAAAACGCGACCUACUAUGACAAACACGUAUCAUCACGGAAGAGUUUUUUUUGUAGUGGAUGCUGACUACUGGAAGGAAGUAGUUCAUAGCGAGAUGGAUUCCAUCUUGGCGAAUGAAACUUGGGAGAUAACUGAUCGUCCUUGUGGGUGCAAACCUAUAGGAUGCAAAUGGGUAUUCAAGAAGAAGCUUAGGCCUAAUGGUACUAUUGAAAAGUACAAGGCUCGGCUCGUGGCUAAGGGUUAUACCCAAAAGGAAGGUGAAGACUUCUUUGAUACUUACUCACCUAUGGCUCGAUUGACCACUAUUCGAGUUCUACUUUCAGUAGCUGCCUCACAUGGUCUUCUCGUUCAUAAAAUGGAUGUUAAGACUUCUUUCCUAAAUGGAGAGUUGGACGAGGAAAUUUAUAUGGAACAACCAGAUGGGUUUGUAAUAGAUGGUCAGGAAGGGAAAGUGUGCAAGUUGUUGAAUUCUUUGUAUGGACUCAAGCAAGCACCCAAACAGUGGCAUGAGAAGUUUGAAAGAACUUUAACAGCUUCAGGCUUUGUUGUGAACGAAGUUGACAAAUGUGUGUACUAUCGCCAUGGUGGGGGCGAGGGAGUUAUCCUUUGCUUGUAUGUUGAUGACAUACUGAUUUUCGGAACUAAUCUGAAUGUUAUUAAGGAGAUCAAGGAUUUCCUAUCUCGCUGUUUUGAGAUGAAGGAUUUAGGAGUGGCUGAUGUCAUUCUGAACAUCAAGUUGUUGAGGGACGAUGAUGGUGGGAUUACAUUGCUUCAAUCUCACUAUGUGGAAAAGAUCUUGAGUUGCUUUGUCUACAAUGACUGCAAGCCCUCUCCAACACCAUAUGAUGCUAGUGUGUUGCUUUGAAAGAAUCAAAGAAUUGCUAGAGACCAAUUGAAAUAUUCUCAGAUUAUUGGCUCGCUCAUGUACUUAGCUAGUGCUACAAGACCUGACAUCUCUUUUGCUGUUAGCAAACUGAGUCGGUUUGUCUCAAAACCAGGAGAUGUGCAUUGGAAAGCUCUAGAGAGAGUUUUGCGUUAUUUGAAAGGCACUGCAAAUUAUGGAUUUCACUACACUGGGCACCCAAAGGUGCUUGAAGGGUAUAGUGACUCAAACUGAAUCUCAGAUGCUGAUGAGAUAAAGGCCACGAGCGGAUAUGUAUUCACUCAUGGAGGUGGCGCUGUUUCUUGGAAGUCUUGCAAGCAGACCAUCUUAACGAGGUCAACAAUGGAAGCAGAACUCACAACACUAGAUACAGCUACAAUCAAAGCAGAUUGGCUUCACCGGCUCUUGAAUGACUUGCACGUUGUUGAGAAACCUGUACCGGGUAUCCUUAUGAACUGCGACAAUCAAACUGUGAUCAUGAAAGUGAAGAGCUCAAAGUAUAACAUGAAGUCAUCAAGACACGUUCAGAGAAGGUUAAAGUCUGACAGAAAAAUGAGAAACUCCGGAGUUAUUGCAUUGGAUUAUAUCAAGACACGUUCAGAGAAGGUUAAAGUCUGGCAGAUCCUUUUACUAAGGGUCUAUCACGUAAUGUGAUAGAUAAUGCAUCGAGGGAGAUGGGUAUGAGACCCACAAUAUGAGUUGUUCAUAGUGGUAACCUAUUCUUUGUGAUCGGAGAUCUCGUGAAUUAGAUGUGGAAGACAAGUUGUUGGUCAACUAGGAGGAGAGUACCCUUACUGUUAAAAAAUACCACUCCAUGAAGAUGCAAUACUCUCCUAAUCUGCAUGCCAGGUUGAUGUAUAUCUUAAUGUGUUCUAAGUGGCUCUUUGAAGCAGAGAUGUUGUCCUGCAGAACAUCUUUUGAAGAAUGCACCUAUAUGAGUCUGAUUGUUAAAUGUCGCAAUCUAUGAGAGUAGGGUUUUCUCUAGUAAACUCAUGAAAGGUCUCGGAGUAUGACGCAUAAGCUCCACCCGCGGGGAAGACCCACGGUAGGCACGUAUCGGUCAAGGCUUUAUGUGAAGCUAGAUUCGCAGAAAACUUGCAGUUCAAGGCCCAGUCCACUGUUCAAGUUGCUUACUAGUGUAGCAUAGAGUUCUAGGUGGAAUUUCAACUUAACAGUCUCCACUGCAGUACCGGUAUAUAAAACAGUGUUUUGGAACGAAAGGCAAAUUUUGUGUGCCUCUGGGAUCUGGUGGGGGAUUGCUGGAAUUUUUGUCAAUUUGGGCCUACCCCAAUAGCAGUUUCAGAAAUUCCUAAUAAAUCCUAGAGGCCCACGCAACCCAUUCGUGCAAGGCAAGAGGUGGAACUAAAGUUUAGUCCCACAUUGCUUGUUUAGAGGGAGUUGGACCUCUUUAUAAGGGAGGUUCUUUCCCCACUUGUAUAAGCACGAGAACAAGAGGGACAUCCACGCGCGCUCCUCCUCUGCCGCCGCCUUGCCAUGCCACGCCUUGUCAUGACGCGCCGCGGGUUACGGGAAUGAGCCAAGCCGAUGUCUAAAUUUUUGCCACGCACUACGCGCAUACGAAAGGUCGCUCGAAAGCUGAAAUGUUUUUCUGUACUGGACACUGAAUUCAAACGGCGCGCCUCUUCGGCUGCUGCAUGCUCGUUUCGUCUCCCGCGUUCCCUUCAGCUCCCGGCGCAGCCUCUCGCCUCCUUCUCUUGCGCCUAUAAAAGGGAGAGAGAUGCACCAGAACUACUUCCUCCUCUCGCCACCGGUUCCUGAGCACUGUGCUGCUGCUAUGAUCUUCCCCAUCCCGGCUUGCGGCGUGCACCGCAGGUCGGGACAGUAGGCCUCCGAAACUGCACCUUUUGAGUCCUGUGCAGGAGAAGGGUGAUAAGGUUUUUGGGGAGCACUCUGCGCGACUACUGACUCCACUCCUUCAUCACGGACUCCAAUGACUACUUCCUCGACGAUGACUUCUUCCCCGACGUCGACAACCUCCUCGACGACAUGGCUGGCGAGGACACCGACCCCAAGUCCAGUGCUACCGCUACUGCUGGUGUCUCGUACGUGUUAUUAAUCUUUCUGUUAGAGGUCUUGUCACAGUUCCUUGUUCUACUGUUUGCCCUACAUAUGUUAGGCUGUACUUCAUAUAUGCUGCUUGCCCUAGAUAUGUUUGCCUACAAUUCAUAUGUGAAGGUGAUAUUUACCUUCUCUUUGUUAGAUUGCAUGACUUGCUUUAUCUCUGCUAUUUUAGUCAUGCUUUAUUCAGUAUUUCCGUUAAUAAAAUCAUAUGGUAAAUUGCUCAUAUUUCCAACAAUCCAAAAACCUUAUGAUAGGCAAUUUACCCAAGUGGUUUUGCUGCUUCCAUGAGACCUCCUAUGUUUGAGGGUAUCCACUAUAAGAGGUGGUGCGUGAGGCAGUCUUAUGGUUUCAAACCAUGAGUUGCUAUGAUGCCACUCUUGGCAAACCUGAAGGAGAGCAAGAUCCACAACAGGCACAAGCUUUUCAGAAAAUGGAUACCUUGUUUAAGGCUGCUCUCUUGAGUGUUCUUGGUGAGAACAUAGUGGAUGCUUAUGCAUCAAUUUGAUAAUGAAAAGAUAUGUGGGACGCACUCGAGCCCAACUUUGGGGUCUUGGAUGCUGGCACUGAGCUGUACAUCAUGGAGCAAUUCUAUGAUUACAGGAUGACUGAAGAGCACUCCGUGGUUGAGCAAGCUCAUGAGAUACAAUCAUUUGCUAGAGAACUUGAGCACUUCAAUUGUAUCCUACCAGACAAGUUUAUUGCCGGAGGUAUCAUCACUAAGCUUCCUCCCACGUGGAGGAACUUUGCUACCUUACUGAAUCAUAGCUGGCCGGAGUUUUCCGUUCCGGAUCUCAUUGGUACUCUUGAUGUGGAGGAAAAGGCGAGAGCAAAGGACAACCGUGCUCGAGGUAUUGAGGGAGGUUCUAGUGCCAAUCUGGUAAAGAAGAAGAAUUUCCAGCCCCACAACUUCAAGAACAAGGGCAAGUUUGAUGGUAAAGCAAAGUUUGAUGGGAAGAACAAGGUUGUGCAGCACAUGAACUUCAAGAAGAAGAAUGACAAGAAGAAAGACGUUUGUCAUGUGUGUGGGGAUCCUGAUCAUUGGGCUCCUAGUUGCCCUAAUUGCUAUGACAAGCGUCAUCCUGGGAAAGGCGGCAAAACCUCUAAUGUUUUCAUUGGAGACACUGACAUGAAGGAUGUUGGGUAUGGUAUAUUUCCCACUAUUCUUUCAGUAUGUCAUUCUCCUGAUUGGUUGAUUGACAUGGGUGCUAAUGUGCAUGUAUGCGGUGAUAUUUCCAUGUUUUCGUCUUAUCAAACCGCAGGGACUUCCACCGUGCUGAUGGGCAACAGUUCAAGUGCUUCUGUUUAUGGUGUUGGCACGGUCGAUCUGAAGUUUACUUCGGGGAAGAUCGUGCAGCUGAAGAACGUGCAUUAUGUCCCCUCCGUCAAUAAAAAUCUUGUUAGCGGAUCUCUUCUGUGUAGAGAUGGCUACAAGCUUGUCUUUGAGUCGAAUAAAUUUGUAAUAUCCAAGUAUGGAACCUUUGUUGGUAAAGGCUAUGAGUCAGGAGGCCUGUUUCGUUUAUCCUUAUCAGAUGUUUGCAAUAAAGUUGUUAAUCAUGUUUGCAACAAUAGUGAAUCAAAUGUGUGGCAUUCACGUCUUUGUCAUGUUAACUUUGGUUGCAUGUCGCGACUAGCGAAGUUGAACUUAAUCCCUAGUUUCACCACUGUCAAGGGAUCUAAGUGUCAAGUGUGUGUGCAAGCUAAGCAAUCUCAUAAGUCUCAUGUGACUGCGGAAACGAGAAAUCUUGCACCAUUAGAGCUCAUACAUUCAGAUCUAUGUGAAAUGAAUGGUGUUUUGACAAAAGGUGGAAAGAAGUAUAUUAUGACGUUAAUUGAUAACUCCACUAGAUAUUGUUGUGUGUAUCUUCUGAAAUCUAAGGAUAAGGCUUUGAACUAUUUCAAGAUCUAUAAAGCUGAAGCAGAAAACCAACUUGAUCUAAAGAUCAAGAGGCUUAGGUCCGAUCGUGGUGGAGAGUAUUUCUAAAAUGAAUUUGAUUCCUUUUGUGCGGAACAUGGUAUAAUCCAUGAAAGGGCGCCUCCCUAUUCACCUCAGUCAAAUGGGAUGGCCGAAAGAAAGAACCGUACUCUAACUAAUUUGGUUAACGCCAUGUUAGACACAUCUCUCUAAGGCAUGGUGGGGGGAGGCGAUAUUGACUGCAUGUCAUGUCCUAAACCGAGUUCCCACAAAGAACAAAGAGAUAACUCCAUUCGAGGAAUGGGAGAAGAAAAGGUUAAAGCUCUCUUAUCUAUGAACAUGGGGUUGUUUGGCGAAAGUCAAUGUGCCUAUUCCAAAGAAGCGGAAGCUUGGACCAAAGACUGUGGAUUGUGUUUUCUUGGGAUAUGCUUUUCAUAGCAUUGGUUAUAGAUUCUUGGUUGUAAAAUCUGAGGUACCUGACAUGCAUGUUGGUACGAUCAUGGAAUCGAAUGAUGCGACUUUCUUUGAAGAUAUUUUUCCCAUGAAGGAUAUAGCUACCUCAUCUAAUCAGGAGAUGCCUAGUUCAUCGAAUCAGGAACCAGUUACAAUUACUGAACCUGCCAUCUCGAUGGAACACUUUGAAAGUCCUGUGGAGGAGAACAAUGAAGUUCCUACUAGGAGCAAGAGACAGAGGACUGCAAAGUCCUUUGGUGCUGAUUUUCUUGUGUAUCUCAUAGAUGAAACUCCCAGUUCUAUUUCACAGGCCUAUACAUCUGAAGAUGCUGAAUACUGGAAGGAAGCAAUUCGUAGCGAGAUGGAUUCCAUCUUGGCGAAUGAAACUUGGGAGAUAACUGAUCGUCCUUAUGGGUGCAAACCUAUAGGAUGCAAAUGAGUAUUCAAGAAGAAGCUUAGGCCUGAUGGUACUAUUGAAAAGUACAAGGCUCGGCUCGUGGCUAAGGGUUAUACCCAAAAGGAAGGUGAAGACUUCUUUGAUACUUACUCACCUGUGGCUCGAUUGACGACUAUUCAAGUUCUACUUUCACUAGCUGCCUCACAUGGUCUUCUCGUUCAUCAAAUGGAUGUUAAGACUGCUUUCCUAAAUGGAGAAUUGGACGUGGAAAUUUAUAUGGAACAACCAGAUGGGUUUGUAAUAGACGGUCAAGAAGAGAAAGUGUGCAAGUUGCUGAAGUCUUUGUAUCGACUCAAGCAAGCACCCAAACAGUCGCAUGAGAAGUUUGAAAGAACUUUAACAGCUGCAGGCUUUGUUGUGAACGAAGUUGACAAAUGUGUGUACUAUCGCCAUGGUGGGGGCGAGGGAGUUAUCCUUUGCUUGUAUGUUGAUGACAUACUGAUUUUCGGAACUAAUCUGAAUGUUAUUAAGGAGAUCAAGGAUUUCCUAUCUCGCUGUUUUGAGAUGAAGGAUUUAGGAGUGACUGAUGUCAUCCUGAACAUCAAGUUGUUGAGGGACGAUGAUGGUGGGAUUACAUUGCUUCAAUCUCACUAUGUGGAAAAGAUCUUGAGUUGCUUUGUCUACAAUGACUGCAAGCCCUCUCCAACACCAUAUGAUGCUAGUGUGUUGCUUUGAAAGAAUCAAAGAAUUGCUAGAGACCAAUUGAAAUAUUCUCAGAUUAUUGGCUCACUCAUGUACUUAGCUAGUGCUACAAGACCUGACAUCUCUUUUGCUGUUAGCAAACUGAGUCAGUUUGUCUCAAAACCAGGAGAUGUGCAUUGGAAAGCUCUAGAGAGAGUUUUGCGUUAUUUGAAAGGCACUGCAAAUUAUGGAAUUCACUACACUGGGCACCCAAAGGUGCUUGAAGGGUAUAGUGACUCAAACUGAAUCUCAGAUGCUGAUGAGAUAAAGGCCACGAGCGGAUAUGUAUUCACUCAUGGAGGUGGCGCUGUUUCUUGGAAGUCUUGCAAGCAGACCAUCUUAACGAGGUCAACAAUGGAAGCAGAACUCACAACACUAGAUACAGCUACAAUCGAAGCAGAUUGGCUUCACCGGCUCUUGAAUGACUUGCACGUUGUUGAGAAACCUGUACCAGGUAUCCUUAUGAACCGCGACAAUCAAACUGUGAUCACGAAAGUGAAGAGCUCAAAGGAUAACAUGAAGUCAUCAAGACACGUUCAGAGAAGGUUAAAGUCUGACAGAAAAAUGAGAAACUUCAGAGUUAUUGCAUUGGAUUAUAUCCAAACAUCUAAAAAUCUGGCAGAUCCUUUUACUGAGGGUCUAUCACGUAAUGUGAUAGAUAAUGCAUCGAGGGAGAUGGGUAUGAGACCCAUAAUAUGAGUUGUUCACAGUGGUAACCUAUUCUUUGUGAUCAGAGAUCCCGUGAAUUAGAUGUGGAAGACAAGUUGUUGGUCAACUGGGAGGAGAGUACCCUUACUGUUAAAAAAUACCACUCCAUGAAAAUGCAAUACUCUCCUAAUCUGCAUGGCAGGUUGAUGUAUAUCUUAAUGUGUUCUAAGUGGCUCUUUGAAGCAGAGAUGUUAUCCUGCAGAACAUCUUUUGAAGAACGCACCUAUAUGAGUCUGAUUGUUAAAUGUCGCAAUCUAUGAGAGUAGGAUUCUCUCUAGUAAACUCGUGAAAGGUCUCAGAGGAUGACGCAUAAGCUCCACCUGCGGGGAAGACCCACGGUAGCCACGUAUCGGUCAAGGCUUUAUGUGAAACUAGAUUCGCAGAAAACUUGCAGUUCAAGGCCCAGUCCACUGUUCAAGUUGCUUACUAGUGUAGCAUAGAGUUCUAGGUGGAAGUUCAACUUAACAGUCUCCACUGCAGUACUGGUAUAUAAAACAGUGUUUUGGAACCAAAGGCAAAUUUUAUGUGCCUCUGAGAUCUGGUGGGGGAUUGCUGGAAUUUUUGUUUAUUUGGGCCGAGCCCAAUAGCAGUUUCAGAAAUUCCUAAUAAAUCCUAGAGGCCCACGCAGCCCAUUCGUGCAAGGCAAGAGGUGGAACUAAAGUUUAGUCCCACAUUGCUAGUUUAGAGGGAGUUGGACCUCUUUAUAAGGGAGGUUCUUUCCCCACUUGUAUAAGCAUGAGAACAAGAGGGACAUCCACGCACGCUCCUCCUCCGCCACCCGCCUCGCCUCGUCACGACGCGCCGUGGGUUGCGAGAAUGAGCCGAGCCGAUGUCUAAAUUUUUGCCACGCACUACGGGUAUACAAAAGGUCACUCGGAAGCUAAAAUGUUUUUCUGUAGUGGACACUAAAUCUGAACGGCGCGCCUCUUUGGCUGCUGCCUAUUCGUUUUGUCUCCCACGUUCCCUUCAGCUCUCGGCGCAGCCUCUCGCCUCCUUCUCUUGCGCCUAUAAAAGGGAGGUCGCUCCUCUCAGAGAGAUGCACUAGAACUGACUUCCUCCUCUUGCCACCGGUUCUUGAGCAUUGUGCUGCUGCUACGAUCUUCCCCAUCCCGGCUUGCAGUGUGCACUGCAGGUCGGGACAAUAGGCCUCCGAAACCGCACAUUUUGAGUCCUGUACGGGAGAAGGGUGAUAAGGUUUUCAGGGAGCGCUCUGCGCGACUACUGACUCCACUCCUUCGUCACGGACUCCGACGACUACUUCCACGAUGACGACUUCUUCCCCGACGUCGACAACCUCCUCGACGACAUGGCUGGCGAGGACACCGACCCCAAGUCCAGUGCUACCGCUACUACUGAUGUCCCGUACGUGUUUGUACUCUUUCUGUUAGAGGUCUUGUCACAGUUCCUUGUUCUACUGUUUGCCCUACAUAUGUUAGGCUCUACUUCAUAUAUGCUGCUUGCCCUAGAUAUGUUUGCCUACAGUUCAUAUGUGAAGGUGAUAUUUACCUUCUCUCUGUCAGAUCGCAUGAGUUGCUUUAUCUCUGCUAUUUUAGUCAUGCUUUAUUCAGUAUUUCCAUUAAUAAAAUCAUAUGGUAAAUUGCUCAUAUUUCCAACAUUGUCUGCCGCAUGAAGAAGAGGAGAAGACGGAGGGGAGGAGAGAGAGGAAGUGCAGCCAGAUAUUUUCUAGGCUCGCCUCAUCUCUAGCCGGAACGACGUGCACCUGAGUAACCGUAAAAAUCAGGUGAUUCACUGGACUAUGGAUAACGAGGCCCACCUGGCAGCUACUCUCAGAAGAAAUGUGAAUGUCAAAAAGAAUGGAUGGUCCACCACAUGCCAGCAGCCAAAAUUCAGCUACAGGGAAAGGAUCGAGCGGCCCAGCGAUCGUAGCGCACGCGGAAGCCUCAAAAUGGCGGGUUGCCUAGCAAGGUUAUGUUCAAUGAUUAUGCUGGUUGCCGGCAUGAGCAGGGGUUUGGGACUCAUGAUCGAGGAUUGGGAUAUAUGUUAUGUGGAUUGGGCUGAAAGGAAUGAUAUGUGUUGAUUUGUGUGUAAAUGACGUCCCAAUGGCUCCCCGCUGCAGGGGAGACUUUGCUGUGUUUUCCUUCUAAUUACCGUACUUAUUUUAUACUUCCUCCGUCCUAAAAUUCUUGUCUUUGAUUUGUCUAGAUAUAAGUGUAUCUAACAUUAAAAUAUAACCAGAUACAUCCGUAUUUAGACAAAUCUAAGACAAGAAUUUUGCAACGGAGGGAGUACUAAGUAUGGGUUUAUGCUCAUUGGUUGAUGCAGGUUAAGAUGUAGCCACUCUUCUUUUGUCACCCUGCUUCUUCAUACUCCGCUUGCAAAAUCUGGUUAUUUUUCUAUCUUUUGUCAUAUGAUUAUGUUGGUUCCACUAUGAGGAGAGUUUGGCCUCACGACCGAGGAUUGAGACAUAUUAUUGUGUGGGUUGGGCUAAAAAGAAUGAUAUGUGUUGAUUUUUGUGUAAAUGAUGUCCAACAGCUCCCGUACAUUUUUUUGUAGGAAAACUUUCGAUCUAUUCCUCUUCAAUCGUGGUAGUACAACGAAGACAAGAAAUAAUAAAAACUAUGUUUAGAUUCAUAGACCACAUAGUGACGGCUACAAGUGCUGAAGCCUAAUAGAAAAGCCUAGUAGAGGCAUUCGGAAAACGUUGUAAGUGGCGCUGACUAGAGAAGCCGCUAGUAUGACGCCUUUGAUAAGGCCCACUAGUCACUAGUGGCGCCGACUUCCAAUGCUGGUAGAAACCUUAUAUUACUGGCAUCGGCGGCCAGCGUCGCUGAUAACUUUGGUACUGCUGGCACGGGUCGACCGAUGCCACAUGUACCUAUUGUAUUUGUUGUGUCCGGUAAAAAACAACGCCACUACAAAAUAUGACAAAAUUAUAAAAAUAAUAGUUGUGUUGCAUAUGAAAUCUUGAGACAUUAAAAAUUGCAUUGCAUACGAAAUCAGAUUACAUUACAUUAUAUAAUUGCAUUGCGUAUGAAACCAUAUUGCAUUGCAUAUGAAAUCACAUUACAUUAUAUAAUCUGAAAUCACAUACGAAAUCAUAUUGCAUUGCAUAUGAAACCACAAGGCUUUUGCCGGGUGCUUUUGGCACCCGGCAGACGUUCAAAUCCGGUAGUGAACUUAGUCUUGUUGUAUAUUUGGACUGCGUCUUUUGAAAGAGAAAACAUCACGCAUGAUUUCUUUUCUACCAAACUCCAUUGGCCUCGUUGAUAUGUUCAUUCUCUUCUUUUCCAAUCUUGUGUAUGCAUUGGCUGUAUUCUCUUGCUUCUUGAGCACUCCCAUUUAAUGAUUUCCUCACGCAAAGGUGGACAUAUCGUGCCAAGAUGAAUCUUGCAUUCCUAGUUUUCUUUUGCGUAAACUAAUAUAGGAUCCUCUAACAAACUAUGGGUUUUACUUAGGACUUGGAAAGCUGACAAUUAUGCAAACAAAAUCCGCACGACAUUGUUGGAAGUUGAAAAAAAGUUACGAUGCGUCAACAUAAUACAAGCCCACAAGCCACUCACUCAGAUGGUAUGAUGGACAGCUAGGGUUUUAUGUCCGUUCCGUGCACCUCUUUGCAUUUCCCUUGCCAUAUAUAUGAACCAAGGAUGUAGCUAACUUUGUCGAUAUGGUAACCAUCCUAGCUUUUUAGUAGUUAACAAACUAUGGGUUGUAAUCACAAUGUUCAGAUGCAUGCCAAAUACAUCACCGCACUGGAUCAAGAACAACGACGUGGAAGCCCAAGCUAUAGGCACUAGACAAAAGCCACCCACGCAGAUCAUGAACAACUUAUGUCUAUUGCCUUCCACCUUUUUAGCUUUAUCUAGCUAUAUAAACCGUCCAGAGAUCAAGAGUGUAGUUAUCCAUAUACACAACUGGUUAAUAUAGUACUAAAUCAGAGAUAGAAAGUCUGUGCGCAGAGGAACAAUGUCGAUGAAGACCGUGUUCUCGGUGCUCCUGCUAUGUAUGCUCGUGGCGACACCCAUAGCGGCCGAGUACGACGCAUGGAGCGUUAACAGUGGUCCCUGGAUGUGCUAUCCAGGGUAUGCCUUUAAGGUGCCAGCGCUCCCUGGCUGUCGUCCAGUGCUGAAGCUCCAGUGCAAUGGCAGCCAGGUGCCCGAGGCUGUCCUAAGGGAGUGCUGCCAGCAGCUCGCCGACAUCAGCGAGUGGUGCAGGUGCGGUGCCCUCUACAGCAUGUUGGACAGCAUGUAUAAGGAGCAUGGCGUGCAGGAGGGACAGGCGGGGACAGGCGCGUUCCCAAGCUGCCGGAGGGAGGUGGUGAAGCUGACGGCGGCGAGCAUCACGGCGGUCUGCAAGCUACCCAUCGUCAUUGAUGCGUCUGGAGAUGGAGCGUAUGUCUGCAAGGGUGUGGCCGCAUACCCGGACGCCUAGUCAAGCGAAUGAGUAGCUACUAUGUUGUGUCAUGCAUCUGCCUCUUAAUUUGUGGGGUGCGCACAAGUUGAAUAAAAUGGUGUAUGCGCCUAUGCGAAAUGCAUCAUUAAUGAAUAAAAGCGAAGUUCCCUGUUGAUCGAGAAAUUUUGAUCCAGCAUGCAAAAGAAUAAGUAGACGCAUCUCCUGUGGUCGAUCUUGUGGAGCCUUUGGCUAUACCGCAGCUAGGUGUUGUUUUUGUAAGAGUGGAGGCAUCCGGGUGCUGGUAGUCAGAGGGCGCUGCAUCAACUAGUAAUAUGCAGAAACUCACGGAGAGAGAAAUUCGCUAGCACCGGUGCAGUAUGAUGUGACAAUUAAUGUGAACUUAAAAAAUAAAUAGGUACAUUGUAUAGUUUAUUCUGUGUUAUAAAACUAUAUAAGUAACCAAAAUCUUAGAAAAUAUAUGUUUCCAUCUUUGCAUCUGAUUUAAAUGCGUUUAUGCACCUGUUUGCAUGCACAACUGCCAUCAUGUUGUCUGAUUUCUUUGUGAUAUAUGCACCCCGUUUAUCCUUUCUCAUGUUCACUAACAUGUCUUUUUAGAGAAAAGGCGCUGGCCGAACCCGAGAAGAGCUCGAACUUAACCCAACUUUGAAUUAAUUAAGCCAUCAACUGGCCAGGAUUACAAGGGCACCACAUUACAAAGGAGAUGCAAAGCAAAGCAGAAAGGAAGAUACAAGGAACUAGGCAGAACAACACAAAUGCAACAGCGGGAAUGCCGAUGCAGACAACUAGCACUACGCCUGCACCGACUAACCAACUAAGUACACCGAAGAAGGGCCACACCGAGCAAGCAUUGAGCGCCAGCUGCAUCAACAAGCCAAACUUGGGCAACACUUGAGUUGUCUCCGUCGUCGCAAAGGGCCACUACCCUUUCACCCAGGCUUGAUGGGUGCCGCACCAGCGACCGACAGAGUGGCUACCACAUAGGUGUCCGAGCUGCCAUAUGAGAAGCAAAUAGAGCUGACCCGUGAACCACAGGAGACCAACCAAACAAGAACCAUAGCCGGCAGUGGCAGCACGGAGCAUGGGAAGCGAGCUAUCGAACGAAGGCGCACACCCAUGAAGAAGACCAAAGAGGGCAUCACUAUGCACUAGGAGAAGCUGAGCAGGAUGUAGCAGGAAGACCACGCCAUCAUGCUUCGCAACAAAGACAUCAGUCACUCCACCAACAAGAGCAAAUCCCAGCCGCCGCCUUCAAGAAGGAGCACGCCAUCGAGGUGCUGCCGACGCCCGGAUUAAGGGAGUACCGGCUUUCGCCGGAGCUCAGGAGGGAGGCGGAAGAGAGAAGAACCACCCCAAAGCCUCCAGGAAGAGGAUUGACACCAAAGGCGUCGACUUUNNNNNNNNNNNNNNNNNNNNNNNNNNNNNNNNNNNNNNNNNNNNNNNNNNNNNNNNNNNNNNNNNNNNNNNNNNNNNNNNNNNNNNNNNNNNNNNNNNNNNNNNNNNNNNNNNNNNNNNNNNNNNNNNNNNNNNNNNNNNNNNNNNNNNNNNNNNNNNNNNNNNNNNNNNNNNNNNNNNNNNNNNNNNNNNNNNNNNNNNNNNNNNNNNNNNNNNNNNNNNNNNNNNNNNNNNNNNNNNGGUUUCCCACUCCAUGUUGCCAUCAAGAACACUUGCCAGCAUAAUUAUCAGUUUCUGGAGGACAACCUAUUGGUUGACGAGAACUACAGGAAGAGGAAUGUUGAGUACAUCUACAAAGCUCAUACAUCUUCUUUGGCUGCUUGAGAUGGGUUGUGUUAAAUCCUUCCUUACAUAAAAGACUACUUUGGUUACAUAAUUGCGAAAAAAAGUUCAUCUCAUCGUAGUUAUUUAAAUCUACCUCUCUAACAUUACUUAAGAAAUGUGAUUUUGUAUAGCUCAACUUGUGAGAGGGACACGUUUACCUUUUAGAACUCAUGUAUUUAUGUCCAUAAUACAGGAGGCAGUUUUUCUUUUUAAUCAAUGGGGAAUGAGUCAAGUUUCUCUGCAAUUAUAAGUUUAGGAUGCUGAUAGAAUUGGAUGUCAAUCUUUUUCGUUAUGUAUACUGUAAGCACCUGAAGUGAAAGAUGUUAUUUAUUAGAAACUUAUGCAUAAGAUCUUGAACACCACUAGAUUGCUUGCAACUCACACUGAUAAUGUAGUCGAUGAGCUCUGGAAUUGCAUCAAGCAGGGGAAGCUUGCCCCUUAUGCUAUGUUGCCCCUUGCGGCUCACAGGCAAUACCGUAACCUCAAUGGAUUUGAUAUCAUCAAGGCUCGUAUGGAGGAUACUAUGUUUCCCCUGGGAAGUGGUAAAAAUGCCAAGGAAAAAAAAAAGCAGCUCAAUGAGAUGAAAGUACAUCUUAUCAAUGCAUUGGUGCUUGUUAGAAUAAUUCUCAAUGCCGGGAAGCUCUAGAGGCAUAUAUUCAAACUCAAUAAGUAGUAUCACAUUUGCAACAAAUAAAAUAAUUUGGAUGCUUCAUUUCAUCAUGGUUUUAUUGCCUUUAUACAUUUUUUCUUGUUUUACCGAAUCUUAAGACGCUAAUAUGUUACGGUUUGGCUUUUAAACCUUAAAAUAUUGAUCGUAGAGAAAGAAUAUUGUACAGCAGUUCUCUUGCUGAACCACGUGGAAAAGAACAAAGUAUCUAUAUCUCAACCAAUUUGUACUUUUCUAGUGUUUGUCCUGUUCUUGUAGAAUUUUUUUUGACCAAGUAUUUAUUCAAAUCAAAUACUAAUAUCCGGUAGACAGCUGUCCAAUGAGUUGGGUUUCCACUGUUAUGAAACCUUUCCAAUUAAUACCUCCUGAAAAUGUGCAUUAUCAGUAUUUGCCUACAGGUAGUACUAAAUCGAUUAUUCGGGGAAAGCCAUAUAGGCACUAUAAACAAUUUCCAUAUUGUAGCUGGGUACUACUUCCUGGCUGACAAUGGUUGUUCCUAUCACAAUAUGAUUUAUUUUGAGAUACAUGAUUUUCUUGACCAUACCAACCUUACCAAAUGUUGGUGUCACCAAAACCCAAGCAUGGCCAAUAGCUUGGCAAAACAAGAGUAUUUGGUCUGGAUCCGUAUAGACUUUCACUUUGGGUGUCUAUUCUUUGGUUGAGCCAAAUAGCAAGGUUGUGUCACUGCUCUGCAGCCAGUCUGGUCAAGGUCACGUUGUCAUGGCGACACUAGGUUGAAAUGAAGCAUCCUAAUUAAUGACAUAUAGUACAAAUUAACGAAAGGGCACUUACCCGCACACACAUACACACACAACGUACGCUUGUAUCAUCCAUACUUGACACAGAAUCAGUUAGCAUAACAUGCAUAUUGCAAUCACAGGGUUGACACAGAAUCGCGACGGGAUGUCAGUUUUCUCAAAAUUCAGAAGACACUUAACCCAUAUUUGAUAUGACAUCCUCCCGACUACCAGCCAUACAACUCAUUAUCUCUGCAAAAGUAUUUUGCGGAAAAUACACUGAACACAUCCCUCCUUGCCCCCCAUAACUUUCUGCCUCUUAUUCUGCUGCAAAGACAAUGAUCAUGAGUUGAUGUCAGGAUAAUUUAAAACAAUGAAGAAAAAUAGAGAAAAGGGCAAAAACUAAUGAAGCUGGUCACUUAUGAGGAAAACACAAAUACCUCAGUUUUAAGGUCGAAAUUCGAGCAGAACUUUGAAAAUUCUCUUUCGACUGAUUUGAUGGUCUNNNNNNNNNNNNNNNNNNNNNNNNNNNNNNNNNNNNNNNNNNNNNNNNNNNNNNNNNNNNNNNNNNNNNNNNNNNNNNNNNNNNNNNNNNNNNNNNNNNNNNNNNNNNNNNNNNNNNNNNNNNNNNNNNNNNNNNNNNNNNNNNNNNNNNNNNNNNNNNNNNNNNNNNNNNNNNNNNNNNNNNNNNNNNNNNNNNNNNNNNNNNNNNNNNNNNNNNNNNNNNNNNNNGAUACAAAGAUCGCUCGGGCGAGCAGCACAUCAAGCCCAAAAGAAAAAGAAGAAGAAGCAAAUGCCAACAACGGCAGCUUGACAAAGCGCGGAUGACCUUCCACUGCUACGCCCUUCAAAAACAAAUCACCACAACCCGAGGCUCCAAAUUGCCGCGCACCAAGCAACACCUCUAAGAAGGAAUGCGACGACGAUGACGCUGCUGCCCAAACAUGUCCUAGGGUUUCCCCCGACAUGCGGAGGGAGGUGGGGGAUGGAUAUCAUCGACACCCUCCAGGAAGGAAUGGAGGCACUCGCAGGUGUCACUGCAUCGGAGCCGAAGAACCGGUAAGGAUUUCUCCCGCACUCCAACCCCACCGCCCAACCGGAUCGGAGCCGACCAGUCAGACCGCCGCCCACCACCAUGCGCCAUCGCGGUUGCGCCGCCACCCACGCCGCCUCACUGCAAACACCAACACGAGGCCAAGAGGACCAGAGAGAAGCGCCCUGCGAAGGAGAAGCAACACCGUAGCCGAACGGGAGGGAACCACCUCCACCACCGUCGUGCGUGUGGCCAGAGCCUUCGGCACCGUCGCGGUCACCGUCCGGACGCAGCAGCAGGACAUGCCAGGCCAUCCCUGGCCCGGCCAGGCUCGCUAAGCCCCGCUGGCCACACUGGAGCAAGCCGAUGAUGGCGCCGCCAGCACCCAGCCGCUCAUCGCCUAUCCGNNNNNNNNNNNNNNNNNNNNNNNNNNNNNNNNNNNNNNNNNNNNNNNNNNNNNNNNNNNNNNNNNNNNNNNNNNNNNNNNNNNNNNNNNNNNNNNNNNNNNNNNNNNNNNNNNNNNNNNNNNNNNNNNNNNNNNNNNNNNNNNNNNNNNNNNNNNNNNNNNNNNNNNNNNNNNNNNNNNNNNNNNNNNNNNNNNNNNNNNNNNNNNNNNNNNNNNNNNNNNNNNNNNNNNNNNNNNNNNNNNNNNNNNNNNNNACCUAGGGUAGGGUCAUGGACCUGUCCAAGGUACCCUCCCCCAGGACAUCUUUUGAUGAAGUCAUCUUCCAGUCGACCUAGAGGGACUCCACUCGACUGACUGGAAGACACUCGACGAACUUGAAGACACUCGACCAUGAAGACUCACUCGACCACCAGGAGUUCAAGAUCUACUCUGUAUCCAAACGGUCUGUAAUUAAGUAGUCUUUAUGGCCAUGAUGACACUUUAUGUAGGGCAUUACCAGUAACGCCAGACCUCAAUGUACUUUAACCCUCCGCUGCGUGGGCUGGCUGGGGUCUUGGCAUCCUCUAUAUAAGCCACCACCCUCCACUGGUAGAACGGUUCGCACCCCUGUAACUCUCACACAUAUAAUCCAGUCGACCGCCUCCGGGCUCUGAGACGUAGGGCUGUUACUUCCUCCGAGAAGGGCCUGAACUCGUAAAACCCUUGUGUGCACAACUACUCCAUAGCUAGGAUCUUGCCUCUCCUUAGUACCCCCCUACAUUACUGUCAGGCUUAGAACCACGACAGUUGGCGCCCACCAUGGGGCAGGUGUUUUAGCGAAUUGUUGGAGAAGUUGCAAUUUUUCCGAUUCCCAUCGUCAUGGUUUCAGGCGGAGUUUUGGUUGAGGGCCGCGAGAUCUGUCUCGGCGCGCUCACGUUCAUCGCCGACGACUCUGCUUGGCUGCAGGAGGCUCCGCUCGACGUCGACGCGCUCCCAGUCCGCGGGGCUACGCACUUUCGAGCGUCCGUCCGCGGCGUCCUUCUGCGGCAACCGUCGACCCAGUAUCGGCCAGUGUUUGUGUGAUCCUCCCUCCCAGCUUCCCGCCAGCGUAAGCGCUCCGGUCGAUCGAGGCUUCAGCGGUGGGUGAGACACGCGGUGGCUCGCCAGUCGACCACCGCCCAAGUCACGUCAAUCGAGCCCGACGAAUCCCUCUACGGCCUGUUCGACCUAUCGACUGGCUCCGCAGAGACUGCAUCCGAGUGCGACAGCAGUGAUCCAGCGGCGGAGAUCCUGAUGGUCAAUGGACCGCACGUUCCCCCCGGCUUUCCCGGUGCCGAGGGAGGCAACGACGGAGGCGAUCCCUGAGCCCCUCAAUUCGCAGCAGAGGGAAGAGCUUCGCCGCCGGAACAUGGAUGCGCUUCACACUCCGAUCGUUGAAGAAACCCCUGAGGCCCGUGCCUUGGAGGACGCGCGCUUGGCCAACCUGGCCGAGCGCACUCGACUGGAGAACCUUCAGCGGGCACUCGACGAGCGCACACGACAACGGAUUCUAGACUCCAGUCGACACCAGCUCUUUCCACCUCCGACUCAGGUAUAUCAAACUCCGAUUCAGAAUUUAGUAGCUGCAGCCCGUAUAGCAGAAUCAAUUCAGCCUUCCUAGUCAGAGGCUGGCAGAGGCCUGAUGCAGAUCAGAGAUUUACUCCGGGCAGCAGGAGAUCAGAAUUCAGCCGUAUCGCAGUCGCGGAACAGGAUUCACAGUAGAUCCGUGGCAGCGAAUACGGUCCAGUCGGCUCAUAGCCCCAGAUCGCCCCCGAGGCGUGAAGGGCGUGGUGACCGGCAUGAUCAGUACAGGAACCAUGAGCGGUAUGAUCACCGAUUCGAUCGCAAUGAUCAACGUCGAGUUCCUACUCCCCCCAAGGGGUGGGUCCUAUAUGCCUCGACGGCAGGGUGAUAGACGCCAGCACAGUGGCAGGCGGAAGAUUCCGGUCGACCCCAGGGAACCAGGCUUUGAUGCAAGAUCCAUCAUCGUUCAAGGUCUGGUCGACCGGAACAGAGCCCACAGAGAGGGUAAUGACAGAUAUGUACCCACCAGCAGUCGAGUGCAUGUCUCUGGACCAGAGUGUUUCAGCAGAGCCAUCAGAGCCGCGGUGAUUCCUCCCAACUUCAGGUUGGCGACUAGAGUCAGCAAGUUCAACGGUGAGUCUAAGCCCAAUACUUGGCUUGAGGACUACCGAGUGGCUGUACAGAUCGGUGGCGGAAAUGAUGAGGUGGCCAUGAAGCAUCUGCCUCUUACGGUGGAAGGGUCAGCCAGAGCAUGGCUGAAUCAGUUGACACCCACAGCAUUUACACGUGGGAGGACCUCUCCCGAGUGUUUGUCAGAAUGUUUGAAGGAACAUGCAAGCGACCAACAGGACUGACAGAGCUGCAAUCUUGUGUGCAGAAGUCGAAUGAGACUUUGAGAGAUUACAUCCAGAGAUGGAUCACACUGCAUCACACAGUAGAGAAUGUGUCUGAUCACCAGGCAGUCUGGGCCUUCAAGGAGGGCGUAAAGUACAGAGAGCUAAGCCUGAAAUUUGGUCGAACCGGAGACAUGUCUCUGAGUCGAAUGAUGGAAAUAGCCACCAAGUAUGCCAAUGGUGAGGAAGAGGAUCGGCUCCGGAGCAGCAAGCAUAAGUCAGUCGCCCAGGAAACCAGAGGUGGGAACUCCAGUCGGAAGCAGAAGCGGAAAGCCGAGCCAGCUGCUCCUGGAGAAGCCCUGGCCGUGACUCAAGGAAAAUUCAAAGGGAAACCCAAGGGGCCUUGGAACCCCAAAAAAGUAAAGGAUAAAGAGGGAAAUGAUGUGAUGGAUUUGCCGUGUCACAUCCACACGAAGAAAGAUGAAGAGGGUAAUUUCAUUUACCCAAAGCAUACCACUCGACAGUGCCGGCUUCUGAUACAACAGUUCCAGGGGAAACAACCCAAGGACAAGGAAAAGGAGUCAGACAAAGCUGAGGACAAGGAAGAUAGUGACGAGGAAUACCCUCAGGUCAAUUCUACUCUGAUGAUUUUUGCUGACGUUGAGAGCAAAAGUCGACUGAAAGUUAUAAACCGAGAGGUGAAUAUGGUUGCUCCGGCAACACCCAGUUAUCUGAAGUGGUCUCAGACCGCCAUCACAUUCGACCAGUCUGAUCACCCAACGCACAUAGCCACCCCUGGGAGGCAAGCUCUGGUGGUCGACCCAGUCGUCGAGGGCACUCGACUGACUAAAGUGUUGAUGGAUGGCGGCAGUAGUUUGAAUAUACUGUACGCUGAGACACUGAAAGGGAUGGGCAUUCCGAUGUCCAGACUCAGCACAAGCAACAUGAGUUUCUAUGGAGUCAUUCCUGGCAAGAAGGCCGCGUCACUCGGCCAGAUUGCUCUUGAUGUGGUUUUUGGUGAUUCAAAGAACUUCCGCAAAGAGAAGCUGACAUUUGAGGUUGUAGAUUUCCAGAGUGCCUACCACGCUAUUUUGGGCAGGCCAGCUUAUGCACGUUUUAUGGCUCAACCAUGUUACGUGCACCUCAAAUUAAAGAUGCCUGACCCUAAAGGUGUGAUCACUGUUACUGGUAACCGCAAGAAGGCAGAAGAGUGCUUCCAGAAGGGCUCAAAGAUCGCUGAUGCUCAGAUGGUGGCAGAAGAGUGGCAGGAACACCAGAGGAACGCAGAUCCGAGUGAUUUGUUGCGAGCCAAAAAGCCUGCUGCAGAAUCAGCAAUCAAGUCGAUCGGGGAGACAAAACCAGUUCACAUCCACCCGACCGACCACAACGCUGCUCCGACUCAUAUCUCCACAACACUCGACCCCAAAUAGGAAGAAGCGCUCAUACACUUCCUCCGUGAGAACUGGGACAUCUUUGCAUGGAAACCUUCUGACAUGCCGGGUGUGCCCAGGGGACUGGCUGAGCAUCGUCUGCGAGUCGAUUCAAAGGAAAAACCUGUCAAGGAACAUCUGCGAUGGUCCGCCGUCUAGAAAAGGAAGGCUAUUGGCAAAGAGGUGGCUCGGCUCUUAGCAGCAGAGUUUAUCCGAGAAAUUUACCACUCCGAGUGGCUCGCCAAUGUUGUCAUGGUCCCCAAGAAGGACAAGUCACUUCGCAUGUGCAUUGACUUUAAACAUAUCAAUCGGGCCUGCCCGAAAGAUCAUUUUCCUCCCCCCCGCAUCGACCAAAUAGUCGACUCGACUGCGGGAUGUGAGCGACUAUCUUUCUUAGACGCUUACUUCGGGUACCAUCAGAUCCGUCUGUUUGGACCCGAUGAGAUCAAAACAACUUUCAUCACCCCAUUCGGGUGCUUCUGUUAUGUCACCAUGCCAUUCGGCCUCAAGAAUGCCGGAGCCACAUUCAUGAGGAUGAUUCAGAAAUGUUUGCUCACUCAAAACAGUCGGAAUGUGGAAGCGUACAUGGAUGACAUUGUGGUCAAGUCACGGAAAGGUUCCGACCUGCUGACUGACCUCACUGAAACAUUUGCCAACCUCAGGAGGUAUGAUAUCAAGCUUAACCCAUCCAAGUGCACAUUCGGAGUUCCUGGUGGAAAGUUACUCGGUUUUCUCGUUUCAGAACGAGGAAUCGAUGCAAAUCUAGAGAAAGUGGGUACUAUACUCCGAAUGAAACGACCUGUGCGUGUGCACGAUGUUCAGAAGCUUACUGGUUGCUUGGCCGUUUUAAGUCGAUUCAUCUCUCGCCUUGGUGAGAAGGCAUGCCUCUUUACCGACUGAUGAAGAAGUCAGACAAGUUCGAGUGGACUCCUGAAGCUGACGUAGCGUUUGCAGAGUUAAAAAACCCUACUUUCCACCCAGCCGGUGCUUGCUGCCCCGAUCAGCAAAGAGCCUUUGCUGCUUUACAUUGCAGCCACAGGACAAGUCGUCAGUACUGUACUUACGGUCGAGCGGGAAGAGGAAGGAAAAGCCUUCAAAGUUCAGCACCCAGUAUAUUACAUUUCUGAAGUCCUAAUCCCAUCAAAGCAAAGAUACCCUCAUUAUAAAAAGCUUGUUUAUGGGAUAUAUAUGACCACAAAGAAAGUUUCUCACUACUUCUCUGACCAUACCAUCACAGUCGUCAGUGACGCCCCCUUAUCAGAGAUUCUGCACAACAGAGAUGCAACUGGCCGAGUGGCAAAAUGGGCGAUUGAACUUCUUCCCCUGGAUAUCAGAUUUGAGGCAAAGAAAGCCAUCAAGUCCCAAGCAAUAGCAGAUUUCCUCGCCGAGUGGACUGAACAUCAGUUAUUGACUCAAGUUCACUCGAAGCAUUGGACUAUGUUCUUCGAUGGCUCUAAAAUGCUGAAUGGUUCCGGUGUCGGGGUAGUGUUGGUUUCCCCCCGAGGAGACAAGCUCAGAUAUGUACUCCAGAUUCACUUCGACUCCUCCAACAAUGAGGCAGAAUACGAAGCACUCUUGUAUGGGUUGCGUAUGGCCAUUUCGCUCGGCGUUCGUCUCCUCAUAGUCUACGGUGACUCGGAUUUAGUGGUUAACCAAGUGAUGAAGGAGUGGGACGUCAGAAGCCCAGCCAUGACUGGUUACUGCAAUGCAGUCAGAAAGCUGGAGAGGAAGUUUGAGGGAUUAGAGCUCCAUCACGUCCCCCGACUGAAAAAUCAAGCAGCUGAUGACUUGGCGAAGAUAGGUUCCAAAAGAGAAGCCAUCCCAAGUGGCGUGUUUUUGGAGCAUGUUCACACGCCGUCAGUUCAAGAAGAUCCCUUCACUGAAGAAGCCCCGCAGCCAAAAAGCGCCAUAGAUCCGAGUGAAGUCGAGGUUCCAGCUGUGGUCGACUUAAUCAUGGAAGUUCUGGUUAUUACUCCCGACUGGACAUUGCCCUAUAUUGCGUAUAUUCUAAGGAAAGAGCUCCCAGAGAAUGAAGAAGAGGCUCGAGAGGUCGUCCGUCGAUCCAAGGCCUAUGAAGGGACAAUUGUACAGAGAAAGCGUGACUGGGGUCAGCCAGAAAUGCAUAACGCCGGAAGACGGUCGAAUGAUUCUCAAUGACAUCCACUCGGGGACAUGUGGCCAUCAUGCGUCCUCUCGGACCAUCAUGGCUAAAGCAUACCGAGCGGGUUUUUACUGGCCCAGAGCAAAUGAAAUGGCGAAAGAGAUAGUUGACAAGUGCGAAGGUUGUCAGUUCUACUCCAACAUGUCACACAAACCUUCCUCAGCCUUGAAGACCAUCCCGAUCGUCUGGCCUUUCGCUGUUUGGGGUUUAGAUAUGGUUGGACCACUGAGGACUGGCAGGAGCGGCUUCACCCAUGUACUGGUGGCAGUCGACAAGUUCACCAAGUGGAUCGAGGCCAAACCCAUUAAAAAUCUUGAUGCUGGCACUGCCAUCAGCUUCAUCAGAGAAUUAAUAUUCAGAUAUGGAGUUCCGCAUAGCAUCAUCACUAAUAAUGGGUCAAACUUCGACUUCGAUCAAUUCAAAGCCUUCUGCGCUUCUCAAGGCACACGAGUCGACUACGCUUCAGUCGCCCACCCCCAGUCGAAUGGAUAAGCAGAAAGAGCAAACGGUCUAAUUCUCAAAGGACUGAAACCCCGGCUGAUGCGCGACCUCGAGCACGCAGCAGGUGUCGUGGUUCUAAGUCUGACAGUAGAGUGGGGGGUAGGUACGGAGAGGCAAGGUCCUAGCUAUGGAGAGGUUGUAAACACAAGAGAUGUACGAGUUCAGGCCCUUCUCGGAGGAAGUAAAAGCCCUACGUCUCGGAGCCCGGAGGCGGUCGAGUGGAUUAUGUGUAUAUGAGUUACAGGAUGCCGAACCCUUCUGCCUGUGGAGGGGGGUGGCUUAUAUAGAGUGCGCCAGGACCCCAGCCAGCCCACGUAAUGAAGGGUUUAAGGUGUAUUUAGUCCGGGGCGUUACUGGUAACGUCCCACAUAAAGUGUCUUAACUAUCAUAAAGUCUACUUAACUACAGGCCGUUGCAGUGCAGAGUGCCUUUUGACCUCCUAGUAGUCGAGUGAGUCUUCGUGGUCGAGUCCUUCAAGGUAGUCGAGUGAGUCCCUCGUUGGUCGACUGGAAGGUGACCUCUUCUAAGGGUGUUCUUGGGCAGGGUACUUAGAUCAGGUCUGUGACCCUACCCUAGGUACAUGACCCCACCAUUAGCCCCCGAAUGGAUUGAGGCUUUGAGUGACGGAGGAGUUGAUGCUGUUUCCGAUUAACCUUCGCACACUGGUCGUGCGUUGUUCUGAACCAGAGAAUCUCUUCGUUGAUAGUGAGCAACUUGUCUUCAGUUGACUCGAUCCAUUCUUUUCUUUCGUCGAGUGAUCUUUCAGGCUUCGUCGAUUUCCGAGCGACGGAUCGCAGGAAAUCCCGUGCCUGACAGACCGAUCUGCCGUUCGUGGAUUACGCGGGAUGUGAAAUUUGGGGAAACGCGCUAAGCGGAGCGGCCGCGGCGUUUGGAUGGGACGGGACAUAGACGCCUCGAUCCCCGCGCCGCUUUCUUCGCCACGUAUCCCGCCCGCGUAACAGUUCCAGGAUAUGAUUAGAUCGACCGGGCCCACCUGACAUCCACUCGGAAGGGAUCUUAUAAAUGCGCCCGGCGAGGGUUUUUUGAACAAUGCCUCAGCAUUCUCUCUCUGCCCCCUUCGUCUCCUCCCAACGUGCUCGCUCUCGCCUCCGCACCACUUCUCCUCACGCGCCCCGCCGGUAGCCAUGGUCAAGGAGAAGACGGCGGCGCUGGAGCGCGCGAAGAAGGCGUCGGUGACGGAGAAGGCGAAGGGGAGAUCCACCAGCCGCGGUGGGUCUUCGUCUAGAUCUCGCCUGCUGAAAGGCUGGGUCCAGGGAGACUAGAUCCAGUCGACCAUCACAGAGAAGGAUCUCCUCGACAUGGCCAACGAGGGCCUGAUCCCUCAUGGAGCUGCGAGGCUUCCGGGGAAAGAGUGGCAGCCCCAGCCGGAAGAGGGUGAGUGCGUGCUUCUGGCUACCCAUGUUGACCACGGAUUCUCUUUGCCGCCGAGCAUUUUCUUCCGUGGUUUCUUGAACUUUUUUGGAGUGCAACUCCACCACUUCACCCCGAAUUCUAUCGCCUACCUUGUCGCGUUUGUGUCCAUGUGUGAGAGUUUUCUGGGCUGUCGACCGCAUUGGGGCUUGUUCAAGCACAUAUUCACAUCUCGCUCUCAAACCGUGAAGAAGGCGAGUCCAGGCGACGAAAGAACCCGAGUGGUCCAAAUGUGUGGAGGUCUGGGGAUACAGGUGAGGAACAAGAGCACCUUCCCAGCCAUGACAUUUCCCGAGUCAGUCAGAGGCUGGCAGUCGACCUGGUUCUACUGCCAGGAUGAGUCGACGCCGGGGCAGUCGAGUGGACUCCCUCAAUUUACCAUGGACCGAGUGAACAAGCCCUCCUCUCUGAAGUUGAUUCCGGAGGAGAAAGCUGACGUGAAUAUGCUGAUGGAGCGCGUAGUUCAAUUGGUUCGGGAGGGAGUGACGGGCAUGGAUCUCCUGGAAGUUUUCCUUAGGCGCCGAAUCCAGCCUCUUCAGUUCCGGAGCCAUUGCAUGUGGUUGUACUGUGGGACUGAGGAUGUGACUCGGGUCAAUCCAGAAAUAAUCGACGAUGCCACUCUGGAAAGGUGGAUGGCCGUUGUUACUGGGAACAAGGACAACCCUCGCGGGGCCAGAAGGAUUCCCCCACUCGACUGCCACAGUGACCCAAACAAGGUAUGUCUGCUCCACUUCCCAUUGUAUUCUCGUCAUAUUUAUUUCUGUUUUCUCUGCCGAUCGGUCGACUGAUCUUUGUCUUGUUGUUUAUUAGGCCCUCACCGAACUGUACUCGAUGCCCAACGGAGCGCAGGCUCCGACUGAGGAGGGAGAAGCGAGCGGGGGCGAGAGCCAGGAGGAGGAGUGGGACUCGGACGCCGCUGAGGCCGAUGAUGAUGACGAUGACGAUGACGAUGAUGACGAUGAGGACGAGGAAGAGGAGGAGGAGGAGGAGGUCGCACCACCGCGCUCGGAAAGGCGAUCGAAACUUGUCCAUGACCCUGCGACCGAACGCGGCGAGGGGGUUGCGACUGUUACACAGUCGACUAAGCGCCCUCGGACCACCUCUCCGGCGCCGACUGAAAAGGCGCCGAAGCAGCCCAGGGCGGCCCCGUCGAAGCCGACCAAGCACCUGCCGAAGAUGAAGGUGUCCAUCCCCACCAUAUCAGGGUAAUCAUGUUGCUUAAGUCUUCUUGUUCUGUGUGAACUUUGUCUCUGGUUGGCGCUGGAGUUAGUCGACUGAUUCUUUGGAGUUGCAGUGCUGCUACUUCUGAGACCUCAGCCCGGGCUGAUGACCAUGAGAUGGAGGACGCAGCAACCUCAAGACCAGGUACUAUACUCUUAACGCCAUUUUUAGUCGACCGACUCAUGAUCUCUAAUUCUGAUUCUUUUCUGUAGCUCCAUCCAAUGUUGUAAUCACUCUCCCUGAUGAAGAUGAAGACGAGGAACCGCUGAAGUACAGAAGGAGUAGGAAAGCGUCUGCCAGCAGGGUGACCCAGGAUGUGACGGUGCCUGAGGCUCUGGUCGCAGAGGAGGAGAACACCACUCGACACACCGUGUCCUUCGCAGAUCCACUGACGAGUGCUCCGCAGCUCUCCCUCUUCACGACGCACCACGUCCCAGAGGACCAAGCUGGCGCAGCGAAGGAGGCAAUACGCCAGGCAGGGAUCAUGAUGGAGCAGUUUGAAGACCAUCCGGGAUGCAAGCCAGGCAGCUUACGACGCCAGUUCCGCCCUCCAACGCAAUGUUCAGGUCAGUCGACCACCAUUUAUUCUGUUAGGAUAUGCUACCAAAAACUUUUCCUUUCCAGAAUUUAUAGUAGUCACCGACUGGGUGUGUCAAUUAAACUCCGUGUUAGCGGGGGCACGCUGAGUGCACCCGCUGGGUGUAGUCCCCAAGGCUAAGGUCGACUGCUGGCAGUCGGCCUUAGGCUUUAUAAUUUCAGUCUUUCCGUCAUUCGACUACAUCGAAUGAAUUUCGCAAACUGGUCGACUGGUCGACUCUGUCUUCAAUAGGAUUAGUGGGGGCACGCUGAGUGCACCCACUGGGUGUAGUCCCCGAGACUACGGUCGAAUGCUUGUAUUCGGCUGUAGUCUUAGAAACGCGUGAUUUUUCCUUUUUCACUCGGAAGUGAAUUAUGUUUGACAUUUUAGUCGAUUGGUUCUUCGCAGAACUCCUGUGAUCUUGUGGCUCGCUACUCUGAGCUGGAAAACAAGCACGUUCAGCUCGAGCUGAAUUUGAAGCUGGUUCAGGAGAAACUGACGAAGGCAAAGGAGGAGACCGAAGGUAUGUUUGGUGAGACCUUGACGACUGCUUUUUCCCUUCAUUUGUUUCAAAAUCUGAUCUUGCUUUAACUUGCAGGUAAGGUGAGGGAGGCCCAACGGAAGAAGGACCUUGAACUAGCUGAGAAGACCAAGCUUGUUGACGAGAAGUUAGCUUCAGUCGCCAAGCUUGAGCAAGAAAAUGCCAAUCUGAAAGCUACUCUUUGGAAGAAAAAAGAUCUGGAGGCCUUCCUGAAUGGUCUUGCCAAGAAGUUGUUUCUUAUGCUUGAAGGUAAAUUUCUAUGCUCGGCAAUCAUUUCCAACCGUGGUUUUUCCAUUCGACCACCGCCUUGACUCGGUGAUCGUCCUUGCAGAAUUUUGUCAAAACUUUGAAGAAGAAACUAGCCGGCUGGAACCAAACCUUGACCCCGUCAACUCUCCGAUGGACGACGAAGUUGCCAUGAAUGUUUUCCGACUGGAGUCCCGUGUUGCAGCUGUCGUGGACUAUCUUGCAAGGCUGAAGGUCGCCACAUCUCGCAUCGACUCGACGCUUUGGCCCGGGGAGACACUUCAGAACAACCUCGAGUCGCUGAUGGCUCGCUUGAACACGAUCCCUGGUCGAGUGCAGGAGUGGAAAAAGUCCUCGGCUCGGUGCGGUGCAGAUGUUGCUCUGUGUCUGGCCCGAGUCCACUGCAAAGAUGCGAGAGAAGACAAGCUGGCGGCCCUCCGGGUGGCCAACACCAAGAAACACGACUUCGGGUCCUUUAUGGAAACUUUCCUUGCGGCUGCCACUCGGAUCGCAGAUGGAAUUGAUCUUGAUGAGUUUGUUGCACCUUCCAGCCCUCCACAGGAGGGGUAAAAAACUUCUUCUAAGCUCGACGCUUUAAAUUUGCCUCGGUAUGCCGAGUGGAGUUGUAACCGAUAAACCUUAACGGGCUUAGCGCCUGAGCACUUUUGGUUCCUUUAGGUAUCGAUCCGAACUUGAAUUUGGUGUUUGAAUAUGAUUGCUUUUGGCUCGAAAUGUCUUUUGCAGGUUCAAAGCAGGGCGCUUACUGCAAUCGACUUAUUCCUUAGUCCACUUAGGUGAGCGCUGGGCUGCAGUUAAGCCUCCCGAGUGAGAAGUUUGCUUUUCACUCGGUAGGAUUUCUAUAUCUUAGGCGAGCACUGGGCUGCAGCUAAGCCCCCGAGUGAGAGGUUUGCUCUUCACUCGGUAGGAUUUUUGAUAACUUAGGCGAGUACUUGGACUGCAGCUAAGCCCCCGAGUGAGAGGUUUGCUCUUCACUCGGUAGGAUUUCUGAUAACUUAGGCGAGCAUUGGGCUGCAGCUAAGCCCCCGAGUGAGAGGUUUGCUCUUCACUCGGUAGGAUUUCUGAUAACUUAGGCGAGUACUUGGACUGGAGCUAAGCCUCCGAGUGAGAGGUUUGCUCGUCACUCGGUAGGAUUUCUGAUAACUUAGGCGAACAUUGGGCUGCAGCUAAGCCUCCGAGUGGAAGUCUGGCUUACCACUCGGUAGGAUUUNNNNNNNNNNNNNNNNNNNNNNNNNNNNNNNNNNNNNNNNNNNNNNNNNNNNNNNNNNNNNNNNNNNNNNNNNNNNNNNNNNNNNNNNNNNNNNNNNNNNNNNNNNNNNNNNNNNNNNNNNNNNNNNNNNNNNNNNNNNNNNNNNNNNNNNNNNNNNNNNNNNNNNNNNNNNNNNNNNNNNNNNNNNNNNNNNNNNNNNNNNNNNNNNNNNNNNNNNNNNNNNNNNNNNNNNNNNNNNNNNNNNNNNNNNNNNNNNNNNNNNNNNNNNNNNNNNNNNNNNNNNNNNNNNNNNNNNNNNNNNNNNNNNNNNNNNNNNNNNNNNNNNNNNNNNNNNNNNNNNNNNNNNNNNNNNNNNNNNNNNNNNNNNNNNNNNNNNNNNNNNNNNNNNNNNNNNNNNNNNNNNNNNNNNNNNNNNNNNNNNNNNNNNNNNNNNNNNNNNNNNNNNNNNNNNNNNNNNNNNNNNNNNNNNNNNNNNNNNNNNNNNNNNNNUCUUCACUCGGUGGGAUUUUUAUAACUUAGGCGAGUACUUCGACUGUAGCUAAGCCUCCGAGUGGAAGUCUGGCUUACCACUCGGUAGGAUUUUCAUAACUUAGGCGAGUACUUGGACUGCAGCUAAGCCUCCGAGUGGGAGGUUUGCUCUUCACUCGGUAGGAUUUUUAUAUCUUAGGCUAGCACUGGGCUGCAGCUAAGCCCCCGAGUGAGAGGUUUGCUCUUCACUCGGUAGGAUUUUUAUAUCUUAGGCGAGCACUGGGCUGCAGCUAAGCCCCCGAGUGAGAGGUUUGCUCUUCACUCGGUACGAUUUUGAUAACUUAGGCUAGCACUGGGCUGCAGCUAAGCCCCCGAGUGAGAGGUUUGCUCUUCACUCGGUAGGAUUUUUAUAUCUUAGGCGAGCACUGGGCUGCAGCUAAGCCCCCGAGUGAGAGGUUUGCUCUUCACUCGGUGGGAUUUUGAUAACUUAGGCGAGUACUUAGACUGCAGCUAAGCCUCCGAGUGGAAGUCUGGCUUACCGCUCGGUAGGAUUUUCAUAACUUAGGCGAGUACUUGGACUGCAGCUAAGCCUCUGAGUGGGAGGUUUGCUCUUNNNNNNNNNNCUCGGUAGGAUUUUUAUAUCUUAGGCGAGCACUGGGCUGCAGCUAAGCCCCCGAGUGAGAGGUUUGCUCUUCACUCGGUACGAUUUCUGAUAACUUAGGCGAGUACUUGGACUGCAGCUAAGCCCCCGAGUGAGAGGUUUGCUGGUCACUCAGUAGGAUUUUUGAUAACUUAGGCGAGUACUUGGACUGCAGCUAAGCCCCCGAGUGGAAGUCUGGCUUACCACUCGGUAGGAUUUUAUUUAAUCUUAGGCGAAACGGAUUCGCAGCUAAGCCUCCGAGUGGGAGUCUGGCUCACCACCCGGAGGAUUUUUACAAACUUAGGCGAAACGGAUUCGCGGCUAAGUCACCCACUGAGGGGAAAUUUUAUUGGACAAAAUAAAAAGUGACAAAAAUUAUGGAGGAACUAUGACACUAUUAUUUUGAGGUCCAAGAACUUACAGAAGUACUUUAUUGCAACUCAUCCGAGUGAUAAAGCUUAAGUGUAAAAUGGGCGGAGUAGUUCCGCGUUCCAAGCUCGAGGCUCGUCGAUAUUAUGUUCGACGUUGUAAAGACGGUAUGCCCCGUUGUGGAGAACUUUGGUGACGAUGAAGGGUCCUUCCCAAGAAGGAGCAAGCUUGUGUUGUUUCUUCUGAUCCACUCGGAGAACUAAAUCUCCUUCCUAGAAGGCUCGACCCCUCACAUUUCUGGCGUGGAAAUGACGCAAAUCUUGUUGGUAGAUGGUCGACCGGGUCAGAGCCAUCUCCCUUUCUUCCUCUAAAAGGUCGACUGCGUCCUGCCGCGCUUGUUGAGCUUCUGCUUCGUUGUAGAUUUCAACUCGAGGAGCAUUGUGGAGAAGAUCACUCGGCAAGACUGCUUCAGCUCCGUAGACCAAGAAGAAUGGAGUUCUUCCGGUCGACCGAUUAGGUGUGGUCCGCAGUCCCCAAAGCACUGAGGGAAGUUCGUCGACCCAAGCUCCAGCUGCAUGCUUGAGAUCACGCAUCAGUCGGGGUUUCAAUCCCUCGAGAAUCAGGCCAUUGGCUCGCUCUGCUUGUCCAUUCGACUGCGGAUGAGCGACUGAAGCGUAGUCGACUCGUGUGCCUUGAGAGUUACAGAAAUCUCUGAAUUCCUCCGAGUCAAAGUUUGACCCAUUAUCCGUAAUGAUGCUGUGCGGGACUCCAUAUCUGAAUACUAGUUCCCUGAUGAAGCUAACAGCAGCACCGGCGUCAAGGUUCUUGAUUGGUUUAGCCUCAAUCCACUUGGUGAAUUUGUCGACUGCCACCAGUACAUGCGUGAAGCCACUUCGCCCUGUUCUCAAAGGACCGACCAUGUCCAAUCCCCAUACUGCGAAAGGCCAGACGAGUGGGAUGGUCUUCAGAGCCGAUGCAGGCUUGUGCGUCAUAUUCGAGUAGAACUGACAUCCCUCGCACUUAUCCACUAUUUCCUUUGCCAUCUCAUUCGCCUUUGGCCAGUAAAAUCCAGCUCGGUAUGCUUUGGCCACGAUGGUCCGAGAGGACGCAUGAUGACCACAGGUUCCCGAGUGGAUAUCAUUGAGGAUGAUUUGACCUUCUUCUGGUGUUAUGCACUUCUGACCAACUCCAGUCGCGCUUUCUCUGUAUAAUUGUCCUUUGAUUACGGUAAAGGCCUUAGAUCGACGAACGAUCUGUCGAGCCUCUUCCUCAUCCUCCGGGAGCUCUUUUCUCAGGAUAUACGCGAUAUAUGGAACUGUCCAGUCGGGAAUGACCACCAAGACCUCCAUGACCAAGUCGACCACUGCUGGGACAUCAACCUCAGUCGGAUCUGUGGCACUCUUGGGCUGUGGAGCUUCUUCGGUGAAAGGAUCUUCUUUGACUGACGGAGUGUGUAUAUGCUCCAAGAACACACCACUCGGAAUGGCUUCUCUCUUGGAACCUAUCUUUGCUAGAUCAUCAGCUGCUUGAUUUUUCAGUCGGGGUAUAUGAUGGAGCUCCAACCCCUCGAACUUCUUUUCCAGCUUCCUCACUGCACUGCAGUAUCCAGUCAUGGCUGGGCUUCUCACGUCCCACUCCUUCAUCACUUGGUUGACCACUAAAUCCGAGUCUCCAUAGACCAUCAGGCGACGGACGCCGAGUGAAAUGGCCAUGCGCAAUCCGUAUAAGAGGGCCUCAUAUUCUGCCUCAUUGUUGGAGGAAUCAAAGUGAAUCUGGAGCACAUAUUUGAGCUUAUCUCCUCUGGGGGAAACCAGGACAACCCCAGCACCGGAACCAUUCAACAUCUUAGAGCCAUCAAAGAACAUGGUCCAAUGCUCCGAGUGAACUUCAGUCGGCUAUUGCUGUUCAAUCCACUCGGCAAGGAAAUCUGCUAUUGCCUGGGACUUAAUGGCCUUCUUUGCUUCAAACUUGAUAUCAAGGGGAAGAAAUUCAAUCGCCCAUUUAGCCACUCGACCAGUUGCAUCUCUGUUGUGCAAAAUCUCUGAUAGUGGAGCGUCGCUGACGACUGUGAUGGAAUGAUCAGAGAAAUAAUGAGCAACCUUCUUUGUGGUCAUGUAUAUUCCAUACACGAGCUUCUGAUAAUGAGGAUAUCUCUGCUUGGAUGGAGUCAAGACUUCAGACAAAUAAUACACUGGGCGCUGAACUUUGAGAGCUUUUCCUUCUUCUUCCCGCUCGAUCGUAAGCACAGUACUGACGACUUGUCCUGUGGUUGCGAUAUAGAGCAACAGAGGCUCUUUGCUGAUUGGAGCAGCAAGCAUCGGCUGGGUGGAGAGCAGAGCUUUUAGCUCGGCAAACGCUGCAUCAGCUUCUGGAGUCCACUCGAACUUGUCUGCCUUCUUCAUCAGUCGGUAAAGAGGCAAUGCCUUUUCACCGAGUCGUGAGAUGAAUCGACUUAAUGCGGCCAAGCAUCCAGUAAGCUUCUGUACAUCGUGCACUCGCACAGGGCGUUUCAUUCGGAGAAUAGUGCCGAUCUUCUCUGGAUUAGCGUCGAUUCCUCGCUCGGAAACGAGAAAACCGAGUAACUUGCCACCAGGAACUCCAAAUGUGCACUUUGAUGGAUUGAGCUUGAUAUCAUACGUUCUGAGGUUGGCAAAUGUUUCGGCGAGGUCAGCAAGCAGGUCGGAACCUUUUCGUGACUUGACGACGAUAUCAUCCAUAUACGCUUCCACAUUCCGACUGAUUUGAGUGAGUAGACACUUCUGAAUCAUUCGCAUAAAUGUGGCUCCGGCAUUCUUGAGGCCGAAUGGCAUGGUGAUAUAGCAGAAGCACCCGAAUGGAGUGAUGAAAGCUGUUUUUACCUCGUCGGGUCCGUACAGACGGAUCUGGUGGUACCCGGAGUAGGCGUCUAGAAAAGACAGUCUCUCGCAUCCCGCGGUCGAGUCAACAAUUUGAUCUAUGCGAGGGAGAGGAAAAUGAUCUUUCGGGCAGACCCGGUUGAUGUGCUUGAAAUCAAUGCACAUUCGGAGCGAUUUGUCCUUCUUAGGAACCAUGACGACAUUAGCGAGCCACUCGGAGUGGUAUAUCUCUCGGAUAAAUCCUGCCGCCAACAGUCGAGCCACUUCCUCACCAAUGGCUUUUCUCUUCUGGACAGCGGACCGCCGAAGAUGCUCUUUGACUGGUUUUGCAGAUGAGUCGACUCUUAGGCGAUGCUCAGCCAGUCCCCUAGGAACACCUGGCAUGUCAGCGGGCUUCCAUGCAAAAAUGUCCCAGUUCUCACGGAGGAACUGGAUGAGCGCUUCUUCCUAUUUCGGGUCGAGUGUUGUGGAGAUGUGGGUCCGAGCUGCAUCGGGGUCGGUCGGGUGAAUGUGAACAGGCUUUGUCUCACCGGACGACUGAAAUGCAGAUUCUGUGGCGGGUUUCUUGGAUCGCAACAAAUCACUCGGAUCUGCGUUUUGCUUGUAUUCUUCGAACUCGACCGCUGUCACCUGGGAAUCGGCAAUCUUUGAGCCCUUCUGAAAGCACUCUUCUGCCUUUUUCCGAUCACCGGUGAUAGUGAUCACUCCUUUGGGGCCGGGCAUCUUCAAUUUGAGGUACACGUAACAUGGUCGGGCCAUGAACCGUGCAUAAGCUGGUCUCCCCAAAAUGGCAUGAUAUGCACUCUGAAAAUCCACGACCUCAAACGUCAACUUCUCUUUGCGAAAAUGUUUCGAAUCACCAAACACCACGUCCAGAGCUAUUUGGCCGAGCGACUUGGCUUUCUUCCCUGGUAUAACUCCAUGAAAGCUCAUGUUACUGGUGCUCAGUCGGGACAUCGGAAUGCCCAUUCCUUUCAGCAUGUCUGCAUACAACAAAUUCAGCCCACUACCACCGUCCAUCAGCACUUUUGUCAGUCGAGAGCCUUCGACAACUGGAUCGACCACCAAAGCUUGCCUCCCAGGGGUGGCAAUAUGAGUCGGGUGAUCAGAUUGGUCGAAUGUGAUGGGCGUUUGGGACCAUCUCAGAUAAUUUGCUUUUGCUGGGGUGACCAUGUUCACCUCUCGAUUAAUGACUUUCAAUCGACUCUUGCUUUCCACAUCUGCAAAGAUCAUCAGAGUGGAGUUGAUAUGCGGAUAUCCUUCCUCACUGUCCUCCUUGUCUGCGGCCUUGUCCGACUCCUUCUCCUUGUCCUUAGACUGUUUUCCCUGAAACUGCUGGAUCAGGAGUCGACAUUGGCGAGUGGUAUGCUUCGGGUAGAUGAUGUUCCCCUCUUCGUCUUUCUUCGUGUGGAUGUGACACGGCAUAUCCAUCACGUCGUUCCCUUCUUUAUCCUUUACCUUCUUAGGGUUCCAGGAUCCUUUUGGUUUUCCUUUAAACUUUCCUUGAGUCACGGCCAGAGCCUCUCCAGGAGCUGCCGGUUCAGCCUUCCGCUUCUGUUUCCGACUGGUGUUUCCCUUUUCCGACUGACUCGGCUUGUGCUUGCCGCUUCGGAGUCGGUCUUCUUCUUCGCCGUUGGCGUACUUGGUAGCAAUCUCCAUCAUCCGACUCAAGGUCAUGUCACCGGUUCGACCAAAUUUCAAACUCAAUUCUCUGUUCUUGACACCAUCCUUAAAGGCGCAGACUGCCUGAUGAUCAGACACAUUCUCCACAGUAUGGUGCAAAGUGAUCCAUCUCUGAAUAUACUCUCUGAGAGUCUCAUUGGUCUUCUGCACGUAGACUUGCAGCUCCGUCAAUCCAGCCGGUCGCUUGCAAGUUCCUUCAAACGUUCUGAUGAACACUCGGGACAGAUCUUCCCAAGUGUAAAUGCUGCUGGGAGGUAAUUGAGUCAACCAUGCCCUGGCAGAUCCUUCCAGCAUGAGGGGAAAAUGCUUCAUGCCCACCUCGUCGUUCCCACCACCAAUCUGAACCGCCACUCAGUAGUCCUCAAGCCAAGUUUCAGGCUUAGACUCACCAGUGAACUUGCUGACUCCUGUUGCCAACCUGAAAUUGGGAGGGAUAACUGCGGCUCUGAUAGCUCUGCUGAAACAUUCAGGACCAGAAACAUGCACUCGACUGCUUGUGGGCGCAUCUCUGUCGAGUCCACCUCGAUGGGCUCUGUUCCGGUCGAGCAAACCUUGCACGAUAAUGGAUCGCGCGUCGAAGCCUGGUUCUCGUGGGUCGACUGGAACUCUUCGCCCCGCACUGAGCUGACGCCUGUCAUCUUGCUGCCGAGGAGCGUAAGACCCACCCCUCGGAGGGGAAUUGGGCAAUCGACGCCUAUCAUCUCGGUCGAGUCGGUUUCCAUAUUGGUCUCGCCGAUUCUCGCGCCCUUCACGCCGCGGAGGCGAUCUGGGGCUGUGAGCCGACUGAACCGUAUUCGCAGCGACGGAUCGACUGUGAAUUCUGUUGCGCGACUGCGACACGGCAGAAUUCUGAUCUCCUGCCGCCCGGAGUAGAUCCCUGAUCUGCAUCAAGCCUCUGCCAGCUUCCGACUGAGAGGGCUGGAUGGACUCUGCUAUACGGGUCGCAGCUGCUAAAUUCUGGAUUGGGGUUUGAUAUACCUGAGUCGGCGGGAAGAGUUGACGUCGACUGGUGUCGGGAACUCGUUGCCGCGCGCGCUCGUCGAGUGCUCGCUGAAGAUUCUCCAGUCGAGUGCGUUCGGCAAAAUUGGCCAAACGUGCCUCCUCCAAGGCGCGAGCCUCGGGGGUUUCUCCUGCGAUGGGAGUACGCAGGGCAUCCACGUUCCUGCGGCGAAGUUCCUCUCUUUGCAGAGAGUCGAGUGGCUCGGGCUGGUACUCUUCAUGGUCUCGUGCGGGGUCGCCUCCGUCGCCUGCUCCACCAUCACGGGCGAAGCCAGGGGGACUGCGGGGCCCGUCGACCAUCAGGAUUUCCGCCGCUGGGUCACUGCUAUCGCAGUCGGAUGCAGUCUCUAUGGAGCCAGUCGACAGAUCGAACAUGCCGUAGAGAGAUUCGUCGGGCUCGAUUGCCGCAACUUGGGUGGUGGCCGUCUGGCGAGCCACCGCGUGCCUCACCCACCGCUGAAGCCUCGACCGGCCCGAGCGCUUGCGCUGGCGGGAGACCGGGAGGGUGGCUGAUGGGGAAGUCGACCGAUACGGGGUCGACGGUUGCCGCAGCAGAAUGCCACGGACACAUGCGCGAAAAUGUGUCGCACCGCGGACGGGGAGCGCAUCGACGUCGAGUGGAGCCUCCUGGAGCCAGGCGGAGUCAUCGGCGACGAAGGUGAGAGCACCGAGACGGAUCUCUCGACCCUCAACCAAAACUCCAGCAGUCACCAUGAUGAAAGUACUCGGAAGAACCGCAACCUUUCCACAAAAUCGCUAAAACACCUGCCCCACGGUGGGCGCCAACUGUCGUGGUUCUAAGUCUGACAGUAGAGUGGGGGGUAGGUACGGAGAGGCAAGGUCUUAGCUAUGGAGAGGUUGUAAACACAAGAGAUGUACGAGUUCAGGCCCUUCUCGGAGGAAGUAAAAGCCCUACGUCUCGGAGCCCGGAGGCGGUCGAGUGGAUUAUGUGUAUAUGAGUUACAGGAUGCCGAACCCUUCUGCCUGUGGAGGGGGUGGCUUAUAUAGAGUGCGCCAGGACCCCAACCAACCCACGUAAUGAAGGGUUUAAGGUGUAUUUAGUCCGGGGCGUUACUGGUAACGUCCCACAUAAAGUAUCUUAACUAUCAUAAAGUCUACUUAACUACAGGCCGUUGCAGUGCAGAGUGCCUUUUGACCUCCUGGUAGUCGAGUGAGUCUUCGUGGUCGAGUCCUUCAAGGUAGUCGAGUGAGUCCCUCGUUGGUCGACUGGAAGGUGACCUCUUCUAAGGGUGUCCUUGGGCAGGGUACUUAGAUCAGGUCUGUGACCCUACCCUAGGUACAUGACCCCAUCAGCAGGCACGUGGGUCGACGAGCUUCCAUCAGUUCUUUGGGGACUGAGGACUACUACAAAUCGGUCAACUGGGAGGACCCCGUUCUUUUUGGUCUACGGAGCUGAAGCGGUUCUGCCAAGUGACCUGCUUCACAAUGCACCACGAGUCGAUCUCUACUCCGAAGCUGAAGUAGAACAAGCACGGCAGGAUGCAGUCGACCUUCUGGAAGAAGAAAGGGAGAUGGCCAUGAUCCGAUCGACCAUCUAUCAGCAAGACUUGCGUCGAUUCUACGCCAGAAAUGUGAAGAGCCGAGCCUUCCAAGAAGGAGACUUGGUCCUCCGAGUGGACCAACAGAAGCCACACAAACUCGCCCCUACUUGGGAAGGCCCCUUCAUUGUUACCAAAGUUCUCCACAACGGAGCAUACCGUCUGUACAAUGUCGAUCGCCAGAUUGAUGAGCCAUGAGCUUGGAAUGCGGAUCUACUCCGCCCCUUUUAUACUUAAGUAUUCACUCGGAUGAGUUGUAAUAAAAGUACUUUUGUAGUUUAUUUAUCAAAGACAAGAGUUUCAUAAUUUUCCCAGUGAUUGUUAUUACUUUUGUUUACAUAAAUCAAUCCCCCAGUGGGUGGCUUAGCUGCGAAUCCGUUUCGCCUAAGUUUGUAAAAAAAAUCCUACCUAGUGGUAAGCCAGCCUUCCACUCGGAGGUUUAGCCGCGAAUCCGUUUCGCCUAAGUAUAAACAAAAUCCUACCGAGUGGUAAGCCAGCCUUCCACUCGGAGGCUUAGCUGUAGCCCAGUGCUCGCCUAAGUUUCUAAAAAUCCUACCGAGUGGUAAGCCAGCCUUCCACUCAGAGGCUUAGCUGCAGCCCAGUGCUCGCCUAAGUUUCUAAAAAUCCUACCGAGUGGUAAGCCAGCCUUCCAUUCGGAGGCUUAGCUGCAGCCCAAUGCUCGCCUAAGUUUUUGAAAAUCCUACCGAGUGGUAAGCCAGCCUUCCACUCGGGGGCUUAGCUGCAACCUAGUGUUCGCUUAAGUAUAAAAGACAACAUGCGCUCCGCAAGGAGGAUGAGGCGCAGGUCUACUCCUGCCUUCUCCUUCCGAGCUACGCCACAAAUACAAUGUGCGCUCCGCAAGGAGGACGAGGCGCAGGUCGACUCCUGCCUUCUCCUUCCGAGCUACGCCACAAAUACAACGUGCGCUCCACAAAGAGGGCGAAGCGCAGGUCGACUGCUAUCUUCCCCUUCGGAGAUACACCUUGGAAAUCCUACCGAGUGGAGAGAAAACCUCUCACUCGGGGGCUUAGCUGCAGCCCAGCGCUCGCCUAAGUUUCUAAAAUCCUACCGAGUGGAGAGCAAAACUCCCACUCGGGGGCUUAGCUGCAGCCCAAUGCUCUCCUAAGUUUCUAAAAUCCUACCGAGGGGAGAGCAAAACUCCCACUCGGGGGCUUAGCUGCAGCCCAGUGCUCGCCUAAGUUUCUAAAAAUCCUAUCGAGUGGAGAGCAAACCUCCCACUCGGGGGCUUAGCUGCAACCUAGUGCUCGCCUAAGUUUCUAAAAUUCUACCGAGUGGAGAGCAAAACUCCCACUCGGGGGCUUAGCUGCAGCCCAGUGCUCGCCUAAGUUUCUAAAAAUCCUACUGAGUGGAGAGCAAACCUUCCACUGGGGCUUAGCUGCAGCACAGUGCUCGCCUAAGUUCCUAAAAUCCUACCGAGUGGAGAGCAAACCUCCCACUCAGAGGCUUAGCUGUAGCCCAGUGCUCGCCUAAGCGUGACGAGCAUGAGUCGAUUGCAAAUUGUGCUUCGUCCCUACCUACAAAAGAACAUCACAGGCACUAAUUUAUAUUCCAAGCAAAGGAUGAUGAUCGUUCGAAGGCGGAAGCAAACAUAUCAAACGACAAACUGAGUUCGGAUAACGUCCUACGGAUCCAGAAGUGCUCAGGCAUCAAGCCUGUUAAGGUUUAUCGGUUACAAAAAUCACUCGGCAUUCCGAGGCAAAUUUAAGGCAUCAAGCAUAGAAGUUUUUUACCCCUCCUGCGGAGGGCUGGAAGGCACAACAAACUCGUCCAGGUCGAUUCCAUCUGCGAUCCGAGUGGCAGCGGCGAUGAAGGUCUCCAUGAAGGAUCGGAAGUCGUGCUUCUUGGUGUUGGCCACCUUGAGAGCUGCCAGCUUGUCCUCUCGCGCAUCCUUGCAGUGAACAUGGACCAGAGAUAGAGCAACGUCGGCACUGCAUCUGCCAGAAGACUUCUUCCAUUCGUGCACUCGACUUGGAACUUCGUUCAGUCGAGUCAUCAAGGACUCAAGGUCGUUCUGAAGUGCUUCUCCUGGCCAGAGCGCCGUGUCGAUGCGUGAUGUCGUAACCUUCAGCCUUGCAAGAUAGUCAACAACAGCAGCAACACGAGAUUCGAGUCGGAGCACGUUCAUGGCAGCUUCAUCCUUCACGGGAGAGUUGAUGGGGUCCAAGCCAGUUUCCACUCGACUAGUCUCUUCUUCAAAGUUUUGACAGAAUUCUGUGGAUAUGGUCCAAGGAUAAGCUAAUGUUCCCAUAAAGUCAGUAAUUACCAGUCAGAUAUUAGGGAUUACCUUCGAGCAUGAGGAGUAACUUCUUGGCGAGCCCUCCCAGAUAAGCCUCCAAGUCACUCUUCUUUCCAGCCAGUUCGCUAGCCUUGUCACUCAGGGCUACCUUCUCAUGCUUCUGUUGAGUGACCUCCUUGUUGGCCGCGUCGAGAGCAGCUUUCAGAGUGGCAUUCUCCUCUUCAAGUUUGCUGACCGAAGCCAACUUCUCUUCUGCAAGUUCGUCUUGUCCGAAGCCGCUUUCUGCGCCUCGACGAGGUCACGGUCCUUCUUCUUCAGAGCAUCCCUCAGUUUAUCUGUAAAAGCACAAUAAGAUCAGACUCGGGGACGGACAAGAAGCAAAGACAGUCGUCAAGAUUCUCGCCAAACAUACCUUUUGCCUCCUCCUUCGCCUUCGUGAAGUUCUCCUGGACAAGCUUCAGGUCAAGUUCGAGCUGGAUAUGCUUGUUCUCCAAUUCGGUAUAACGAGCUGAAAGCUCGCAAGAUCUCUGCAAAAAACCAAUCGACAGACGUCACAGAUAGGUCACUUCUGAGUGACUAAGAGAAAAAUUAUAGUAUUUCUAAGACUACAGCUGAAUCUAAACAUUCAACUGUAGUCUCGGGGACUACACCCAGUGGGUGCACUCAGCGUGCCCCCACUAGUUCUAUCAGCUAGACUCAAAGUCGAUCAGUCGACCAAAAAGGUGUGUGUGUGUUCUUCAGACUAUAGUCGACUGCCAGCAGUCGACCACAGUCUCGGGGACUACACCCAGUGGGUGCACUCAGCGUGCCCCCACCGGUUUACGAUUCCAUUCGACCAGAUCGAGUGAAGACAGUAAUGAGAAAAAAGAAAAACUCAAGACAUAAAGACUAUAGUCCACUGCCAGCAGUUGACCAUAGCCUUGGGGACUACACCCAGUGGGUGCACUCAGCGUGCCCCCACCAAUCCAGAUUCUCAAUCGAUACACCCAGUGGGUGUACAACAGAUACUAAGAUUUUCAGAAAGAAAAGUUUUCAGAUAACAUAUCCUAACAGAACAGGCAGUGAUCGACCAACCUGAACAUUGCUCUGAAGGGCUGAACUGGCGUCAUAAGCUGCUUGACUGGCGUCUCGGAUCUCCUUCACUUUCUCCAUCAUAACCCCCGCCUGGCGUAUGGCUUCUUUAGCAGCGCUCGCUCGGUCUUCAGGGACGUGGUGGGAGGAGAAAAGUGAAGGCUGGCCAGCACUCGACGACGAAGGGCGAGCACUCGUCAGCGGCACCGCAAAGGAUACGGUAGGCCGAGUGACACUGUCACCCUCCGCAACCAACGUCUCAGGUGCCGAUACGACCUGAGCUGCCUUGCCAGCGGACGCUCUCCUAUUCCUCCUCUGCCUCAGUGGUUCCUCGUCUUCAUCAUCAUCAGGAAGAUCAAUGAUGAUAUUAGAUGGAGCUGCAGAAAAGAGUCGAAGUUAAAAACGAAGAUUCCACCAAGUGAAAAUGAAACUUCAAAAGUCAUACCAGGGUUGGAAGUGACGGCAUCCUCCAUUUCUUGAUCAUCAGGUCUGGCCGAGGUAUCAGAAGUAGCAGCACUGCAGUUUCAGAAAUCAGUCAACCAGCUAACGAAUCGACCAAGAAUAAAUCCAUGAGAAACACGAGGACACGAGCUAUGUCAUUACCCAGAAAUAGUGGGAAUCACCAUCUUCAUUUUCGGCAGAGCCUUCGUCGGCCUCGACGGCACCACUCGAGAUUGCUUUGGCGCUUUCUCAGUCGGCGCCGGGGAGGUCGUCCGAGGACGCUGGUCGAUUGCACAGCAGGUGCGGCCCCCUUGCCACGCUCGACCGCAGGGUCAUGAGCAAGCUUGGACCUUCUUUCAAAACGGGGAGGCGCAACUUCCUCCUCCUCUUCCUCCUCCUCCUCCUCAUCGGAGCCAGCAUCUUCAUCACCCUCGUCACCAUCCGAUUCCCACUCCUCUUGACUUUCACCUCCACUUCCCUCCUCCUCCUCAGUUCCUUAUAUAGAGUCGCUUCCGAGUGGCUGACUGGUGGACCCAGGCAAUCCUGUCAAAUCCAGAAACAGUCGCGCGAGGGAUACGUGGCGAAAAAGGCGGCGCGGGAAUCGAGGCGUCUCUGUCUUAUCCCGUCCGAGUACCGCGGCCUUCCCCGCUUCGCGCGCUUCUCGAAAUUUGGAUCCCAGUAAAUCCGCUAACCGCGGGGCAACUUGUCAGACGGAAGAUCUCCUGCGAUCCGUCGCUCGGAGAUCUCCAAGUAUCGAAAGAUCACUCGACCUACAUCCAGAAUGGAUCAAGGCGAUUGAAAAAGAAGUUGAUACCGUCACCUACGGUCAUUUGAUCCAAAACAAGACGUACUCGUAGCAAGAAAGGAGGAGUCGGAAGAAUUCUCAACUCCUUCCUCACUCAAACCUCGAUCCAUUCGGGGGCUAAUGAUGAAGUCAUGUACCUAGGGUAGGGUCAUGGACCUGUCCAAGGUACCCUCCCCCAGGACAUCUUUUGAUGAAGUCAUCUUCCAGUUGACCUAGAGGGACUCCACUCGACUGCCUGGAAGACACUCGACGAACUUGAAGACACUUGACCAUGAAGACUCACUCGACCACCAGGAGUUCAAGAUCUACUAUAUAUCCAAACGGUCUGUAAUUAAGUAGUCUUUAUGGUCAUGACGACACUUUAUGUAGGGCAUUACCAGUAACGCCAGACCUUAAUGUACUUUAACCCUCCGCUGCGUGGGCUGGCUGGGGUCUUGGCAUCCUCUAUAUAAGUCACCCCCCUCCACUGGCAGAAGGGUUCGCACCCCUGUAACUCUCACACAUAUAAUCCAGUCGACCGCCUCCGGGCUCCGAGACGUAGGGCUGUUACUUCUUCCGAGAAGGGCCUGAACUCGUAAAACCCUUGUGUGCACAACUACUCCAUAGCUAGGAUCUUGCCUCUCCUUAGUACCCCCUACAUUACUGUCAGGCUUAGAACCACGGCACCGCCCCCGCUCGUGCCAGGAACCCCCGCCGCCGCGCAGGACCGCCGCCGCCCAGAGACACCACUCGGAAUCGCCCCGUCCCGCGCGGGAGGACACCCAAGAGGGGAAAUACCAGGGGCCGCCGCCGCCAGCGUCGCCCAUGCCAGGCCCACGGCAGGCGCCGGCGCCGACGGCAGGGAGGAAGGAGGAGGGGGAGGCGCGUGGAAGAGGAGGUUGGGCACGGCCGGCCGCCUCGGGCGGCACGGUCGCGGGGGAGGAAAAAGGAGUUCCUUCUGCGCUCUUGGCAGAAUCGCCCUUUGAUUUAGAUAAAUUUCUUGCAAAAGAAAAGAAAAAAGAAAGUGCACGACCUCCUUCCUAAAAAAACAAACAAAGCAUCCUCUAAGAUCUUUCUCCUUCGAGUCUGGGCGAAGGUCACUUCUUGGCUUGGACUCCGUCACAUCAUGAACGGAUUGGUAUCUUAUGGCCUCGGUGAAGGAGUGGCCGAUUGAGAUGGCUAGUACGAGAGACCAAACACAGAAAGGCCAUCUCCUCCUUGAAGAUGUUUGUUACAUGGGAAAUCUGGAAAGAGCGGGAUGCCAGAGUUGUCCGCAACCUCAGUGCCCCCACUAUUGUGAUUGUGACGACGAUCAAGGAGGAGGCCCGACUUUUGGCAUUGGCAGGAGCUGCGCAUUCACCACGGCCCGCACAGUCUUCUAGUACUGGACAACGUCCCUCUGCAGCAGGUUGAACCCCGUCUCCCCGGGAUCUGCCCACGCACGCCAUGACGGUGACGACGGUAGUGUUCCUAUGGUCAGGGGAGAGCACUGGGGCAGAGGAGAGGGUUCGAGCGUGUGGGGGGAGGGGGUGUGGGGCGGCAGGGUCGCGCGGGAGCGGUGGAAUGCCGCGGUGGCGCGCAGAGAAGCCGUAGGCGGCAGUGGCGGUGCCAGAACUGCAAUCUUGUGUAGUCAUUUUCAAAUUGUGUAGUCAAGUAUAUAAAUUCGAACAAAAAAAUUCAACAUUUUUGCAGCUGGGUGGUCAAUUGACUACCCAGUUGAUGAGUGGCUUCGCCACUGGUCGGCGGAGAGUCCAGUGCGGCGCGCGAGGGGAACGAGAAAGGGGANNNNNNNNNNNNNNNNNNNNNNNNNNNNNNNNNNNNNNNNNNNNNNNNNNNNNNNNNNNNNNNNNNNNNNNNNNNNNNNNNNNNNNNNNNNNNNNNNNNNNNNNNNNNNNNNNNNNNNNNNNNNNNNNNNNNNNNNNNNNNNNNNNNNNNNNNNNNNNNNNNNNNNNNNNNNNNNNNNNNNNNNNNNNNNNNNNNNNNNNNNNNNNNNNNNNNNNNNNNNNNNNNNNNNNNNNNNNNNNNNNNNNNNNNNNNNNNNNNNNNNNNNNNNNNNNNNNNNNNNGGGGUUCCAGACUGUUGGUCGGCGUUAUUUGUCGACCGAUGAAUGGAUGCGCAUGGGAGUUUUCCCGACCCACAGAUCGACAAUAAAUGUGCUUGUAUUCCCGUCCGAUGGUCUGUUGUUGUCCACAGGUUUUCCCAACCAUCUGUCACAACAUUUCCCAACCAACUGUUGAUCGACGAUGGUAUUUUUUCCCGACACACGUUUGUAGGGAAUGCAGUGUCGAGCGUUGACCUUUGUCCUUGCCUUUGCUUUGCUGGCAGGGUUGCUUGAGCUGGUCUUCGCUAUAGUGCCAAGGUGUUUGGCCAAGUCAAAGGUACUGGCAUGCUGGUAGAACUUGGCGACCUGAUGGGAUUUCUCGAGCUCGAGCUUGGUGGCUAUGACGGCCGAACUGAGCUAACUCGAAAGGACCUACACAUCCAUGAAUGCAUAUUUUGCCGCCACUUUUAUUUUAUCGCAGGGUUUGUAGUUAGACUUAUUGUUUGUAUCGGACUUAUUGUGUAUGAAAAUUAUUGUAAUAACUCUUAAACUGGUAUUGAAAUAGUUUACUUUCUUUAUGAUGUGAAAUCCUAUGGAUGUGGAUGUAUACUUAUUAUGAUCCUAGGAGAGUAUGUUGAACAUAUCCACGGUAUGGAUUCUCCUUUUAAAUCUUCUUUUGUCAUCAGGUUAAUUGCCUUAAGUGGUGGUUAGCACCACAUGAUUAAGGUAGAUUAUGAUUAGAGUAAUCUGCUCCAUUACAGUAACCCUCUAACCCAUUAUUGCCAUUCUUAUAGCUAUAGUGUGUUUUGCUAACUAGGUCCUUAUUUGUGUAGUUUACAACGGAUUCAAAUAACCAUACACAGCACACAAGCGAUGGAGCGCAGAGGAGCCCUACAAGCAAUGUUCUUGGUUCUUCACCAUCGAGAAACAAUUCGUUCUUUAGCCUUUAUCAUAUGAUUAUGUUGGUUGCCGGCAUGCGGAGGGGUUUGGGACUCAUGAUCGAGGAUUGGGAUAUAUGUUAUGUGGAUUGGGCUGAAAUGAAUGAUAUGUGUUGAUUUGUGUGUAAAUGACGUCCCAACGGCUCCCACUGCAGGGGAGACUUUGCUGAUUUUUUUCUUCUAAUUACCGUACUUAUUUUAUACUCAGUAUGGGUUUAUGCUCAUUGGUUGAUGCGGGUUAAGAUGUAGCCACUCUUCUUUUGUCACCCUGCUUCUUCAUACUCCGCUUGCAAAAUCCGGCUAUUUUUCUAUCCUUUUGUCAUAUGAUUAUGUUGGUUCCACUAUGAGGAGAGUUUGGGCCUCGAGACCGAGGAUUGAGACAUCUUAUUGUGUGGGUUGGUCUGAAAAGAAUGAUAUGUGUUGAUUUGUAUGUAAAUGAUGUCCAACGGCUCCCGUACAUUUUUUAACUUCCGAUCUAUUCCUCUUCAAUCAUGGUAGUACAACGAAGACCAGAAAUAAUAAAAAUUACGUUCAGAUUCGUAGACCACAUAGUUACAACUACAAACACUGAAGCCUAAUAGAAAAGCGUAGUAGAGGCAUUCGGAAAACGUUGUAAGUGGCGUGGACUGGAGAAGCCGCUAGUAUGACGCCGCUGAUAAGGCUCACUAGUGGCGCCGACUUCCAACGCUCGUAGAAACUUGAUAUUACUGGCAUCGGCGGCCAACGCCGCUGAUAGCUUUAGUACUGCUGGCGCGGGUCGGCCGAUGCCACAUGUACUUAUUGUAUUCGUUGUAUCGGGUAAAAAACAACACCACUAUAAAAUAUGACAGAACAAUAAAAAUCUGGUAAAUCACAUUGCAAAGAUGGAAAUCAUAUCGCAUUGCAUAUGAAACCACAAGGCUUUUGCCGUGUGCCAAAGACAUUCAAAUCCGGUAGUGAACUUUGUCUUGUUGUAUAUUUGGACGGCGUCUUUUGAAAGAGAAAACAUCACACAUGAUUUCUUUUUCACUAAACUCCAUUGGCCUCGUUGAUAUGUUCGUUCUCUUCUUUUCCAAUCUUGUGUAUGCAUUCGCUAUAUUCUCUUGAUUCUUGAGCACUCCCAUUUAAUGAUUUCCUCACGCAAAGGUGGACAUAUCGUGCCAAGAUGAAUCUUGCAUUCCUAGUUUUCUUUGCAUAAACUAAGAUGGGAUCCUCUGACAAACUGUGGGUUUUAUUUAGAACUUGAAAAGCUGACAAUUAUGCAAACAAAUCCGCACGACACUGUUGGAAGUUAAAAAAAAUAGUUGUGAUGUGUCAGCAUAAUAUAUACAAGCCCACAAGCCACUCAUGUAGAUGAUAUGAUGGACGGCUAGGGUUUUAUGUCCGUUCUGUGGACCUCUUUCCAUUUCCGCUGCCACAUAUAUGAACCAAAGAUGUAGCUAAUUUUGUCUAUGUGGUAGAGAUUAACAAACUAUGGGUUGUAAUCACAAUGUUUAGAUGCAUGCCAAAAUACAUCGCCGCACUGGAUGAAGAAAAAUGACGUGGAAGCCCAAGCUAUAGGCACUAGACAGAAGCCACCCACGUAGAUCAUGAACAACUUAUGUCUGUUUCCUUGCACCUUUUUAUCUUUAUCUAGCUAUAUAAACCGUCCACAGAUCAAGAGUGUAGUUAUCCAUAUACAGAACCAUUUAAGAUAGUACUAAAUCAGAGACAGAAAGUCUGUUCGCAGAGGAACAAAGUCGAUGAAGAUCGUGUUCUCGGUGCUCCUGCUAUGUAUGCUCGUGGCGACACCCAUAGCGUCCGAGUACGGCGCAUGGAGCUAUAACAGUGGUCCCUGGAUGUGCUAUCCGGGGCAGGCCUUCCAGGUGCCCGCGCUCCCUGGCUGUCGUCCAUUGCUGAAGCUCCAGUGCAAUGGCAGCCAGGUGCCCGAGGCCGUCCUAAGGGACUGCUGCCAGCAGCUCGCCGAUAUCAGUGAGUGGUGCAGGUGCGGUGCCCUCUACAGCAUGUUGGAUAGCAUGUAUAAGGAGCAUGGCGUGUCGGAGGGACAGGCGGGGACAGGCGCAUUCCCAAGCUGCCGGAGGGAGGUGGUGAAGCUGACGGCGGCGAGCAUCACGGCGGUCUGCAGGCUACCCAUCGUCGUUGAUGCGUCCGGAGAUGGAGCGUAUGUCUGCAAGGAUGUGGCCGCAUACCCGGAUGCCUAGUCAAGCGAAUGAGUAGCUAAUAUGUUCUGUGAUACAUCUGCCUCUUAAUUUAUGGGUUGCGCACAAGCUGAAUAAAAUGGUGUAUUCACCUAUGCGAAAUGCAUCGUUAAUGAAUAAAAACGAAGUUCCCUGUUGAUCGAGAAAUUUCAAUCCAGCAUACAAAAGAAUAAGUAGACGCAUGCCCUGUGAUCGAUCUUUUGGAGCCUUUGGCUAUAUCGUAGCCAGCUAUUAUUGUAAGAGUGGCAUCCGGGUGCUCGUCCAUGAUUAGGUUGUAGAUGUCAGAUCACUUGUACAGACAGACACAUUAUGCUGAUGCCGUUCUUAAUCGAGUAGAAGAAUUCCAUGGUCACAAAUAGAUCAGAGAAGAGAUGGUUGACCACACAAAUAGAUCAGAGAAGCGAUGAUCAUAUUGGGUCAGGAUGUACAUACCUAUGUUCCUCCUUGAUGUAGGGAACAUCCGGCACGGCCUUGCGCCACUCCUUGCUGCCCGCAACGCGGCCAUGCCCUGCCCUAGGGUUCCGCGACGACGGCGGCGACGGCGUCCCACAACCACACCCUCCCAUGGGUCCUGCCUUGAUGUGGGGUUCCGCAGUGGUGGCGGAGGUCUCGGAGGCCGCGUUGACGCCGGGGCCAGAGAAGCAAGACGUUAGCGGCGGAGGCGGCGGAAGAUUCUGCAGUCCCGGAGGCAGCGUUCACACCUAGGAAAUAGAUCGAGGGAGUAUCUCGAUCGAGAGAGGAGUACAGGGGGGCCUCGUUCCUCUGAUUUUGUUUAGUGGGACGGGGCUCAGUUCCUUGUUUUUUUUUUGGCUAGGUGUGAGGGGAAGCAGUGUGGUGGGAGGGGGGAAGGAAAAAACCAGUCGAAAAAAACCGAACGAAAAUCCUACCAACUGCUUCAUUAGGAAUAAAGAUUAGUGUGUUCCUUUUUUAUUCUUGCAUGCAAAGAUUUAAUGUGUCUCGAAAACUAAAAAUGAGAUGGAGUGAGCCCUUUAAAUUGGAAAAAACAAAAAAAAUUGAGAUAAACCCUAUAAACCGGGAAGGAGGGAGCAGGUCCUUGUUUGUGUAGCUUACAAUGGAUUCAAAUAACCCUGCACAGCACACAAGUGAUGGAGCGCAGAGGAGCACUGCAAGCAAUGUUCUUGGUACCAUCGAGAAAUGGUUAUUUCUUUUGCAGGGGAGAGAAAUGGUUAGUUCUUUAGCCUUUAUCUUUUGAUUAUGUUGGAUGUCGGCAAGAGGAGCUGUUUGGGACUCAUGACGGAGGAAUGGGAUAUAUUAUUAUGUGGGUUGGGCUGAAAUGAAUGAUAUGUGUUGAUUUGUGUGUAAAUGACGCCCCAACGGCUCCCGCUACAGGGGAGACUUUGCUGUUGAUUUUGUAAUUAACAUACUUAUUUUAUACUUAGUAUGUGUUUGUGCUCAUUGGUUGAUGUCGGUUAAGAUGUCGCCACUCUUCUUGUGACACCCUGCUUCUUCAUACCCCUCUUGCAAAAUCCGGUUAGUUUUCUUGCCUUUUGUAAUAUGAUUAUGUAUUUUUAGGGUUGUAAUAUGAUUAUGUUGGUUGCCAGCAUGACGAGGGCUUUGGGCCUCAUUGUAAACGAAGGAGAAGUAGAUUGGAUCGGCGCGCCCAACAUGGUGGCCUCGGGAUGUAUUUAUAUGGGUGCAACUAGGGCACAAAUUACAGGUUAUUACAGGAGAUAAGUACAGACUCCUAGAUCACAACAAUAUACAAUUUAACAUCCCCUCUCCAUCUGAACUUCCUUCGCGAAGAUUCAGAUUGUAUCUAUUUAAGACACAUGGUGCCUCAUCUAGUGGUUUGGUGAAGAUGUCAGUAACUUGUUCCUUGGAAGAGAUGAACCUAACAUCCAAUGCUUGGCUGCAACUUUUUCUCGAACAAAGUGGAAAUCCACCUCUAUAUGCUUGGUUCUGGCAUGAAACACCGGAUUUGCAGACAAAUACGUGGCACCCAGAUUGUCACACCACAAGAUUGGAGGUCAUGACAUAAAGAUUCCAAGUUCACCAAGAAGUGACUGUAUCCAAAUUAUCUCAGCCGUACCAUUGGCAAUGGCCUUGUACUCAGACUCCGUGCUUGAUCGUGAGACUGUGGCCUGCUUUCUGGAGCUCCAAGAGACAAGGUUGGGACCAAGAAAAACAGCAAACCCUCCUGUAGACCUGCGAUCGUCACUACAUCCGGCCCAGUCCACGUCAGAGAAGCAACUCAACACCAUUGAAGAUGACUUGCUGAUGGAUAGACUCAUACCACGAGUGUACUUCAAAUACCUCAAGAUCCUUUUUGCGGCCGAAAAAUGUGCAGUCGUCGGUGCAUGAAGGAACUGACAAACACGAUUCACAUCAAAAGAAAUAUCCGGCCUGGUCAACGUCAAAUACUGAAGUGCCCCAAGUAGGCUGCGGUAUUUAGUACUGUCAUCCUGAAAGAGAGGUGCCCCGCUAUCCUUGCUGAUUUUCUCACUCGAGGACAUGGGAGUAGUAGAAACCUUACAACUCUCCAUGUUAGCACGGUGAAGAAUGUAGCCAAUGUACUUCUGUUGAGAGAGCACAAUCCCCUGUGGCGACGACUUCACCUCAACCCCAAGAAAAAAUGCAAGGGACCAAGAUCCUUGAGAGAAAACGUGGCAUGAAGAUCAGCAAGUAGCUUAGUUGUUGUAGUAGGCGAUGAGCUAGCCACAAUGAUGGCAUCCACGUAGACAAGCAUAAACAUGGUGACACUGCCACGAUGAAAAAUAAACAAAGAAGUUUCUGCUUUAGACGCCACAAAACCAAGUUGAAGAAGUCGCGAGCUUAACCGAGAAUACCAGGCUCUGGGGCCUGUUUGAGUCCAUAGAUGGCUUCCCUCAGCUUGCACAGAUACCGAGGAGCAGUAGGGUCCACAAAUCCAGGAGGUUGUCGCAUAUACACCUGUUCCUGAAGAACUCCAUGAAGAAAUGCAUUCUGGAAAGAACUAGCCGAAUAGUAGCUGGUUUGACAACCGGACUGAACGUAUCAUCAUAAUCGAGACCAUACCGUUGCUUGAACCCUUUCGCAACAAGAUGAGCCUUGUGACGAUCAACGGUGCCAUCAGCCUUGUACUUGACCUUGAAAACCCACUUGCAGUCGAUCACAUUGACAUGAGGUGGUGGUGGAACUAAGGUCCACGUACCAUUGUGACGAAGGGCAUCAAGCUCAAACUGCAUAGCGGCACGCCAAGCAGGAGAUUCCAUGGCCUCACGAUGAUCACUGGGUUACAUGGAGACCAGAAACACAUGCCUAGAUGGAUCAUAGUUGACAGUACCAUCCGUAUGGUGCGCAACUUUGCGAGUAUGAUCACGUGUGCGUGUCACCAUUGCAAUGGCAGGAGGUGCAGUGGACCCAGGUGUCGGUGUCAAAACCGGCAGAUCUCGGGUAGGGGGUCCCGAACUAUGCGCCUAAGGCUAAUGCUAACAGGAGGCGAGGGACACGAUGUUUACCCAGGUUCAUGCCCUCUCGAUGGAGGUAAUACCCUACUUCUUGCUUGAUUGAUCUUGAUGAUAUGAGUAUUACAAGAGUUGAUCUACCACGAGAUCGAAGAGGCUAAACCCUAGAAGCUAGCCUAUGAUUAUGAUUGUUGUCCUCCUACGGACUAAACCCUUCGGUUUAUAUAGACACCAGAGGGGGAUAGGGUUACACAGGGUCGGUUACAGAGAAGGAGAUCUACAUAUCCGAACCGCCAAGCUUGCCUUCCACGCCAAGGAGAGUCCCAUCCGGACACGGGACGAAGUCUUCAAUCUUGUAUCUUCAUAGUCCAACAGUCCGGCCAAAGUAUAUAGUCCGGCUGUCCGAGGACCCCCUAAUCCUGGACUCCCUCAGUAGCCCCUGAACUAGGCUUCAAUGACGAUGAGUCCGACACACAGAUUGUCUUCGGCAUUGCAAGGCGGGUUCCUUCUCCGAAUACUCCAUAGAAGAUCUCGAAUACGAGGAUCGUGUUCGGCUCUGCAAAAUAAUUUCCACUCACCACCGUAGAGACCACAAUAUUCCACAAAUCUAAUCCGCUAACAAGUUUUCCUAGCGUGACAUCACCCCGCGGCCCGGCCCUUACGAACCGGUUUUCCCAACCUGGCAUUACACGUAUUGCGAGGUGGUUUUAUUGGCACGUCUUGUCGAAGCAAAGAUCGUGUUCCCCUUAUUACGGGAUUCUCAUCAAUACGGGUGUGGGUAACCCAACUACGCUUGUUAGUAUAACUCCUUGAUUUUAGGCAAGUUCCAAAUGGUCACGCCGAGGACGCUUGAUAUUCACCCCCUUUAUAGAGGGACCGAGGCAUGUCCCUUUCUUCCCACACUUGCUCCUUCCCCCACCUUGAGUUCCAACACCCAAAGCUCAGGCUUAAGCGCUUUAGACCUUCAAUCAUGUCCGGAUCCAACCUUGAAGGUCGGUGGAUGGCCUCCCCUGUCACAGAGGAGGACAUAGAGAAGCUCAGGGAGGCCAGGUAUUUGACCGCCGAAAUCCCGCACAGGCUACCUGCUCAAGGGCAGGUCAUCCCCACUCCCGAACCCAACAAGAGCGUUGUAUUUGUUUCCCACUUCCUCCAAGGCUUAGGCUUUAGUCUUGAUCCCUUUGUUAGAGGGCUCAUGUUCUAUUACGGGCUAGAUUUUCAUGAUCUAGCUCCGGACUCCAUCCUUCACAUCUUGUCGUUUAUCGUCGUGUGUGAAGCCUUCCUCCAUAUCACCCCACACUUCGGCCUAUGGCUCAAGACCUUCAAUAUAAAGCUGAAGGUGAUCGACGGGAGAUAUGCGGAGUGCGGAGGCGCUAUAAUAAGCAAAAGCGCCGAUGCCCCAUGGCCAUAGGGUUCCUUCUCGGAGGUGUCCGACUUAUGGCAGCGAAGGCGGUUCUAUAUCACAGCUCCCCAAGGCACAAAGUGGGCGGCCGCCCCCGCCUUCCGCUCGGGCCCUCCGCCUCAACUGGCGUCAUGGGUCAACGAGGGACUGGAUUGGGGGGCCAGCUAAUGACGUACCGGCAUUGCAAGGCCGCAUUCGGGAUCUUCUCGAGAGGGAUGUCAGUCUUGUCAAGGUAAUGCAAGUAAUGCUAGUUCGUCGGGUCCUGCCGUGCCAACGUCAACCUGUCUGCAUGUGGGAGUUCAACCCGGAAGGACCGUGAACUAUUCAACAAUUCUUCGGCAUGACGCUCGAAGGGAUGUACAGGUUGUUCUUCGGAUCACGAAUAAAGUGUCCGGACACCACCGAGGACGCGGGUCUUAACUGCAACCGUCUAGAUACUCAAGUAAGUAACUUCGCAACCGAACAUGCUGUCUUUAUAUGUGACACAACACCAAUCUGAAAAAACGAUCUUGUCCGGGACUGGAUACGGAAGGCAGAGAGGAUCAGAUGUUCGGCCCCUCUUCCCGAAGGCUCGCCGGAUCCUGUACUAGUCAGGAUGCUUGAGCGCGCACCCUAUCAAGUGCCAUGAGGAGAAGAUGAAGGGAGGAAUAAAGAAGCCGAAAGCGGGCUUCAUACAUUGCACAUCCAAACCGGGGGAAUUAACGUCUCCACGAAGGAGAAUAAUCGAGGAGGUGAAUCUAAAAUUCCCUUCCCCCGUGGGAAGAAAAGGGGCACCUCCGAAGACUUGGAAGUGGAUGUGUCCAAACAAGGGAAGAAACCCUCGCCAGGGGGCCCUGCCCCAGAGGGCGUCCUCACCGCACAGCGCCCGCAAACGGUCCAGCCCUCCACCGAGCUGUAAGUGAAUUAAAAGUAUUUUGAUAAAUAUAUCUUGCUUUAUCUCUAAGAAUAAUAACCGAGACCUAUCUUGCAGUCCGGAUCAUAGCCCUUCUCAAUAGAGUUCGUCCUCGGGGGAUCUUCUUCCGAAGAUGAUGGAGAGCGAAAUGCCUCCUCCUGCCUCCCCACCCCAUGGGGCGGACGACCCCGAGGUGUCGUCACGGAGGAUUUCUCCUGAUCCACUAAGGCCAGAAGUUAAUGCUUCGGCCGCCUGAAGCCCGGAGUAUUCGGCUCCCAGGGAGAGCAACUAGAAGAGUCCGGGAUUGUCCGACACACAGCCGGACACAUUGACAGGCCUUCUAGAGCGAGCGGCUAUCUCAGAGGAGCACCGUACUUUAAUGGGUACGGUGUUUGAGAGGAUUUCAUCCACCAGAAGCAGGUUGAAUGACGCUUUUAUGAGUCUGCUCAAAGGCUUUGAGGUACGCAAAGUAAUAUGUAAACUUUCGGCUGUACCGCACACGCUAGGUGUGUUCCGUAUAUAUAGUAGCCCCUGAGACUCUGGUUGCCAGCCCGAGGCGGCAAACGGAGGAUCAUACUCCCCAGUAAUGAUCGCGCUGCGUUAUGUGCAGACAGUUGAGGGUCUGGCGGUUGACCGGACUGCUGAAUUCGCCGAACUGAAGCGACAGCUUGAUGUGGCGGAUGCCGACAUCGCGCUUGUGAACAAGCAUCUUGACGAGGCACAGGGUAUGUGUUUUUCAGUAUUGUGAGCAACUAUUAAGAGGAGCAUGAUGCUAGUAUCUAUAAUAUGUUGUGGCUGCAGAUGGAGCUGCUGCCGUGGAGGCCCUUCGGGGGGAACUUGCCCUAGCCAAGCAACAAGCCAGGAUAAGUGAUGCGGCCGCCCUAAAGGCGGGCGAAGAGUUAAGAGCCGAGCAGGCUGCUCAUUGCUGGAGCAAAGAUAAAAUAGACGAGAUGGCUGUUGAGCUGAAAGAUGCCACCGGCCAAUAUGAGCUCCUUGAAAAGAAGAGACAAGCGAAAGCGGCUGACCUGAAGAAGGCCUUGGAAGCAGCCAAGGAAACACGCUCUGAAAUCAGAGCUACACGAGAGGAGCUUCGACAAGCCGGAGAUAUCACGGCUGGGAGGCCCUUUUUGUUGCGGAUAAAGUUCGGAGAUCCAAAGUAUGCUCCUCUGUAUCAAUUAAGGAGUGCUGCAGACGCAUAUGCAAACCUGACAAAGAGUACUGCUGAUGCGACUAAGUUUUUCAAAGAUCAGAAAGAUCAUGAGGUAGAAAGGUUGUUCUGGUCGCAGUUCGGUGCCCCAAUGCGUCCGCUGCCAUUGAAUGAAAAGCUGGCCGCAUGGGCCAAGCUCCAUAGGUUGUCCGGGCUUGCCAUGAGGUCUGUCAUGGAUCAUCUUUGGCCGAAGGGACCAAGGCCGGACAGUUAUUUUAGUUUAGUGCAACAAUUCCUUGGUGUUGUGUCGCAUAUCGAUGCUGUGAAGAGGUCGGCAUGCAUAGAGGGUGCGCGGAUGGCUCUUGCCCGUGUUAAAACAUUUUGGGCAGGGAUGGAGGCCACGGGUAUUGCAACCCGGGGUCCGGCGGAAGGCCAGGACCUGGCCGAGCACUAUUUUGAACAGGUCUUAGAAGGCGCCCGUUUAAUAGAGGCUCAGUGCUCAAAGAGUAUCAUGUUCGAGUGACAUAUAUCUCAAUUGUAAAGACAAUGCUAUUUUGAUUAUAAAGGUUGUGUUUAUACUUUUGUCCGAAAGUAUUGUAGUGCCUCCUGUGCGGCCGUUUAUGUAUGUAUAUAACCUGAAAGUUUGGAGUCGUUGGCUUCAGCCCCCACGGAUAUAAUGCGGGGGUGUUCGAAAAAGGCGCGUAAUCACACUUGAUCCAACGUCUUGGUCCAUUAAGGAGGUGAUCGCACGUCGAACUAGGCAACCGGACUAUAUAGCUUUAACACUUUCACUUAGCCAUAGAAGUUUGACGGUGGGGCUACUAUAUAGCCCCUGGUACUUCCGCGUUCAUCCGAAUAUGGUGUGCGUACGUACAUGACCGGGAAACCGGUCCUUCAUUAAUGCGGAGGAAUCCCUAAGAUUCCGCUAAGUCAUCGAGUGGUUGACCAGUCUCUCGCUGUAUCAUGACAGUCAGUUUUCGGCUUUCUCUACUGAGGUGCUCAUCCGGAAUAACCAGGGCACAAUCGCAGUAGUUCUCGGUUGGCCGCCUUAGCCGAUAAAAUGGAACGUAAGGUAGCAAAACCCAGGAGCCGGGCAAACCCAACAUUUGACCAAAGACAUGAUUCGGAGCUGAUGCAUAUAAGGCCAAACUCGCGACGCCGAACACUCCCGAAGGUAUUCGGACUUUGUAACAUAUAUUGGGCUGAGUAACGCCCUGAAUAAUGAACCCCGAAUUUCCAGGUACGUGCAUUAUUCUGUCGUUGCGAAAUGCCAAUAACGCCAGUAUCCCUCGUGGGUGUAUUAAUUACCCUGGGGAUGUCAAGCAACAAGAGACAUUAAAGAAGGUUUAUACAUGGGCUUAAUCUAAAGAGAAACCUUUGAGCGGGGCCCAGCUACACGUCUAUGCCUUUGUCUCUGUUGUGCCGUACCCUGGAAGGGUGUAGCACGAUGGUCAUCUAUAAAAAAGGAAAAACCCAGGUAAAAGAGUCUGGUGUAAUCGUGCGAGAAGUUGGUUAUUCUCAAUGAAUCAUUAAAAUGCAAUAUAUUAUUAUAUUAAUAGGGUCAAGCCGAACUGUUGGCUUUUUUACAUACGGGCAACCCCUAGCACCGCUUAUGGGGGUAUGUCCAUAGACCCAAGCUCAGGUUUAUCUGGGUUGUUACAACCGGCAGUGCGCUGGACUCAUCUAACCGUGUCCGUGGUCUUAACGACCGGUCAUGUAUUCUAGUUGGAGAGGCCGCUCAGUGUUCAGCUGCAAGAGCCGCCACAUAUUCUUCCACGCGUAAGGAACGCUCUAUGUUUUCGUUUACUGUGAUGACGCCACAUGGACCAGGCAUCUUGAGUUUAAGGUAAGCGUAGUGCGGUACUGCGUUGAAGCGAGCAAAGGCCGCUCUUCUGAGUAGUACGUGAUAGCCGCUUCGGAAUGGAGGAAUGUCGAAGAUUAAUUCUUCGCUUCUGAAGUUGUCGGGAGAACCGAAUAUAACCUCUAGUACUAGAGAGCCCGUGCAGCGGGCCUCAACACCUGGUAUUACUCCUUUAAAGGUAGUAUUACUUUGGCUGAUUCUUGACGGGUCUAUCCCCAUUUUGCGGACAGUGUCCAUGUAUAUUAGGUUAAGACUACUACCGCUGUCCAUAAGGACUCUGGUGAGAUGGUAUCCAUGACUUAUUGGGUCGAGCACCAAGGCAGCCGAUCCCCCAUGCCGGACACUGGUCGGAUGAUCCCUGUGAUCAAAAGUGAUCGGCAGGCCGACCAAGGGUUGAAUUUGGGGGCGACGGGCUCUACAGCGUAUACUUCUCGGAGUGCGCAUUAGCGCCUUCUCUUCGGUAUAUGAGUUGCGUAGAUCAUAUUCAUUGUUUUGACUUCUGGUGGGAAUUUUUUCUGUCCCUCAGUGUUUGGCUGGCGAGGCUCAUCCUCGUCAUCACUUGGUGUCUCCCUUCCUUUGUGUUCGGCGUUUAGCUUGCCAGCCUGCUUGAAGACCCAGCAUUCUCUAUGGGUGUGAUUUGCAGGUUUUUCGGGGGUGCCGUGAAUUUGACAUAAUCUGUCUAGAACCUUGUUUAGGCUGGACGAUCCCUCUCUGCUACCUUUAAAUGGCUUUUUCCAUUGACCGGGUUGAGAGCCCCUGAAUCCGGUGUUGACCGCCGUGUUAUCUAGACUGUCUUCAUUGUUUCGAUGCUUGUUUUUAUUGCGCCACGACUUCCCGUUGCCAUCCCUGAUUUCGGAUGUGCCUGGGUCGUUGGUGCCUCUACGAGCCAACCAGCUGUCCUCUCCCGCGCAAAAGCGGGUCACAAGGCUUGUUAGGGCCGCCAUUGUCCUUGGCUUUUCUUGGCCAAGGUGUCUGGCGAGCCAUUCGUCUCGGAUACUGUGCUUGAAAGCCGCUAAGGCUUCGGCAUCCGGGCAAUCGACUAUUUGAUUCUUCUUAGUGAGAAAUUUGUUCCAAAGCUUAUGGGCUGACUCUCCGGGUUGUUGGAUUAUGUGACUUAAAUCAUCUGCAUCCGGAGGUCAGACAUAGGUCCCUUGAAAAUUGGCCCUUAAAGCAUCCUCAAGUUCCUCCCAACUUCCAAUUGAGUUUUCGGGGAGGCUUUUCAACCAAUGUCGAGCUAGUCCUUUCAACUUCAGGGGCAAGUAUUUAAUGGCAUGGAGAUCAUCUCCGCGAGCCAUGUGUAUAUGAAGGAUAAAGUCCUCAAUCCAUACCCUAGGGUCUGUCGUUCCGUCGUAUGCCUCUAUAUUCACGGGUUUGAAUCCCUGUGGAAAUUCAUGAUCCAGCACUUCAUCGGUGACGCACAGGUGGUGCGCGGCACCUCUGUAUCUAGACAUGUUGUGGCAUGCUGUUGACGGCUGUUGUGCUUGGUGUUGAUUUUGAGCUGGUAUUUGAUAAAUAUGAUCAUUUUUGUAUAUGUAAUCAUGAGUCGGAGCGCGCUUUUUGGGUCCGUAGAUGGACCUGUUUACCCCUACUUUUUGUCCAGGAGCUCACGUAGAAAGUGUGCUGACUUGUGUGCGGCAUCAUUGGCCGCCCUGUCGCGGCCAUGGGGUGGCUAGUCCGGCUGAUCGGCCAUAUAUUUUUCCGGCGGAAUGGGCUCUAUGGCCUCCUCGUCGAAUUUGGGCAGCAGCUUGUGCUUUGGGUAGCUCUUUGUGUGGCGAUCGUCGCCGUAUUUUUCUUCAGUGUCUAGCACUUUAUUCCAUCUGCGACACUUUGUUCCAUCUGUGAUUGAGCAUAUCUUACGCAGCCUUAAGCCUUUGCUUCUGCUUCUUCAGGCUCCUUGCGGUGGCCAUAAGCCUUCUAUGGAGGUUCUCUUGUUCCAAACGUUUUUCCAGGAUGAUGUAUGCGUCGUCUUUCGGACUAUCCUCCUCUUCGGAGGCAGGUUGAUGAGUUUUACCCUCGGGAUCGCUGUGAUCGGACACCUGCUCCGGGCUAUGUUCGGCGUCCACUAGCUCAUCCUGCUCCAUCGCUGGGUCCAUGGGGUCGUCGUUUCCUUUGGAGUCGACUGGGGUGUUAUUUUUUCUUGCGCUAUUAUCGCUAUUUUUACUGUGGCUGGAUUUGGAGCGGCGCCUGCACCGUUGCUUUGGUUUCUGCCCAGGGGGAUUAUCCUCUGUUACAUCCUUUUUGUCGUCGUUCUUCUCCUUGGGUGUGUCCACCAUGUAUAUAUCAUAUGAUGAGGUGGCUGUCUAGCGCCCCGUGGGCGGUGGUUCCCGAUCAUCUCCAGCAUCGACGUCUAUACCGUCGAUGUCUUCGGAGUCGAAGUCAAGCGUGUCGGUUAAGUCAUCGACAGUGGCUAUUAAGUGGGUGGUGGGUGGGUAGGGAAUUUCUUCGUCGUCCACAUCCCACUCGGGCCGGACAUAGUCUCUAAAUUCAUUGAGGUCCCAUUGAGGUUUCUGCUUGGGGGGAUUAUCCUCCGUUGCAUCCCUAGCCAAGAGUCUCCUGAUAAAGAGAGAGACCUCAAUGAAAUUAGCAAGUCGCCCAAGGGGGAGUGUUGAAAGAUAUCCACGGAGGUAAACUCCAUGAUCGGUGCCCAAUCAGAUUCGAUAGGUAUCGACGUGUCACGACCGGUUUUUCAAUAAAAUAAUUAUUGAGAAAAUCGAUCUUUAAAUCCCAGUAUAGGAAAAGUCAUCCUCACUGGUAGACAAAAUACUUGAUGAACAGAGGACCAGUAGCAUUAAAUAUAUUACAGAGUUGAGCUAAGGCUGCUCAACAAUUUAUUACAAACUCGCCAAUAUCCUACAUAAGGGCGGUUAUGUCACAUGGAUGUGGUGGCAUGCUACUAGCUCGAGGUAAAAAGUGGUGGAUAACUUAACUCCUAACUGGCAGCUCAUCGAGCGUUGAGGUGAGGCUCGAUGAAUUUAUUUCUGGGGUUGCGGAAGCGGAUAAUACAAUGACCAAACAGGAUCGCACGGGACUGACUGGGACUCCUCUAGGCGUCGGACUCGCUAUCAAACUCUUCAUCCAUGAGAUCGCCUUCAUCAACAUCUGGCCAAAUCAACAAGCCAGGUGAGUACUUUGAAAGUACUCGCAAGACAGUUCGGACAAAGGAUAUAAUCAAUGAAUGCAUGAAUGCGCCACGAAUAAAAAUGAUGCUCAUACAUCAAUAAUAAUAUUUAUGCACGACUCGAUAAGUAAGCAAAUAAAUGAAACCGAUCGGGUGUCUGGAGCAAUGCCUCAAAAGGUAAACAAAUAAAACUCAUGCCGCAGUCGGGCGUCUAAGCGACACCACAUAAAGGGCUUUAAAAGAAAUGCCACAGUCGAACGUCUGAGCGACAUCACAUAAAGGGCUUUAAAAGAAAUGCCACAGUCGGACGUCUGAGCGACAUCACAUAAAGGGCUUUAAAAGAAAUGCCACAGUCGNNNNNNNNNNGGUUAUUUGCAAAAGUGAGAUCUGAUAGAGACAGAUAAAUGGUAAAGUAAAUAUUUUUGGUAUUUUUGGUUUAUAGACUGGAAAGUAAAGAUUGUAAAAUAGUAGAUCGGAAACUGUAUAUUGUAAAAUAGACCCGUGGGCCAUAGGUUUCACUAGUGGCUUCUCUCAAGAUAGUAAAUAUUACGGUGGGUGAACAAAUUACUACCGAGCAAUUGAUAGAAGAGCGCAUAAUUAUGAUGAUGUCUAAGUCAAUGAUCAUGAAUAUAGGCAUCACGUCUGUGUCAAGUAGACUGAAACGAUUCCGCAUCUACUACUAUUACUCCACACAUCGAUCGCUAUCCAGCAUGUAUCUAGAGUAUUAAGUUCAUAAAGAACGGAGUAACGUAUUAAGUAAGAUGACAUGACGUAGAGGAGUUAACUCAAGCAAUAUGAUGAAAACCCCAUCUUUUUAUCCAUGAUGGCAACAAUACAAUAUGUGCCUUGCUACCCCUACUGUCACUGGGAAAGGACACCGCAAGAUUGAACCCGAAGCUAAGCACUUCUCCCAUUGUAAGUAAAACCAAUCUAGUGUCACGACCGGUUUUUCAAUAAAAUAAUUAUUGAGAAAAUCGAUCUUUAAAUCCUAGUAUAGGAAAAGUCAUCCUCAUUGGUAGACAAAUACUUGAUGAACAGAGGACCAGUAGCAUUAAAUAUAUUACAGGGUUGAGCUGAGGCUGCUUAACAAUUUAUUACAAACUCGCCAAUAUCUUACAUAAGGGCGGUUAUGUCACAUGGAUGUGGUGGCAUGCUACUAGCUCGAGGUAAAAAGUGGUGGAUAACUUGACUCCUAACUGGCAGCUCAUCGAGCGUCGAGGUGAGGCUCGAUGAAUUUAUUUCCGGGGUUGCGGAAGCGAAUAAUACAAUGACCAAACAGGAUCGCACGAGACUGACUGGAACUCCUCUAGGCGUCGGACUCGCUACCAAACUCUUCAUCCAUUUGGCCAAAUCAACAAGCCAGGUGAGUACUUUGAAAGUACUCGCAAGACAGUUCGGACAAAAGAUAUAAUCAAUGAAUGCAUGAAUGCGUCACGAAUAAAAAUGAUGCUCAUACAGCAAUAAUAAUAUUUAUGCACGACUUGAUAAGUAAGCAAAUAAAUGAAAGCGAUCGGGUGUCUGGAGCGACGCCCCGAAAGGUAAACAAAUAAAACUCAUGGUGCAGUCGGGCGUCUAAGCGACACCACAUAAAGGGCUUUAAAAAAUGCCACAGUCGGACGUCUGAGUGACAUCACAUAAAGGGCUUUAAAAGAAAUGCCACAGUCGGACGUCUGAGCGACAUCACAUAAAGGGCUUUAAAAGAAAUGCCACAGUCGGACGUCUGAGCGACAUCACAUAAAGGGCUUUAAAAGAAAUGCCACAGUCGAACGUCUGAGCGACAUCACAUAAAGGGCUUUAAAAGAAAUGCCACAGUCGGACGUCUGAGCGACAUCAUAUAAAGGGCUUUAAAAGAAAUGCCACAGUCGGACGUCUGAGCGACAUCACANNNNNNNNNNCGAAAGGUGAACAAAUAAAAAUAAGGAAAAUGAUGCCACAGUCAGGCAUCUUAGCGACACCACAUAAAGGGCUUUUUUAAAAGAAAUGCCACGGUCGGAUGUCUGAGCGACAUCGCAGAAAGGGCUUUAAAAGAAAUGCCACAGUCGGACGUCUGAGCGACAUCACAUAAAGGGCUUUAAAAGAAAUGCCACAGUCGGACGUCUGAGCGACAUCACAUAAAGGGCUUUAAAAGAAAUGCCAAAGUCGGACGUCUGAGCGACAUCGCAGAAAGGGCUUUAACAAAAAUGCCACAGUCGGACGUCUGAGCGACAUCACAUAAAGGGCUUUUAUUCACAAGUAAAUAAUACUCAUAAUAAAUNNNNNNNNNNAAGGGCUUUAAAACAAAUGCCACAGUCGGACGUCUGAGCGACAUCACAUAAAGGGCUUUAAAAGAAAUGCCACAGUCAGACGUCUGAGCGACAUCACAUAAAGGGCUUUAAAAGAAAUGCCACAGUUGGACGUCUGAGCGACAUCACAUAAAGGGUUUUAAAUAAAGUAAAUACGAUUAUGCCACCGUCGGACGUCUGAGCGACAUCACAGACAGGGCUUACAAUAAAUGUAAAUACAAGUAUGCCACCGUCGGACGUUUGAGCGACAUCACAGACAGGGCUUGUAACAAAAGUAAAUGACAAGAUUAGUCCAUCCACAAGAAUAAUCUUUUAACCGGAUUUAUCACACAUGUAUUCCACCGGAGUUUUGUCACUGAGGCUGAUACCUGACAAGAUAAGAUGAAUAUAGUACUUGAACAAAGUACAAGAUAAUUGAAAGAUUUGAGACUCUGCAGAGUUAAUAUUGACUGACCACAGCCAACGGAUUUCCGUAGUCACAAAUGGACUAGUUCCGUUUAUGGUAUUUCAGUAGAAACACAUUUAACUAGUAUACACCCAUUUCACCUCACGAUGCCAGGAAUCACUCUGGACAACGUCCAAGAAAAAUUUUGAGACGGGGAGGUCACAACCUCGAAUAGCAUGGGAUCAAAUUUCUAUACGCGCACUCUAAGGGGUGCCCCCCUCUCGGUCCCAACCGGAAACACCCAUGCCCCUUGACCGGAUGACGGGCUUUAAUCCAUGGCCAUGGAAACCUCAUCCCGGCCUCUCUAUUUGGUGUGUACCAGGAAAACGAUUUGCAACUUACUAAGCCAUAUUCCUUUCGAAAACAUGUGACAGUACAGGAAGGAAUGAAUGGAAAUGUGAUUUGUUUCACGAUGACACGGAAGUCAAAUAAUCUGGCAUAAGACUGGCAUGUCACAACACUACCAUCUUACCCAUCCUCAUGCCAUCACAUGGCCAUGCAAAUAUGUAUCCAACAACAUAAUGCUUUUCCGAAACUUACUUUCCACUUAUAUGCAUGAAAUAUAACAUUCAAGAAAUGUUCAUAAACAUGCCAUGACUAUACAAAAAUGCAAACAUGCAACAGCCACUCAUCAUAUCAAGAGUUCAGACAUGCUUGCCUGGUUCGGAGUAGUCGGAGUUUAACUGUGUGAAGUUUGCGGCUCCGUCACCUCCUCCGGUAUCUACGGUAUAAGAAAAAUAUGUACGUAACAUAAAUAACGUGAGUGCACAGAAAAAUGGUCCAAAUAUUUUUCAAAUAAAUAUGACAAAAAACUAGACAGAAAAAUAAAGGUGACAGAAAAGGAAUCAAACAAAAAUCAUUUUUUUUUAAGUUAUAAGAGUUUUGGUCCAAGGACCCAUGUGUAAUGAAACAGAAAGUUUCCAGGGGGCUCUGCGGAAAAGUCUAGAAAAACGUUUCGUUUAAAAGAAACGACUGAGAGGCUGACAGGUGGGCUCCACCUGUCAAGCUUGAAAUUUCAAACGGGGAAAAGAGAGCGCGACGGUGCCCGAGAGAUGCGGUGGUCGCUGGCGGCGAUCCACGGUGAGGCAAGGUGAUCGGGGGUUACCUUCGUGAUCAGUGCACCUUUCCGCGUCUGUGAGUGGUGGUGGUGGUCGCCGGCGAGCACUGUGUCGACGGCGGCCCUUGCUCCGGCGGACGGCGGUUCGGGCAGUCGUGGAUCUUGCCGGAGGGAGCUACGGUGUUCAAAUUGAAGUGGGGGUUAGCCUACUGGAGGUGGUACGGGGCUACGGGCAAGAGCAGGGCGGCGGAGGAGUUCUCACCAAAGAGAAUGUUGUCGGAGCCCGAGGCAGACGGAGGUGGCCGGAGUCGAAGAAGAAAGGCCCCUCGAGGCUCUCCCAGUGGCUAGGCGGGGUCUAGUGAGGUGGUGGAGUUGUGCGGGGGCGAGAGCAAGCUCGAGGGGGUGCUAUUUAUAGCCGGCCCGAGGCGGUUGCCGUGAACGGAUAAGUCCGGUGGGUGAUUACGGCGGCGCUGUGGCGCGACGGUCGGCUUAGGAGCUUGAGCAUCGCCUAGAUGGAGCAGUGGUGCCAUUUCAGGGUCCAACUCAGCACGGGAGGGAGGGUUACGGCCUGCCCUCGACGGAACGACAGCACGGCCCGUCGGCGGCAGAGAACGUGCUCUGCGCGUGCCAGGCCACGGCGACGGUGAUGCAUCCGUGCGCUGGCAAGGAGAUGGCCACGCGGAGCUACCAGGAGGGUUGGGCGGCGCCGAACGGCGUUCUGCCGCGGUGUUGCCCCCUGUCGGCCGUUACGGUGGCUCUGCUGCCGCAAAGCACGCCGGCGCAGGCGGGCCAGGGCGCCGCCGACGCCAGGAAGGCGCCAAGCGCGCGUGUGAAGCUCCGGACAAGAGGGAAGGGCUGCGAGGAUCGAGCCAAAUGCACAGUGGGCAUGUCACUGAAGUUCUGUCGGGGAAACGACACUGAAACUCUGAAUUUACUGAAUAUGAACAAAAACAAUGCAUGCCAAGUGUUCGACAGAAUGAUUCUGGCAUGUAGGGAUUUUUCCUUGAGCUGAUUUUUGGUGGAGAGGUCUCUCAUUGCAACUAGAGUUUGCCUGAAUUUUGGUUGAAUUUUUGGAGAAGUGUAGAUAUGAAUUUCACCAAAUUUGGCAAAUCUGGUCCAAACUUGCAGAGAGUGAAAUUUGAAAUUUUUGAAAGGAAGAAGAGUGGAUCAAAAUGGUUCUAGGUUGUGGGUACUAAGGACUAUCUAGGGGAGUUGGUUUGGGAUGCAGGAUCAAAGGCAUUAGGGUACUUGCUUUGCAAAUCACCUAGGUUCACAAGAAAGGACAGAAUUGUUUUGGGAAAAGAAAUAAUUGGAAUAAAAUCCAAAAAUGGAUUUUAUCAGUUUGGACAGAAUGCUUGGGUUGUACCAAAGUGGAUGGAGAGGUUUUGGGGAAGUUUUUGCCAUAGGAGGUAUGGUAAACAAGAAGGGAUCAAAAUCAAAUAAAAGCCCAAAACCAAAAGGGUUUCUCUUUAGAAGAAAAUAAAUCCAAGAAAAGAUUUUUAGAGGGCAAACUCAGAAGAGGGUUUUUAAGAAGGGUUUAAAUGACCUUCUUCAAACCAAGCAAGGCUCUUUCUGAAAACAAAACCACAAAAAAAUUUGGAGUGUCACAGCACCUACCCCCUUAGGAAAAAUCUCGUCCCCGAGAUUUCAGCUGAUCCUUAAACAGGUGUGGGUGCUCUGUCCGAAGAAAAUCCUCGCUCUCCCAAGUUGCUUCAUUCUCGGUGUGAUUGCUCCACUGAACUUUGAAAAACUUGAUGGUUUUCUGUCGGGUCCUCCUCUCAGACUCUUCUAAUAUUUUUAUGGGGUGCUCCCGGUAGGUGAGGUCUGGUUGCACGUCAAUAUUCUCAUGUGAUACUUGCUUCUCUGGGUUGCUCACGUAUUUUCUCAACUGCGAGAUGUGGAACACGUUGUGGAUACCGGAUAAAUCUCCGGGUAGGUCUAGCUGGUAGGCUACCGUGCCUCUUUGGGCCACUAUGUGAAAUGGUCCGAUGAAUCUUGGUGCUAGCUUUCCCUUAAUCCUGAAUCGCUGCAGACCCUUCAUAGGAGAAACUCUUAGGUAAACCAAUUCUCCAGGUUCAAAACUGAUUUCCCGAUGCUUUCGAUCGUAAUAACUCUUCUGCCGACUUUGAGCUGUUUUGAGUCAAUUUCUAAUGGUUUUAACUUUCUCCUCAGCCUCCUUGAGCAUAUCUGGGCCGAAGAUAUGGCUGUCUACGGUCUCUGACCAAUUUAGCGGGGUACGGCAUCUUCUCCCAUAUAGAGCUUCAAAGGGUGCCAUUUGCAAGCUGGCUUGAUAGCUGUUGUUGUAUGCGAACUCUGCAUAUGGCAAACUUUCUUCCCAGCUGUUCCCGUAGGUGAGGACACAGGCUCUUAGCAUGUCUUCUAGGAUUUGGUUUACGUGUUCAGUCUGCCCAUCAGUUUGGGGAUGGUAUGCGGUACUGAAUGCUAGUUGGGUUCCCAGUGCCUGUUGCAGGUGAUCCCAAAAUCUAGAGAUGAACUGUGUGCCUCUAUCGGAGAUGAUAGUCUUUGGAACUCCAUGUAGGCAGACGAUACGGGCAAGAUAAAGUCUGGCCAGUCUCUGCGUGGUGUAAGUUGUCUUCACUGAAUAAAAUGUGCCACUUUGGUUAAUAUUUCGGUUAUGACCCAUAUGGCAUCGUUUCCGUGUCGUGACCGUGGCAGUCCAACGAUAAAGUCCAUUCCGAUCUCGUCCCACUUCCACUCGGGUAUCUUGUUUGGUUGUAAUAGCCCGGCUAGUUUCUGGUGCUCGGCCUUGAUACGUUGACAAGAGUCACAUGAUGCAAUGAACGUGGCUAUAUCUCUCUUCAUACCGUGCCACCAAAAAUUUCCCUGAAAGUCUUUGUACAUUCUUGUCCCUCUAGGAUGGAUUGAGUACGGAGCUGUGUGACUUUCAGUCAAUAUCUGCUGUUUGAGUUCCUUGAUAUUUGGUACGCAUAGUCUUUCUCCGUACCACAAUAUUCCUUGCUCAUCUAUGUUGAAUUCUGAGGCUUUGCCCAAACUCACUUUCCUUUUUAUGCCCUCAAUGCUGGGGUGUCCGUGCUGGGCUUCCUUGAUCUUUUCCAUCAGGGUAGGCUGUAUUUCUAGGUUCGACACACUGCCUUCGGUAACCAUUAUUAAAUUGAGUCUGGCAAAUUCCUGUUGAAAUUCUGGCCUCAACUUUGGUAUACCGUCGUCGUCCGGGCUGGGAUUCCGACUAAGUGCAUCUGCCACAACAUUUGCUUUUCCGGGAUGAUAGUGGAUUCCAACAUCAUAAUCCUUCACCAACUCUAACCAGCGUCGUUGCCGUAAAUUUAGUUCCGGCUGUGUGAAAAUAUACUUAAGACUCUUAUGGUCUGUGUAUAUCUCACAACGAUUUCCAAGUAGGAAGUGUCUCCAUUCCUUGAGUGCAUGGAUGACCGCUGCUAAUUCCAAGUCAUGAGUGGGAUAAUUCUCCUCAUGCUUGCAGAGCUGUCUGGAGACAUACGCAACUACCUUGCCUUCUUGCAUCAAUACGCAUCCGAGGCCUUUCCGGGAUGCGUCGCAAUAUACUUCAAAAUUCUUGUGUAUGUCUAGCACAAUUAAUACUGGUGCCGUUGUUAAUUUGCUUUUUAGCUCUUGGAAACUUUUCUCACAUGCUUCUGUCCAUUCGAACUUCUUGCCUUUCUUGAGCAGUUGUGUCAUUGGCUUUGCUAUGGUGGAGAAUCCUUCAAUAAAUCUCCGAUAAUAGCCUGCCAUUCCCAAGAAAGUCCGUACAUCCGUUACGUUAGCUGGUGGUUUCCAGCUAAGUACGGCCUUGACUUUUUUCGGGUCUACUGCAAUACCUUCUUGGGUUAGCACGUGGCCCAGAAAACCCACCUACCUUAGCCAAAAUUCACAUUUGCUGAAUUUGGCGUACAGUUGAUGUUUCCUGAGUUCUCCGAGUACAAUCCUGAGAUGCUCGGAGUGCUCUUCUGGUGUCUUGGAGUAUAUCAGAAUAUCAUCGAUGAAUACCACAACAAACUUGUCCAUAUACUUCAGAAAUACUUUGUUCAUGAGGUGAACAAAAUAUGCGGGGGCGUUGGUUAGCCCGAAUGGCAUCACUGUGAACUCAUACAACCCAUAUCUGGAGGUGAAGGCAGUCUUGGGAAUAUCUUUUGUUCGCACUUUUAAUUGGUGGUAUCCUGAUCUCAAGUCAAUUUUCGAGAAGACUUUGGCCUGUGCGAGCUGAUCAAAUAAAUCAUUUAUUCGGGGCAUUGGGUAUUUGUUCUUGAUUGUGACCAUGUUAAGAGCCCGAUAGUCAAUACACAACCUCAUUGUUCCAUCCUUCUUCUUGGCAAAUAAAAUUGGAGAACCCCAAGGUGAGGAGCUGGCUCGUAUGUAUCCUUUCUCCAAUAAUUCUUUUAUUUGCUUCUUUAACUCUACCAAUUCGGAUGGUGCCAUUCUGUAUGGUUUCUUGUAAAUGGGAGCGGUUCCGGGUGCUAGCUCAAUGCUGAAUUCUAUCUCUUGGUCCGGUGGUAUGCCUGGUAGUUCUUCUGGAAAUACGUCUGGAAAUUCACACACUACUGGAACAUUGUUUAGCUCAGAAACGUCCACUUUGUUUAAUCUUGGUUGCCGAGGUAUAUGUCUUUCUUUGGCUAAAACUUUUAUUUUCUUCCCCUAAUGGUGUGUGAGAAUCACGGUCCGAUUGAAGCAGUCAAUAAAACCUUUGUUGGUGGUUAACCAAUCCAUCCCUAGGAUGACAUCCAAUCAUUUGCUUUCCAAUACAAUAAGGUUGGCGUAAAACUUCAAUCCUUCAAAUUCAAUAACCACACCUUGACAGUAACUCUGGGUCACUUGCUUAAUCCCAGGGGACUUGAUGAUCAUUGAUUUCUCCAAGGGAAGCAUCGAAAAAUUAUUUUGCAAAGCAAAACUCUUCGAAAUGAAAGAGUGAGAAGCUCCAGAAUCAAACAAAAUCAUGGCAGGUAUUGUGUUGACGGGGUACAUACCGAGUACGAUAUCUGGGGCGUUCUGUGCUUCCUCUCGGGUCACGUGGUUCAGGUGACCUUUUCGGUGGUUGUUAUUGGGGUUGAAAUUGUUUCGCUUGGGCGCUGAAUUAUUGCCACCAUUAUUGGGCUUUGGGGUCGAGUUCCUUGGCUUGGGGCACUGCUUGGCAUAGUGCCCUUCUUCUCCACAAGUGUAACAAGUAACGCCUGGGCGAUAGGUGAACUCCUUGUCUCUUGAAUGGAAAUUCUUGAUUGGACGUGAAUUUUCGUCGGGGUUUUGUGUGUUCCACCCUUCUGAAAUUCCGUCUUGCUUCUGGGGUUGCGAGUAAAAGUAGUGUGGUCCCUUUUUCGUUUGCGGAUAUCUUCCAGGCUACGUCGCUCAUUUUCUAGAGUAAUGGCCUUAUCCACCAGUGUUUUAAAAUCUCGGAAGGUAUGUACAACCAGCUGGCAUUUAAGGGCGGGUGCCAGGCCUUCCAAGAAUUUUUUUCAUCUUCUUGCUCUCAGUCAUGCGCUCUUCAUUGGCGUAGCGAGACAACAGAGUAAAUUGGCUGUUGUAUUCUGACACUGUCAUGGUCCUUUGCUUGAGGUCAUCAAAUUCUCUCUUCUUGAUUUUCAUGACGCUCUUAGGAAUGUGUGCCCCACGAAAACCUUCUUUGCAAUCCUCCCAGGUUAUUUCAUUUUCGUUGGGGUGCAUGUGCAGGAAGUUUUCCCACCACGAUGCGGCUGCUCCCGUGAGGUAAUGUGGUGCAUACAAUACUUUUUCACGAUCUGAACACUGUGCAAUAAUUAUUUUUCUCUCCAUGUCUCGAAGCCAGUCGUCGGCCUCAAGAGGCUUGUCAGUAUGAGAAAAUGUUGGAGGACGCGUCUUCUGUAACUCAGAUAAUUUGGAUUACGGUUGAUACUGACCACGGUUGCUUCCCAUAUUGAUGAAUUGGUUCAUCAUUUCCUGGUGUUGUUGCUGACUUUGUUCAUACAGACGACACACUUGUGUAAAAGCUGUUUCACUGUCCUGUUGACUUGUCUGACCCUGAGUGAAAUUGUGGUUUUGCGGUGUGCCAUAAUUUUCUCCUGGCUGAUUUGGCAUGGAGCGCGUCCAAGGACGAUACAUCUUUCACUUUGGGGAUAUAUUUUGUGAAACUCGUAGGAUAAGGAAGAGAGUCGCAAAAGUCAAUAAAAUCACACACAAAGAACAUUUUAAAACUCCAGGAUAUUUUUGAAAACACACGAUUGCGCGCGGAGAAGGACUAUUACAUAUCUUACACGCAAGCAUAAUUAUACAUUACAUCACUCAGGAUAUGCGUACAUAAUUCUGACAUGUUAUUUAACUAGUGCACUUCUCCAGAUCCUACAUGAUGCGCAAACAGGCUACUUCUCACAACCUAUGUAGAUAUAACAUAUUACACAAGUCGGUACAUCGCAUGGCGUCUACGCGUACUCAGUCGGAGAUGGUGAGGAUCUCCCUUGGCCUGCCGAGGGUGAGACGCAGUGACGCUGGGGAAUCAACUUCCUCCUCGCUAAUAGGUUCCAGACGAGGAACGCUACGCUGAGCUGAUGGAGCAGGUGCCGUAGGCGGAGUACCCUGAAUAAGAGUGGGCGGAAUAGGUGGAGUAGCACGUAUGGGAGUGGGUGCAAAAAGUGGUGCAACGCGAACGGGAGUGGGUGCAAUAGCCUGGUUAAAUUCCUCAGUGGUAGGCAAACGACGAGCAGUGGCGAGAAUGGUAGGUGAAUGAGAAGUUGAGGACGAGAUAAAAGUCAGCGGUGGAGCGGUGUGUAGGAGUUCCCUCCUGUUAGCAGCACAGCCAUGAACCGAGUCCAUGUGGGCAGCUACGAGGUCGUCCACCAUGCUGUAGAAGGCUGCCUCCAGGGCUCGGAGGUACUCGACCAGCAUCUCAAAAGCCUCGUCUUGCUCUCCUCUGGGGCAAGGGAAUGAGUAGUGACAGGUGUAAGGCACAUGGCAUGGAAGGUAGCGGUAGCGACGGGUCUUCGUUUCAGGAAGGACAUCCCGAAGACGAGCUAUCGCCUUGCGGGCUGCCAUCUGCAUAGCAUGCCUCUCUGUAGGCAUGGCUCUCCCCAAGAAACGGAAGCGGCGCAUCUCAACACUCCCUCCCCUGAAUUGCACCGUGGCCUGGUGCAUGGUCAGACUGUCGUUGAUCUUGUGCGGAUAAAGUGUGAAGACUAGGCGCACGGAUGGCCCCAUCGCGACCUGAACGAUGAAGGAGAGGAGUUUGACGAACCCCUCAGGCACGUUGGCGAACAUUUGAGACUCGCAGUCGCUGCCAGCCAUCUACAAAAAUAGGCAAAAAUUCUGAGUGAUCAGAUCAUAAAUUUUAUGCUGACUGUCAGAAAAAUGACUACAUUUGUAAAAACAUGAAUAACUCUAUCCUGCUAAUAACUAAUUAGCGAUCACACCUAGUGGUUUCCUACAGUCAGCCUGGCUCUGGUUACCAAGUCUGUCACGACCGGUUUUUCAAUAAAAUAAUUAUUGAGAAAAUCGAUCUUUAAAUCCCAGUAUAGGAAAAGUCAUCCUCACUGGUAGACAAAUACUUGUUGAACAGAGGACCAGUAGCAUUAAAUAUAUUACAGGGUUGAGCUGAGGCUGCUCAACAAUUUAUUACAAACUCGCCAAUAUCUUACAUAAGGGCGGUUAUGUCACAUGGAUGUGGUGGCAUGCUACUAGCUCGAGGCAAAAAGUGGUGGAUAACUUGACUCCUAACUGGCAGCUGAUCGAGCGUCGAGGUGAGGCUCGAUGAAUUUAUUUCUGGGGUUGCGGAAGCAGAUAAUACAAUGACCAAACAGGAUCGCACGGGACUGACUGGGACUCCUCUAGGCGUCGUACUCGCUAUCAAACUCUUCAUCCAUGAGAUCGCCUUCAUCAACAUCUGGCCAAAUCAACAAGCCAGGUGAGUACUUUGAAAGUACUCGCAAGACAGUUCAGACAAAUUAUAUAAUCAAUGAAUGCAUGAAUGUGUCACGAAUAAAAAUGAUGCUCAUACAGCAAUAAUAAUAUUUAUGCAUGACUCGGUAAGUAAGCAAAUAAAUGAAACCGAUCGGAUGUCUGGAGCAACGCCUCGAAAGGUAAACAAAUAAAACUCAUGCCGCAGUCGGGCGUCUAAGCGACACCACAUAAAGGGCUUUAAAAGAAAUGCAACAGUCGGACGUCUGAGCGACAUCACAUAAAGGGCUUUAAAAGAAAUGCCACAGUCGGACGUCUGAGCGACAUCACAUAAAGGGCUUUAAAAAAAAUGCCACAGUCGGACGUCUGAGCGACAUCACAUACAGGGCUUUAAAAGAAAUGCCACAGUCGGACGUCUGAGCGACAUCACAUAAAGGGCUUUAAAAGAAAUGCCACAGUCGGACGUCUGAGCGACAUGACAUAAAGGGCUUUAAAUAAAGUAAAUACGAUUAUGCCACCAUCGGACGUCUGAGCGACAUCACAGACAGGGCUUACAAUAAAUGUAAAUACAAGUAUGCCACCGUCGGACGUCUGAGCGACAUCACAGACAGGACUUGUAACAAAAGUAAAUGACAAGAUUAGUCCAUCCACAAGAAUAAUCUUUUAACCGGAUUUAUCACACAUGUAUUCCACCGGAGUUUUGUCACUGAGUCUGAUACCUGAAAAGAUAAGAUGAAUAUAGUACUUGAACAAAGUGCAAGAUAAUUGAAAGAUUUGAGACUCUGCAGAGUUGAUAUUGACUGACCACAGCCAACGGAUUUCCGUAGUCACGAAUGGACUAGUUCCGUUUAUGGUAUUUCAGUAGAAACACAUUUAACUAGUACACACCCAUUUCACCUCACAAUGCCAGGAAUCACCCUAGACAACGUCCAAGAAAAACUUUGAGACGGGGAGGUCACAAUCUCGAAUAGCAUGGGAUCAAAUUUCUAUACGCGUGCUCUAUGGGGUGCCCCCCUCUCGGUCCCAACCGGAAACACCCAUGCCCCCUGACCGGAUGACGGGCUUUAAUCCAGGGCCAUGGAACCCUCAUCCCGGCCUCUCUAUUUGGUGUGUACCAGGAAAACGAUUUGCAACUUACUAAGCCAUAUUCCUUUCGGAAAACAUGUGACAGUACAUGAAGGAGUGAAUGGAAAUGUGAUUUGUUUCAUGAUGACACGGAAGUCAAAUAAUCUGGCAUAAAACUGGCAUGUCAUAACACUGCCAUCUUACCCAUCCUCAUGCCAUUACAUGGCCAUGCAAAUAUGUAUCCAACAACAUAAUGCUUUUCCGAAACUUACUUUCCACUUAUAUGCAUGAAAUAUAACAUUCAAGAAAUGUUCAUAAACAUGCCAUGCCUAUACAAAAAUGCAAACAUGCAACAACCACUCAUCAUAUCAAGAGUUCAAACAUGCUUGCCUGGUUCGGAGUAGUCGGAGUUUAACUGUGAGAAGUUUGCGGCUCCGUCACCUCCUCCGGUAUCUACGGUAUAAGAAAAAUACGUACGUAACGUAAAUACCGUGAGUGCACAGAAAAGUGUUCCAAAUAUUUUUCAAAUAAAUGUGACAAAAAACUAGACAGAAAAAUAAAGGUGACAGAAAAGGAAUCAAACAAAAAUCAUUUUUUGUUUAAAAGUUAUAAGAGUUUAGGUCCAAGGACCCAUGUGUAAUGAAACAGAAAGUUUCCAGGGGGCUCUACGGAAAAGUACAGAAAAACGUUUCGUUUAAAAGAAACGACUGAGAGGCUGACAGGCGGGCUCCACCUGUCAGGUUUGAAAUUUCAAACGAGGAAAAGAGAGCGCGACGGUGCCCGAGAGGUGCGGUGGUCGCCGGCGGCAAUCCACGGUGAGGCAAGGUGAUCGGGGGUUACCUUCAUGAUCGGUGCACCUUUCCGCGUCUGUGGGUGGUGGUGGUGGUCACCGGCGAGCACUGUGUCGACGAUGGCCCUUGCUCCGGCGGACGGCGGUUCGGGCAGUCGUGGAUCUCGCUUGAGGGAGCUGCGGUGUUCAAAUUGAAGUGGGGGUUAGCCUACUGGAGGUGGUACGGGGCUACGGGCAAGAGCAGGGCGGCGGAGGAGUUCUCACCAAAGAGAAUGUUGCCGGAGCCCGAGGCGGACGGAGGUGGCCGGAGUCGAAGAAUAAAGGCCCCUCGAGGCUCUCCCAGUGGCUAGGCGGGGUCUAGUGAGGUGGUGGAGUUGUGCGGGGGCGAGAGCAAGCUCGAGGGGUGCUAUUUAUAGUCGGGCCAAGGCGGUUGCCGUGAACGGAUAAGUCCGGCGGGUGAUUACGGCGGCGCUGUGGCGGGACGGUCGGCUUAGGAGCUUGAGCAUCGCCUAGGUGGAGCAGUGGUGCCAUUUCAGGGUCCAACUCAGCACGGGAGGGAGGGUUACGGCCUGCCCUCGAUGGAACGGCAACACGGCCCGUUGGCGGCAGAGAACGCGCUCUGCGCGUGCCAGGCCACGGCGACGGUGCUGCAUGCGUGCGCUGGCAAGGAGAUGGCCACGCGGAGCUACCAGGAGGGUUGGGUGGUGCCGAACGGCGUUCUGCCGCGGUGUUGCCCCCUGUCGGCCGUUACGGUGGCUCUGGCGCCGCAAAGCACGCCGGCGCAGGCGGGCCAGGGCGCCACCGACGCCAGGAAGGCGCCAAGCGCACGUGUGAAGCUCCGGACAAGAGGGAGGGGCUGCGAGCAUCGAGCCAAAUGCAUAGUGGGCAUGUGACUGAAGUUCUGUCGGGGAAACGACACUGAAACUCUGAAUUUACUGAAUAUGAACAAAAACAGUGCAUGCCAAGUGUUCGACAGAAUGAUUCUGGCAUGUAGGGAUUUUUCCUUGAGCUGAUUUUUGGUGGAGAGGUCUCUCAUUGCAACUUGAGUUUGCCUGAAUUUUGGUGGAAUUUUUGGAGAAGUGUAGAUAUGAAUUUCACCAAAUUUGGCAAAUCUGGUCCAAACUUGCAGAGAGUGAAAUUUGAAAUUUUUGGAAGGAAGAAGAGUGGAUCAAGAUGGUUCUAGGUUGUGGGUACUAAGGACUAUCCAGGGGAGUUGGUUUGGGAUCAAGGAUCAAAGGCAUUAGGGUACUUGCUUUGCAAAUCACCUAGGUUCACAAGAAAGGACAGAAUUGUUUUGGGAAAAGAAAUAAUUGGAAUAAAAUCCAAAAAUGGAUUUUAUUAGUUUGGACAGAAUGCUUGGGUUGUACCAAAGUGGAAGGAGAGGUUUUGGGGAAGUUUUUACCAUAGGAGGUAUGGUAAACAAGAAUGGAUCAAAAUCAAACAAAAGCCCAAAACCAAAAGGGUUUCUCUUUAGAAGAAAAUAAAUCCAAGAAAAGAUUUUCAGAGGGCAAACUCAGAAGAGGGUUUUUAAGAAGGGUUUAAAUUACCUUCUUCAAACCAAGCAAGGAUCUUUAUGAAAACAAAACCACAAAAAAAAUUGGAGUGUCACAGGACGCGCACGGUUCGGGACCUAAGGCCGGAGACGAGUCCGAGGGUCCGGUGGCACAGAUCUCUUUGGAAGUGGAGUCUGUGUUCUGCUCCAUCGCUGAUAAGUGUGCGGCCUCCAUGGCAGAGUCCAUCCACCCGUCCUUGGAUGGCGCGAUCUGCUCCAGAUUAAGGGCCAGGGCAGCCACAGGUGCGAUAUCCCGAACACCAUCUGAUGGCAGAUCUGAGUCAUGCACGUCGUGACUGUUCGGCGCUCCUGACGUAGGCUCGAACCCAUCGAAGAUCAAGUCUCCACGGAUGUCGGCGGUGUAGUUCAAGUUUCCAAACCUGACCUGAUGGCCAGGGGCGUAGCUAUCGACCUGCUCCAAAUGGCCAGCGAGUUGGCCCACAGUACGAAGCCGCUGAAUACAAAGAUCUGUCCGGGAAGGAAAACCUCACUCUGGACCGCAUCGUUACUGAUGAUAGAAGGAGCCAUCACUAGUGCAGAACCAGGCUUUAGCGUCGGUUCGUAACGGCCUUUAGUGCUGGUUCGGCAACCGACACUAAAGAGUGGGGACUAAAGGUCCCCCCUUUAGUACCGGUUCAUCACGAACCGGCGCUAAAGUGCCACCACGUGGCACGAGCCAGGCCCGGGUGCGUGUAGGACAUUAGUUACCGGUUGGUAACACCAACCGACACUAAAUCUUUGGGCGUGUUUUGGUUUUAUUUUUUAUUUUUCCUUUAAUUUUGUGUUUUCAAUUUAAUUGAGUGAUUGUUAUACAUUAUAAUGAGUUUUUAAAUCAUUAGGUGAAAGUACCACAGAUUAGUUUUGACUGGAUGCAUGUGGAUCCUAGCUAAGUGAUCAAGUAUAUGUCAUAUCCAUAUUAUACUUGAUCACCUAAUUAGGUGAUCAAGUAUAAUAUGGAUAUGGCAUAUACUUGAUCACUUAGCUAGGAUCCAUCCAGCUGAAACUAAUCUGCGGUUUCUUUCAUAAAUGAUAUAAUAACUCAUCAUCAUCAUCAUCAUAUUAAUAUAAAAACUCUUGCAUCAUAUCAUCAACAACAGUAUAUACUAGCUAGCUAAAAAUCAUCAUAGUCGUCAUUACCACUAUUUAAUCAUCAUAGUCAUUACCGCUAUCUAAUCACCACCAACACUAGCUUAAAGAAGAAACAUUCACUUGUACCAGAAGCAAAGAUAUCAUCGAGUUCAACAUGGUCAUGAUAUUAUAAGCGUUCAUAACACCACAAAAGCAAAUCACUCUUUGAGAUUAAGUUCAGGACGAAGAACAUGGACAUGAGAGGACAAGUACUAAGAGCACGAACUAAUCACUCCUGAUGCUCUCUCUUAGGUAAAAUAGCAUAGAACAUGUAUAGCUCUCCUGAUUCAUCAUACUGGAGCAUGCAGAUGAACCUGUCUCCUAAUCGUGGGUUGCGCUUCUCAUUGCUGCCCCCUAGUACUUCUCUGUGAUUGUUAACAAUUUUGCUCCAAUCUUUCACUAUUAAGCAUUCAUCGCUUUCAGAAAUCCUAAAUGCAUUCAUGCGCAAUGUAGGAUAUCUUGGCCGUAAGCUAACAAUUGACAUGAGACCUUCAGUCUCGAUCCACUGAGGCACAACUAUCAUCGGGAGUCCCUGUUGAAGAACAUCGUAUAGUAAUUAAUAUACUUAGCAAUGAAAGUUUAGCAAAAAAAAUUAUGUAUGCAAAGAUGCACUGAGGACAAAUAGUAAAAAUCUUACCAUCAUUCCUAAAUAGAUGUGACCAUAGUUCAAUACGAUCACUAUUGAUCACACGUUUUGAGUACUAACAUUUUUAAGUGCAGGAACAAAAUUUGUCUUGACAGUAUGAAGAUCUUCAAGCCAUGAAACAUAAUGACUUAUCUCCUCACAGUUCAGUUCAGCUCCGAGAUAGUAGUAGGUCCUGUCUACCAAGCGCCGGACAUGUUUGCUUGAAUGGAAAUAAGCUGUCAAUAGAAAUUAGUUGUCAACUAUUUUUGAAUAAAAAAUAUCAAAGACAUAAAUAUGGUUGAGAAACUCACAUAAUGGUAGAACUGGAGGCGUCUGCACAUGGACCCAGAUGUCUCUAUUACCUUCAAUAUCAUCUUCCAGACGAAUAUCAAAGGUGAUAAUCAUAUCAGGCGCAAAUGCAUAAGCCUUGCAUAGUGCUUGCCAAGUUUUGCAUUCAAAAUAGGUGUACGUGUCUGCAUUGUAUACUUUGACGUUGAAAGUAUAACCAGGCUCAGUUUUCAGGUAAACUCUAUUUACCACCAUAGUUUCCAUUUCACUGAAACCUAUCUUAUCCAAGACAAAAAUUCUUGCAUGGUAGGGGAUGCGCUAAUAAAAUAGUGAAAAUUAAAAAUUAUAAGUUGAAGCAAAUGAAGCAUAUAUAAGUCAUGCUUAAUUACGAAAAAAGACUUGUCGUUGUGACUCUAUAUCGAAUUCGAAGGUCUCAUCCACGUUGAUGCUGAAUCGCCUAUCAUCAACAAGGAAAUUUCUGUCGCACAGGUCGCGCUGGUCUUCACAGUAUUCGCACAUAAUGAAAUCUAUUUCUUCGUCAGACGAAAUUUCCUAUGUUCAUAUAGGUGAAACAUUAAAUACUUACUAAUUCUAUUAAUUCAACUAAUUCAACUACUUCUAUUAAUUCAACUAGUUCUGUUAAUUCAACUCAUUCAACUAAGCAUUUACUAAUAAUAAACUUGUUCUAUUAAUUUUCUUACUAAAAUAAACUAGUUCUAUUAAUUCAACUAAUUCAACUAGGAAUUUACUAAAAACAAACUACUUCUAUUAAUUUACUUACUAAAAUAUAUAAAGUAGCUACACUACAAGAAAAUUGAGAUACUAUGACGCAAAUCCUUGUGACGGUGGUUGACAUCGUCACAAAACUAUCUAAUGUGUGAUGUUCUGGAGGUCGCGUCACCAAUUACUAUAUGUUAGUGACGGUUAAUGUCACUGAGUCAUGUGAGCCGCUGAGUGCCACUUGGCUGUCAUUUUUAUGAUGUUUUGGUAAUUUCCGUGAUGAACCCACUAUAGUCACCGAUUAUUACAAAUGUGUAAUGCUUAUUUCUUUAUCAUGUAACUACAAGCAAUGGGACCCGUCGUAGCUGCUUCGGGUUAUUAAGCAGUUGGACCCACACGCCCAUGUAUUUAUAUGGGUCUCGUGUGUGAAUGGCUCAAUGCUGGUAGUUGGACCCGCCAUAGUUUGUUCAUAAGUUAUUGAGUGAUGCAAUUAUUUAUUGAGUCUAAUAUACCAAUCUAAUAUAACUAAAUAGUGGUAAGAGAAAAGCUUAUUGGUGGUGUUCGUGAGUCAAUGAAUAUGGGGGUGCAAUUGUACACAUGUUGUUUUGCGGGGAGUACACAUAUGGUGUCUAGUACAUGAUUUUUAUUUUUUUAAUCGGAUUAUACACACAUGGUACGUGGCACAUGCUUUUUACUUUUUUUAUAGAUUAUACACUUACAUGGUACAUGCCAUUUUAAUUUUUUGAUCAGAUUAUACAUGUACAUUGUACGUGUCAAAAUGACUUUUUUGUGUUAAAAAACACCCAUUGUAUUUUUACGUAAGCAUGUCAAGGCCACUAGUUUGUAUUUUUUUGAGGGAGAAUCGAUUUGCCCUCUGGUGUGCAGAGAAUGAAAUUUUAAGUUUUUUAGCGAAGCCCAUUGGCUGACCCUAAUCCUCGUUUUACAUCUGGCGCCAUCCUCUUCCUUUCUUAAUCCCGAUCCAAUCUACCAAUCCCCUCCACCGCUCAUGUCCCAUGCUCCCACCCCCGUCCACCUCCGUCGCCCCCACCAUCUACGCAACAACCAUCACCAUCGAGACCUCGAAGGAUGCCACCGCAGAGCCGCCGCCGCUGCAGGCAGUCGGGCACGGCAGGAGGAGCCCUCCGUGCGCCUGCUCGUCCUGACGCUGUCUGGCCACUCGCCAUGGCGUUAUCUCCAUUGCCGCGUUUCCUCCCCGAUGCUGCACCCCCGAACACGGCUGGCCAAUCCAGCUCGUUGACGCCCAUGUCACCACCUUCGCAGUCCUCCCCCAGCAUCCACCACGGGGGGAGCAAAGGUGCAGCCCUGCCAUGACGGACACCUCCUUCCCGCACUCCUGCGCCUCCCGGCAUCUGCUCGUCGUUGUCAGCCACCACGGUCAGCAAGGCCAACCUCCACGGCAACUGGAUCGGCCACCACUGCCGCGAGGACCAUCCUCCAUGGCCACCCCACUGCCCGCCUCAACGUCGGAUCCGCUGUCCAGAGCCUACACGCGCGCAUGGUCGGCACAUGUAGGGGUCGCCGGCCACCUCUACAACGACGAGCACCGUGACUUUUAUCUAUCUAUUUCUGUUUUUGUAGAAUAUCCAGUAAAUUUUUGAAGUUUUGAUCUACUGAUGAACUAGGUGAUGUGAAACUGAUGAACUAAUUUACUUACUAUAAGUUAAUGGUUAGAAUUUGUGUUAUAUACAUUUGGGGCACUUUGAGAAAUAUUACAACAGUUUGUUUGUGCAGCACAUCAGUUUUACUAUCAUCGUUUUGAGAAAUAUACAAUUCUAGUGCAACCUGUAUUUGCAUUCGAAGUUAGCUACUUUAUCACAUUCAUGUGUGCAUUCACAUGUAUUCGCAUUCUAAGUUAGCUAAUUUCUGGAGAGGCCUGUUUUUGCUAGUUGUUCAUCUAAGCUGCCUGAUGCCUGAACUGCGGUUUCUAAUCGGCAACAAGUAGCUGUACAGUAUUUGCAUCAUGUUUGAGAGUAAAGUUGACAAAUCCAUGUAUGCAGAGUUGUGCUAAUUGAUUUGUCAUGCAGUGGGUAGUUCUCUAUUCCCUACUAAUGCAAUGUGCUUGGUGUUAAUGAGGUAAAACAGAAACUCGAGGCGCCUUGGUGCCAUGUUGUUGCUGAACUUACGAACCUCCACACACAAUAGGGCGCAGGUUUCCUAGCUAGCCACGGGAAGGUAUACUUCACAGAUCUGAUUAUUUUAUAUGGCCAUUAGUUGUUAAUUGAACAUGUAUCUAAGUUAUACUUUGCUGUUGAAGGAGCAUGGCUGCGGAUGGUGUCCGGCAUGGACAAAUUAACUCAGUCUGCUUCUCUGCAUUUUUUUCCUUUUUGUAGUCGGUUGUGUUCUCAAUAGAAAAGGCAUGUGACUUUCUUAAUAAUUUUGAAUCUUAGUCACGUUUUGUUGACAAAGUAAGGAAGUACUGAAUUUAUAUUCUAACUAGCCAAGAGAUAUAUAUGAUUUUACACAAAGUUGGUUAUGUAUUUCUCUGUCCUAAGUUGGAUUCAUUAAAUGAUUAGCUGAUUGUAGCCUUGUCCGAAACUGAGGUUAUAUCACUUAAGUGUGUUCGCUUUGAAUCGGUACGUUUGAUAUUGUUGUGCAUAUCGCUUGCAGUUUCUCUUCCGCAAUAGUUUGUAUGUUGUAUUUUAUCAGGCUGCCAUUAUCAUCAAAUUAACUUUGAACUACAAAUUUAAUCUUCAUAGGGACCAAUAUCUUCUUUUACUAAUAUGUUAAUAUUCGUGUUGCAAAUUCUAACCUCUGCUUGAUGAUGAUGCAAGUCAUAUUUUAAGAAGUAGGGAUGGACAAAGGACUCAAACAACUGUUGAUGCCUUCAAGAAGUCACGACAAGAGGAAACUAGCUUAUGCUUCUUGUUCUGAUGAUGACGAGGGCUAUUCAGUUAUGUUCAAGAGGAAAAAAUACUCAUUUAUUAAUCUAGUCCAUGUUAUCUAUCGAUGGUACAUGUGGCAUCAGGCUGCUAUGUAGCUCGUGUUAUUUGUUCUCAUGUGUUAUGUGAACUAUGAGCAUGGGGUAUGCCUCAAGAUCUGGCAGGUCUGGGAGCUCCACUUCAUCAACAAAGAUCCGAGUUCUAGAAGAAAGAAUUGAACAGAAAGAUAGAGGCAAGAGAUGCAAAUGAUAGGUAAUUGUCUUGUUUCUUUUUGUGUUAUUAUUGUUUCUUUUUGCUUGCAUUUGUGUGCACAGUGCACUAUUUAUAGUGAAAAUGAAAACACAAAUGUGUGUGAAUAAGACAUUCAUCUUUAGUUCCUGUAGAGAAAGUUGCAUUAAGGAGUGGUUUGCUAUUUAUGUAUGGUAUGAUCCUUAUCCAAUCAGCCAAAGUGGCAUAAAAAACAAAUGCUUGUAAUGAGAAAUACAUGGUUUGUUGCACGGUUUUAAUGCAUGGUUUUUAAUCCAGAAAUCAAAUAUGAUUUGUUCAUUUGUCUAUGUGUUGUUCUAGCAUAGUUGCUUCUUUUAACCUGGGUUGUUGACUUGGCAUCCUAUUAGUGAUGCUUCCUGUAAUCAAGCUCUUGGUUAUGCAUGUUUUUAAACAUUAUAAGUCAUUCUUGGGUUUACUGUUUCAUUGGCCCGUCAACAUGCUUGCCUUGACAUUUAAUAAUGUACUUUUCUAUUUCAAAUUCAUCAUUUGAUAGAUUGUAGGCUUCUAUCUUGCCUAGUCAUACUCUUGUACCCUUUUAUCUUGUCUAUUUUAAUCUCAAUACGAUGCAACGUAGUUGUGUUUUGUCUAUUUAUAGGCAUCGGAGGAGUUAGCCGCAAGACCUGAAGCACGAGAGAAAGAAUUUAAAGAGAUAUAGAAGAAGCAACAAGAAAAAUUGGAUGCUCUAAAGAAGAGCCAACAAGAGAAGAAUGAAGCCUGGGCAAAGAAGCAACAAGAGAUGAUAAUCUUAUUAGUUUCCUCUUGACGGCUCAAGCAACUCAGUAGUUCCAGUCCAAACCUAUUGGUGCAUGAAUGCCAUCCUUCCGUGAUGGAAAGAUAGUUGCUGAAUCAUACGUUGCAAUCAUUGGGACAACACAUGUUGUCUUUAGUUAAUUAUUAGUUUUCAUCUUUUUCUACCGUAUGGGUCAAACUUGAGUCAGUGUUAUUUUUUACCAUCAUUUUUGUUUAAAGAAUAAUUUAGCUGAGAUGAUUUCAUAUAUAAUAUAAUUUUUAUUUCAUAUCAACAUAUGAUGUGAUUCGGCUCUUUGAUUGUUUAUAUAAUCUUAUCUGAAUUAAAUAAUUAUUAUGAGAUGCAUUUGGAAUAUAGUGGAUUUGAUAAUUCAUCAUAAUUUAAAUUCGAAAGAAAGUAAUUUAUUUUCAUGACUUCAUCUUCAUUCAUAAUAAAAGUAGCGACGCUACUAGUGGGAUAGCUGCUCAUUCAGUGACGUUGCUUCGUCACUGGACAUGGUACAAUAUGGCAUAUUUUUUCAUAACAUGUGACAUUCAUCGAACGUCAUGGAAGUAGUGGAUGACGUUCUAUGUAACGUCACUGAAGGUCCCAAUUUCAAUGACGUUUUUGCGCCUGCGCCGUCACUAGGAGUGAUCUGUGACGGGGAUUCCGUGAUGAUGCUCGUGACGCCCAUAAAAUGACUGGGGAGUAAUUUGUGACGUUAUAAGCUAUUUGAUGGCAUUUUUUGGCUCGUCAUAGUAGGCCCGAUCUCUUGUAGAUCAUCAAAUCUCAUAUACCUAAAUUUUCUUACUAAAAAUAAACUAGUUCUAUUAAUUCAACUCGUUCAAAUAAUCUCAUAUACCUAAGUUUUCUUACUAAAAAUAAACUAGUUCUAUUAAUUUUCUUACUAAAAAUAAACUAGUUAUAUUAAUUCAACUAGUUCAAAUCUCAUAUAUAUAUACCUAAUUAAUAUCUAGCUAAUUCAUCUAGCUAACAAUUGACAUUAAUAUUUAACAACUUUUCUAUCUAAUUCAUCUAACAUUAACAUUCUAACAUUCUUAUCUACAUAAUUCAUCUAACAUUAAUCUAAACAAUAGAAAACAGAAAAUAAGUAAAAAAAAUAUGUGUGUGUCUAUGUGUAGUAAUGUGUGUGUAGUGUGUGUGUGUGUGUAUGUGUGUGGGUGUGUGUAGUGUGUGUGUGUGUGUAUGUGUGUGUAUGUGUGUGUGUGUACAAGCGGGGGGCGGCGGCGUACGGGUGGCGGUGCGAGAGAGCGACGCGACGGGGACGGCGCGACGACGGGCGGCGGGCCGGGGGCAAUCGAUGGCGCGAUUGAGACGGCGACGUAGUACGGGGCGGCGGCGUGAGACGACGACGACGAGGACGGCGACGACAGGCGGCGGGGGGGACGGUGCGCGGCGGGGGCGGCGAGGGCGGCGGGGGUGACGGCGCGCGGCGGGGGCGGCAGCGGCGAUGUCGCGUGAAGUUGGAGAAGAAGUGGUGGUCGAUGAAACUAAAUUUUUUGUAAGUGUCGCAUAUAUAGGAGGGGCCUUUAGUACCGGUUGGAGCCACCAAGCGGUACUAAUGGCCAAUUUGGCCAGGCCAAGCGCAGGAAACGGCCGCCUUUAGUACCGGUUCAUUACCCCAACCGGUACCAAAGGCCGACCCAUUAGUACCGGUUGGAGCCACCAACCGGUACUAAUGGUUGUGCGCUGCCACCCGUGGUGCACUAUGCUUAGUCCCACCUCGCCGAGCGAAGGGCAGCCGCACUGGUUUAUCAACCCAGUCGUGGCUGCUCCUUCAAACUCCUCUAUAUAGCAGGCUUUUGUGCCUAACUAGGGCGCGCUGCCCUGUGAGCCUGUCGGCCCUUCUGGGCCUAAAUUUGCACACCCUAGGUCUGACAGGCCCACUGGACAGCGCCCCAACAAUUUUUUAUGUAGUUUUUUUUAUUUUCUGCAUUAUUUCUUUUCUUCUAUUUAUUUUUGAGUAAUUUUUUUAUAUAGUUUUUUCUUUUCUGCUUUAUUUUUCUUCUUCUAUUUAUUUUGAGCAAAUGAUGUCAGAACGUGUUGGAAAUUGAUGACGUCACUUCGAAUGCGGCAUAAUGCCGGCUCAAAAAAAGUCUGGAGUUCAAAUAAGUUUAAAAAAAUGAAGUGCUCAUGUAACAGAUAAGUUCUCGUCCGAAACCCUGAUACUCCGAAAGAGAUUGUCCAGUUUGUACACGAAGUGCGUCCAGUUUUUGCCGUGACACUCUCUACUCUUUCGCACAUGCUAUGCGGGUGAAAUGAUGAUACCAUGCCAAGUUUCAACAUUUUCAGAGUUCAUUUUGUUGUGAUUUAAUGUUUCACGGUCAUUUAGCUCUCUAAACAAACUGGAAAAUGACUGGAAAACAGCAAAUGAUGUCAGAACAUGUUGGAAAUUGAUGGCGUCGCUUUGAAUGCUGCAUAUUGAACGCAAAAAAAGUCUGGAGUUCAAAUGAUAUCAGAACGUGUUGGAAAUUGAUGACGUCGCUUAGAAUGCUGCAUAAUGCCGGUUCAAAAAAAGUCUGGAGUUCAAAUAAGUUUAAAAAAAUGAAGUGCCCGUGUAAGAGAUGAGUUCUCGUCCGAAACUCUGAUACUCCAAAAGAGAUUGUCCAGUUUGUACACGAAGUGCGUCCAGUUUUUGCCGUGACACUCUCUACUCUUUCGCACAUGCUAUGCGGGUGAAAUGAUGAUACCAUUCCAAGUUUAAACAUUUUCAGAGUUCAUUUUGUUGUGAUUUACUGUUUCACGGUCAUUUAGCUCUCUAAACAAGUUGGUAAAUGACUGAAAAACAGCAAAUGAUGUCAGAACAUGUUGGAAAUUGAUGACGUCACUUUGAAUGCUGCAUACUAAACGCAAAAAAGUCUGGAGUUCAAAUAAGUUUAAAAAAUGAAGUGCCCAUGUAACAGAUGAGUUCUCAUCCGGAACGCUGAUACUCCAAAAGAGAUUGUCCAGUUUGUACACGAAGUGCGUCUAGUUUUUGCCGUGACCCUCUCUACUCUUUUGCACAUGCUAUGCGGGUGAAAUGAUGAUACCUUCAACAUUUUCAGAGUUCGUUUUGUAGUGAUUUUCAAUUCCACGGUCAUUUAGCUCUGAUCUAAACAAAUUGGUGACUGAAAAAUAGCAAAUGAUGUCAGAACAUGUUGGAAAUUGAUGACGUCGCUUCAAAUGCUGCAUAAUGUCGGCUCAAAAAAAGUCUGGAGUUCAAAUAAGUUUAAAAAAUGAAGUGCCCGUGUAACAACUGAGUUCUCGUCCGAAACCCUGAUACUCCGAAAGAGAUUGUCCAGUUUGUACAUGAAGUGCGUCCAAUUUUUGUCGUGACCCUCUCUACUCUUUCGCACAUGCUAUGCGGGUGAAAUGAUGAUACCUUCAACAUUUUCAGAGUUCGUUUUGUAGUAAUUUUCAAUUUCAUGGUCAUUUAGCUCUGAUCUAAACAAAUUGGUGACUGAAAAACAGCAAAUGAUGUCAGAACAUGUUGCAAAUUGAUGACAUCACUUCGAAUGUUGCAUAAUGCCGGCUCAAAAAAAGUCUGGAGUUCAAAUAAGUUUAGAAAAAUGAAGUGCCCGUGUAACAGAUGAGUUCUCGUCCGAAACCCUGAUACUCCGAAAGAGAUUGUCCAGUUUGUAAACGAAGUGCGUCCAGUUUUGAAGUGAGUGGCGGCCGGCGGGGGAGGACCGGCACGGGGGAUUGAGGGGGAGACCGAGUGAGUGGAGAGAGUGAGGGCGUAAACAUGUAAAAAUAUACAUAAAAAUACAUUGAUUAUCAAUGAUCUUUUUGUGUACAAUCUGAAUUGUCAAUAUGAGUCAUCAACAGUUUAGAAACCGGUGAAGACACAUAUUGAGUCCACAGAUUAUACACAUAGAGUUCAAUGAAGACCAAAUGCUUGUGAUAGUUUGAGAAGUAACAUACUUAAGGCGGUAAAAAUCUUGCUAGGGGAGCGAGGUGGGACUAAAAAUAGCCUGCCACAACCUCUUUACUACCGGUUCGUCCCACGAACCGGUACUAAAGGUGUUGGCCGGGCCCCAGCAUCUUUAGUACCGGUUCGUGCCAUGAACCAGUACUAAAGAUCUCCUCCCGCCUAGCCAUUUGAACCGGCACUAAUGGACACAUUAGUGCCGGCUCAAAUGCAAACUGGGACUAAUGUGUCUCACAUUUGACCCUUUUUCUACUAGUGCAUCAAGCCUUAUCGCGACGACACAGUGGAACUCUCAAUGAAAGCACCAAUAUCGGUGUCAAAACCGGCGGAUCUCGGGUAGGGGGUUCCGAACUGUGCGUCUAAGGCUAAUGGUAACAGGAGGCGGGGGACACGAUGUUUACCCAGGUUCGGGCCCUCUCGAUGGAGGUAAUACCCUACUUCCUGCUUGAUUGAUCUUGAUGAUAUGAGUAUUACAAGAGUUGAUCUACCACGAGAUCGAAGAGGCUAAACCCUAGAAGCUAGCCUAUGAUUAUGAUUGUUGUCCUCCUACGGACUAAACCCUCCGGUUUAUAUACACACCGGAGGGGGCUAGGGUUACACAGAGUCAGUUACAGAGAAGGAGAUCUACAUAUCCAAAUUGCCAAGCUUGCCUUCCACGCCAAGGAGAGUCCCAUCCGGACACGGGACAAAGUCUUCAAUCUUGUAUCUUCAUAGUCCAAUAGUCCGGCCAAAGUAUAUAGUUCGGCUGUCCGAGGACCCCCUAAUCUAGGACUCCGUCACCAGGAACAAAAGAUCUAGGGGUGCAGGCACCUGAGGAGGGAAUCAGAUCACCCUGGAAUCCCGUGACGCUGGCAGGCCUAGUAGGGGAAUCCAUCGGUGAUCCCGAGGAGGAACCAGGCGCCGCUGGCGCGCUUGUCACAGAACAGGGCCGGCCCACCGGAUGGCGAGCGGGCACGUGGGCGGCAACCUGCGGCGGGUCGGGGUUGAAGGGAACCAGGCCAGUGGCAGGCCCCGUCGCUGAGGAGGACGGGGCGGGCGAAGGGGCGAUCGGGCCAUCCAAGGCCGCCAUGUGGGCUAACGGGCGGGGCGCAACCCCGCGCUCACCUGGCGCAUCGUUGUCGGCAGGUGACGCGUGAUCCGAGGCCGGAUCCGCUCCUGAUCCUGUGUCAGGAUCCUCCUGGGUGGUAGGUGAAGUAGAUCCUGUCGCACCUGGGUUUGUCUGCACCGGGGUAGAUCCUACAUCCAGGUUAGUAGAUGAAGCAGAUACGCCAUAAUUCAUGUGGUCAUGCAGAAAUAACGGGAUGGUGUGUUCUACAACGCGAGGUGGUAUGGGGGAGGCAGAAGGGCUGGCAAAAGGAAAAAAAUUCUCAUCGAACGUGACAUCACGAGAGAUAUAAACACAAGCUGUGGGCAGAUGAAGGCAUUUAUACCCUUUGUGGCGAAUGCUAUAACCAACGAACACACAUUGUUGAGGUCUAAAGGCAAGUUUGUGUGUGUUGUAGGGGUGCGUGUUGGGCCAACAAGCACAACCAAAUGGACGAAGUGACAUGUAGUCUGGUUUGGUGUUGAACUAUUUCUCCAUACGACUAAGGUUGCCAAUGACACGACUAGGAAGUCGAUUGAUAAGAUAACAUGCUGAAAGAUAGGCCUCAUCCCAAAAAUGUAGCGGCAUAGAUGCAUGUGAUAGUAAAGAGAGCCCCAUGUCAACAAUAUGAUGGUGCUUCCUUUGAGUUGAAACAUUUUGCUGGUGUGUGUGUGGGCAAGAUACAUGAUGCAUAAUGCCUAGUUGACGAAAAAACGUGUUGCUAAGCUUCUCGUAUUCCUCACCCCAAUCAGAUUGAACACAUAAAAUCUUGUGAGACAGGAGGCGUUCAACAUGAGCAAGGGAGUCACGAAAAACAUCAAACACAUCACAUUUUCUUUUGAGAAGAUAGAUCCGCACAAACUUAGUAUAAUCAUCAAUAAAUGAGACAUAGUACUGGAACCCACCAGAUGAUGUUUUGGCGGGUCCCCACACAUCCGAAAAAACAAGUUCUAAUCAAAAGGAAGAAACACUUGAGGAUCUAGGAAAAGGAAGCUGGUGUGCUUUGCCUUGUUGACAUGCAUUACACACAUGGGUCAUAGACCGACUAGAAGAAGCUAGUUUAUUGGAUGAUAAAACAUGCUGAACGACUUGAGUGGAUGGGUGGCCAAGCCUUGCAUUCCAAUCUUGAGUUGACAACCUAACCGAAGACAAGACACGAUGAGAUGAUGGCCGAAUGGGGUAAAUCCCAUUUUCACAUAUGCCUUGAAGUAGAACCCUCUUGGUUAUCAAAUCCUUCAUAAGAAAAUGAGUAGGGUAAUACUUUAGAUACACACGAUUAUCAAUGGCAAGACGAUUGACAGAAAGAAGGUUCUUGUUAGCAUUAGGAACAUGCAAGAUAUUACGGAGUUUGAGAUUUGCAGAAGGAGUAGGAAGAAUUGCAUGACCACGAUGAGCUAUGUGCAAACCUGACCCGUCAGCUGUGUGGAUGCGAUCUCUUCCGGAUACUUCUCCCGGACCAUGAGGCAAUCCAGAUCGCCGGUGAUGUGGUCCGUGGCCCCGAUGUCAGUGAACCAGGCGGGGUCACCUAGGAUGGCUGGAGGAGAAGCAGCAACAAGCCCUGCCAUCUUGGACUAUUGAGGCUGAAAGGCAUGAUUGUAACGCUGGCCGCACUCCCAGGCGUAAUGCCCAGGGCCACAGCAGAGCUGACACUGCACGCGGUUGUCACCGCGGUCGCCGUAGUCACCGCGAUCACCACCGUGGUUGCCACCAAAAUCGCCUUGUUGGCGCGUGCGACCACCACCACGGUUCCCACGAUCGCCACCACGAGAGUUGUUGUUUGAUAAUCCCCAAGUGCAGGAAAUCAUCGUAGCAAUUCCCAAAGGUGGAAGUGAUAAGUAUGGAGUGUCGAACCCACAAGGAGCUAAAGGUAAGAUCAAUAUUCUCUCAAUCCCUAUCUGCCACUGAUAUGACUCUACGUGCACCGAACGUUUGCUUCCAACUAGAAACAAGAAAUAAAACUGUGUUGUGGGUAUAAAGAGGAUAACUUUGUAUGAUAUCGGAGAGCUAAAAUAUAAAAGUAGGUGUUGUUAUAAUAAAGUUAGAAUAUACUACUAAAUAAUAUAAAUAGCGAGUGUGGAAUAAUGGUGGAUCGGUGUGCGGAAUUGUCCUAAGCAAUUGUUAACAAGAUCGAUAGUCGUCAUUGCAAUUUCAUAUGAGGGAGAAGCAUAAGUUAACAUACUUUUCCAUCCUUGGAUCAUAUGCACUUAUGAUUGGAACUCUAGCAAGCAUCCGCAAAUACUAAAGAUCAUUAAGGUAAAAACCCAACCAUAGCAUUAAAGCAUCAAGUCCCCUUUUAUCCCAUACGCAACAACCCCCUUACUCGGGUUUGUGUUUUAGUCACUCACGCAACCCAUUGUAAGUGAAUCAUGCACGUAUUGCAACACCCUAUAGCAGGAAUCCCUCACGCUUGCGCGACACGGCGGGCACCAUAGGACAGCAUCAAAGUGAAACAUACAACUCAUACCAAUCUAGAUCAUCAAUCACCCCAAAGACAAAAGAUAUCUACUCAAAACAUCAUAGGAUGGCAACACAUCAUUGAAUCAUAAUAUGUAGCAUAAAGCUCCAUGUUCAAGUAGGGAUUACAACGGGGUGCGGGAGAGUGGACCGCAUAAAAGAGAUGAGGAUGGUGAUGAUGAUGGUGAUGUUGAUGAAGACGAUCACCGCGGCGAUGAUUCCCCUCCCGAUGGCACUCCGGUGCCACCAAGAGAGAGGAGGAGAGGUUCUCCCCCUUGUGCUUCCUCCUCCAUGGCUUUCCCUCUCUGGUCCUUGGCCUUCAUGGUGAUGAUGGCCCCUCCGAGAUCCUCCUCCAUGGCCUUCGGUGAUGAUGGCCCCCUCCGGCAGGGUGCCGGAGAGGGCCUAGAUUGAUUUCUCGUGGCUACAUAGGCUUACGGCGGCGGAACUUCCGAUCCAGGUUAAUUCCCGAAGGUUUCUGUAUUUAUAGGAAUUUUUGGCGUUGGUUUCACGUCAAGGGGGCCUCCGGGCUGUCCCCGAGAUAGGGGGCCGCGCCCUAGGGGGGGCGCCCCCCACUCUCGUGGGCAGCCCGGGACUCCUCUGGCCCAACUCAGAUGCUCCGUGGUCUUCUUUUGGUCCAGAAAAAAUCCUCAAAAAAUGGCACGUCAAUUGGACUCCGUUUGGUAUCCAUUUUCUGUAAAACACUAAAACAAGGAGAAAACAGAAACUGGCACUGGGCUCUAGGUUAAUAGGUUAGUCCCAAAAAUCAUAUAAAAUGACAUAUAAAUGCAUAUAAAACAUCAUAGAUGGAUAAUAUAAUAGCAUGAAUACUUCAUAAAUUAUAGAUACGUCGGAGACGUAUCAGCAUCCCCAAGCUUAAUUCCUGCUCGUCCUCGAGUAGGUAAAUGAUAAAAGAAAUAAUUUAUGAAGUGUGAAUGCUAGCAGGUGCACAAGUUUGAUCAAUGAUAAUUUCAAUCACAUUUUCUAGCAUCAAUAUGUGUCAUUAUAAUAGCUUAUCUCAUAAAACUUUUCAUGAUCAAGUAACAAUCUAUUCACAAUGUCAAGUGUGGUUCAGAAACUUCAUUGAGAACUAACAAACUAUAAUCUCAGUCAUUGAAGAAAUUGCAAUUUAUCAUAACAUUAGAAAGAGUCAAGAAUAGAGCUUUUCAGCAAGUCCACAUACUCAACUAUCGUAUAGUCUUCUACAAUUGUUAACACUCAAGCAAUACUUGUGGUUAUGGAGUUUCAGCCGGACACUGAGAAAGAUAGGGGCUUAUUGUGUUGCCUCCCAACGUAUUCACCUUUAGGUGAUGUCAACAAUAAUAGCCCAUGCUAACUUACAUCCAAUUGGAUAUAUAUAUCAUGAUCUUUCAAACACGAGGAGCUUGCCAAAGGAUAAAAUGAAAAAGGGAAAGGUGAGGAUCACCUUGACUCAAGCAUAAAGUAAAAACAUAAAGUAAAAGAUAGGCCCUUCGCAGAGGGAAGCAGAGGUUGUCAUGCAUGUUUAGGGUUGAUGCACAAAAUCUUAAUGCAAAAGAACGUCACUUUAUAUUGCCCCUUGUAUGUGGACCUUUAUUAUGCAGUCCCUCGCUUUUAUUACUUCCACAACAAGAUCGUACAAAGCUUAUUUUCUCUGCACUAAUAAGUCACACAUAUUUAGAGAGCAAUUUUUAUUGCUUGCACCGAUGACAACUUACUUGAAGGAUCUUACUCAAUCCAUAGGUAGGUAUGGUGGACUCUCAUGGCAAAAAACUGGGUUUAAGGAUAUUUGGAAGCACAAGUAGUAUCUCUACUAAGGAAUUUGGCUAGCAUGAGGGGGAUAGGCAAGCUCAACAUAUUUGGAAGGUCAGUGACAAUAUACUUUAACUGAGAUGUGAGAAAACACAAAUCAUUACGUUGUCUUCCUUGUCCAACGUCAACUCUUUUAGCAUGUCAUACUUAAUGAGUGCUCCCAAUCAUAAAAGAUGUCCAAGAUAAUAUAUUUGUAUGUGAACCUCUCUUUCCUUAUUACUUCCUAUUAAUUGCAAUGAUGACCAAAACUACGUUUGCCAACUCUCAACAAUUUUUAUGCCUCAUACUCUUUAUAUGUGAAGUCAUUACUAUCCAUGUUAUAAGCAAAUGAAACAUAUAUAAAUUCAGAUUCAUGACAUUCAACUCAUUCAAAAAUUUACUCAUAGGAUAUAAGUGAAGCACACGAGUAAAUGAAAAACUACUCCAAAAGAUAUGAGUGAAAGACACUGAAUAGUCAAAUAAUUAACUAGCCAUGGGAGGGUUCCAUUUUUUUAUUCAAUAAUCAGAUCCAAUGAUUUUAUUCAAACAUCAAGUAAAAUUGAAAUAAAAUGACAUUGCAAGGAUAACACAACUCAUGUGAAGAAGCAAAAACUUAGGCUCAACCGAUAAUAACCGAUAGUUGUUGAACAAGAGAGGUGGGAUGCCUGCCGGGGCAUCCCUAAGCUUAGAUGCUUGAGACUUCUUGAAAUAUUAUCUUGGGGUGCCUUGGGCAUCCCCAAGCUUGAGCUUUUAUGUCUCCUUAAUUCCUCUCAUAUCACGGUUUCUCUUUUUAUCAAAAGCUUCAUUCACAACAAACUCAACAAGAACUCGUGAGAUGGGUUAGUAUAAACCAAUACAAAACCUUAUCAUUUUCUACUGUAACAAAUCACUAAAAUUAUUAUUAAACAUUGAACACUAAAUGCCUCUGCAUAUUUAAUACUCCUAUCCUCAAAUAGAAUCAUUAAACAAGCAAACAUACGCAAACAAUGCAAACAUAACAGCAAUCUGCCAAAACAGUACAAUAUGUAAAGAAUGCAAGAGUAUCAAUACUUCCCUAACUCUGUAAAUUAUAAGAGAAAGUUCCCACUGUAAUAAAUUUAUCAGAUCUUAAUAUGCAAAAAGAUUCAACUUUAUACCAUUCUCUUACUUUUCUAGGGAAUUUUUGCAACAACGGUGAACUUUCUGUUUUGAAACAACAACAUGUAUGCUAGCAAAAUAAGCAUGGUAAAGGCUUUCCUUGACAUUUUUAUUGAAAUUAAAGAUGCAAAACAUUAUUAUAAAUAACAGCAAGAAAAUACUAACAAGAGGAAAUGACGCUCCAAGCAAAACACAUAUCAUGUGGUGAAUAAAAAUAUAGCUCCAAGUAAAAUUACCGAUGAACGAAGACGAAAGAGGGGAUGCCUUCCGGGGCCUCCCCAAGCUUAGGCUCUUGGUUGUCCUUGAAUAUUACCUUGGGGUGCCUUGGGAAUCCCCAAGCUUAGGCUCUUGUCACUCCUUAUUCCAUAGUCCAUUGAAUCUUUACCCAAAACUUGAAAACUUCAACCACACAAAACUCAACCAAACAUCGUGAGACAGGUUAGUAUGAUAAAGAGUAGACCAUGCACUUUGGUACUGUAAAAGACAAGGUUCAUAAUUGUUUUCACAUAAUGCCUACUGUACCAUAUUAUUUCUACAAUUUAUAUUGAGAAAUAUAAGCCAUAGAAACUAGAAAACAAGCAAACUAUGCAGUGAAAACAGAAUCUGUCAUAAACAGAAUAGUCUGUAAUGAUCUGAACAAUAACCACACUUCCGCUACUCCAAAAAUUAUGAAAUAAACUGGUGGACGUGAGGAAUUUGUCUAUUAAUAUUAUGCAAAAAUAAUCAACUCAAAACCACUCUUCUGUAAAAAAAUGACAGCUAAUCUCGUGAGCGCAAAGUUUCUGUUGUUUUACAGGAAGAUCACAUUAACUUUCACCCAAGUCUUCCCAAAGGUCUUACUUGGCACUUUAUUGAAACUAAAGCUAUAAAACAUGAUUACUACAGUAGCUUAAUCAUGUAGACACACAAAAACAGUAAGGAUAAAUAUUGGGUUGUCUCCCAACAAGCGCUUUUUUCUUUAAUGCCUUUUAGCUAGGCAUGAUGAUUUCAAUGAUGCUCGCAUAAAAGAUAAGAGUUGAAACAUAAAAAGAGCAUCAUGAAGAAUAUGACUAGCAUAUUUAAAUCUAACCCACUUCCUAUACCUAGGGAUUUUGUGAGCACACAAUUUAUAGGAACAAGAAUCAACUAGCAUAGGAAGGCAAAACAAGUAUAACUUCAAAAAUUUAAGCACACAGAGAGGAAACUUGAUAUUAUUGCAACUCCUACAAGCACAUAUUCCUCCCUCAUAAAAAAUUUCAGUAGCAACAUGGAUAGCAACUUUUUUCUCAUACUCAAUUGGAACCUCUUCCGAAAUAGUGGAAUACUAACUAAAUUUGACACUCUUCCAAAUCCACUUUCAUAAAUAUCAUACAAAGAUUCAACCUCCUCCAAGAUAGUGGGAUCAUUAAUUCCUAAAGUUGACACUCUUCCAAACCCACUUUAAAUUAUAGUAUUAUUCAUACUCCAAAAGAUAUAAGUGAAGCACAUGAAGCAUUCUGUAAAUCAAUGAAGAGCUAGCUCAUACUAGAAUGAUUCUUAAAGAAAAAUACAAACACAAAGGACACAAAUCAUGUGAACAAAACGAAAACCAAGGUAUACCGAUAUUUGUUGAAGAAGAAAGAUGGGAUGCCAAUCGGGGCAUCCCCAAGCUUAGAUGCUUGAGUAUCCUUUGAAAUAUUUACUUGGGGUGCCUUGGACAUCCCCAAGCUUGAACUCUUGUCUCUCUUUAUUCUUCUCACAUCGGUAACUCCUCGUUCUUCAAACACUUCAUUCACAAAAACUUAAACAAAAACUUGUGAGAUCCGUUAGUGUAAUAAAGCAAACUACCACUUUAAGGUACUGUAAUUAACUCAUUCUUUGUUUAUAUUGGUGUUCAACCUACUGUAUUCCAACUUCUCUAUGGUUCAUACCCUACAUACUAGCCAUAGAUGCAUCAAAAUAAGCAAACAACACACGAAAAACAGAAUCUUCAAGAACAGGACAGUCUGUAGUAAUCUGGAAGUUUAGUAAAUAUCCGUAACUCCAAAAAUUAUGAAAUAAAUUUGACAAUUUGAACAAUUUGUACAGAAGUAAUAUGCAAAAAGUUUCAGACCCAUUUCACUUUCCAGUAAAAAAUGUAAAUUCAUGCACUACAGCCAAAGUUUCUGUUUUUGUUCUGCACAUAGUAAGCAAGCAAUCUUAUCACACUAAAACCAAAGCUUGGCACAUUAGUUUUAUAAUACAGGGUAUAUACAAGGGGAUAAUUAUUUACAGAGAAAAUUCCAUGAAAAAUUCUACAUUGUUUCCGUCAGCAUGAACACAAGUGCUCAAGGUCGACCCUCACUUCUUCAAUGCAUAACUUUUCAAUCACUUCUCUUUUGAAAAACUUUUUUAGGCAUGAGAGGCAAGUAAUUCUUUUUUGGUAUUUUCAUUCUUUUGAAAAAAAAAUUGUAUGUUUCAUCCACAACUAAACAGAAACAAAAAGGAAAACAAAAUCUACUUAGUGAAGAAAGCAAACAAGCACACACGAGAAUAUCAACCCCACGCUAUUGCUCCCUGGCAACGGCGCCAGAAAAGAGCUUGAUAAUCCCCAAGUGCAGGGAAUCAUCAUAGCAAUUCCCAAAGGUGGAAGUGAUAAGUAUGGAGUGUCGAACCCACAAGGAGCUAAAGGUAAGAUCAAUAUUCUCUCAAGCCCUAUCUGCCACUGAUACGACUCUACGUGCACCGAACGUUUGCUUUCAACUAGAAACAAGAAAUAAAACUGUGUUGUGGGUAUAAAGAGGAUAACUUUGUAUGAUAUCGGAGAGCUAAAAUAUAAAAGUAGGUGCUGUUAUCAUAAAGUUAGAAUAUACUACUAAAUAAUAUAAAUAGAGAGUGUGGAAUAAUGGUGGAUCGGUGUGCGGAACUGUCCUAAGCAAUUGUUAACAAGAUCGAUAGUCGUCAUUGCAAUUUCAUAUGAGGGAGAGGCAUAAGCUAACAUACUUUUCCAUACUUGGAUCAUAUGCACUUAUGAUUGGAACUCGAGCAAGCAUAUGCAAAUACUAAAGAUCAUUAAGGUAAAAACCCAACCAUAGCAUUAAAGCAUCAAGUCCCCUUUUAUCCCAUAUGCAACAACCCCCUUACUCGGGUUUGUGUUUCAGUCACUCAAGCAACCCACUAUAAGUGAAUCAUGCACGUAUUGCAACACCCUACAGCGGGAAUCCCUCGCGCUUGCGCGACACGGAGGGCACCAUAGGAGAACAUCAAAGUGAAACAUACAACUCAGACCAAUCUAUAUCAUCAAUCACCCCAAAAGAUAUCUACUCAAAACAUCAUAGGAUGACAACACAUCAUUGAAUCAUAAUAUGUAGCAUAAAGCACUAUGUUCAAGUAGGGAUUACAGCGGGGUGCCGGAGAGUGGACCGUGUAAAAGAGAUUAUGAUGGUGAUGUUGAUGAAGACGAUCACCGCGGCGAUGAUUCCCCUCUCGAUGGCACUCCGGUGCCACCAAGAGAGAGGAGGAGAGGUUCUCCCCCUUGUGCUUCCUCCUCCAUGGCUUUCCCCCUCUGGUCCUUGGCCUUCAUGGUGAUGAUGGCCCCUCCGAGAUCCUCCUCCAUGGCCUUCGGUGAUGAUGGCCCCCUCCGGCAAGGUGCCGGAGAGGGCCUAGAUUGAUUUCUCGUGGCUACAGAGGCUUGCGGCGGUGGAACUUCCGAUCUAGGUUAAUUCCCGAAGGUUUCUAUAUUUAUAGGAAUUUUUGGCGUUGGUUUCACGUCAAGGGGGCCUCCGGGCUGUCGACGAGAUAGGGGGUCGCGCCCUAGGGGGGGGGGGGCGCCCCCCACUCUCUUGGGCCGCCCAGGACUCCUCUGGCCCAACUCUGAUGCUCCGUGGUCUUCUUUUGGUCUAGAAAAAAUCCUCAAAAAAUGGCACAUCAAUUUUUUAUGUAGUUUUUUUUAUUUUCUGCAUUAUUUCUUUUCUUCUAUUUAUUUUUGAGUAAUUUUUUUAUAUAGUUUUUUCUUUUCUGCUUUAUUUUUCUUCUUCUAUUUAUUUUGAGCAAAUGAUGUCAGAACGUGUUGGAAAUUGAUGACGUCACUUCGAAUGCGGCAUAAUGCCGGCUCAAAAAAAGUCUGGAGUUCAAAUAAGUUUAAAAAAAUGAAGUGCUCAUGUAACAGAUAAGUUCUCGUCCGAAACCCUGAUACUCCGAAAGAGAUUGUCCAGUUUGUACACGAAGUGCGUCCAGUUUUUGCCGUGACACUCUCUACUCUUUCGCACAUGCUAUGCGGGUGAAAUGAUGAUACCAUGCCAAGUUUCAACAUUUUCAGAGUUCAUUUUGUUGUGAUUUAAUGUUUCACGGUCAUUUAGCUCUCUAAACAAACUGGAAAAUGACUGGAAAACAGCAAAUGAUGUCAGAACAUGUUGGAAAUUGAUGGCGUCGCUUUGAAUGCUGCAUAUUGAACGCANNNNNNNNNNNNNNNNNNNNNNNNNNNNNNNNNNNNNNNNNNNNNNNNNNNNNNNNNNNNNNNNNNNNNNNNNNNNNNNNNNNNNNNNNNNNNNNNNNNNNNNNNNNNNNNNNNNNNNNNNNNNNNNNNNNNNNNNNNNNNNNNNNNNNNNNNNNNNNNNNNNNNNNNNNNNNNNNNNNNNNNNNNNNNNNNNNNNNNNNNNNNNNNNNNNNNNNNNNNNNNNNNNNNNNNNNNNNNNNNNNNNNNNNNNNNNNNNNNNNNNNNNNNNNNNNNNNNNNNNNNNNNNNNNNNNNNNNNNNNNNNNNNNNNNNNNNNNNNNNNNNNNNNNNNNNNNNNNNNNNNNNNNNNNNNNNNNNNNNNNNNNNNNNNNNNNNNNNNNNNNNNNNNNNNNNNNNNNNNNNNNNNNNNNNNNNNNNNNNNNNNNNNNNNNNNNNNNNNNNNNNNNNNNNNNNNNNNNNNNNNNNNNNNNNNNNNNNNNNNNNNNNNNNNNNNNNNNNNNNNNNNNNNNNNNNNNNNNNNNNNNNNNNNNNNNNNNNNNNNNNNNNNNNNNNNNNNNNNNNNNNNNNNNNNNNNNNNNNNNNNNNNNNNNNNNNNNNNNNNNNNNNNNNNNNNNNNNNNNNNNNNNNNNNNNNNNNNNNNNNNNNNNNNNNNNNNNNNNNNNNNNNNNNNNNNNNNNNNNNNNNNNNNNNNNNNNNNNNNNNNNNNNNNNNNNNNNNNNNNNNNNNNNNNNNNNNNNNNNNNNNNNNNNNNNNNNNNNNNNNNNNNNNNNNNNNNNNNNNNNNNNNNNNNNNNNNNNNNNNNNNNNNNNNNNNNNNNNNNNNNNNNNNNNNNNNNNNNNNNNNNNNNNNNNNNNNNNNNNNNNNNNNNNNNNNNNNNNNNNNNNNNNNNNNNNNNNNNNNNNNNNNNNNNNNNNNNNNNNNNNNNNNNNNNNNNNNNNNNNNNNNNNNNNNNNNNNNNNNNNNNNNNNNNNNNNNNNNNNNNNNNNNNNNNNNNNNNNNNNNNNNNNNNNNNNNNNNNNNNNNNNNNNNNNNNNNNNNNNNNNNNNNNNNNNNNNNNNNNNNNNNNNNNNNNNNNNNNNNNNNNNNNNNNNNNNNNNNNNNNNNNNNNNNNNNNNNNNNNNNNNNNNNNNNNNNNNNNNNNNNNNNNNNNNNNNNNNNNNNNNNNNNNNNNNNNNNNNNNNNNNNNNNNNNNNNNNNNNNNNNNNNNNNNNNNNNNNNNNNNNNNNNNNNNNNNNNNNNNNNNNNNNNNNNNNNNNNNNNNNNNNNNNNNNNNNNNNNNNNNNNNNNNNNNNNNNNNNNNNNNNNNNNNNNNNNNNNNNNNNNNNNNNNNNNNNNNNNNNNNNNNNNNNNNNNNNNNNNNNNNNNNNNNNNNNNNNNNNNNNNNNNNNNNNNNNNNNNNNNNNNNNNNNNNNNNNNNNNNNNNNNNNNNNNNNNNNNNNNNNNNNNNNNNNNNNNNNNNNNNNNNNNNNNNNNNNNNNNNNNNNNNNNNNNNNNNNNNNNNNNNNNNNNNNNNNNNNNNNNNNNNNNNNNNNNNNNNNNNNNNNNNNNNNNNNNNNNNNNNNNNNNNNNNNNNNNNNNNNNNNNNNNNNNNNNNNNNNNNNNNNNNNNNNNNNNNNNNNNNNNNNNNNNNNNNNNNNNNNNNNNNNNNNNNNNNNNNNNNNNNNNNNNNNNNNNNNNNNNNNNNNNNNNNNNNNNNNNNNNNNNNNNNNNNNNNNNNNNNNNNNNNNNNNNNNNNNNNNNNNNNNNNNNNNNNNNNNNNNNNNNNNNNNNNNNNNNNNNNNNNNNNNNNNNNNNNNNNNNNNNNNNNNNNNNNNNNNNNNNNNNNNNNNNNNNNNNNNNNNNNNNNNNNNNNNNNNNNNNNNNNNNNNNNNNNNNNNNNNNNNNNNNNNNNNNNNNNNNNNNNNNNNNNNNNNNNNNNNNNNNNNNNNNNNNNNNNNNNNNNNNNNNNNNNNNNNNNNNNNNNNNNNNNNNNNNNNNNNNNNNNNNNNNNNNNNNNNNNNNNNNNNNNNNNNNNNNNNNNNNNNNNNNNNNNNNNNNNNNNNNNNNNNNNNNNNNNNNNNNNNNNNNNNNNNNNNNNNNNNNNNNNNNNNNNNNNNNNNNNNNNNNNNNNNNNNNNNNNNNNNNNNNNNNNNNNNNNNNNNNNNNNNNNNNNCUCGGGUAGGGGGUUCCGAACUGUGCGUCUAAGGCUAAUGGUAACAGGAGGCGGGGGACACGAUGUUUACCCAGGUUCGGGCCCUCUCGAUGGAGGUAAUACCCUACUUCCUGCUUGAUUGAUCUUGAUGAUAUGAGUAUUACAAGAGUUGAUCUACCACGAGAUCGAAGAGGCUAAACCCUAGAAGCUAGCCUAUGAUUAUGAUUGUUGUCCUCCUACGGACUAAACCCUCCGGUUUAUAUACACACCGGAGGGGGCUAGGGUUACACAGAGUCAGUUACAGAGAAGGAGAUCUACAUAUCCAAAUUGCCAAGCUUGCCUUCCACGCCAAGGAGAGUCCCAUCCGGACACGGGACAAAGUCUUCAAUCUUGUAUCUUCAUAGUCCAAUAGUCCGGCCAAAGUAUAUAGUUCGGCUGUCCGAGGACCCCCUAAUCUAGGACUCCGUCACCAGGAACAAAAGAUCUAGGGGUGCAGGCACCUGAGGAGGGAAUCAGAUCACCCUGGAAUCCCGUGACGCUGGCAGGCCUAGUAGGGGAAUCCAUCGGUGAUCCCGAGGAGGAACCAGGCGCCGCUGGCGCGCUUGUCACAGAACAGGGCCGGCCCACCGGAUGGCGAGCGGGCACGUGGGCGGCAACCUGCGGCGGGUCGGGGUUGAAGGGAACCAGGCCAGUGGCAGGCCCCNNNNNNNNNNNNNNNNNNNNNNNNNNNNNNNNNNNNNNNNNNNNNNNNNNNNNNNNNNNNNNNNNNNNNNNNNNNNNNNNNNNNNNNNNNNNNNNNNNNNNNNNNNNNNNNNNNNNNNNNNNNNNNNNNNNNNNNNNNNNNNNNNNNNNNNNNNNNNNNNNNNNNNNNNNNNNNNNNNNNNNNNNNNNNNNNNNNNNNNNNNNNNNNNNNNNNNNNNNNNNNNNNNNNNNNNNNNNNNNNNNNNNNNNNNNNNNNNNNNNNNNNNNNNNNNNNNNNNNNNNNNNNNNNNNNNNNNNNNNNNNNNNNNNNNNNNNNNNNNNNNNNNNNNNNNNNNNNNNNNNNNNNNNNNNNNNNNNNNNNNNNNNNNNNNNNNNNNNNNNNNNNNNNNNNNNNNNNNNNNNNNNNNNNNNNNNNNNNNNNNNNNNNNNNNNNNNNNNNNNNNNNNNNNNNNNNNNNNNNNNNNNNNNNNNNNNNNNNNNNNNNNNNNNNNNNNNNNNNNNNNNNNNNNNNNNNNNNNNNNNNNNNNNNNNNNNNNNNNNNNNNNNNNNNNNNNNNNNNNNNNNNNNNNNNNNNNNNNNNNNNNNNNNNNNNNNNNNNNNNNNNNNNNNNNNNNNNNNNNNNNNNNNNNNNNNNNNNNNNNNNNNNNNNNNNNNNNNNNNNNNNNNNNNNNNNNNNNNNNNNNNNNNNNNNNNNNNNNNNNNNNNNNNNNNNNNNNNNNNNNNNNNNNNNNNNNNNNNNNNNNNNNNNNNNNNNNNNNNNNNNNNNNNNNNNNNNNNNNNNNNNNNNNNNNNNNNNNNNNNNNNNNNNNNNNNNNNNNNNNNNNNNNNNNNNNNNNNNNNNNNNNNNNNNNNNNNNNNNNNNNNNNNNNNNNNNNNNNNNNNNNNNNNNNNNNNNNNNUCGCUGAGGAGGACGGGGCGGGCGAAGGGGCGAUCGGGCCAUCCAAGGCCGCCAUGUGGGCUAACGGGCGGGGCGCAACCCCGCGCUCACCUGGCGCAUCGUUGUCGGCAGGUGACGCGUGAUCCGAGGCCGGAUCCGCUCCUGAUCCUGUGUCAGGAUCCUCCUGGGUGGUAGGUGAAGUAGAUCCUGUCGCACCUGGGUUUGUCUGCACCGGGGUAGAUCCUACAUCCAGGUUAGUAGAUGAAGCAGAUACGCCAUAAUUCAUGUGGUCAUGCAGAAAUAACGGGAUGGUGUGUUCUACAACGCGAGGUGGUAUGGGGGAGGCAGAAGGGCUGGCAAAAGGAAAAAAAUUCUCAUCGAACGUGACAUCACGAGAGAUAUAAACACAAGCUGUGGGCAGAUGAAGGCAUUUAUACCCUUUGUGGCGAAUGCUAUAACCAACGAACACACAUUGUUGAGGUCUAAAGGCAAGUUUGUGUGUGUUGUAGGGGUGCGUGUUGGGCCAACAAGCACAACCAAAUGGACGAAGUGACAUGUAGUCUGGUUUGGUGUUGAACUAUUUCUCCAUACGACUAAGGUUGCCAAUGACACGACUAGGAAGUCGAUUGAUAAGAUAACAUGCUGAAAGAUAGGCCUCAUCCCAAAAAUGUAGCGGCAUAGAUGCAUGUGAUAGUAAAGAGAGCCCCAUGUCAACAAUAUGAUGGUGCUUCCUUUGAGUUGAAACAUUUUGCUGGUGUGUGUGUGGGCAAGAUACAUGAUGCAUAAUGCCUAGUUGACGAAAAAACGUGUUGCUAAGCUUCUCGUAUUCCUCACCCCAAUCAGAUUGAACACAUAAAAUCUUGUGAGACAGGAGGCGUUCAACAUGAGCAAGGGAGUCACGAAAAACAUCAAACACAUCACAUUUUCUUUUGAGAAGAUAGAUCCGCACAAACUUAGUAUAAUCAUCAAUAAAUGAGACAUAGUACUGGAACCCACCAGAUGAUGUUUUGGCGGGUCCCCACACAUCCGAAAAAACAAGUUCUAAUCAAAAGGAAGAAACACUUGAGGAUCUAGGAAAAGGAAGCUGGUGUGCUUUGCCUUGUUGACAUGCAUUACACACAUGGGUCAUAGACCGACUAGAAGAAGCUAGUUUAUUGGAUGAUAAAACAUGCUGAACGACUUGAGUGGAUGGGUGGCCAAGCCUUGCAUUCCAAUCUUGAGUUGACAACCUAACCGAAGACAAGACACGAUGAGAUGAUGGCCGAAUGGGGUAAAUCCCAUUUUCACAUAUGCCUUGAAGUAGAACCCUCUUGGUUAUCAAAUCCUUCAUAAGAAAAUGAGUAGGGUAAUACUUUAGAUACACACGAUUAUCAAUGGCAAGACGAUUGACAGAAAGAAGGUUCUUGUUAGCAUUAGGAACAUGCAAGAUAUUACGGAGUUUGAGAUUUGCAGAAGGAGUAGGAAGAAUUGCAUGACCACGAUGAGCUAUGUGCAAACCUGACCCGUCAGCUGUGUGGAUGCGAUCUCUUCCGGAUACUUCUCCCGGACCAUGAGGCAAUCCAGAUCGCCGGUGAUGUGGUCCAUGGCCCCGAUGUCAGUGAACCAGGCGGGGUCACCUAGGAUGGCUGGAGGAGAAGCAGCAACAAGCCCUGCCAUCUUGGACUAUUGAGGCUGAAAGGCAUGAUUGUAACGCUGGCCGCACUCCCAGGCGUAAUGCCCAGGGCCACAGCAGAGCUGACACUGCACGCGGUUGUCACCGCGGUCGCCGUAGUCACCGCGAUCACCACCGUGGUUGCCACCAAAAUCGCCUUGUUGGCGCGUGCGACCACCACCGCGGUUCCCACGAUCGCCACCACGAGAGUUGUUGUUUGAUAAUCCCCAAGUGCAGGAAAUCAUCGUAGCAAUUCCCAAAGGUGGAAGUGAUAAGUAUGGAGUGUCGAACCCACAAGGAGCUAAAGGUAAGAUCAAUAUUCUCUCAAUCCCUAUCUGCCACUGAUAUGACUCUACGUGCACCGAACGUUUGCUUCCAACUAGAAACAAGAAAUAAAACUGUGUUGUGGGUAUAAAGAGGAUAACUUUGUAUGAUAUCGGAGAGCUAAAAUAUAAAAGUAGGUGUUGUUAUAAUAAAGUUAGAAUAUACUACUAAAUAAUAUAAAUAGCGAGUGUGGAAUAAUGGUGGAUCGGUGUGCGGAAUUGUCCUAAGCAAUUGUUAACAAGAUCGAUAGUCGUCAUUGCAAUUUCAUAUGAGGGAGAAGCAUAAGUUAACAUACUUUUCCAUCCUUGGAUCAUAUGCACUUAUGAUUGGAACUCUAGCAAGCAUCCGCAAAUACUAAAGAUCAUUAAGGUAAAAACCCAACCAUAGCAUUAAAGCAUCAAGUCCCCUUUUAUCCCAUACGCAACAACCCCCUUACUCGGGUUUGUGUUUUAGUCACUCACGCAACCCACUGUAAGUGAAUCAUGCACGUAUUGCAACACCCUAUAGCAGGAAUCCCUCACGCUUGCGCGACAUGGCGGGCACCAUAGGACAGCAUCAAAGUGAAACAUACAACUCAUACCAAUCUAGAUCAUCAAUCACCCCAAAGACAAAAGAUAUCUACUCAAAACAUCAUAGGAUGGCAACACAUCAUUGAAUCAUAAUAUGUAGCAUAAAGCUCCAUGUUCAAGUAGGGAUUACAACGGGGUGCGGGAGAGUGGACCGCAUAAAAGAGAUGAGGAUGGUGAUGAUGAUGGUGAUGUUGAUGAAGACGAUCACCGCGGCGAUGAUUCCCCUCCCGAUGGCACUCCGGUGCCACCAAGAGAGAGGAGGAGAGGUUCUCCCCCUUGUGCUUCCUCCUCCAUGGCUUUCCCUCUCUGGUCCUUGGCCUUCAUGGUGAUGAUGGCCCCUCCGAGAUCCUCCUCCAUGGCCUUCGGUGAUGAUGGCCCCCUCCGGCAGGGUGCCGGAGAGGGCCUAGAUUGAUUUCUCGUGGCUACAUAGGCUUACGGCGGCGGAACUUCCGAUCCAGGUUAAUUCCCGAAGGUUUCUGUAUUUAUAGGAAUUUUUGGCGUUGGUUUCACGUCAAGGGGGCCUCCGGGCUGUCCCCGAGAUAGGGGGCCGCGCCCUAGGGGGGGCGCCCCCCACUCUCGUGGGCAGCCCGGGACUCCUCUGGCCCAACUCAGAUGCUCCGUGGUCUUCUUUUGGUCCAGAAAAAAUCCUCAAAAAAUGGCACGUCAAUUGGACUCCGUUUGGUAUCCAUUUUCUGUAAAACACUAAAACAAGGAGAAAACAGAAACUGGCACUGGGCUCUAGGUUAAUAGGUUAGUCCCAAAAAUCAUAUAAAAUGACAUAUAAAUGCAUAUAAAACAUCAUAGAUGGAUAAUAUAAUAGCAUGAAUACUUCAUAAAUUAUAGAUACGUCGGAGACGUAUCAGCAUCCCCAAGCUUAAUUCCUGCUCGUCCUCGAGUAGGUAAAUGAUAAAAGAAAUAAUUUAUGAAGUGUGAAUGCUAGCAGGUGCACAAGUUUGAUCAAUGAUAAUUUCAAUCACAUUUUCUAGCAUCAAUAUGUGUCAUUAUAAUAGCUUAUCUCAUAAAACUUUUCAUGAUCAAGUAACAAUCUAUUCACAAUGUCAAGUGUGGUUCAGAAACUUCAUUGAGAACUAACAAACUAUAAUCUCAGUCAUUGAAGAAAUUGCAAUUUAUCAUAACAUUAGAAAGAGUCAAGAAUAGAGCUUUUCAGCAAGUCCACAUACUCAACUAUCGUAUAGUCUUCUACAAUUGUUAACACUCAAGCAAUACUUGUGGUUAUGGAGUUUCAGCCGGACACUGAGAAAGAUAGGGGCUUAUUGUGUUGCCUCCCAACGUAUUCACCUUUAGGUGAUGUCAACAAUAAUAGCCCAUGCUAACUUACAUCCAAUUGGAUAUAUAUAUCAUGAUCUUUCAAACACGAGGAGCUUGCCAAAGGAUAAAAUGAAAAAGGGAAAGGUGAGGAUCACCUUGACUCAAGCAUAAAGUAAAAACAUAAAGUAAAAGAUAGGCCCUUCGCAGAGGGAAGCAGAGGUUGUCAUGCAUGUUUAGGGUUGAUGCACAAAAUCUUAAUGCAAAAGAACGUCACUUUAUAUUGCCCCUUGUAUGUGGACCUUUAUUAUGCAGUCCCUCGCUUUUAUUACUUCCACAACAAGAUCGUACAAAGCUUAUUUUCUCUGCACUAAUAAGUCACACAUAUUUAGAGAGCAAUUUUUAUUGCUUGCACCGAUGACAACUUACUUGAAGGAUCUUACUCAAUCCAUAGGUAGGUAUGGUGGACUCUCAUGGCAAAAAACUGGGUUUAAGGAUAUUUGGAAGCACAAGUAGUAUCUCUACUAAGGAAUUUGGCUAGCAUGAGGGGGAUAGGCAAGCUCAACAUAUUUGGAAGGUCAGUGACAAUAUACUUUAACUGAGAUGUGAGAAAACACAAAUCAUUACGUUGUCUUCCUUGUCCAACGUCAACUCUUUUAGCAUGUCAUACUUAAUGAGUGCUCCCAAUCAUAAAAGAUGUCCAAGAUAAUAUAUUUGUAUGUGAACCUCUCUUUCCUUAUUACUUCCUAUUAAUUGCAAUGAUGACCAAAACUACGUUUGCCAACUCUCAACAAUUUUUAUGCCUCAUACUCUUUAUAUGUGAAGUCAUUACUAUCCAUGUUAUAAGCAAAUGAAACAUAUAUAAAUUCAGAUUCAUGACAUUCAACUCAUUCAAAAAUUUACUCAUAGGAUAUAAGUGAAGCACACGAGUAAAUGAAAAACUACUCCAAAAGAUAUGAGUGAAAGACACUGAAUAGUCAAAUAAUUAACUAGCCAUGGGAGGGUUCCAUUUUUUUAUUCAAUAAUCAGAUCCAAUGAUUUUAUUCAAACAUCAAGUAAAAUUGAAAUAAAAUGACAUUGCAAGGAUAACACAACUCAUGUGAAGAAGCAAAAACUUAGGCUCAACCGAUAAUAACCGAUAGUUGUUGAACAAGAGAGGUGGGAUGCCUGCCGGGGCAUCCCUAAGCUUAGAUGCUUGAGACUUCUUGAAAUAUUAUCUUGGGGUGCCUUGGGCAUCCCCAAGCUUGAGCUUUUAUGUCUCCUUAAUUCCUCUCAUAUCACGGUUUCUCUUUUUAUCAAAAGCUUCAUUCACAACAAACUCAACAAGAACUCGUGAGAUGGGUUAGUAUAAACCAAUACAAAACCUUAUCAUUUUCUACUGUAACAAAUCACUAAAAUUAUUAUUAAACAUUGAACACUAAAUGCCUCUGCAUAUUUAAUACUCCUAUCCUCAAAUAGAAUCAUUAAACAAGCAAACAUACGCAAACAAUGCAAACAUAACAGCAAUCUGCCAAAACAGUACAAUAUGUAAAGAAUGCAAGAGUAUCAAUACUUCCCUAACUCCGUAAAUUAUAAGAGAAAGUUCCCACUGUAAUAAAUUUAUCAGAUCUUAAUAUGCAAAAAGAUUCAACUUUAUACCAUUCUCUUACUUUUCUAGGGAAUUUUUGCAACAACGGUGAACUUUCUGUUUUGAAACAGCAACAUGUAUGCUAGCAAAAUAAGCAUGGUAAAGGCUUUCCUUGACAUUUUUAUUGAAAUUAAAGAUGCAAAACAUUAUUCUAAAUAACAGCAAGAAAAUACUAACAAGAGGAAAUGACGCUCCAAGCAAAACACAUAUCAUGUGGUGAAUAAAAAUAUAGCUCCAAGUAAAGUUACCGAUGAACGAAGACGAAAGAGGGGAUGCCUUCCGGGGCCUCCCCAAGCUUAGGCUCUUGGUUGUCCUUGAAUAUUACCUUGGGGUGCCUUGGGAAUCCCCAAGCUUAGGCUCUUGUCACUCCUUAUUCCAUAGUCCAUUGAAUCUUUACCCAAAACUUGAAAACUUCAACCACACAAAACUCAACCAAACAUCGUGAGACAGGUUAGUAUGAUAAAGAGUAGACCAUGCACUUUGGUACUGUAAAAGACAAGGUUCAUAAUUGUUUUCACAUAAUGCCUACUGUACCAUAUUAUUUCUACAAUUUAUAUUGAGAAAUAUAAGCCAUAGAAACUAGAAAACAAGCAAACUAUGCAGUGAAAACAGAAUCUGUCAUAAACAGAACAGUCUGUAAUGAUCUGAACAAUAACCACACUUCCGCUACUCCAAAAAUUAUGAAAUAAACUGGUGGACGUGAGGAAUUUGUCUAUUAAUAUUAUGCAAAAAUAAUCAACUCAAAACCACUCUUCUGUAAAAAAAUGACAGCUAAUCUCGUGAGCGCAAAGUUUCUGUUGUUUUACAGGAAGAUCACAUUAACUUUCACCCAAGUCUUCCCAAAGGUCUUACUUGGCACUUUAUUGAAACUAAAGCUAUAAAACAUGAUUACUACAGUAGCUUAAUCAUGUAGACACACAAAAACAGUAAGGAUAAAUAUUGGGUUGUCUCCCAACAAGCGCUUUUUUCUUUAAUGCCUUUUAGCUAGGCAUGAUGAUUUCAAUGAUGCUCGCAUAAAAGAUAAGAGUUGAAACAUAAAAAGAGCAUCAUGAAGAAUAUGACUAGCAUAUUUAAAUCUAACCCACUUCCUAUACCUAGGGAUUUUGUGAGCACACAAUUUAUAGGAACAAGAAUCAACUAGCAUAGGAAGGCAAAACAAGUAUAACUUCAAAAAUUUAAGCACACAGAGAGGAAACUUGAUAUUAUUGCAACUCCUACAAGCACAUAUUCCUCCCUCAUAAAAAAUUUCAGUAGCAACAUGGAUAGCAACUUUUUUCUCAUACUCAAUUGGAACCUCUUCCGAAAUAGUGGAAUACUAACUAAAUUUGACACUCUUCCAAAUCCACUUUCAUAAAUAUCAUACAAAGAUUCAACCUCCUCCAAGAUAGUGGGAUCAUUAAUUCCUAAAGUUGACACUCUUCCAAACCCACUUUAAAUUAUAGUAUUAUUCAUACUCCAAAAGAUAUAAGUGAAGCACAUGAAGCAUUCUGUAAAUCAAUGAAGAGCUAGCUCAUACUAGAAUGAUUCUUAAAGAAAAAUACAAACACAAAGGACACAAAUCAUGUGAACAAAACGAAAACCAAGGUAUACCGAUAUUUGUUGAAGAAGAAAGAUGGGAUGCCAAUCGGGGCAUCCCCAAGCUUAGAUGCUUGAGUAUCCUUUGAAAUAUUUACUUGGGGUGCCUUGGACAUCCCCAAGCUUGAACUCUUGUCUCUCUUUAUUCUUCUCACAUCGGUAACUCCUCGUUCUUCAAACACUUCAUUCACAAAAACUUAAACAAAAACUUGUGAGAUCCGUUAGUGUAAUAAAGCAAACUACCACUUUAAGGUACUGUAAUUAACUCAUUCUUUGUUUAUAUUGGUGUUCAACCUACUUUAUUCCAACUUCUCUAUGGUUCAUACCCUACAUACUAGCCAUAGAUGCAUCAAAAUAAGCAAACAACACACGAAAAACAGAAUCUUCAAGAACAGGACAGUCUGUAGUAAUCUGGAAGUUUAGUAAAUAUCCGUAACUCCAAAAAUUAUGAAAUAAAUUUGACAAUUUGAACAAUUUGUACAGAAGUAAUAUGCAAAAAGUUUCAGACCCAUUUCACUUUCCAGUAAAAAAUGUAAAUUCAUGCACUACAGCCAAAGUUUCUGUUUUUGUUCUGCACAUAGUAAGCAAGCAAUCUUAUCACACUAAAACCAAAGCUUGGCACAUUAGUUUUAUAAUACAGGGUAUAUACAAGGGGAUAAUUAUUUACAGAGAAAAUUCCAUGAAAAAUUCUACAUUGUUUCCGUCAGCAUGAACACAAGUGCUCAAGGUCGACCCUCACUUCUUCAAUGCAUAACUUUUCAAUCACUUCUCUUUUGAAAAACUUUUUUAGGCAUGAGAGGCAAGUAAUUCUUUUUUGGUAUUUUCAUUCUUUUGAAAAAAAAUUGUAUGUUUCAUCCACAACUAAACAGAAACAAAAAGGAAAACAAAAUCUACUUAGUGAAGAAAGCAAACAAGCACACACGAGAAUAUCAACCCCACGCUAUUGCUCCCUGGCAACGGCGCCAGAAAAGAGCUUGAUAAUCCCCAAGUGCAGGGAAUCAUCAUAGCAAUUCCCAAAGGUGGAAGUGAUAAGUAUGGAGUGUCGAACCCACAAGGAGCUAAAGGUAAGAUCAAUAUUCUCUCAAGCCCUAUCUGCCACUGAUACGACUCUACGUGCACCGAACGUUUGCUUUCAACUAGAAACAAGAAAUAAAACUGUGUUGUGGGUAUAAAGAGGAUAACUUUGUAUGAUAUCGGAGAGCUAAAAUAUAAAAGUAGGUGCUGUUAUCAUAAAGUUAGAAUAUACUACUAAAUAAUAUAAAUAGAGAGUGUGGAAUAAUGGUGGAUCGGUGUGCGGAACUGUCCUAAGCAAUUGUUAACAAGAUCGAUAGUCGUCAUUGCAAUUUCAUAUGAGGGAGAGGCAUAAGCUAACAUACUUUUCCAUACUUGGAUCAUAUGCACUUAUGAUUGGAACUCGAGCAAGCAUAUGCAAAUACUAAAGAUCAUUAAGGUAAAAACCCAACCAUAGCAUUAAAGCAUCAAGUCCCCUUUUAUCCCAUAUGCAACAACCCCCUUACUCGGGUUUGUGUUUCAGUCACUCAAGCAACCCACUAUAAGUGAAUCAUGCACGUAUUGCAACACCCUACAGCGGGAAUCCCUCGCGCUUGCGCGACACGGAGGGCACCAUAGGAGAACAUCAAAGUGAAACAUACAACUCAGACCAAUCUAUAUCAUCAAUCACCCCAAAAGAUAUCUACUCAAAACAUCAUAGGAUGACAACACAUCAUUGAAUCAUAAUAUGUAGCAUAAAGCACUAUGUUCAAGUAGGGAUUACAGCGGGGUGCCGGAGAGUGGACCGUGUAAAAGAGAUUAUGAUGGUGAUGUUGAUGAAGACGAUCACCGCGGCGAUGAUUCCCCUCUCGAUGGCACUCCGGUGCCACCAAGAGAGAGGAGGAGAGGUUCUCCCCCUUGUGCUUCCUCCUCCAUGGCUUUCCCCCUCUGGUCCUUGGCCUUCAUGGUGAUGAUGGCCCCUCCGAGAUCCUCCUCCAUGGCCUUCGGUGAUGAUGGCCCCCUCCGGCAAGGUGCCGGAGAGGGCCUAGAUUGAUUUCUCGUGGCUACAGAGGCUUGCGGCGGCGGAACUUCCGAUCUAGGUUAAUUCCCGAAGGUUUCUGUAUUUAUAGGAAUUUUUGGCGUUGGUUUCACGUCAAGGGGGCCUCCGGGCUGUCGACGAGAUAGGGGGUCGCGCCCUAGGGGGGGGGGGCGCCCCCCACUCUCUUGGGCUGCCCAGGACUCCUCUGGCCCAACUCUGAUGCUCCGUGGUCUUCUUUUGGUCUAGAAAAAAUCCUCAAAAAAUGGCACAUCAAUUGGACUCUGUUUGGUAUCCAUUUUCUGUAAAACACUAAAACAAGGAGAAAACAGAAACUGGCACUGGGCUCUAGGUUAAUAGGUUAGUCCCAAAAAUCAUAUAAAAUAACAUAUAAAUGCAUAUAAAACAUCAUAGAUGGAUAAUAUAAUAGCAUGAAUACUUCAUAAAUUAUAGAUACAUUGGAGACGUAUCGUUGUUGUAGCCGUCGUGAUCUCCGGAGUUCCCGCGGCCCUUGCCGCGGUAGUUGCCCUUGCCCCGGUUGGUAUUGUUGGUGUUGCCGUUGGAGUCCCGGGCGAGGUAGUUGACAGAGGAGCCGCCGUGCUGAAGAUGAAGACAAGCGGCAUUGUACUCGCGGCGUCGCUCGAAGGCAAUCGCAUGGGAGUAGAACUCACCAAGGGACAUGCCCUCGGGGCGGGUGGUAGCAGCUGUGAUGAGGGGCUCAUAGUCGCUGUCGAGGCCGGUGAUGACGGCGGUGAUGAUGUCCUCAUCACGCAUGGGGCGGCCGACAGUGACAAGCUGAUCAGCGUUGGCUCGGAUCUUGCGGAGUAGUCCGCCAUUGAAAGAUUGCCCUUCCUGAAGACUGCCAUGUCCAGUUUGAUCUGGACGAUACUGGCGCGGCAGUGGAUGGUCUAGAUUGGUAUGAGUUGUAUGUUUGUUUCAACAUGUAAACGAAGGAGAAGUAGAUUGGAUCGACACCCAACAUGGUGGCCUCGGGAUGUAUUUAUAUGAGUGCAACUAGGGCACAGAUUACAGGUUGUUACAUGAGAUAAGUAUAGAUAUUAACAGACUCCUAGAUCACAACAAUAUACAGUUUAACACUCAUGACCGAGGAUUGGGACAUAUAAUUGUGUGCGUUCGGCUGAAAAGAAUGAUAUGUGUUGAUUUGUGCGUAAAUGAUGUCCAACGACUCUUGGUACAUUUUUUGCGGGAAAACUUUUGAUCUUUUCAUCUUCAAUCAUCGUAGUACAAUGAAGACUAAAAAUAAUAAUAAUUACAUUCAGAUCCAUAAAUCACUAGUGAUGACUACAAGCACUGAAGCCUAGUAGAGGCAUUUGGAAAACGUUGUUAGUGUCGCGGACUGGAGAAGCCACUAUUAUGACACCAAUGAUAAGGCUCACUAGUGGCGCCGGCUUCCAACGCCGAUAUAAACAUUUUCCAAAUGCCCAUAUUACUGGCGGCGGCGGCCAACGUCGCUGAUAACUUAGGUAUUGUUGGCGCAGGUCGGCCGGCGCCACAUGUACUUAUUGUAUUCGUGGUGUACGGUAAAAACCAACUGACUAUAAAAUAUGGCCGAAUAAUAAUAAUAAUAAUAAUAAUAAUAAUAAUAAUAAUUGUGUUGCAUAUAAAAUCUCGUGACAUUAAAAUUGUAUUGCUUAUGAAAUCGCAUUACAUUACAUUAUAUAAUAGCAUUCAUAUGAAGUCACAUUGCAUUGCCUAUGAAACCACAACUAGGUCGAGUGCUAUUUGCCAAGUCUAUUUGGGCUUUUGCUGUGUGCCAAGCCUUUGGCACACGGCAGACGUUCAAAUUCGGUAGUGAACUUUUCCUUGUUGUAUAUUUGGACUGAGUCUUUUUAAAGAGAAAACAUCAUACGUGAUUUCUUUUUCACCAAACUCCAUUCGCCUCAUCGAUAUGUGCAUUCUCUUCUUUUUCCAAUCUCGUGUAUAUGCAUUGACUAUAUUCUCUUGCUUCUUGAGCACUCCCAUUUAAUGAUUUCCUCACGUAUACCGUGUCAAGAUGAAUCUUGCAUUGCUAAUUUUCUUUGCGUGAACAAAUAUAGGAUCCUUUAUUCAGGACUUGGAAAGCUGUCAAUUAUGCAAACAGAUCCGCGCGCUGUUGGACAGCUAGGGUUUUAUGUCCGUUCUGUGGACCUCUUUCCAUUUCACCUACCAUAUAUAUGAACCAAGGAUGCAGCUAAUUUUGCCGAUAUGGUAACCAUCCUAGCUUUAUAGUAGUGGGAUUAACAAACUACGGGUUGUAAUCACAAUGUUUACAUGCAUGCCAAAAUACAUCACCGCACUGGAUCGAGAACAAUGACGUGGAAGCACAAGCUAUAGGCACUAGACAGAAGCCACCCACGCAGAUCAUGAACAACUUAUGUCUGUUUCCUUGCACCUUUUUAUCUUUAUCUAGCUAUAUAAACCGCCCAGAGAUCAAGAGUGUAGUUAUCCAUAUACACAACUGAUUAAGAUAGUACUAAAACCGAGGCAGAAAGUCUGUUCGCAGAGGAAACAAUGUCGAUGAAGACCAUGUUCUCGGUGCUCCUGCUAUGUAUGCUUGUGGCAACACCCAUAGCGGCCGAGUACGGCGCAUGGAGCGAUAACAGUGGUCCCUGGAUGUGCUAUCCCGGGUAUGCCUUCAAGGUGCCCGCGCUCCCUGGCUGUCGUCCAGUGCUGAAGCUCCAGUGCAAUGGCAGCCAGGUGCCCGAGGCUGUCCUAAGGGACUGCUGCCAGCAGCUCGCCGACAUCAGCGAGUGGUGCAGGUGCGGUGCCCUCUACAGCAUGUUGGACAGCAUGUAUAAGGAGCAUGGCGUGCAGGAGGGACAGGCGGGGACAGGCGCGUUCCCACGCCGCCGGAGGGAGGUGGUGAAGCUGACGGCGGCGAGCAUCACAGCGGUCUGCAAGCUACCAGGGUUGGGGCCACUGUUGUGCAGAACGUGCGGCCCGCACAGGGCCCAAUUUUUUUUAUAUAAGACUAUAUACCAAACAUUAGGAAUUAGAAGCAAGGGAUAAUUAGACGGAUUGGUAAUGGUCAAACGACAAACAUCUGGACGGACAACUGGAUCCCGAAGGAAACCACGCCAAUACCAAUCACUUCCCUGGUGGCGAAUCCACCGAGGAUGGUUUCAGAACUGCUGUCACCAGCAACAGCAGGGUGGGACGAAGUUUUGGUGCCUUCGGUCCUCUUACCCAUAGAUGCGAAUGCAAUACUAAAGAUACCCACAUGCACUAAUAAUACUGAGGAUUUUUGGGCUUGGUACCCGGAUAAGAAAGGGAAAUUUUCAGUUGCGUCGGCAUAUAAAUUUUUACUCAAGGUUAAACUGCAGCGAGAUGAUUGGUUAGAGGGACGAGGUGGAUCAUCUAACACCCACAUGGAUGAAAAAUCUUGGAGUCCUUUGUGGAAAUUGAAGGUUCCGUCCAAAGUGCGGAUUUUCUUAUGGCGACUUGCACACCACUCACUCCCGACCACUGACGUCUUGAAGAAGCGUAAUAUGUCAGUACAGGAUGUGUGCCCACUGUGUGGAUGUCAAGAUUCAUGGAGACAUGCCCUUGUCUCUUGCACUAUGUCCAGAUGCAUUUGGGCGAUGACGGACGAUGAUCUUGUCUCACGCAUGACAGCUAAUGCAGAACCUAAUGCAAGACUCUGGCUGUUUGAGCUCAGCGACAAACUUGAUCAAGCGAGCUUCACAAGGAUGGCUGUUACUCUGUGGUCAAUCUGGUAUGCUAGAAGCAAGGCAGUGUAUGAGUCUUUGUUUUAGAGCCCUCAGCAAACAAUCCGUUUUGGGGACAAUUUUAUAUCUGAAUUGGGCCAACUUGAAAGUGGGCAGGGACGUAGGGAGCAAAGAGCACCUCUAACUGCUCAGCCUAAGCGGUGGCUCCCACCACCCAAUGGUUCUGUAAAGAUUAAUGUAGAUGAUGCUAUUGUAAGAUCACAACGUGGAGGAGCUGUCGCGGCAAUGUGCAGAGAUCAAACGGGCCAAUAUUUGGGAUCUUCGGCUGUGGUCUUCCUAGGAAUCAAUGACCCUUUAAUUCUGGAGACCUUUGCAUGUCGUGAAGCAUUAUCGCUAGCAGAUGAUUUGGCCGUCCAAAAUAUCCGUGUUGCUUCGGAUUGUCAAGAAGCGGUUAAUGAUAUUACAAAGGGGACAGGAGGUCCAAAUGCGGCUAUCGUACAUGAGAUAUCAAGCCGAUGUAAUACUUUCAAUUCCAGUUUCUUUCUUUUCGAGCGUAGGAAUUUUAAUUUUAAGGCUCAUAAUCUUGCCAAGUUUGCUUGUAACCUAGGCGUAGGAAGGCAUGUGUGGUUGGGCAAUCCCCAUGACCCAAACCUUGUACCCAAGACCAUGGUUUUGAAUGAAUAAAGAUGGCGGGAUUUCUCAAAAAAAAAAAGGGAAUAGGGCUAGUGCCGGAACGCUUGGCCACAUCCCACUGGGCACUGGGCUGCAAUCACAUUCGCGACUCUGCCUGGGCGUGCGUCAGUCGCGAUCCUUCCUCACCCGGUCAACGCUCGCAUGCACUCUGCCCAGUUACAUAAUCUUGUUUCCAGGCCAAAGUGCACCGUAGAAAAAAAAACUGAGGCCAAAACUGAGGCCAGUUGUUAAGUCUGUAGUUCAGGACAGACAGGCCAAUGCAUGCUUCCCCAUGCACCUUUUGCUCGGUAGCUCCUUUUAACAUUUAUUUCAGUGAACUUUAGGUUCACAAUUUUUCAAAUAUCCCCAUCAUAGGCUACUAGAGCACAUAGAAUUAAUCUUGAGAGACGAUCGAUUAGGCUACCGACGGGAGAACUGUCAUGACUCGAGCACCAAGCUCUCAAUUCGUUGUAUGUUCUUGACCUCCUCUACCCAGCGCGAUCGGCUGAUAGAGGUCGGCAAUUCGGCGGAGAGAUGUCGUGAGGUCCAUUCUCAACAGGAGCAGCACUACAGUACUUUGACCCGGAAUAAUCACCACGAAUUUAGCAAUUCUUUCAAUACUUCAAUAGAUCAAUGAUGCACAUCCCUUAAUUUUGUUUUAUUUCUUUCUUAUUUAGUGCUUCAAGAAUCUAGAUGGGUCACCAAUCAAGUCUUUUACAAGCAUAUGUAAUGUUUUCUUAUUUCUGUAAUUUUGUUUUUAUAAUGAGAUGGGGCCUCAUUUUUUAGUUUGUACAAGCAUAUGUAAUGUUUUCUUAUUUCUGUAAUUUUGUUUUUAUAACGAGAUGGGGCCUCAUUUUUUAGUUUGGCACAGGGCCCCAGAUUUUACCGGCCUGGCCCUGCAAGCUACCCAUCGUCGUUGAUGCGUCCGGAGAUGGAGCGUAUGUCUGCAAGGAUGUGGCCACAUACCCAGACGCCUAGUCAAGCGAAUGAGUAGCUACUAUGUUGUGUCAUGCAUCUGCCUCUUAAUUUGUGGGGUGCACACAAGCUGAAUAAAAUGGUGUAUGCGCCUAUGCGAAAUGCAUCGUUAAUGAAUAAAAGCGAAGUUCCUUGUUGAUCGAGAAAUUUUGAUCCAGCAUGCAAAAGAAUAA